Molecule: long non-coding RNA, 334662 nt
Filed under: Citrus x clementina
Lineage: Eukaryota; Viridiplantae; Streptophyta; Magnoliopsida; Sapindales; Rutaceae
Description: Citrus clementina (C. clementina) long non-coding RNA (CCLE_LNC002741)
Source: RNAcentral
CACGAUCCGCCUUUUACUGAGGAUUUGCCAAGACUAAACGUAUCACUUUUUUACUAUAAUCAGGAAGAUAUAUUGUUUGAAGAAGUUGACAAAAGACGGGGUUUGACUUGGUCCAUACACCGACCUUCCGGAAUAUUUGGGUUUUCACCUCAUAGUUUGAUGAAUAUUAUAGGCACUCUCUGCGUGUACGCAGCUAUUUGUAAACACGAAGGUGCUCCUCUUGUAUUUCAUGGGACUAGAGAUGCUUGGGAAGGUUUCCAAGAAUUUUCAGACGCAGAGUUGGUUGCGGAGCAGGAAAUUUGGGGGGCAGUGGAUCCUAAUGCAAGAAACGAAGCUUUCAAUUGCACCAAUGGAGAUGUUUUUAAGUGGAAGCAUUUAUGGAAAGUGUUGGCUGAGCAGUUUGAGAUUGAGAAUUAUGGGUUUGGAGAAGAAAUGGGUAGUGAGAGGGUGAGAUUGGAGGAAGUUAUGAAAGGUAAAGAAAGUGCGUGGGAGGAGAUUGUGAGAGAGAAUCAGCUGCAGCCAACAAAAUUGAAUGAGGUUGCUGUUUGGUCAUAUGCAGAUGUGGUGUUGAAUAUUGGUGCGGGUUAUUUUGUUAGCAUGAACAAGAGUAAGGAGCACGGGUUCUUGGGUUUCAGGAACUCUAAGAAUUCGUUUAUCACAUGGAUUAAUAGGUUGAAAAGUCACAGGAUUGUGCCUUAAGUAUUUUUUUUUUUUUUUCACUUUUUGAUUUGGUGCCUCGAGUAAUUGAAAAGCCACGAAAAAUUAAUAGUUCAACCCGUGAUUGGUUUGGCUGGAAAUUGUACCCUUUUGUUAGAUCCUUGUUUUGUUAAUCAAAGAAUUUUACCUCAGGUAGAAAAAAAAAAAAAAAGAUGCCUUUGUUGUUGCUAAAGAGUUAAUAAAUAAAUACAGUACUGAAUUAUCAACCUUAGAAAACCUCCAUUAUACAUUUCUGAAUCACGUACCUUCAAGUUAUAACGACCCAAUGUUCAAGUAAUGCCUAAUCCUAGUAGUCUAAAGCUUCUUUAAAUGGUUCGUGUGUCGAAAGCACUCUCUUUCGAACCAACCGAUUCACUAGACCAGGAAAAAAAAAAGAUUGACUGUGAAAAUAUUAAAAAUUAAAAAUGAAGUCUUUCGAAAUUUUUUAACCGGACAGCAUUUGUUAGAAAGGGGAGAGAGAGAGCAAAGGGUAAGAAAAGAAAAUUAAAAUAAAGUUUAUGGACAUUUAUCAUUUUACAUUAAUUAUUCGUUAUAAUUAAAGGAUGAAAUUAUAAUUUUAUUUGGUCAAAUUGGUCAACACUUUCAUUUAAUAGAAAAUCUAAAAGACCAAGCCUAUUCUCAGGCAUUCUUGGGGAAGAAUAAACUAUUUAUGUCUAUUUUAAAACUUUGAUGGUAGAUCUAUACUAAACUAAAAAUUGUUACGGGAGAUUCUUGUACCACUACGUAGCUCGAAAGAGGAAGACUGAAGUGGUACUAAAUUUGCUAUGAAAUGAGUUUAACGACCGCAUGCAAACGAACAAUUAUAAGAAAAGUUUAGUUGAGGAGCGAGCAAAGAUAUGCUGACCAAUACAAUAUUUGAAAAAUAUAAACAUAUGUUUUUAAACUAUUAUUAUUAGGCUAAUGCUAAGUUACAUGCAUGUGACUUAUAACCCUCUCACAUAAAUAGUGAAUAAUGUUGGUCCACUCACUAUUAAUGUGAGAUGGUUGUAAGUUACAUGCAUGUAACUUAGGGAGAUCUUAUUAUUAUCAUCAUCAUCAUCAAAUAAAUAUAGUGCAAACAUGUCUAAAAACAGGCGGGAGCCGGGUUUGAUUUAUGUUGUAUACUUGUGUAGGCCGCUGUUCAGAUAUAGUCCAGCCCAAUGGAAGCAAUAUGUAAGCCCAACACGGGUCUUCAUCGAUUUAUGCAAUGCAGUAAAAAAACAUAUCUAAUGGAAACAUCUACUGAAUUUGAAUCAGUUACUGCAAUUAAAGUUACCAACCUUGUAUGAUUGAACGAAAAUAUUAAUAUUAAGUAUACAUUAUUGGUAGAAGAAAAAUGACAUUUUUUGGAGAAAUUCUAUAAUGCAUUAGAAGUAUUAUAACAGUUAUAUAACAAGUAAAUGAUACUGUGAUAUUUAUGUAUUUAUUGUGAAAGAUCAUUAUGUAAAAUAAUGGUUACAUUAAAUUUAAUUAUACAUGUCAUGCAUACAUCAAUCGAUUAUAUUACUACUAAUGAAUUAUAAAAUUUCUCAAUUCGCUGAUAUUAUGUUUAAUAUUAAAUAAAAAAAUAUCAGUAUUUGAUGACUUACGUAGUUUUUAACAUUUUUAACGUACCAGCAUCAACAGUUAUUGAUAUUAUAGGAUCAUAAACCUUCACUCAUGCGAAGAUUUUAUAUUUUAUUUUAUUUUGAAAUUUAUUAUUUCAUUUAUUCUUAACGAUGUCGUUUUGGACAUAAAAUUUAGAUAAAUUAUUAAGUCUUCAUCUUCUCUUUCUUCACAAAAUCGUUUCCCUCUCUUUCCUGACACAGUAUCUCAACAAAACAAAAUACCAAAAUAAAACAAAGGCCAAAACCAAAAGCAGAAACAGAUCAAGCAGCUCAACCUCUCUAGCCUCUUAAUGAAUAAUGAUAGAUCGAACCAGAAGCAAAACAGUUGAGUUGAAGAUCGAAGCUCUAGGUCAAAACACACUCUCUCUUUCUCAAUUUUUGUAGUUUUUUCUUUCGACUUCAUCAAAGUCUAAACCCUAAAUGCUCGCCUUCUCAAGCACAACAACUUCAAAAGGAUUUAUCAUUUUCUUGGAGAUCUUAUAGAGUCGUAUUCUUAGCAUCAUCAAAGUCAGCCGCGUCGAGCCGUCAUGGUCUGUGUGACAAGCUAAAAGGUCACAUUGACUUGAGCAAAAGAAUAGUUAAGCUUGUAAAUAGAGGCAGAACAAUUAGCAAGCUCGUUCACUCUAUCGUGCGACCCGUGCCUGAGACUCUUGGAAUCGAAUUAGAGGUAUUGAUUUUGAUUUGAUUGUCGACAUAUUUUUGUUUUUAGAUUUUUUUUUUUUUUAUAUUUUAUAGUGUUUAAUUAGCAAUAAAUUUGAAUUUCUAGAGUAAUUUAGGUGUACUGGCGAAUUAAAUGUUGAUUUUAUGUAUUUACUUUUUGAUUUGAAAUCCGCUUUCUCUUAAGUGUUAUUCGUUUGUGUUUCGAAUGCAGGUUUAGUGCUUGAUGAAUUGCCUCAUUCGGGUCUACUUUUUAUGAUGCAGAAAACUUAUUGUUUUUUUUUUCUAUCUAAAUUUGGUUGUUAUUAAUUAAUAAAAGUAGAGAGAUUCAGUUGUUAUUCUUGGUUCUUUAUGCAGAUGGUGCUCUUGCUUUUCUUCUGUGUUCUAUUCUUUUUGUUCAAGAUAUUUAUAGUUGUCGAUCCAAUAUUUAUUUAUUCAUUAGUUUUUACUGAAAGCAUAAAUACUCUUCCACUCGCCAAAAAUUAUUUUAUUCCAGUAGUUUUUCAAUUGUAAUGCCAGCUAGGUCCUACCAAUGCUAUUAUUUUAUGCCAGUAGUUUGAGUUCAGGUUCCCAGUGGUUUUCUUCAUUUUAAACGUGGUUAGGCAAUUGGAGUAUUGAUAACAUUCAAGCCGUUUUUAGUUCAACGCCGCAACUAGAGAAAGAUCCUUUUAAUUUUCAAGCCAAUUAAGUUUUCGGAAUGCUUCAACCAAGUUAUUUCUUUGGGGUUCCACAUCAGUUUUUGGGGUAGCCAUAAACUUAUGAUGAUGAUGAUGAUGAUGAUGCUCUCGCCAAUUGAUUAUUGCUAAUUUUCUUUGUACCUAUUAGCUGUUCCAGGCUAUCUUAUUGCCAUUUUUACAAUGUUACUAAAAUUUGUUGGUAUAGCAGUGCCCUUUCAUUAUAGUUGGCCUCUUAUGAGUGUAAUUAAUCUCAAAUAUCAACAUUAUAAAUUAUGAGUGUAAUUGAUUGGGUAAAUACUCGUUUAAUCCCUAAAUUUUGAUAUAAGUGUCCGUUUAAUCUCCAAAUUUUAAAAAGUGCGUAAAAACACUCUUAUUGUUCAAUAUGUUACAUUCUUAUCAUUGUUUGUUUCUUUUCUUUUACAAUAAUAAUAUUGCAACAAUAUUCUUGACAUUAAUUAAUUUAUUUAUAAAAAAAUUAAUUAGCAAAUUAACCAAUAAAUAUAAGUGUGAAAGAACUAAUAUUUUUUGUAUCUGUUAAACAAUCUUACUAAUAAUUUUUUAUAAAUAAAUUAAUAUUAGCCUACUUAAAGUAAUGUCUAAUAUUUUUACAAUAAUUUUACUAAUAAUUAUCACGUCGGUAACGUCGAUUUUUACCGACGAAUCAUAGGUUUCGAAAAUAUAGUGCCUUUUGAUAAAUCGAGAGAGUGGGGACAAGCACCUUCUCGGAUGUCUGGAGCUGAAGUGAAAAAGCAGUUGAAUAAUAUCCUUACUGAGUUUAAGAUUGAAGACUUGAAAAGUGGAGAAUGAAUAAAAUGAGAGAAAUGACAAGAUUACUUGGAAGAAGAAAAGCAUAUUUUAUGAACUACCGUGUUGGGAGUUCAAUUUGAUUCAUCAUAAAAUGUGAGACAUGAGGGAGAGACAAAAGCUCAGGCUUGUCUGCAACCAUGUGGGCCCUCAUAAGCAAUUCGUGUACACAACUUGGUUCACCAAGCCCAACAACUUGAAGCAGGCAAAAUCCGGGAACGAUCCUUCUCCUUCGCAACCCUGGCAGCCUUAACCUUGUAUUUCUGAUAUUUAGUUAAAGAGUAAGAAGAUUGCUCCUCUGUCAAUUACCUUCGAGAGAGACUUUCUUUUUCAUUAAUCGAUGCUUGCUUGUGAAAGCAAGGGUUUUAGUUACACUUUCAACGCUGUCAAUGUAGUGAAGUAAAGCAUUCGUAGAAUAAUGAAGAUGGAAGCCCCACAGCAUGAAAACUUUUAAACAGUAACACAGCUCUUAUUCCAGAGGCUGCACGCGAGUGACCUGAAUCUUCUUCAGAACUUUCAAAUUUUAUCAAGCAAAGCUUUCAAAAUUUCUCAACAAAUUGAUUAUUUGGUGUGGUUGCCACAUUUUGAGUAACUGCUAUUUGUUCUCAAGUACAAAAUCCUUGCCCUCCUAAGUUAGGAAAUAUAGAUGUGAAGCAAACCAAAUGAAAUAAAUGGGUAAACAGAACAAACAGUGCAAAAAUUAAAAAUGAUGGCAAUUAACAAAUUAACUUGUAUUUCUGAUAUUUAGUUAAAGAGUAAGAAGAUUGCUCCUCUGUCAAUUACCUUCGAGAGAGACUUUCUUUUUCAUUCACCAAAAUAAAAUAAAUUUAGAAUUUCAAACAGUACUAGUAGUAAAAAAAUGACGACAACAACAAAAAUAGAAAAUUACAAGACUGCUGAUAAAAUUUCACUUGCAGGCAUUUCUCACAAAAUUUCUGUGAUUUAAUGUGCUUUCAUGCACGCAAGUCCUAACGUUUCUGUGAUCACAAAUGAAACUGAAGAUAAAACAGAACAACUACCAAACCUUUCAAGCGUGACGAAGCCAUGAGAAUUGAUAGCUCAAUGUCAUGGGAUGAGUGUUUUGUCACUAAAACAGAACAAUAAUUUUGAACACACCAUGUGGCAUUUAGACCAUUUGAUAGUUUGUUUCAAACAUAUUUGUUUAUAAAAUACUUUUCUUCAUGGUUUUGGUCCCAUAAUUUUCUAUGUAUGUACAGGUUUUAUCGAUACCGCUUUUGACAAGUUACACUUACAUAGCAAUGCCCUUUUUGAUAAACUGUGCUUCUGUGAUGAAGAAUGUUUUAGCUGUAAGUGGAUAUCCUAAUCAUUGAUCCAUAUACUUAGGUUAUAUUAUCCAUCAGCAAGUAUGUAUAAAAUUAUUUUGUGUCUUUUUUUAUUAGAAAUGUUGUAAUUCUAUUUUACUCUUCCUGAAUUAUAACAUCAGGUGUCUAUAAUAACUAGGUUAUUCCUUCUGCAAAACAGAGCAGUGGUAAAUAUUUUUUUUCUUUUGUUUGUUUAGUACAUUUACAUGCUUUCAGCUUUUUCAAAUUUUGUAUGUGUCAAAGUUUAAAUUUAAUUUGUUGGUUUAUGCCACAACAAAAGGAACAGCAUCAAAGAGGAGCUGCUAAUGGACUUGCUAUGACUGUAGUGUCGCUUACCAAAACUGCCGGUCCAGCUGUAGGAGGUGCUCUGUGAGUGUCCUGUUGAUUUUGUAAAACUAUAUGUAAAUGAAGUUAUAAUUUUUUUUUUCAUUAAUUGGGGUUCUGGCAGAUUUUCUUGAUCACAAAAGCAUCAAGAUGCUGGUUUCCUCCCAGGUAUGAUGAUCUACUAAUGAAAUUUCUCACGAGUUGGUGAAUUACUUUGUGCUAAUUAGCUUAGUUAGCUGCUUAAACUAAAGUGCAGGUAACCAGAUGAUUUUUUUCAUUUUGAAUUUGGUCGAGGCACUAGGAGUAAUAUUGACAUUCAAACCAUUUCUAACUCAACGUGCCCCGUGAGUAGAGAAAAGAUGCAUCUGUUGAAAUAUUCAAAUAUAUGUCGAGCAAAUUAAAGCUUUCAAAAUCUAUCAACAAUUUGAUUAUUUGAUGUGGUUUGCCACUUGCCGUAUUUUGUUUUGCUGUUCUAAAGGCUUAAAUAUGAAAAUGGUGGUUGGCGCUCACACCAAUCGAUUGCUGUUAACAUUAAUUGUUCAGUACUUUUCUCUGUCGACAUUUAUACUUGUUCAUUGUCAGAACUACGACAAUUUAUCUUUACAAUGAUGCAAGCUAGAAAGAAUUUUUCAUGUUAAGUAAAAUAUUGAAGCCACAAAGAGUCUGAAUUAAGUACUAAGUUUUCUGCCAUGCUUUCAACGGUAACACAUUUGUAGCUCUUAUUCCAGGGGCUUCACAGUAGAGAGACCUGAUUUCGACCUUCUUCAGAACUUGGGGAUUCCGUAAUAACAGAGGACAACAGUUAUAUAAGAAUAUUAUUUUGUACAAUUUUCGUAUAACCUGACCAAUGCAAGUAUAAUUUGAUGAUCUUAACUCAGAUCAAAAGACCUUCAAUGAUGUAAAAUUUGAACAUAAAGAUGAGAACCAAACAUUAGAACUUAUGAUGAAACGGAAACAAAAACAUUGAGAUUGAAAAGAUAGAGAAACACAAGCUUUUUAAAAGGAAUAAAUAUUCAUUUAGUCUCUAUAUUUUGACUUAAGAGCGCAUUUAGUUCUUAUAUUUUAAAAAGUGCCUCAACCUCAAGACACCCCUACUGUGUUGGAAUAAUAUUUUUGGGAAUAUCAAUGAAAAGAAACGAAUGGUAAUUCAUCUAGCCAGCCUUAAACAAAAUAAAUAUUAAUAAAAACUUUUAUGUUAUUAUUUUAGUUUUAGGACUAAUUUCGUAAAUUAAUUUUUUUAUGCAUUUAUUAGUAAGAUUGCUUUAAGAAUAUUAAACAUUACUUUAAGAUGGCUGCUAUUGAUUUAUUUAUAAAGAAUUAUUGGCAAGAUUGUUGUAAAAGUACAAAAAAAUACUGGUUAUUUCAUAUUGAUAUUUAUUGAUUAAUUUUCCAAUUAAAUUUUUUAUAAAUAAAUGAAAUUAAUUUAAGAAUAUUAUUGCCAAGAUAUUAUUGUAAAAGUAAAUAAAAUUUAAGGAAAAAUGUAACGUAUUUAAUAUCAAGGUAUAUUGAGGUAUUUUUUAAAAUAUAAUAACUAAACGAGCAUUGAAGUUAAAAUAUAGGUACCAGACGAACAUUUUCUCUUUUAGAAAGUUUUAUAUUUUAUUAAUGAAAGUCUGAAUAACAAAAUUAAGGUUUUGGACUUCUUUUAAACUAAACUUAAAUAUAACAAAUUUACCAAAAUAACUAAACCUAACAUAUUACUACAUAAUAACAUUCUCCUAAUUGAAAUAAGAUAAAUGUUACUCAAAUUCUAUAUCUAGAAAAAAAAAAGAUAAAAAUCCUAAAAACAAUAGGAAAAUAGAUCUUAAACUUGUAAAAUAAUAUGAAAUAAAUAUAAUUUUCAAUCGAACCACGAGACUAAUGCGGCGCUACAGUAUUAGAUUAGUUUCCCCUCGUCGCGAACUUCGAAAUGUAUAUUAUACACCCUAAAUAGAUACUUAUAGCUCAAGUUGUUACCCUAGAGAGAUACUCCACUCAUCCUACGCAACCUAGAGAGAUACUCCACUCAUCCUACGCAACCAUCCGCUGCAUCAAAUUCGUUCCAAAAUUAAGAAUAAACCAGCUGAUGCAUUCCAAAUAAUUUAGAUGAAACGAUAAAAUAAACCUAGAGAUCAAAUAACAUGAAAUGAAAAAGAUAAUUACCUUGGACUGAAGCUCAUACAAAUUCAUUAUUUGACACCUGCGGCAAUUGUUGAAAUAAUAGUUAAUGAAAUAUAAAAUAAGACAAGUACAUAUUAAUGAAACACCACUGUGAAUCGAUAGCUAAGGACGGAGUAAAAUUUAAUUGUAAAUUAGGACAGUAGAGCAAGCAUCCAUAAACAUAACAUGAACGUAAUACAUCAAUUGAAAUAUCAUAGGAUAAAUUGGGACAUCAGAGAAAGAAAUAAGUAAAUAAAUCAGCAAAGGAAACAUGCAUAAACAAAUAAAAAAACAAAGACAAAAUAAGGAAGAGUUUGUGAUAAUUUUCUUCUAUGGUCAUUGAAGUCCAAAAACUAAUAAGGAUCGAGCAAUUGAACGGUUGCAAACUCAAUGGAAAUACAAUGGAACCUUAAAAAUGAACAGUGAAGGAAAAUGAAGAAAUCUGCAGGAAAUAAGACGAGUGAGAGUGAAGAAUUAAUUACCACUGAGUAAAUGCGAAUGAAGAAUGGAGACAGAUCCUUCUUCGCCCCAUUGAGAAGUGAGAUUCAUAGAUUGCAUUGAAAUUGAGAGUUGAGAUCAAGAAGCGAUUCUUCUUCUCCGUAAUUUCCUUUUUCUUUUAAUGUUGUUAUUAUUAUUAUUUUUUUUUUUUUUCAAUUUCAUGAUAUCUUUUUUGUUUUAAACAGUAUUGGCAUAUUACAUUUAUUUAUGUUAAUUUUACAAUACCUCCCUUCAGAUUGCACAAAUUACAUUAAAAAAAAAAGUGCUUUAUGUAUAAAACUUUCAAACAAAUUGGGCCAAAAUCUAACUUUACCAAGUUUAGAGUAAUUUUGGGCUCGACAUUCCAUUUCCGACAAACGAUUUUUCUUGGCGUUUGAUUUUUCUUUAUACUUUUCAUAUUUAUCCAACGGCUCGUCAAUGACAAUACCUUUGUAAAAAGUACUUAUUUUGAAUAUUAUAUUGUGGAAAUGUCUGGUCGGUAAUACAACUAUUUCUUAUAGUGUAAAACUGAUACACUAGCGUUCACAUUUUGAUGAGUAAAUUAAGGAUUUCAAGAUGAAGUACAUAAUUAGAUUAAUGCUAAGAAACUGAAGUUUGAUCGAUUGAAAAUGAAAAUAAUAAUGAAGGUAAUUAAGAAAAUGAACAAUAUAUGCAGAAGCGGUCCUAUUAGGACUUCUAGAUUUUCUCUUGGGCUUUCCUUAUUAUUGUUAAAAAAUGACACGAAGAACUUUGAGUUUAAAAAUCUGGCCCUGAUGCCUGGUAGCCCUCCAUGAAGCACCAGAUGUUUUGAUGAGAAAUGACAAGACCAUUUAUCAAAUUUCUUGUGGAUAUAAAUACAUACACAUAGACGAGACCAACCUCCUCAAAUGAGAAUCAGAGUGAUUAAAAGACCUUGCAAUGAGACAAUGAUACACCAUCAAAUGUCAAAAUACAAUAGAAAUUCACGACAUAUAUAUAAUAAAAGACCUCUCAUUGAGUCAUAUAUAUUGAGAAUAAAAAUGUUAUAAUACAUACACAGAGCUUAGCUAGAAUAAAAUGUCUUUGAACUUGCGAUGAUCAAACAAAGGAAACAGACAGGUUGUAACUCACACUAUCACAAGAAGAUCACGAAGAUGAAAAUGGGAACCCAUCAGAAUGGAAACUUUGAAUAGAUGAAAAAAGAAAAACGACCUUAUUCACAGAAGAAGAGUGACUUAAAUCUUCAUCAGUAUCCAGACAUUUUGCAAUCAUAGAGUAGAGAAAUUUUAACAGGAACAGCAGAGAAAAUAUUAUGAAUAUGCUAUAGACCAAUAUACUUGUUCAUAGCUAACGUUUGAUGGUUUAAGGAUUUGUUCUAGGAAUAAUGGGCUGAUUACUUUCUUUUUAUUUUAAUUUUUUUUUAAUCCAAUGAAUGAUAUUCAGCUGUUAAUUAUGUGUUCAUAGGGAAGAACAUUUUCUAAGUACUUUCCUUGCCUUCUAACUUUCCGAAAAGCAAACCCAAUGAGCAAACAGAGCACAAACUAAAAUAAAAGAACAGCAAUGAUAACAAUAAAUAAUUGGCAAAGAAAAAAAGGAAAAAGUAUGCACGUUUUCAAGGAAUUAUAAAAUAUGAAGGCUUUUAAUGAAACUUUAUCAUACAAAGUAUGCAAGGAAUUAUAAAAUUUUAGAAAACAAGGGGAGCUCUCAAAAAAAAAUGAAAAACUCAAAUUAAACUAGACUAAAAGACAUUCAAUUUUGCAAAAUCUGUCCAUAAAAGUCUGAAAGGAUCAUUAAAAUUGCAUUGCAAAUUUAACAGUAAACCGAGGGACCCAUUCUAAAUAAUUCAGAUGAAAUUGCGAAACAAGACAUGGGAUUAAAUAAAUGAAACAAUCUAAUAAAAAAAAAAUAAAUGAAACAAAAAUUAAUUACCAGUUGAGACUUUCUUCUAAAAAUUCGCAACUCCAAGUCACAAGAAGCCUAUGAAAUUAGUCGUACUGCGUAGAGUAUGACGACGACACCGCCAACAGCCGACGACACCGCCAACAGCUGAAAGUAAAAUUCUUAUUCAUCAAAUAUCUUAUCAAUAUUGUAUUUAAGAAAGCAAAUUUUGUAAAAAUUUAUCAUGGGAGAUAAGAGUAAUAUGUAUAUACGUACCUUCUCAGCAUGUAAUGUUGUAUGGUUGUGUUUAGAUAAUUAUUAGCCCAGCGCCGUUGAUCCGCUGUCUCUCCAUACCAGACAUUUACUCUUGGAGGCGUGAUUGCUUCUCCUGUAGUGAAAAUCUUCAUCUUGGGACAACCAAUCACCCACAACUCUUGCAAAGAUGGGAAUUGGAAGGUGUAAUUGGCAGAGCAGAAACUUGUGAGGCUAUCUAAAUCACGCAGUUCCAACGUCUUCAAUUUGCGGAAAACAAUCUCUUCUUUUUCAACUCCAUCUUUGUCAUUUAUUACCACCUCUGUCAUUGCUCUGCAUCCAUAUAUUUCUAUUGCUACGAGUCGCACCAGAGUUUUUGCUGUGGAGGAUGUUACCAUGUGUAACAAUUUCUUGCAACCGAAAGCCACCAGAGCUGUUAGGUUCUGAAAAGAUACCGAUGAUGAUGGCAAUAGAAUUAACAGACUUUGACAACGAUAUGCUUUUAGAAUUUCAAGAUACUGAAAAGUGGGGCCAAGUUUGGAGUCUUGUUUGCACAGCUGCUUCAGAUGAUAGUGCCAGCGCAGCUCUAAUGUUUUUAUCAUUGCCAACUUCCCCGCAUGUUUCUCUAAGCUUCCUUCCUCCGAAAAUACCUCUUCGUGGAAUGAAAAUUGAAACAGUGAGAGUAUUUCAAGAUUGUGAAAUCUCUCAAGUACAUUCCAGAUUGGAAAACAAGCUGAGUUAUCUUCGGCAAUCUCUAGUUGUUUAAGACUGCCAAAAAGGUGUUGUGGGAAAUCGGCCUGCAAAAUCAUCUUCACGUCUUUUCCAUUCAAUGAUAGGUCCUUCAAGUUGGGUAAGAUCUGAUCAUCAUAAAUCAUAAUAACUAAUGAGGUCAAUUGAUGUUCUCUCAAAUGAUUUUGAGUAAUCCAAUUACAAGCAGUGACUUUAUUGUAUCUGUUUUAUAUUAAUUUUACCCCCAAAAAAAAUUGAAUUAGUGAUAAAAUUCAUUAUAUGAUUUUUUAUAUGUUAAUUUUAGAGGUAAAAAAGAAAUUAGGGAAAAAUGGUUGAUUUAUAUUUGCAUGAAAAUAUUUUAUUUCACAACAAUAAAUUAUUAAUUUAUAUUGUAAGUCCUUGUAUAAAGAAAAACUAAGGAUUCUUUACCUAAAAAAGUUCAUAUAAUUAUUAAUCUCCCACAUUGAUCCCUUAGUCAAGACUAGCAAAGAUUAUUAUGUAAUAAAAAUUUUUAAUUUAUUAAGUAUUAAUUUAUCAGUGUUUUGUUACAUUUUUCAAAGUCAAAAGUCGUCAAUGAGCUAUUGAAAAAAAUAUCUAGAAAAUGACUUCAUACCUUUUCGAACGGCAAUAAGGGCUGUUGUGCAGGAAUAUCAAGUUGAUUAUUCUCUUUAUUCUGCGAUAAAUCUUCAGCAAAUAUUUUUAAUUUGUCACAACGACACACUGCAAAAUUUUCUAGUGCUGGCCAUUCCGAAGUAUGCAUUCCUGGGUAUAAACAUCUAAGUUUUGGUAGACCUUGGAGUAUCAGAACGGUGGGUUGUGGAAAGACAAAAUAAGGGAUCACUUCAUCUGCUCUGUUUUCAAAACGAUCUCCUGUAAAUCCUUACAGUCUCAUAUAUCUAAGUGCUGGAGCUGCUUGAGGUUUCCGAUCAUAGACGCUGAAAAUAUGUAUUUCAGUUUGUCACAGUACCACACAACUAAUCGUGUUAAACUUUGAAAGUGAGGAAACACGGCCGCCAGAAUUUGAUUGUAAUGCCAAAUCUUGUCGACAUUAAUUGCAGAUAUCUCCAAAGCCACCAAGUUAGGCAACGCAACCUAAAAAAAUAAGAAUUUCUCGUUAGAUCCAAUAUCCAUAUAGGAAGCACUUGUUGAAAUUUUCUUCUUUGAUUACAAAUUGUUGAAAGUCAGAAUCAAUUUCCAACUGACAGCUGAGUUUGAUGCAUUCUAAUUCAUACUACUUGUUAAGAGCUCAAUUAGUGAGCGUGUUGUUAAGAGCUCAAUUAGUGAGCGUGUGAGAUUCUUUUUAUCCUUUUUUCCAUUUUCUUUCAAUUCUUAAAUGAUUUAAUUAUUUUCCACGUAUGACGUCAAAAGAGAACGCAUGAUAGAAUAAAAUCUGUUAUAUAUAUAUAUAUAUAUAUGAAGAAAAUGUUAGCCUACUAUCACGGGAUGAGUAUUUUGCGCAGCUAACCCGUGCGGUACUUAGACAACUUUGCCGAAUGUUGCUAAGUAAGCCUAGAGCUUCUCGAACUAGAGAAGAGAGCAAUUGAGCCGAAUAAGAGACAUUGUAUUGCACAAAGAGAGAUUACAAUGCUUGUUGUUGUGUUUGUUGGAUACAAAUGCCUAAUGCCAUCCCAUAUUUAUAGGGGAGGCUUGCCAAGCUAGAGGCUCUAGAGAUUCUAGAGAAUUCUACCAUUUCCUAGCUAUUUACAUGUGCUGGAAUUGUAAGGAGAAUUCUAGAGUAUUUGCAAGCUCACAUGUGCUAGAAUUGCCAAGAACUUUCCGGAAUUGGGCCAAGCUAGCACUCUUGGCCUUGUGUUGGCUCUCUAGCCCGAAAUUGUUGGCAAUUGGGCUAGCGAAUUGGGCGGUCCGCAACAUCCUCCCCCACCUAAGCUCGCGGCGUCCUCGUCGCGCUCUCGUGCUUGAAAUUCUAGAUGUGCUCAGCGAAUUGCCAUAAGUCAUCUUCACGUUCCCAAGUGGCUUCGCUCUCGGGGAGGUUUUUCCACUUCACCAAGUACUUGCUAUGUGCUGGCACGCCCCUCCUCGAAACCGUGCGGUCCGCAAUGAUGUAGUCCACAUCUUUGUCGAAUGCGGUGACAAGCAGUUGGCACGCGCCUCGAUUCUCCGCGACUUGGUUCUCCCAUGUCUUCGUGAUAUGGCUUGAGAAGGCUCACAUGGAAGACCGGAUGGAUCUUGAGUCUUGGCGGAAGUUGGAGUUGAUAUGAGACGUUGCCCACACGUCGAACAACUCGGAAGGGUCCCUCAUAGCGCCUCACUAACCCCUUGUGGACUUUCCGCAAUGUCUUGAAUUGUUGGGGUAGGAGCUUGAUCAUGACUUGAUCUCAUUCAUUGUACUCAACAUGCCGUCUCCUUGUAUCCGCCCAUUUCUUCAUUUUCCUCGCGGCUUUGUCGAGGUAGGCUCGCGUGAUGUCCGCUUCCUCAUGCCAUUCGCGGGCGAACUUGUGUGCCGCGGGGCUUUUCCCGCCGUAAGUCGAGGCUAUGGCGUUGGGGGUCAUGGGCUGGAAUCCCAUGAUGAUCUCGAACGGACUCUUGCCCGUAGCCUCACUUCGCUGCAAGUUAUAAGAAAAUUGGACGAUGUCGAGUAGCUUCGCCCAAUCCCACUGAUGAGCGCUCACAUAAUGCCUCAAGUACAUUUCGAGGAGGCCAUUGAUGCACUCGGUCUGCCCAUCCGUUUGUGGGUGGAAGCUUGUCGAGAACUUGAGAUCGGUCCCCAACAUCUUGAAGAGCUCCGUCCAAAAACGCCCAGUGAACCGAGGGUCUCACAAUGCUCCUUGGAACUCCCCAAAGCUUCACAAUGUGCUUGAUGAAUAGGCAGGCUGCCUCAUCCGCUUUACAAUCGAUUGGUGCGGCAAUGAAUGUGGCGUACUUGCUGUAUCGGUCGACAACGACCAUGAUGCUUCCGCAACCUUCGGAUUUGGGCAGCGAAGUAAUGAAGUCCAUGGAGACAUUUUCCCAUGGCCUUGUUGCUAGUGGUAGCGGCUCCAAUAAUCCCGCUGGAAGUUGAUGAUCCACCUUGUCUUGUUGGCACACAAGACAAGUUCGCACAUCUGCUUCGAUGUCGUCCCUCAUGUACGGCCAAAAAUACGAGGCUUGAACUAGUGCGGUGGUGCGCUCGAUUCCUGGGUGACCAGCCCACUUAGAGUCGUGGCACUCCUUGAUUACCUCCUUCCGUAAGUUUCCCCACCUUGGCACGAACAGCCGAUCUCCCUUGGUGUGGAGGAUGCCUUCCUCUUGCCAAAAUCGCCUUGUCUUGCCUUCGAGCACCUUCUCCAGCAAAUCCUUUGCUAGCGGAUCUUGUUGGAGGCCUUCCUUGAUGCGUGAGACAAGGUCGGACUUUGGUUGGCUCAUGCUAAUUGUUGCCAAUUCGGCCUUACGGCUUAGAGCGUCUGCAACGACAUUGGCUUUCCUCGGUUUGUACUCGAGCCAAUAGUCGAAUUCCGUAAGGAAAUCUUGCCACCGUGCUUGCUUCGGGCUCAACUUUUUUUGUGUUUGAAAGUAGCUCGUCGCUACGUUGUCCAUCAUAGUCAUGAAGUGAGAGCCUAGCAAGUAAUGUCGCCACACCCGCAAGCAAUGUAUGAUUGCGGUCAUCUCCUUCUCUUGCACCGUGUAGCGGCGUUCCGUAUCGUUUAGCUUUCGACUCUCGAACGCUAUGGGAUGGCCUUCUUGCAUAAGGACUCCACCUAUGGCGAAAUCCGAGGCAUCCGUUUGAACUUCGAAGGGUUUAGUGUGGUCCAGAAGAGCGUGGACGGGUUCCUCCGAAAUUGCCUUCUUCAACUGCUCGAAUGCGCGUUGGCACUCUUCGGACCAAUGCCACGUUCUGUUUUUCUUGAGCAUAUCCGUCAAGGGUGCUGCCUUGGCUGAGUAGCCCUCGAUGAAGCGGCGGUAGCAGUUCACCAACCCAAGGAAUGAGCGAAGCUCGGGUACUUUCGAGGGAGGUUCCCAUUCGAGGAUGGCCUUUACUUUGGCAUUCUCCAUCAUGAUCUUUCCGCCCGCAACCUUGUGGCUAAGGAACUCCACUUCUUGUUGGGCAAACGAGCACUUCUCCAACUUGAGGAAGAGCUCGUUGUCUCGGAGUACUUGGAGGACUUGUCGUAAGUGUUGGGCAUAAUCCUCGAGUGUGGUGCUAUACACCACUAUGUCGUCCAAGUACACGACCACGAAGCGGUCGAGGAAUGGUUGGAGUAUCUUGUUCAUGAGCGUGCAAAAUGUAACAGGUGCAUUAGUAAGGCCAAAAGGCAUCACAAGGAAUUCGAAAGACCCAUACCUUGUAGUGCACGCUGUCUUCGGUUCGUCUCCCUUGGCGAUGCGCACUUGAUAGUACCCGGAGCGCAAGUCAAGUUUGGUGAAGUACCGCACUUUGCCAAGUUGGUCGAACAAGUCCGCGAUCAAGGGAAUCAGAUACUUGUUCUUGAUGGUGAUCUUGUUGAGCGAUCUAUAGUCGAUGCACAUCCGCAGCGAUCCAUCCUUUUUCUUUUGGAAGAGGACCGGUGCACCGAAUAGGGCCUUUGAGGGGUGAAUGUAGCCUGCGUCCAGCAAGUCUUUGAGUUGUCUCCGCAACUCCUCUAAUUCGGGUGGCGCCAUGCGGUAGGGCGCCAAGGCUGGUGGCUUCGCGCCUUGUUCCAGCUCGAUCGCAUGAUCUACCUCUCGCCGAGGUGGGAGCUUCUUCGGAAGUUCCAGAGGCAUCACGUCCUUGUAUUCAUUGAGAACGGCUUGAAUUCGCGAAGGGACUUGGCUUGGCGACGUUCUGCUCUUUCCUUCCUUGUUUAGUUCCCGGAUGGAGACCAAGAAGCUUGGGUCCUUCUUGAAAGCCCUUUUGAAUUGCAUGGCGGAGAGUGUCUUCUCCUCGGACUUGCCUCGCUCCGUGGGUACCAUGCAUGCUUUGCUCCCGUCGAGGAUGCUUAGGGAGUUUGUAGCGGGCAGUGGGAAGGCAUGGACUUGGUCGAAAAAUUCCAUGCCGAGGACUAUCUUGAAGUCAUCCAUGGGGAUGAUGGAGAAAUCAAGCUUUCCGCUCCACGUACCGAGUGUUAAGUGCACGCCUUGUGCAAUUCCCGCAAUUGGCUUGGCGGGUGAGUUUACUGCCUUCAUUGUGCUUCGUGAGCUAACUUGCGUGCGUGCAAACCUUAGCUCCGAUACCACUUGUCACGGGAUGAGUAUUUUGCGCAGCUAACCCGUGCGGCACUUAGACAACUUUGCCGAAUGUUGCUAAGUAAGCCUAGAGCUUCUCGAACUAGAGAAGAGAGCAAUUGAGCCGAAUAAGAGAAAUUGUAUUGCACAAAGAGAGAUUACAAUGCUUGUUGUUGUGUUUGUUGGAUACAAAUGCCUAAUGCCAUCCCAUAUUUAUAGGGGAGGCUUGCCAAGCUCUAGAGAUUCUAGAGAAUUCUACCAUUUCCUAGCUAUUUACAUGUGCUGGAAUUGUAAGGAGAAUUCUAGAGUAUUUGCAAGCUCACAUGUGCUAGAAUUGCCUAGAACUUUCCGGAAUUGGGCCAAGCUAGCACUCUUGGCCUUGUGUUGGCUCUCUAGCCCGAAAUUGUGGGCAAUUGGGCUAGCGAAUUGGGCGGUCCGCAACAUCCUCCCCCACCUAAGCUCGCGGCGUCCUCGUCGCGCUCUCGUGCUUGAAAUUCUGGAUGUGCUCAGCGAAUUGCCAUAAGUCAUCUUCACGUUCCCAAGUGGCUUCGCUCUCGGGGAGGUUUUUCCACUUCACCAAGUACUUGCUAUGUGCUGGCACGCCCCUCCUCGAAACCGUGCGGUCCGCAAUGAUGUAGUCCACAUCUUUGUCGAAUGCGGUGACAAGCAGUUGGCACGCGCCUCGAUUCUCCGCGACUUGGUUCUCCCAUGUCUUCGUGAUAUGGCUUGAGAAGGCUCACAUGGAAGACCGGAUGGAUCUUGAGUCUUGGCGGAAGUUGGAGUUGAUAUGAGACGUUGCCCACACGUCGAACAACUCGGAAGGGUCCCUCGUAGCGCCUCACUAACCCCUUGUGGACUUUCCGCAACGUCUUGAAUUGUUGGGGUAGGAGCUUGAUCAUGACUUGAUCUCAUUCCUUGUAUUCAACAUGCCGUCUCCUUGUAUCUGCCCAUUUCUUCAUUUUCCUCGCGGCAUUGUCGAGGUAGGCUCGCGUGAUGUCCGCUUCCUCAUGCCAUUCGCGGGCGAGCUUGUGUGUGACGAUGGUCUGUUUGGUGAUGCUGAAGGAGUCUUUACUUCACGGCAGAAAUUUGUAACCUCUGGAAGAUUCCCCAGACUCAAAGAUCUUAAUUGAGCAAACUCUAUCUUCUCAAUUGCAUUAUCAACUUCUUCCCCAAUUGCAAAAAUCUCUUUCAUCUUGCUGCAAUCAACAACUGCAAUUCUCUCAAGUCUUGGAAGGCAUUUUGUAGUAGAGAGCCAAAAGAUAUUACUCAAUUUAUCACAAUUAUAUGCUUGUAUGAUUUUGGGUUCGUUCAAAGACUCUACUUUGAGCUGAUCAAUACAUAUCCUCUCCAUGUUGAUCAAAUUGUGAAGGAUAAGUGACUCCAAAAGAGGAAAGGCUUCACAAGCUACCAUCUCCAUUGAGUCCACGAUACACAGGAAGUUAGGAUUAUUUUGAACAUGGAGAUGCUUCAAUUGUGAAAAACCUUCUGUGUCCAAAUCAAAAAGAACAUUCUUGACACCUUGCAGCUUGUCCAACCAUAGGUAUUCAACGUUAUUGAUGCCCUGCAAUUUCAUGGAGAAAAUGUCCAUAAAAUCAAGCUUGAGCUUCAAUUCUCUUAAACUCUCACGAUUACUGUUGAUCAAAAAGUGCGGCCGGCUUUGAAACCAUUCUCUUGUAACACUCUUGGGAGGCAUGAAUGACUCAUUUCCAAUGGAUAUUUUGAACCUUUCGAGCUUUCUGGCCAAAAAGCCUUCCGGUAAAAUACUGUCAUUUUUAACAUCAAUUUCUAGAGUGGUUGGCCAAGGUAAAAGCAUCAAUUCAUCAAGGCUAGCAUUACUUCUUUCACUGUUGGCUCUUUCAACCUCCCAUUCAACGGAGCAAUUACCCAUAUACAAUUCUUCUAAUCGGAUUAAGCUCGAUAAGACAUUUGGGGCAAUAACUUUUAGAUGGAAACAGUCUCUUAAAUCUAACAGCCUUAGCUUAGUCAGUUGCCCUAGUGCUUUAGGUAACUGUACAAUAUCAGACCGCACAAAGCCAAGGAUUUCUAGAUUUUCCAACUUUCCAAUAAUGGCUGUGUCCAUGUCUCCCAAAUGCUUUGAUUAAGACAAAGUGUCCGAAGAUUUACUAGAAGAUCAAUUGAAGAUGGCAAUGACAAUAACCGCAUUCUAGUCAAAUCCAAAACCCGAAGCUUUUUCGUCCUUUUGAAGAAGUUCUCAGGAACAUUGGGCCCAACAAAAGAGUUCUUGGGUGACAUGAAUAAAAAUUCAAGUUGUGUAGAUUCCAACACUUCAGGAAUGUCAUUAAUAAUACUAUCUUUUAAACAAAUUGCAAAAUAUUUUUUUAGUGCAUCUGCAUCUGGCCAGUUCCACACAUCCUCAUUUCUCACCGCAAAUGCAAUUUUGUCACGACGUGCUAUUGAAAUGGCAACAUCGCGAACAACAUCAUGCAUGGAAAAGAAUUUACUGCCACCAUCCUCAAGCAACAAACAAGAGUCUCUUAGUUGAUGGACCCAUGCAUGUAAUUUGUUAUGUGCAUCUUCUAUCUUAUGGACACUUUCAAAUGCACCCAAGCCUAUGCUAUAUUUGAACAAGUCCAUAAUUGAAGUUGGUGUAAUUAGACUACACAGUAAAAAAGUUUUCUUUAGUUGCUCACCUCUUAAAUACUUGUAACUUAGCUCAAUUGUUGAGUAUGCCUCUACUGGUACUCCUUCAUCGAAGCUUGCCUCUGAAGGCGUUUGGAGUUCUUGCAAGGCGUUCUUCCACACAGGCAGCUCUUUGUUUCUCAGUGCCUUUGCUACUGUGGUUAGAGCAAUAGGCAAACCUCCACAUGCCUUGGCUACAUUUGUUGCUGUAGAUUUUAACUCACGAUUUUCAACAAAAUUACCAGCCAUUAUCUUGAACAACCUCCAAGCUUCAUGCUCAUUUAGAAUGCCAAUCAAGAAGUUAUUUUCAGAUCCCAUACUUAACAAGACAUUACGAUCCCUUGCUGUUAAUAAUAAUUUGCAUCCUCUAUGAUCAUCGUCAAAAGGAAUUCCAACAGUCUCUAAAUCAAGAUAUUUCCAGAUGUUAUCCAGAAUCACAAGGAUCAUCUUCUCUUUCUUCAAUCGUUCAUAAAGUCUACUAGCUCUUCUAGAUUCAGCCUCCUCGGACAACUCCAGACCUAGUUUCUCUGCAAUUUCCCCUUGAAUCUUUUUUAUGUCUGGAGUUUGGGAAACCUCUGAAAAAACCACCUGAUCAAAGAGUUUCUCUUCACUGGCUUGCGUUGCAAACUCCUUCACCAGUGUUGUCUUUCCAAUGCCGCCCAUGCCGUAUACCCCAACGAUGCUGACAUUGACAUCAGUCAAUGCAUCUUGUCUAGACUUCAGAGUAGAAAGUCUUGAUUUAAAGGCCUCGUAACCUUUGUUAGACUUUAGCCAUACCUCCUCCGCAAUGGUACGGUAGAAAAUUCUAUCAUCAAAUCUCCUAGCUUCUUCUUUGAGUUCAACAAGGGCCUUCACCUCUGUUUCUGCUUUCUUGCUAAGCUGAUAGCGGGUCUUGAAAUUAGGACACAAGCCCUUGAAACAUCGCUUACUUGUUGUCUCCCCAUCUUCAAUGAAUUUGGCUGCCUGCUCAAUGGUGUUGUUCGCACUAACCAGCCAGUUCUCAACCUUCUCUUCAAUCUUUUCUCCUUUUCUUUCAGCCUCAGAAACUCUGUGCUGAAUGCUCUUACUUUCAUCCUUGAGCUUGUCUAUUUCUGCCUUGAGAUUCUCAAAGUUGGCUUUAUAGUUACGCAAAUAACAAAGUUGGCGUUCUGUUGGAGGAGCGAAGCAUUUCACAACUUCUAACAGAACAGUAACAAUGCUUUCCACCAUCUUCGAUCCUCUUUUUUUCAAAGUUCCGAAAUGAAAAUAAACGACGAGCGAAACACAAAGAGAAAGAGAGGCAAAAAAAAAAAAAAAGAAAAACGAAAAAAAGAAAAUGAAACAACAAAGAUGACAAGUGUAUCUGGUUGUGGAAGCGGAGAAAUCAAAGAAAGCUUAAAAACUGUUGUGAAUCUGGUGAGAAGAUGGAAACAAGGAAAAGGUUUCUAGUUCAAAAGUGAUUGAAUUGAUAUAAGGAAUGAUUUAGAUAAUAGAGGAAAAGUGAAUCAGUCAAAAUAACUUAUGUAUUGACCAGAAGAAAGAUGCAAACAAUAUUAGAGACAACAACCGCGCUGUUGAUGCCCAAAUCUGAUCUAGUCUAUCAGCGACUUAAUGUCAGAUUUCUACACCAGUAUUAGAUUUAUUUGGUAGAGAAUCGAUUGGUCAAUCGUCAAGAUGUCCUGCAACCACUAGCGAUUAACCUAGGAAUACCUGAAAUCAUAGAAGAAGGUUAGAGGCGCCGGAAGUUUUUCCGGCGUGAACCCUCCGACACUCAAGUUAGUUUCUAGGCCUUUCGGAAAAACUUGUGCCACCACUCAUGUGGCUUAAUAAACAUUGCCUUAAAACCCAAGGCUUUUCGAGUAAUUUACAGAAAGUAAAGCAGAGUGUCAAAGAAAGAAUUUUCCAUGAGAGGAAGAGAGCCCAAAAAGCCCCCCUAGCUAACUCCCCACUCCCCUCUUUCCCCCCUUGUUCUCUCCCACUUUCGGAAGUUAAGGAUGAGAUAAAAGUAAUGCCCCCACUCUCCUUUUUUUCCUCCUUUUUCCGUUACCAAACACGCGCUAUUGACUGGUAAAAGAGAUGGAGAAAAAGAUAUAUCUUCACACGGUGGAAGUACAAAGGGUAGAUAUGGAACCAAACAGAGACAACAACAUGCCACAACUAGAUUGGGAAUGGAGAGAAACAAAUUAACAAAGACUGGAGAUUACAACAGAACAGAUGCCAAGAGAAAAGGGUUUCUUCAUCCAGUGAAAUUCAAGUGAGUUGACAGCAAAAGGGAGCAUAUGUGUUUCUUGAUUGAGAACGAGUGCAAAGGAUGACUUUUUAAUGAGGUUCUGAAGCUGACGGAUAACGAUUUGCUAAAAUUUUGAGAAAGUUAUAUAUUUCGUAACUUCAACAAGUGAAGAAUAAAAGAAUAAUAGUUCGUCAUCUUCACAAUGAAGAUCAUGGCCGAGAUUAAAAGCUAAAACUAGUCCAUUUGAAAAGCCAAAGUUCAAGUUCCUUGGCUAAGUUCAGAAGUGAAGCAAAGAAUAAAUAAAUAAAGAUCAAGGGAUGGGAAUAAAGUCACCCCCAGACAGUUGCAGAAAGAUUAUUAUUUGGUAAGCGUAGUUGAUUAUUAGUACAAAACAGAGUAGGUGAAACACAUCCUUUCUAUUUAGACUGAUCAGCAUCUAAAAUUUUAUGAAUUAUAAGUUGCAUUUUACUUUGUACAUUAUGUUAACACAUUUUAAUUUAGCCAAUUUUUCAAUAAAUGUUAUUGAUGUAUUAAAUUGCAACAACAAAACACAAUUAUUGGUUUUAAAGAAUGAAAAAAAAAAUACAAAAAUAGAAAAUGAAUUGAAUUCCACUCAUCGUCAUCUUGGCAAAUCAAGUCAAAAAAUAAAAAUCCAUAUGCUUUUGUUAAAGUUAAAAGCUACAUAAAUAAUAUCACAGAAGCUUCUGCUAAGGUUCAUGUGAAGUCACAGCUUUGAUACUUGUAAUACAAGGAGCACGGAGAAACCAUAAACUUCAGUUUAGGUAUAUACAUUGCUUGUCUUUCAAACUUGAAUUGAUAAGGGGGAAAAAAAUAAUACUAAAGCAAACAGAAGGAUCAUUUAGUUGACAAAAUUAUUAUUAUUUUUAAAUUCGGGUCAUUCAGUUACUUUCAUUUCAGUUUCACUACUGAUUCAAUUUAACCAGUUAACGUUGACAAAAAUAAAAUGCAAAUAUAAGGCUAAGGCUGCUAAUUUGAUGAACUAAUUAUCUCAGGAACCAAAGCAUCUAUAAGCAUGCAUGGGUGGCAACACCAUAAUUACUCAAGACUGGAGGAGUAAAAAGAUUGGAGAUGAUAAACAUUAAAUUUCAGGAAAAUCAUUCACAAAUAUGCUUUUAUAAAAGUUUUGCUGGUAAAGUUCGAGAAAUGCAUACAUGUCAAAUUUCCAUUUCUUGUGAGCAUUUCACCAAAUAGCUGAUAUGCAUUAAUAACUCCUAUCCUAUACUAUUGGCCAGUAGGUUGUUGCUGCUUCCCCAUUUUUAAUGAUGCGAACGUCUCAUACUUAGAAAUAAGGGCGGAGCCUGGAGAUUGAUUUAUAAGAUAAUCUUUUGAAUAAAAAUAAAAACAAUUACAGAUUUCAAAUGUGAGAAAAAUAAAAUUGCGUUAUAAAAUUAAUCCCACUAAGAAAGUCGUCUACGAAAUUGCCACAUUAAAAGAAAAUUUUUCCAUAAAUUAAAAUAAAAUUAAAUGAAAACUAUUUUUCAGUAAAGUCAAUUGCCCACGCUAGGCUAAGGCGUUUGUUUAUUUGUUUGUUUGUUUUUAUAAUCUGAAUAGGUAUAAAUUUUUCGUAAGCAUGAAUGAGCUGAGUACAAAUAUAUGAAUGAUAUAUUUAUUUUUCUUUUUCUUAAUACCCAAAUAUAAGUGACAUCUUAUUUAUCUUAAAUAUGGUUAUUUGAUAUUUAUAUUUUUACAAAUAAAAACAAAAAAAAGUAGUUAGAUUUUAUAGUUUAAGAAAUAAAUAUAUUUUAUAAAAAUAUUUUUAGAAUAUAUAUUUAAUUCUUAUUUAGACUUUUUCCUAUUCAAUAAAAGUCACAAAAGUUACUUUUUCUAUUCAAAUGUAAAUGCUUAAAAAUCAGAUAUAAGUCACAAAAAAAAUAAAUUUUAGAAAAAGUCAUAAAUUAAUAAAAUUUCAUAUAUUUAACUCCCAAUGCAGAUCCGCCCCUAUCAGUGUUAGGAAAUUGACUGGUGAAGUAGGUUCACAGCUAAAAUGAAAUUGGAAGAAAAUGAAGAACAAGCACAUAGAGGACACCAAAAAUUACAUGGUUCGACUUUUAGCCUACGUCUACGGGUAAAGACAAAAGGAUAAAACUUUACUGGUGAAAUGAGGAUUACUAGUAUUAUAAUAUUUUGUUUCACUUCCUAGAACCCCAAUCCACUCAAUCUCUUAAAACACUAAUCACUCAAGAGCAUUAAAACUCUUAGUCUCUCACUCUAGAAUUGAAGAAGAAAAGAAUGAAAUGCAGGGGUGAACCCCUCAUUUAUAGUUAAAAAUUUGGGCACUAUUUAUAUUUUUAUAUAUUUUUUUUAAAUUAAAAGUUUGAACUUGACAUUCAAACUUUGAAUAUCAAAAGGUAUUGGUCACUCUUCUAGAAAAGUGACAUUGACUUUGACAUUCUCCCACUUAGAAAUUUGAUUGAGAAUCAAUCAAUCUCCACACCAUCCUUUCUGCUUCGUCGCUAUCAUGUUGCUUAUGUCUCUACUAGGCCAUAAAAUGAUCUACUCCAAACAAAUUUAUCAGCAUUGAUAGGCUUGGGCAAAACAUUUGUUAAGUUCUCCUUGGUAUCCACUCUUGUAUCUUUCACUACUUCACGAAGAAGUGAUAUUGUACUCCUAUAUUCUUUGUCCUGAAAUAAAAGGUUGGAUUCCUUGCAUUCUAACUAUCACAAACCAUAAAAAUUUUUAUGCCCAAGCUCUUUCAGUAACCUUUGUAUCCAAAUAGCCCUUCCAAGCUUGUGUAGCUGCUAUGUAAUCUGCUUCUGUUGUUGAUAAAGCCACAAUGGUCUGCAAUUUUGAAAUCCAACUAACAAUUUCGCCUUCUGGUGUAAAUACUUAGCCAGUAGUGGGUUUCCUUUUAUUAAGAUUUUCUGCAAAAUCUGAAUGCACAAAGCCCUUGACAGUAAAUUCUAAUCCUUCGCAGCAUAAUGCAACAUCUGAUGUUCCUCUGAUAUUUCUCAGAAUCCUCUUAAUAGUCUUCCAAUGUUCUUUGCAAGGAUUCGCUAUGUAUCGACUAACUGCUCCCACUACUUGUACAAAUCAUAGCAAACCUUAAAUUUUCCACUGCUGAUGCAUACAGUACUCAAGACAUCUCUUCUUCUCUACUUCAUUACUAGAUGAAUACUUAAGAAUAACUUGAAAUUAAUAAGAAGCGGGGUAGAAAGCCAAAUCUUCUUGCUAUUACUAUCUCGGUGAAUUUGCAUCCCUAAAAUCUUGUUUGCUGGUUCUAAGUCUUUUAUUUCAAACUCCCUAGUUAACUGUGCCUUCAGUUCUUGGACUCGAUCUUUGUUGGGGCUUGCUACCAAUAUGUCAUCCACAUACCACAGUAGAAUGAUGAAAUCAUUAUUAUAAAACUUGUUGUAAUAUGUACAACAGUAUGAAAUGAUUCUAUUGUAUCCAAGGUUUAUGAUGAAAUGAUCAAUUCUCUUAUAUCAACAUCUCGGUGCAUGUUUGAGAUCGUAUAGAGAUUUGUUCAACUUGCAAACCAAGUGUCCCUUUUUAGUAAAACCUUCUAGUUAGAGCAUAUAAAUCUUUCCUUCAAGUUCUCCAUGAAGAAAUGAAAAUUUCACAUCUAACUGCUCCAAAUAUAGGUCAAAUGUAGCACACAUCGACAAGACCACUCUGACUGUCCUGGGUCAAAUCACUGGAGAAAAUAUCUCAUUGACGUUAAUACAUUCUUUCACCACCAAUCUUUCACGAUAUCGCUCCACUAGGUUAUUACCAUCACGUUUGAUCUUGUGAACCCAUUUGCAACCAAUGGUUUUUUUUUAUAUGGUAGUAGUACGAGUUCCUAUGUCAUAAUCUUGUGUAGAGCCUUAAUUUCUUCCUGCAUUGCUAUCAUUCACAAAGUAACAUCUGAGCUGUUUAAAAUUUCAUAGAAAGUUGAUGGCUUUCCAUUCUCUAUUAAAAGACAGUAUGCAAAAUUGAUAUCUGUGACAUAAUCCAAAUGCCACACAUACAUUUAUCUAUCACGAGUUGACCAACAAACUUUUGGGGCCUCAGACUUGAUUGGUUCUUGUUCUCAUACUUUGGUGCUGCUUCAAAAAAAUCUGAAUCUUCAUUUUCCAGAUUAUUUUCAACAUAUAUUAGCACAAUCUCUAAAUUUUAAUAGUGCUAUCAUCCAUAUCUCUCUUUUGCAUUUGAUCUUCUACAAAGACAAUAUCUCUGCUAAUAACGAUCUUGUGGGCAUUGAGGUCCCACAGAUAAUACCCUUUCACUCCAUCAAUAGAUUCUAAGAAGAUACAUCUCUUGGAUUUUGGAUCCAUCUUUAAUCUCACUUGGGUAUCGUAUAUCACGUAAAAGGACAUCAAAAUGCCUGAGAUGAGAGUAAUCAGUUGGCUUUCCUGUCCAUUUUUCCAUUGGAAUCUUCAACCCGAUUGCCUUGAAUGAUGACCCACUUACCACAUAAUAAGUAGUUUUUGCUACUUCCGCCUAGAAUGAGUUGGUAGACCAGCAGUUCUCAACAUAACUCUUAUUUUUUCUAUAAGAGUCAUGUUCUUUCACUCUACUACUCUAUUUUAUUGAGGAGUGUAUGCCACUGUAAAUUAUCUCUAGAUACUUUCUUACUUACAUAUGCAAGAAACAUGCUAUCUGUAUACUCUCCACCAUUGUCUGUCCUCAGGCACUUGAUCCCUUGCCCUGAUUUAAGUUCAAUCUACGCUUUGAAUUCUUUGAACAAUAGAAAUACAUUUGACCUUUUCUUGACUGGAUACACCAAAUAUCUCCUAGAAUAAUCAUCAAUAAAAGUCACCAAAUACUUUGCACCUCCCAUAGAUAUAUCAAUUGAUUCCCAAACAUUAGAAUGAAUCAAGUCUAAAAUACAUUUACUUUUGAAAGUGGAUCUGCUAAACUUUCAUCUAUGUUGCUUUCUUGUUUCGACAUGUGGCCAAGUUUAAGAUGCCACAUCAUCGCUGAAUUUUCUCUAUUUGAUGUGACACACACAAAAGUUUUCUGUAGUGUUUCCAUUUAAGCAUGAAUAGAUUAGCACCGAUCUUUUCCACCUUCAUUAAUGCAAGUGUGCCUUUGACUAUCUUUAUGAUCCCAUUUUCUACAUGAGUUUUGUGCACAAGGCUAUCUAUUUGUCCUAAAGACAAGAGAUAUUUUUCAAGUCUUUGACAUGUCUUACCUUCUCAAUUGUGCGAACCAUACCAUUAAACAUAUUUAUUUUGACAGUACCAAUAUCAAUGAUCUCAAAGGCAUGAUUAUCACCUAUGUAUACAGAUUCUCUUGAAAUAGGUUCAUAUUUGUGAAAUCAUUCUCUUGGAGAGAUCAUGUGCCAAACAACUAUUAAGUCUAUAAGCCAGACGUCAUAUAGUGGUUUUCUGCCUUUUGAAGCAGUUGUUGCCUUACUGUAGAGAAUUUUUCCAUUAUACGAGGUACUUACUACAUACCCUUGAGCAUUUGAUGACUCAGGAUCUUUACCCUCUCUUCUCUUCUAGUUGUUCCAAUACUCUUCCUUGACAUGCUCUUUCUUGCCACAGUUGUUGCAUUUAACAUUCUUCUUACUUCUUGAUUUCGAUCUACUGUGAUUGUGGCUCUCACUAGGGCCACGUUCCAUGGAUCUUCCUUUCAUCAUCAAUAGCGCUUCUACUUGCUGCGAACUUGUCUGUCUAUCUUUUUUAUUUUUUGCUACUCUCCUCAUUUAAUACGGAGGCUGCCAUAUUGUCAAAGACUAACUUGUUUGCUCGAUUGUUAUUAGUUAGAUUAAUGACGAAUUAAUCAUACGAAUCUGGUAAACCUUGAAGUAAAAGCUCUACAUGAUCAUUUUCCUCUAUUUUAUGACCCAACGUUGUAAGUUAUGAAAAUAAAGUCUUUAAAGUGUUGAUAUGGUCGAUCACUGAUGUAGAUUCCGUCAUUCGAAGAGUAUAAAGCCUCCUCUUUAAAAAGAUUUUAUUUUGUAGUGAUUUGACCUCGUAUAGUCUUGUGAGAGUAAACCAUAUUUCCUUUGCUCUCUUUUACUCUACCACAUUGAAUAAUACCUUAUUUGAAAGUGGUAUGUGUAGAUUUGCAAUGGCAUUAUUGUCUAUCUCAUUCCACUUGUCAUCAUCAGUUAUCUUUGUGAGCCUCUCUUCAAUUGUUGCCAAGCAAUUACUCUUCCUCAAUACAACUUUCAUCUUCAUUUUUCAUGACGAAAAAUUAUUUUUGUUGAACUUCUCAAUUUUGUAUUUUUCCGCCAUCAUUGUUCACCACGAGCUACCUUUGCUAAGAUCGAUUCCUACCAUUUCAUAUGAGCAGUAACUGUAUAUAUGAAUAAAGUGUUGUAUACAGAAACAAUAUCAUAUACAUGAACAGUACAAUAUAUGUAAACAGUAUCUUGACCCCAAAAAAUACAACCCGACUCUGAUACCACUAUUAGAAAAUUAAUUUGUGAAGUAGGGCCGCGACUAAAAUGAAAUUGGAAGAAAAUGAAGAGCAAGCACACUGAGGACACCAUAAAUUAUUUGGUUCGACUUUUAACUUAUGCCCAUAGGUAAGGACAAAAGGAUAAAACUUUACUAGUGAAAUGAGGAUUAUAAGUAUUUUAGUAUUUUGUUUCACUUCUCAAAACCUUAAUACACCCAAUCUCUCCAAACACUAGUCACUCAAGAGUAUAAAACUCUUAAUCUCUCAUUAUAGAACUAAAGAAGAAAAGAAUAGAAUGAAUGAAAUGAGGGGGUGAACCCCUCUAUUUAUAGCUAAAAAUUUGGGCACUUUUUAUAUUUAUUAUUAUUAUUAUUUCAAAAUUUAAAGUUUGAACUUGAUAUUCAAACUUUGAAUAUCAAAAGAUACGGGUUGUUCUUCUAGAAGAACGGCACCAACCUUGACUCUUAGGCAGACCUUUAGAGCUUUAAAUAAAGAAAAAGCUUUUAAAAAUGCCAUGUGUACUUGAUUAUACAAUAAUCUCCACCACAUAGAAUGAUUUGAUAAAAGAAAUUUUUUAUUUUUAAUUUUACUUUUAUCAGGCACGGUGCAUUUCCCCUUGGGCUCAUAUGUAAGGAUGUCAAUAAGAUGCGAAGGAGAGGGGAUUGAUUUCCCCAUACUCAUCUUUAAUACUCUGUCUAUCUCUUUGUACUCUAGACAUUUCCUUCAAAAUUACUUGAAACGAGGGGUUGGAUGUUUCUAAAUAAUACAAAGGGAUCUCUUAUGGCAUCCGAUCUCUGAUUAUUUAAUUUCUUUUUUUUCUUAAUUUAAUCAUCUUAAAGUAAAAAUAUAAAAUCAUAUUAACACAAAAAAUAUCAAAUUAACUAAAGUGAUUAAAAUCAUUUCCAUCAAAUUAAGUCAAUGUCAUCAAAUGAGAAGAUAAUCUUUGAACUAAUUAAGCAAAAGUAAAUCUUCAAAGUUGAACUCAUCCAUAAAUGUCAUAUAGUAUAAACCAUCAAUUAAAUUAUCUUUGUCAAUUUUAAAGUGUUUAUAUUUACUUUAUAUUGGCUGUUAUUUAUAUUAUUUUUAUAAAUGUAUUAUGAUAUUUUUUAUUUACAUCACACUAUUACAAUUGAAAUUUUAAAUGUAUUUACUAUAAAUUUGAAAAAAAAAAGAAUUAAAAAUAGAAACUAAAGAUGGAAAUAGAAAAAUGUGGAGCCAAAUAAAAUAUUAGGGCAAACACUAAAUUAUACACCCACACAUAUUAAUUUAUCAGAUUCUUGUCUCCACAUAGAAAAAUUAGAUCUAAAAUUAUCAAACUCCCGAAUGAGGAAGAUCCCUCGGGGCCAUCGUCCCUGUGGAAAUUUCUGCAUCCCUGCAGUCUACAACGCCUAAUAAUGAAUUGAACGGUUGAAAUCCCUCUAAAUUUUUGAUAAUUUCUAAUCGCCCCUCCAUAUUUGAUUGAACAUCAAAACUAUUGAGUCCAAAUUUAUAACUUUGAUUUAUCUUCCAUUCCAUAGUUUUCAAGUUCUCUCUCUCUCUCUCUUUUAAUCCUUUUUACUGCAACCACCAUCAAAGCCUAGUAGUUAAUAUGUAUGCUGCUUUGCUUUCAAAAUCGGACACUACUGGUAUUUAUGGUUUUUAUUCUUUAUUUGACACAAAAUUUGGCGAUAUCUCCGCGGAAAAACACUACUGGUGUAUUCAAUUUUAUCCGGUAAUGAUUAAAUUGAUUAUUACAUGAACCGUAACUUCGCCAAGCCCAAAAUACAUAUUAAGUUAUAAAGCGUGGCACUCAUUAUUUUUCGCAAAAAGUUUCGCCCAAAAUACAUAUAUUUUUUUAAUUUUUUCUGUGAAAAAAACUACUGUUAUAUUCAAUUUUAUCAUUAAAAACUACUGUUNNNNNNNNNNNNNNNNNNNNNNNNNNNNNNNNNNNNNNNNNNNNNNNNNNNNNNNNNNNNNNNNNNNNNNNNNNNNNNNNNNNNNNNNNNNNNNNNNNNNNNNNNNNNNNNNNNNNNNNNNNNNNNNNNNNNNNNNNNNNNNNNNNNNNNNNNNNNNNNNNNNNNNNNNNNNNNNNNNNNNNNNNNNNNNNNNNNNNNNNNNNNNNNNNNNNNNNNNNNNNNNNNNNNNNNNNNNNNNNNNNNNNNNNNNNNNNNNNNNNNNNNNNNNNNNNNNNNNNNNNNNNNNNNNNNNNNNNNNNNNNNNNNNNNNNNNNNNNNNNNNNNNNNNNNNNNNNNNNNNNNNNNNNNNNNNNNNNNNNNNNNNNNNNNNNNNNNNNNNNNNNNNNNNNNNNNNNNNNNNNNNNNNNNNNNNNNNNNNNNNNNNNNNNNNNNNNNNNNNNNNNNNNNNNNNNNNNNNNNNNNNNNNNNNNNNNNNNNNNNNNNNNNNNNNNNNNNNNNNNNNNNNNNNNNNNNNNNNNNNNNNNNNNNNNNNNNNNNNNNNNNNNNNNNNNNNNNNNNNNNNNNNNNNNNNNNNNNNNNNNNNNNNNNNNNNNNNNNNNNNNNNNNNNNNUCUAAGUUUUGAAAGAAAGGUUGAAAUAAACAGAGAAACAGGACAAACAGAAGAAGACUGAAUUAACAGAUCAACAAAGAUGGCAACUAACAAAUGGAAAAGUUCUCUUGUAAUCAAACUAUAGCAAACAGAUGACACCAUUACCAUAUAUCUUAAUGAGUAGAUUGAUUCUAAACAUAUAUGUUAGGAUACAUUUGGUUGUUUAAUAGUUUGAAAUAAGGAGGAUGAGAUGGUUUCCACAUAAAAGUGCUGGCCCUUUCAAUGACAUUUUCAAGGAAUUAUAAAAUUCAAAAUUAAAAAAAAAUAGCACAUUAUAAAGCCACACCGUCAAAUAAAUAAAUAAAUAAGUGAAGACCAAACUAAGUCACUAAGACCUUUAAUGAUAUAAAAUAAGCAUAUAAAUCUCAGAACAAAACAUUAAAACUCAUUCUAAAAGUAAAAAUAAACUAGUGGUGUAUUCCAAACAAUUUAGAUGAAGCGAUAAAACAAGCCAAGAAAUCAAAUAAAAUGAAAUGAAAUUGAAUUACCUGGGACUUUGUUUUUCAAAUUCACAACUCGAUUGUAAUUAAAGUAAAAUGCCAUUGCCAUUAGGACAUACACAUCAUUGAAUAAGAUGAGGACCCCUCCAACAGCUGAAAGUAAAAUUUUCAUUCAUUAGUUUCAAUUAAAAGUAAAGCACACAGAUUUGCAGGGAAGCAAGAGAUUUAAUAAAUUUAACAACAGCAAUUUAAUUUGACAGGACUUCCAUACAGUAAUGAAGCUAAAACUUAAUGAUUAACGAAUUUUUGUAAUUGAAUGAAUAAGAUUCUCUGAUUUUGGAUAAUUGAAUGAAUAUGAUUCUCUAACUCUUGUGAAAAUAUCAAUUUUAAAUAGGGUAGAGUUUCAAGAAUUAAGCACAUAUGUAUCCCAAGGCUGUUGAUCAUCUCUCUCUCCAUAGUAGAAGUUUACUCUCAGAGGCGCGUUUAAUUCUCCUUUAGUGAAAAUCUUCAUCUUGGGACAACCAAUUAUAGAUAAAUCUUCCAAAGAUGGGAAUUUGAAGGUGUAAUUGGCAGAGCAGAAACUUCUGAGACUAUCAGCAGAAACUUGUGAGACUAUCCAAAUCAUACAGAUACAAAAUCUUCAAUUUGGUGAAAACAAUCUCUUCUUCAAAAUUUGCUGCUCCAUCUUCUUCAUUUAUCACCACCUCUCUCAUUGCUCUGCAUCCAUAUACCAACAUUGAUAAGAGUCUCUGUAGAGUUUGGAGUGACAGAUUCGAUAAUGAUAAACUCCAAAUACUCGCCAAGAUCGCAAAUCAAACAACCAAGAUGCAAAAAGAAUCAAUCCAGAACAAAUCACAGAGACACUUAAGAACCUAAAAGAAUUAAAGAAUUAGCGGCAAAGACAAAAGAAUUAACGUGGUUCAGCUAGCUUUCACUAGCUUACAUCCACAGGAAAAACCAGGAUCAAGUUUAUUGAUUUUCAGAAGAUGAUUACAGAGAGUUUUAAGAGCUAAUAACAGAGUAUUUCUUGAAGCCUUCUCACGAAUCUUCUAAUCACUCAAUAGCUCUCACGCACAUGCCUCCUGUUGCACCAGAAGAAGCUGUUUAUAACAGCUUCUUCAACAAACCAAAAUGAACCCAGAAACUCACGUGAUUGGCAUGCGUUAUAACAGACUCAUAACGACCUUGAGCAGCUUCUUCGAGCACGUGUUUCUCUCGUGCUUUACUUAAAUUCCAGAGACAAAACAAAUUGCUCUUCAAAACGCAAUCAGCAAUUGUCGUAUUGUAGUUUACUUAAGCUGCAAAACGCAAGUCCAACUUGUCGUUUCAAAUAUCUUGAUUUGCUUCACAACACAACAGUCGCUCUAGACUUUUUGCUGUGGAGGAGGUUGCUAAGCUCAUCAAAUUCCUUGCAACGAAGAACUAGAAGUUCUUUUAGGUUCCCAAAAGAUACCGAUGAUGAUGGCCAUAGAUAUAACAGAUUUUGACAAUAAUGUACAUUUAGAAUUUCAAGGCAUUGAACAAAGGAGUCCAAUUUGGAGUCUUGUUUCCACAAUUGCUUCAGAUGAUUAAAUUUGUGCAGAUGUAAAUGUUUUAUCAUUGUAAACUUCCUCGCAUGUUUCUUCAAGUAUCCUCCAUUCGAAAAUACCUCUUCGCAUGAACAACGACGCCGUAUGAGAGUUUCCAGAUUAUGAAAUCUCUCAAGUAAAUCAAGUGGAAAACAAGUUGAGUCAUCAUCCAUUGUUUGUGGCAGUUUAAGACUGCCAAAAAGGUGUCGUGGGAAAUCGCUUUGCAAAGUCAUCCUCGGGUCUUUUCCACUUAAUGCCCGUUCCUCCAAGUUGGGUAAGCUCUGAUCAUUAUCAAUCACGCAAUAACUUAUUAAGUCAAUUCAUAUUCUCUCAAAUAACUUUUAAUGGCUAACACUAAGUUACGUUUAACGUAACAUACAUUCAGAUAACGAAAAUAUCUGUUAGCACCCCUAAACUUAAUGGAAACUACAUUAAUAGAGUUAAAAGAAAUACUUUUAAAUCUUAAAGAGGAAAUAAAAGAAAUUAAACAGGAAAUAGGAAAAAUAAAAAUAGAAAUGACUGUAAUACAAAUGAAUCAAAAGAAAAAUAAAAAAUUAGAAAGGUUUGAAAUAAUAAAAUCAAGAAUAAUUGGAACAAGUUUUAAGAAGCCCACACAAAAACCACAAGCAGGUAGUUAUGAUGCAUGGUUUAUGGACACCCAGUAUCCUAAAAUACUAAGAGCAUCACCAAAAAACUCUUCAAAUAAGAUUUUAUUACUUAUUUGAAGAGCUACAUCAACAUUUAAGGCUCCAAAAGACACUCCAAUUAAGAUUCUUGAAAUAAGAAAUGAUCAUCUCUCUUCAAAUUUGAAGAGUUACUUUCUCCCUCUUCAAUUUAUAUUUUAUUACUUUUUGUUGAAGAAAAAGAGAAAUGUGUUUUAAUUACUAUUGACUUUUCCUUUAAAAAAAUAGUUAUUUAUUUAAAAUAAUAUUAACUCAUUUCUAUUUGAAGAGUCUUUUGGAGAACAAUAUCUUUUUUCACUCAUCUAUUUGCCACAUAGGUAAGCAAAUGAAUAUUUGAAGAGUAAAAUUUAUAGAGCCUUUUGGAGAUGCUCUAAAAGAAACAGAAGAAUUAAGAGCAGAAUUAAAAAAUAAAGAAAAAGGAAAAGAAAAACUAGAAAUAAAAGAAACAACUCCUAGUGAUUCAGAUUAAUGGAAAACACAUUAGAAGAAUUAACUGAAAAAUUCAGUGAAAUAAACCUUAGUGAUUUAGAAGACUUUGAAAAAGAAUAUCAUAUAAAAAUGAAUACUUCUGGAGGACCAGAAUUGAAACCUGACAUAGGAGAACCAAGUCAUAGAUAUGCAACAAACAAAAAGAAAAAUAGACCAUUUUUUGAGUAUAUACCACCCGUUAAAAAUACUCCUUGGAAAAAAGAAUAUCAACCUAACAAUGAUAAUUUAACACCAAUAAGUAAUGCAGGAACAUUUUUAAAUCUAGACUGCAAAAUAAACCCCCAUAAGGUUUUAAUUGAAUGGGGAAUGCAAAUGUGAUUAUUUUUUCUAUAUAAUGGCUCUAAAGUCGAUUGGAAUGUAGAAACAGAAGAAGAAAAAAUAAAUUUAUUCGCUGACAUCCUCAUAGCCAGUUUUACAGGUAAUGUAUUUAACUGGUGGAAAGGAUUAAGUGAAGACACUCAAAGACUAAUAAAAGAUUCAACUAAAAUAGCUUUAGCCAGAAGUAGAGGAUUAGGAAUUGAAAGAAUAAUCGAAUAUAUUGCUAAUGAAUUCUUAGGAGAAAACUGGUUAGAAAAUACAGAAAGAGAAACAAAAAAUGAAAAAUUAGAGGCAAGGAUGAAAUUAAUAAACUUAACAAUUUGUAACAUGUGUUUCGUGAAAGAAUAUACCUGUGAAUUUAGUAAAUAUUAUUAUACACAAUUCUAUAGCCAAGAAGAUCAAAAUAUUUAUAAAAAUUUAUAUUAUUCCAAAUUACCAUAUCCCUGGAAUGGAUAUUUUAUAAAUGAGUAUGAGAAAAAUAGUACUGCUAAUAGAUCUCCAGACACAUUAGGAUCUAGAAUAAGGUUUUUGAAUACAAGAUUAAGUGAAAUAUGCAUUCAAAGAAAUUUAAUGAAAAAGAGUAAAAAUAUAGGAGAUACAUGUUGUGGAAAAACAGAAAUGCCAACCCAAUGGGGUUGUUAUACACCAUAUAAACGAAAAAGAAAGUUAUAUAAGAAAGAGAAAAAAUAUAAAAAAUACAAUAACUUUAAAAGAAAAUAUAGAAAACUGGAAAGAAAAUACUAUAAAAGAAAAUAUAAAAACCAAAAAAGAAAAUUAGAUAAAUCUAAAUGUAAAUGCUGGAAUUGUGGAGAAAUAGAACAUAUUAGCACAGAUUGUACAAAAAAGAAAGUAAGACUCUUAGAAGAAGAUUUUGAAAAUAUAAAAAAUGACUUAGAAGAAAUAAGUGAUAUAUCAGACUAUGAAGGAAAAGAAGUUUACAUGGUGAAAGAAUUAGAUGAUGAGUCAGAAUAAAGACGAAAUUAUAGAAAAUGAAAGAAUAGAAGAAAUAGAAGAAAUAGAAAAAGAAGAAAAUAAAAGUGGAUAUAGUCUUGUUGCCACUUUUAAUAAUGAAAAAUAUAAUAAACUUUUGAAAAUAAAUAUGGAAAAACCAGAAUAUGGAAUAAUACAUAAACUUAGAGAUAUGUUUAAAAGAAAAAGAAUAGUAUUACAUGAAUAUUAUGAACAAGAAAAAGUUGUUACAAUUACACAAGCUGAAGGAAAUAUCAGAUUCAGUUUAAUAAAUAAAAGAUCUAUAGAUUUAGCAUUAAGAAAGAUAAAAAAUGAAUCAACAAAAGAAAAAAUUCAAUAUGUAUAUCUAGCAGAAAUUCAAAUCUUAAUAAAAUCUCUUUUCAAAGAAGGCAUAGAUAGUCCCAUAGUAUUGUCACUACAUGAUCAAAGAUUUAAUGACCCUAGUACAGGACAUUUAGGAACAAUAGAAGGAAACUUAUGUUAUACUAAGUUAUUAUUCACAUGUCAUCCUAGAUAUUGUGUACAUAUAAAAGAUAAAAAUAUAGAUGAAACGCUAAGCUUACAUUUUAAACUACUAAAAAGAAACUUAAUGAAAGAAGGGAAUAGAAUAAUGACAAUACAUUAUUCUGCACUAUAUAGUUUUUGCAAUUCAAAUUACGGAGAAGUAUAUGGGAAUAAGCCUUACAUCGAAAUAAAUAAAGAAUGUGAAGAUAUAGCAACAUUCAUAGAACCAACAAUCCAGGAAUAUAAAAUUCCUAUAAACUAUGAGCUAAACAUAGAUGACAAAAAACAAUUUUUAGAUAUUGCUAACGAAAACUCCAUAAUCCCCAUAAGCUUUGCAGGAAGAACCUUAGUAAGAGGAGGUUCAUCUAGAAGGUUAAGUACUGAUAAACAAAUAACUAGAUCUAUAGUAACUAAUAACGUAAUAAAAAUAUUUGGACAAUAUUUUAAUGGAAUAGAUUAUACAACAAAAAUACCUAUAUUGGUAGAUACAGGUACAAGUCAUAAUUAUAUGAAUCACACAAAAAAUAAAGGACUCUUAAUAAAAGAAAAAGAAAUCCCGUAUCAAUAUACUGAUUUUAAUGGUAAUAAACAUAUUUGUAAACAAGAAGUUAAAGUCCCUAUAAUUAUAGAAGGAUUUAGAAUAAUAGUAUCUUGCUAUAUAGAUUCGUUCAUGACCACAGACCCAGAAAAACAUAUAGUACUAGGAAAUAGUUUUUUAAAUGAUUUAGAAUACUACAAAAUUGAAAAACAUAAAGUAACUCUACAAAUAGAAGGUAAAAAGAUAGUAUGUGAAACAUGUUAAAACAAGCUUAUAUAAAAUACCCUAUGUCCGUAUAUAUACAAAUAAACAUAACAGAAAAAGAUAUAGAUACAUGUGCCUUAAUAGACGGCAGUGAAAUAACGAUUAUGAAAUCCUUUCUAUCAAACCAAUGGAAACCAAACGAGAAAUUAAAAAUCAUUGGAAUAACAGGCGAUAAACAACAAGUAAACCAAUCUUUAAUAAACUUUGAAAUACUCUUAGGUAGUAAGAUAGUAUGUAUCAACCAAAUAUAUCAAUAUGAUGGUAUGGAUUGCGAUAUACUCCUAGGAAAUGACUUUAUACAAUAAUUCCAAUAUUAUCAACAAACUACCUAUAUGGUCACUUUAAAAACCCAUUGUAAUCAUAUUCUUCGCAUUCCUCGUGAAUUUAAACCUUAUCGAGUUCGGCCAGCCCAGCGUGGUGAUACAUUUAUUUAUGAAAAACAUUAUCUAAUACAAAAAUGACAGAGUUACAAUAUACAACUAGAAACAAUAAAAUCACAGCUUGAACAAGUCUAUAAAGAAAAUCCAUUAGCAUUAUGGAAACCAGAACAUCCUAGAGCAAAGAUAGAAUUAAUCGAAAAUAGAAUAAUAAGACUCAAACCUAUGAUGCACACAGAGGAAGAUAGAGAAGAAUUUAAAAUUCAAAUAAAAGAAUUAUUAAAUUUAAAGUUAAUUAGAACUAGCAACAGCCCACAUAAUAGCCCAGCCUUUAUGGUUAGGAAAAGAUCAGAACAGGUAAGAGGAAAAGCAAGAAUGGUAAUAAAUUAUAAAGAGUUAAAUAAAUACACAAAAUUUGACGGAUAUUUCCUCUCAAAUAAAGAAGUAUUAAUAAAUCUUGUAAAAAAUAAAACAUACUACUCAAAAUUUGAUUGUAAAUCAGGAUUUUGGCAAAUAAUAACAGGCGAUAAACAACAAGUAAACCAAUCUUUAAUAAACUUUGAAAUACUCUUAGGUAGUAAGAUAGUACGUAUCAACCAAAUAUAUCAAUAUGAUGGUAUGGAUUGCGAUAUACUCCUAGGAAAUGACUUUAUAUAAUAAUUCCAAUAUUAUCAACAAACUACCUAUAUGGUCACUUUAAAAACCCCUUGUAAUCAUAUUCUUCGCAUUCCUCGUGAAUUUAAACCUUAUCGAGUUCGGCCAGCCCAGCGUGGUGAUACAUUUAUUUAUGAAAAACAUUAUCUAAUACAAAAAGGACAGAGUUACAAUAUACAACUAGAAACAAUAAAAUCAUAGCUUGAACAAGUUUAUAAAGAAAAUCCAUUAGCAUUAUGGAAACCAGAACAUCCUAGAGCAAAGAUAGAAUUAAUCGAAAAUAGAAUAAUAAGACUCAAACCUAUGAUGCACACAGAGGAAGAUAGAGAAGAAUUUAAAAUUCAAAUAAAAGAAUUAUUAAAUUUAAAGUUAAUUAGAACUAGCAACAGCCCACAUAAUAGCCCAGCCUUUAUGGUUAGGAAAAGAUCAGAACAGGUAAGAGGAAAAGCAAGAAUGGUAAUAAAUUAUAAAGAGUUAAAUAAAUACACAAAAUUUGACGGGUAUUUCCUCCCAAAUAAAGAAGUAUUAAUAAAUCUUGUAAAAAAUAAAACAUACUACUCAAAAUUUGAUUGUAAAUCAGGAUUUUGGCAAAUAAAAAUGGAAGAAAACAGUAUCCCUUAUACAGCAUUUAGCACUCCACAAGGACAUUACGAAUGGAUAGUAAUGCCUUUUGGACUAAAAAAUGCCCCUCAAAUAUUUCAAAGUCGAAUGGAUAAAAUAUUUAGAGAUUAUAGCUAUAUCAUAGUCUAUGUUGAUGACAUAUUAAUAGCAUCAGAAACAUUAGAAGACCAUAGAACCCAUUUAAAAGAAUUCGUUAACGUAUGUAUUAGAGAAGGUAUAGUAUUAUCAGAAAGAAAAGCAGUCAUAGAACAUAAAAAAUAAAAUUUUUAGGAAUGAUUCUUGAUAAAAAAGGAAUAAGACUCCAAAGCCAUAUAGGAAAAAAGAUUACAGAAUUCCCAAAUAAAUUGGAAAAUAAACAACAAAUACAAAAAUUCUUAGGUUGUUUAAACUAUGCAGAAGGAUUCAUAAAAGACUUAGCAAAAAAGAGAAAUAUACUCCAGAAACUACUUAGAAAAAAUAAUACUAAAGGAUGGAACGAAGAACAUACGGAAACUGUAAUAAAUCUAAAAGAAGAAUGUAAAAACCUCCCAGCAUUAAGGUUACCAGAAGAAAAUGAUAAGUUAGUAAUACAAACUGAUGCAUCUGAUUUAUAUUGGGGAGCAAUACUUAAAACUGAUAUAAAUGAAAUUUGCUGAUAUACUAGUGGAACAUUUAAUCAAGCACAAGUUAAUUACCCAGUUCAUGAAAAAGAACUCCUUGCAAUAUAUAAAUGAAUAAAAAAGUUCUCGUUAUUUUUACUCCAGAAAUAAUUUAUUGUAGAAACAGAUAAUUCUCAGGUAAGUUCACUUAUUAGUAGAAUUUUGCCAAAUGAACCCCAAUACAGGCGACUGCAUAGAUGGCAAGCUUAUUUAUCUUAUUAUAAUUUCAAAAUCAUACAUAUAAAAGGAACUAACAAUUUUCUUGCAGAUUUCCUAAGCAGGAACAUAGAAUUCAGAGAAUGAAUGCAGAAGUAAAUAAAAUCAUUUCUGUAAUAAACACAGAAAUACAAAGGCUCAAAGCUGAAGCAUCAGACAUGCUUGAUGCCAUAAAUUACAUAAAAGAAGCCACAGAGGCUCAUGAGAAGGGAAUACAUUUGUUAGAGUCAUACAUAAACGACCUAACAAAAGGGCUUUCAAUAAACACUAGCCCAAUAGAGAUAGGAAGUAGUAGUGGACCACUCCCACAACAAGAACCAGUCUCUGACCCAUCAUCCAGCCGAACCAUAUCCAUAAGUGUUGAAUCACCUAAAGCAACUUCUUCAAAAAAGUUUAUCAAAAUAAACAACACUCCCUCAGAAGAAGAAGAAAAACCUUCUCCACUAAAUCCAAGAGAAGAAGAGUAUAAACAGUUCUCCACAUGGGUAUACUCUACAUGUACCCACAACAACACCAUUUUCAAAGCCCCUGGCAAAAAUAUAUAUCCCAGAAUGAUAGCCAUAAAAGGAGCAGAUCCUCUCCUUAUUGGAAAAAUAGCAAAAUACGGAUAUCUAGAUUUAAUAUAUCCAGAUACAGACCUAAGAGAAAUAGCCAGUUUAGAUGAGCUAUUAGUCAAAGAAGUCUCAAAAUUUGCCCAAAAAAGGCCCAUAUACUUAAAAUUUUACACUAUUAGCCCAGAAUACCACCAAAAUGUCGAAUACCAAGCAUUUUACAUGAUCUCUGUAGGCCACCUCACAAAAAAUUUUCAGAUAGAAGUAGGAACUGAAUAUACAAAUGUUCCUCAAAUAACCAAAGCAUGGAUCAGAACCCGUAGAGCCCGAGGAAUAAAAGCAAUAUGGAGUAUUGCAAAAGACCUUUAUAAAAGAAACUUUAGAACAAUCAUCCGAUUCCAAAAUUAUAUCCUCGUAACUUCUGAAGAUAGCCAUACACCAUCAAAUAUCUUCUUGGAACUCAUGAACGAAAUCAGCACCAUGAGAUUCCCCAGCAGUAGUGAGACCAUGCAGCAAGCUUAUCAGCUUAUGGAGAUGAAGAUGCCCGACAAAUAAAGUUGUUCGUGGCAGACAAAGAAGAUAUGUGGCAGACAAGAAGAUAAAAAGAAGAUAAAAAAGUUGUACGUGGCAGACAAGAAGAUGCUCGUGAUAAAAAACAGAGAAAAAGAAGAUGCUCGUAAAAAGCAAGAAGACAAGAAGACAAGAAUUCAAGAACCUCUUGUAAUGAUAGAGUGAUGAUGUAAGCAGUGUGAUCAGAAAGCAAUAAUGUAAAUCAAUAAUGGGAUCAUCUUUUCUAAUAUAAAUAGAAAGAGAAGGAGAAAGCAGAAAAAGCUUUCGAAGACAUUCGAUAACUCUCGAUCCAAAAAAUUCUCUGAAAAAGAAUGAAGCUCUAAACACUCUCUUGCUCGAAAUCCAAAAUCAGUACAUCAUAAACCAAAAACAAAAACCAUUAGAGAAAGAGACGAGAAACCUAACUUCACUCAAUACCUCUUUAACAAGAAGAUCGAAAUCUAUACAGUAAAGCCAUCUGAGUCCACAGAUCCCGCUGAGGCAGGAGGCCGUUAAGGGAACAGGACAACCAGGCUGCAGGUCACUGGAAGGAGAUCAGAAAUCAAAGAAGUAACAGUGAGCUAGGUAAUAAUACUCAACUCUUAUCUCUUGGUGGUGGUUGUUGAUGGUGGUUGAUGGAAUGAUUUUUGGAGAAAGAGCAGAUUCUUAAACUGAAGCAGAUCUGUAAUUAAUUUUAUGACAUGAAUCACAGAAUUUACUUAGGAGAAUCUAAAGAAUACAUGAUAAACCCAACUACUAAAAUAACUUAUAAUGAGUACAUGAUGAUAAUAGACUUCGAUUUAGGUUCAUUUAAACAAAGUUCUUAUCUAUUCAGUAAACAAGAACUUGUUAGAACAGAAGACCUAUUAGCCAUAGACCUUCUUAAGUUACCCCAAGAAAUAAAAAGAAAAAUUAUAAAUAACAUUGAAACAGAUAACCUAAAACAUAAUAUAAUUAUGUUGACAAUAGAAGAAGGAAUAGAUGUAGCAAAAGCCUAUUUAGAGCAAAAAACUUAUGAAUCUGGACCUUCAUAUAUCUAUGAUUCAGAUAACGAAGAAUUUGAAAUAUAACUGUGAAAGGUAUAUAGGCUGGGAACCUCUUCGGGUUGCGGACUACUAGUCCAAAGGGCGACCUGGAUCGCUGUACCUAGAGGUAAAACAACGCCACGUACUUUUCUAAUAAAAAUUUAGGACAGAUAAAGAUAGAUAAACAUCAAUUUGAUAAUUAUAAUCAAUAAUAAUCCUGAAUGGUUGAUUUUGUUUUACUGCUCUUGUAAUUUUAUUUUGAAUAUAUUUGUCUAGUCUUGUCAUAUUUUUAUAAUUCUGUUUGUACUUUUGUAUUUGUAAUUUUGUAAUUUUAUUUGUAUUUUUGUAAUUUGUAUUUUUGUUUGAAUUUGUAAUUUCGUAUUUUUGUUUUAAAUACACACCUGAAAAUGGUAUCAGAGCCAGCAGAAUCAUAAGACAUGGACCCUAUACAAGCAAUAGUAGAUAGCUUAUAUACAUUAAAGGUAUAUAAUAAAGAAGAAAUAAAAAAUUUAAUAAAGGCCAUCAAAACUGACAAAAAUAAUAUAAGAAAUAUAGAACUUGAGUUAACUCAGGAGCUUAGAGAAAGAUUUAUAGAAACAACAGGAGGAGAAAUUUUAAUAGAAAAGAAAAUGAAAUUUAUAGAUAAAUUUAUAAAGUUUUUAAUAUAUUGGUGUAAAACAGAAACAUUAUGAAUCAACAGGCUGUUAAUGUAAUACAGGGAUUGGCAAGCUGCAUAGAUCACCUACUCUUAGGAUGGGAAAAUACAGUAAAUGCAUAUAUAAAUCUAAUAAACCAAAAAAUAGAUUUAUUAGAACAAGAAAGGAUAGGACUGGUAAAUUUAGGACCAGAGGUCUAUUAUGAAUUUGUAGAUUUAUAUGAAUUUGAUAACCAUAUAUUGCUGUUUAAAGAAAUAAAAUAAAGUUCUCGAAAGAUUAAAAAAUAGAUGUGCAGGGAUGGAAGAAGACAAAUACAUCCAGGAUUAUAAAAAUUGGAAAUAGAAAGAAUUAUAAGAAUCCUUAUGAAAUUAACCAGGAGAAUAAGACAAAAUUAUAAGAUACAAUCAACGUAAGUUAGAGGCCCCCACUUUUAAUAAUCCAAUCAUAUACAGUGACUUUAAUAUAAAUGCAUAAUAUUUUACCAAAAAAAAGGGAAAAAAUCGAAUUAGAGGUAAAAGUUAUUCUACGAUUUUAUUUUUUGUAUAUAUCUUGCAUGCUAUUCCCAAAAGCAAUCAUAAACGGCCCUUAAAACAAUUUUACAAAAGCGGCUGUUACUUAUAUCACCAACUUUGUUAGGGAUGACAAUGGGGAGGGGAGAGGAGGAGACCAAUCUUGUAGUAUCUAUCCCUGAUAUUUUGCGUAUAUUCUCGUUCUCUCUCCAUCCCCGACAAAAUUACUUUAGGGAAUCACCUCCUCUCCCUGAAUAAUAAUAUGGGAUCUCCGUGGGUCAUUGAUCCCUGAAUAACUGAUAUGUUUUUAGUUUUUUAUUUUAAUUUAAUCAUAUUAAAAUAAAAAUUUAAAUAAAAAUAAAGUUUGAUGAUAUAUCUCACAUUAGCAUUAAUCCAUUACAAAAGUCACAUUACAAAGUAUAAAUCACCACAAUAAUUAUCUUCGUCAAUUUUCAAAAUCCUACAAUAAAAAAAAAAGAAAUUACUUUUAUAUCAACAAUGAAAUAAAUAAAAUAAAUAUAAAUAAAUACUUAAUCAAUAUUUCUAAUAAAAGUAUUUACCUCUUGCGUCUCUUGCUCCUCUUGUUCUUCCUCGAUGAAUGUGGCAAAUUGAAAGAUAGCCUCAGAUUUCAAAUUUAAAACAAUAAAAAUAAUAGAAGUAAUGUAACUUAUAAGCGAAAAUAUUAAUUAUUAUAUAAUAUAAUUACAAUGUAAAAUAAACUCAUACUGCCAUUUUAAGCUUGUAGCUUAUUUUGACAACACAUUAAAUCCUCCAAUGUGCUUGAAUGAAGCGUGUUACGAUACUCUACUAAUGGUGUUAAAAGUUGAUUCAGAAGCAACAGUUGUAAUUGGAAUUGUCAAAAUAUCUCUAGCAAUUCGUGCCAAUAUAUGAUACCUAUGGACAUUUGUUUUUAACCAACUCAAAAUAUUAAAAUCUUUCAUCUGUAGCAUAACUUUCUCAUCCAAAUAUUAAUGCAGUCAAUUAGGCCUAAAAGUUUAAUAAUAUAAUUAUUUUGAUAUUUUUUAUUUAUACUAAUAUUUAAUAUUUUAUAAUUUACAUUUUAUUAUUUAUUUACAAAUAAUUUAUAAAAUUAAAAUUAAAAUUAAAAUCAAUAAAUUAGGAGGGGAUGAGGAUUCUACUGUAUCCUCAUCCCUUUCUCGAAUAAGAAAUUGGGUAAAAAAUUAUUCUCGUCCCUUCCUUGAAUAAGAAAUUGGAUAAAAAAUUAUCUCUUUACCCUCUCCGAAUGGAGAAAAAUUCCGAGAAUCCCUAUCCCUGCGGGGAUUUCUGCCACCCCUAAACUUUGCAACAGCCAGUUGCUUUUGUGACCAUUUAUGUGACGGAUAGACUGCUCUCACUUAUGUUACUAAUAAGCUUGGCAAAAUCAGGGUCCGGUCCGGGCUUCUAAGCCCGCAUGUGAUAACUUUAAUUUUUUUCUUCAAUUUUUUCUUUCAUUUCUCUAACAAUGCAAAUUUUAAAAAAGAAAAUAGUCAAAUAAAUUCAUUCAAUCUCAAGCUUUAGAAAAGAAAAUAGUCAAAUAUAAAUAUAUAACAUACUAACAAUGCAAAUUUUACACAAAUAAUAAAUAAAAAUUGUUUCAAUCUACUUUAUAAUACCUAAAUUCAUCUAAUUUCUAACCUAAACUCAUUCAAUCUAUAUAAAAAUAAAAUAAAUUCAACAACACAAUAGUCACACAAUAAAUCUAAAUAACAUCCAACAUAUCAUAAAAUUCAUAAUUAUAUAUUUAUAUAUAAUAUAUUUAUAUAUUUUUUUUAAUUUAUUAAGAAAUCGGGUCUGAGUCUAGCUUCCUGGUUUUUGGUGUUGAGAAUUUCAAAUCCGGGUCUGGUUUUUUGUGUAUGCGGUCCGGGUUUUACCCGACUGGAUUGCCUGGGUUCGGUUCGGACGAGCUUUUUUGACGCCCUUACUAACGGGCUUUUUUGACGCCCUUACUAACCACGUGACGGUAGAGAGCCAAUUGGCAUGCUAUUAGUUUAGAGUUAUAAAUUGGAAAAUGAGACUCUUAGAGCAUCACCAAAAGGCUCUUCAAAUAAGAUUUUAUUACUUAUUUGAAGGGCCACAUUAAUAUUUAAAGCUCCAAAAGACACUUCAAUUAAAAUUCUUCAAAUAAGAAUUGAUUCUCUCUCUUCAAAUUUGGAGAGUUAAUUUCUCCCUCUUCAAUUUGUAUUUUAUUACUUUUUAUUGAAGAAAAAGAGAGAAAUACUUUAAUUGUUAUUGACUUUUCCUUUAAAAAAAUAAUUAUUUGAUUAAAAUAAUAUUAAUUUAUUUUCAUUUGAAGAGUUUUUUGGAGAAUAUUAUAUUUUUUUACCCUUCUAUUUACCACAUAAGUAAGUAAAUAGAUAUUUAAAGAGUAAAAUUUAGAGAGACUUUCGGAGAUGCUCUUACAACAUUAAGCACAACACAUAGCACCGAACGGUGCGUUUAAAGGCAACUAUAAAAGGUCACAGUAAUCGACAAUUGCAACACACACGUUCUCAACUACAGCACACGCUCUCUCCCUCACAUUCUUCCUCACGCUCUCUCUGUUCUCCCUCACAACACACGGCUCUCUCUCUCCCCCCUCCAAAUCCAACAGCCGUGGGUUACUCUCGCUCUUCGCCCUCCAAAUCCAAGACCUAUGGAUGCAUAAUAGAGUAAAUAGCAAUUCCCAUCCACUCUAGUAACAGAAAAUGACAGCUUCUGUGAUUGUGGUGAAAAGUUUCCCCUAGUAAUGCUAAGUACAGCGAGGAAACCAGCAAGGAAACCAUCAAUUCUGUACACAUAUAGAUGCCAAAAACAAGCAGUGAAUUGCAUCAGAUAUUAGUGAAGAAUAAUUACCAGCCGUAAACUCAGCUCCUUCGGUUGCUAGUGUACAAUAGAGCAAUAGGUUGUGUUUGGGGAUGUUAGAUGUCGAAAUAAUUGAGGCAAAAUUCUUUUAUGCAAUAGUUGGCUUGUGUCGACUUUUGAAAGGAAACUUAUUUUUGUGCUGUCAAUGUUACUUAUUUGUUAGUUUAUUUCUUAGGUUUUGUUGUUCGGGAUAUUAUGUAUUGGAUUUCAUUUCCUUUUGCCUCUGGUAUGGCCCCUAAUAGAACUUGACGUAAUUCUUUUUGGGAUAUGUUUUUCUGAACUAGAGAUGACAUCACUAGCAUCUGGUCUUUCUCUUUGAGACAGCCGAGAGAGUGAGGUGCCGUGAGAGAUGCAAUCGAUGGGGGGUGGAGAGAGGUAGCCGACAGUGAGAAUGGUAAGGAAGAACGGAGCGUAGUGAGAUUAGUGGAUUGGUGAGGAAGAGCGUGAGGGAGAGAAUGAGAGAGCAUGUGUUGUGGUUGAGAAUGUUGCAAUUGAGAAUUUACUGUGACCUUUUAUGCUUGCCUCAAAACUCACCGUUUUGUGCUAACUGUUGUACUCAAUGUUGUAAGAAUAUCGGAACUGUUAUAAAUUUGUUUCUAAAUAGAAAACUCUUUUGUGGAGUCAAUAUUUUGAAAACCAAAGUCUCGAGUUCUUUCUCGUGCGUGCCUGGCCAGCAUCCUAAACCUUACUGGUAGCCGGAGAAUGGCGUAAAACGGCGGCGAUCUUCUUCUUCAUCUUAUUCUCUCUGUCAUCGUUUCAGGUAACCUUGUGAUUAUGAGUUUCUUCUCUUUCUUAGCUUGCAAAAAUAGGUUUUGAUUUCUUUAAUUCGUAUUGUAGCCAUUAAUAUCAAAUUUUGUCCUGCCGGCAAUAUUUUUUUGUUCCUAGAGGUUGAAGCCCUUCUGUUCUUGUUCCAUUGGUGACUUUGCUCACUCAAAUUAAUUUUGUUCUGCAGAAUUUACAAAGUUCAAAUGGAUUCGUUUGGAUUACUAUUGAAUUUAGCUUUCAUUUCAACAUUCAUUCUAAUGUUUUACAAUUAUGUAUUUAGAUUUACUUUAAUUUUAUGUUUAAAGCUUCUGCAAUGAAUAGCUGAGCUUGGGUCUUAGUUUCAUUUUCUAAUUAACUUGUUUUAGUUUAUCUUAUAUGCUCACCAAGUGCUUGUUAUAUUGUCUGAUAGGUUAUAUAACAUAGCUGAUUAUAUAAUAAUAAUGUCAUGUUCCAUUUUCAGAAAUUAUAAUAUAAAAGUUUUUACAAUGGGGUGCAUCUACAAACUGAAUUGACUUGUAGAGUAAGAGCUUGGAGUAGUGUGCAUUCUUGAAUAAAUGAAAGUUCAUAUUGUGUAAGAGCAUGUAGAUGUAAAGCAUCAUUACCAUUUCUACCAAGUGCUUUCAUUCUGUUCAGAUGCUCCUCUUGAACUUUGGAAGGUGCCUCAUUCAAGUCCUAGCUAUAACUAAUUGCUCUGAUUAAUUAAGUUCAUAUGCUAGCUGAAACAGAUUUAAUUAAUUAAUUAAUUAAUUGUGUAUGUACUAAUUAUAUUGAAAGUAUAUGAAGAAAUUGUUUAACAUGAAUGACUUCUAAAUGACUUAAAAGCCUAGAGGAUAUGUGAAAUAAUGCUCAUUUCACUUGAACGAGCCUAUUAAUACUUGUAUGUCUAUGAUUGUCAAUAUUGCUUAAGUGUUUCAGUUAAGUGGUUUACCUAGCAGGGAAAAAAAUUUAAUGGAAAACCUUAGAGUUUUAAUAGAAAUAUAGUUGACUAUGCAGAUAUAGUUAUUUUACGGUAUAUAAAUCAUGUUGUCCUAUUCUCAAUGUCCUACAACCUAUUUUAUUUUAUAUAGUCAUUCAUUUUACGAUGGUUUUUUGUGUUUAUGAGUAUGGAAAUAGUGGGAUUUGGUGUACCUUAGCAUCUUUCGAAAAUUCUCUUUAAAUGCGGCAAACAGAAAUAUACAUAUAAUCAAGUUUCUUAAUCAUGUAUAUUAGGUUUGGGUGUGAAUGUUUUCCUAUUCUAGUUCUAGGCAAAGUUUCUUCAUUUUGGUCUUCAGAUUUCCAGUAGGUUAAGCUAAUCAACUAUCAUAACUGGCUAGCUAGUUAUUGCCUGCCUUGUCGCCAUUACCGACGCCAUUACAUUGCAUGGCAUAGGGAAUAGUAACUAUGUGAUUAUUGGUGAUUUGUUGAGCUUAUUAUUGACCAAACAAACAUAUUCGCCUUUACCCACAACUUGGUUUGAUUAGUUACUGGACAAUAAAGAGCCUUAAUCUAUGCAUUGGCUUUCUUAUUUUUAUUUGGUUUUUCUUUCAACAAUAUUGUUGAUUUCUUAUAUCAUUGGCUAUUUAAUGAAGCUAAUUAAAACUAAGGCUUCGGAUCACUUUCUUCUAACAACAAACAAAUGAGGAUAACCUAUCUCCUCUAAGCAAAUUUUUCUAAUAUCCUUGAUUUGUUAGGACCUGGAGGCCUGAAAUCCUCUAGAUUUUUUUAGCACUGCCAAUGUUCCUUUUAUUCUGAAAAGGAAAAAAAGGUUAUAUCGUUUAUACCCUAACAGUAAAAUGGCCUUUGACUUAACAUGCCUUCCUGAGGAUUUGCAAGAUUCACAAGCAGCCUAGCCACCCCCCAACGCAAAAAAAAUAAAAAAAAUAAAAAACUAAUAAAAAUAAAAAAUAAAACAACCCAAAUAGGAAGACUUUGCAACAUUCACAACGUGGUUACAUUUAAGUUAUUAAUUGUGUGUGUGUGUACUAGUUAUAUGUUGAUAGUAUAGGAAGAAGUAUUUUAACAUGGAUGACUUAAAACUUAUUGCUCAGUAAACAUAGUCUGCAUCAGUGCUAGAAAAUGUAUUUAUUGUUUGUAUUUUUUAUGGUUUUGAUUAAGAAAUGAAAUGUGAAAAAAUGCUACAUUGUAUUAGGAAUAAAUUGAAGAGAUUUAUGAUAUUUAUGUGUUAUUCAAGUUUCAGAUUCAAUUUUAAACUUUUGAUACAUGCAUUGAAAGCUUAAACUCCUUUAAGAAGUUAUUGAUAGACACAUGUUUUAUUAGUGUCAUCUUUGGAUGAUAGUGAGGAUCUUAUGUCUAUUAAUAAUUCUUGAAUUAUCCAGGCUCGGACAUUUUGGUAAUGCAUAGUUUUCUAUGGUAGCUAGUACCUGAAAUUUUUUUCCCACUAAAAAUGGGCUUUUCAGUAGCUGCUCCUCAUAUUCUGGGUGCAUACUAGACGAAUGGGUGUCGUUUUGUUUUGGGAUAACACAUAAACACUCAUAUAUCUAUGUCAUGUACUUGAAGAACUAUAGGGAGAUGCUUCCGAAAUUUCUAUAAACGUAGAGGAAAACUUUAGAUACUUAAGAUUGAAGAAACUUAUGCAUUCUUGAGUGGGAUAUAGAGGACCACUUACCUUUUGUAAUAUGAAGGGAAUGUUGGAUAUAUUGAUGGGAGUGGAGGAGCUGAGUGGGAUGAAUGUAAUCGGUUAUGAUUUUGCUGAGUUGACUUGGUUUUGAGUCUUGUAAUUUUGUUUAUAAAUGGAGUACUAUCUCCAAUGUUGGUUUAUAAAUAUUGUUUCAGCUGGCUGACCUAAUUUUUUAUUUCUAGGUAACAGGCUUUAUAUAUUCGUAAUUGAUAGCCAAGUGAAGUUCUCAGCAGUGGGUGAGGAUAUUUCUUUACAGAAGGUAUUGGAAACUGUUUUUCACAUUAAUUAGUAUUGUAUACAUACUUUAAUUUCACAUCUUUUUCUCUGAUUCUUGUGGCUUUGCUUGCUUUCAUAUAUAUAAACAUUCUAAUGAGAUUAACAUAAAAUUGUAUAAUGAUUUUUUUUAAUUAUAAAUUGCGCGCACACGAAAAUAUCUUGUUUAGUAGUAGAAAUGAAGAACUAAAAUGAUUUAUUUAACUAAUUUUUCUAGUGCAUUAAAAGGAGAUAGUCAUGGACAAGAGUUGGGUUGGUUUGCCAAAUAGAUAUCCAAGUCAUAUACUGAUGGGGUUGAAAAAUUUAUAGAUUUUGCAUUUGAGAAUGUUGUUGGUGAUAAAAGAAUUUAUUGUCCUUGUAAGAAGUGUCGUAAUAUCGAUAUUUCAUUAUAAGGGAAGUGGCAAGAGACCAUAUCAUUACAAAUGGCUUUUGGUUAAAGUAUUGAAACUGGAUAUUGCAGGGUGAGCCAUCUUCAUCUUUGAAAUCUAACUAAGAAACAGGUUAGUCAUGACUCGGGUGCUGAUGAUAGUAUGGUUGGAGUGAUACACGAUGCAUCACAUAAUCAAGUGUUCAAGUUACACACAGCAUUGUUAUGUUAUGGACUAUCAGUGACUUUCUAACAUAUGCCAACUUGUUUGGGUAGAGUAUUAAAGGUAAAUAAGCAUUUCUUGUUUGCCAACAAAACACUAGAUCUAAUUGGUUGAUACAUAAUAGAAAAUUUUGUUACUGGGUUACGGUCGAUUCUUACCAACGAAUCAUAGGUUUCGAAAAUAUAGUGUCUUUUGAUAAAACUAGGGGGUAGGGAUAAGCGCCUUCUCGGUUGUCUUGAACUGACGUGAAAAAGCAGGUGAAUAAUAUAUUUACUAAGUAUAAGAUUGAAGACUUGAAAAGAGGAGAAUGAAUAAAAUGAAAGAAAUGAUAAGAUUACUUGGAAGAAGAAAAGCAUUUUUUAUGAACUAACGUAUUGGGAGUUCAACUUGAUUCAUCAUAAUCUUGAUGUCAUGCAUAUGAUCUACUUUCUUUCAUUUUCUCACCUCCCAAACAUCCAUUAUACAAUAAAGUUUUUUUAGAUUUUAUUGUUUCAUAGAAUUAUAUUUUGCAUAUGAUGAAAUAACUUAACAUUUUAGUAUUCAUUUGCAUAUAAUAAUUAUAAGUAAGAAAAAAUAUUUGUUUACAAUCACUACUAGUUUUAUUGUCGUGAUUACAAAUAAAUUGCUCAAAUUUUCUGCUUCAGCUAUCAAACCUUUUAGCUGCUUCCAGACAUGAAGAAAUUAAACCCAUAAUUUCUAGGUACAAUUGCAUUCGUAUAUGCCAUGAUACAUAUGAUAUGAUUAGAACCAAAAGGAGAAAUAAAUUUUUGGGACUUAUUGUGAUGGUGAUUAAUCUUUUUCUACCUUAACUUUGAUAAGGUUAUAAUUAAAUUUUAUAUGAUUAAAGUGGUCAAUGGUUAAAUAAAUAAAUAAAUAAAACAGAUGAGGAUGGACUAAUGAAAUGACCCACCCCGAACUCCACAAGGUGAGUCUAUGUAAUAUCGUCUUACUUGACUGAUAAUAAUCUAAUUAGUAAGGAUUUUGCCGAAAAUUUGAUAGAGUCUCCACUUUGAAUAUAACAUUUCCAACCUGCAAAUGUGUAAAACAAGCACUCUCAAAUAAAUCAGUAUACAACCAACUUCAUUGAUCAACCUCCUCAACUAUAUUACUGAAUAUUACCCAAAAUAUCUACAAAGUAUCAAAAGAUUAUAUUAUACCUACUGUUGACAUAUAUUAAACUAUUUUUAAUCACAAAAAAUAUUAAAAAAUUAUAUAAUCCAAAAAAUAAGAAAUCAAAAUGCCCUGACAAUAUAAUCUAUAUCUCCUAGUACCAUCACAUGGCCAAAUUUCAAAAUACUAUAGUUGCUAAGUCAACUGGUGUCUUGCAACCUCCUGAGGGGUGGGAGCGAAUUAUAACAAAACGGGUGAGUAUAAAACUCAGUGAGCUCGGUGAGUGGAUAAUAGUUUUUGAAAAUAACUUACCAUAAAUAAUUAUACCACUUUUAUAUAUGAUUUUAUCAAACUAUAUGUAAGAAACAUGAAUAAAUUAUUUAACCUUUGAAUCAAGUAAUUGACAUUGAAAAGAAUACAUUAAGAGGUGCAUAAUAAUCAUGGAAAUUGUAUCACAAUAUAAAAUACAUGAUUAUGAAAUUAUCACAAAACAAGUACCUAAGGGAAUAAUCUUGUCGUACCUAGAGCUCAUACGGGCAAUGCAAUGACAUAUUCUCUAGGUACUGUCAUCCUCGGAGCUAGCACCGGUAGAUCAAUGAAGUGUCAUCUUAUAUAUCUUAUCAUAUCUUUGCAUGCAUAAACUAGUCCCCAAAAGACAAAGGUGUCCAAGCACAUAAUCCAAGGCCUCUAUGAGCCCCAAAGGCCCCUAUUUCAUUUGUAUCUUAGUAACUGAAUCUUUGUUAUCAUCAUAUUUCAUGCAUAAGCGCCCAAAAGGCAAAAGUGCCUAAAUAGACGGCCCAAAGCCUCCCUGUGUGUUCAGACGGGCCCCAAAGUCCUCUCAUCUCAUCUGUAUAAUUGUAAUUGGAGGGGAAGGGCAUUGUUCAACGAGUUUGAGAACAAACUUAUAUAUAUACACACAUAAACAUUUUAAUCAUACUUUAAACUCUUAUUUCCUUUUCAUUACAUACUUUAAAUUUGAUUUUCUUUUCUUUAUAUUACUCUCAUGUAUAUACUCAAAAUCGAUAAUAAAACCAAUAAUCAUACUUUUUAAUAAUAAAUAUCAAUACUUAAAUAAAACCUAUUUCUAGAAAAUCAUUAGAUCGGAGCAUUAAACACUUAUUUCCCAAACCUGCUUUACUAUACUUUAAAAUCAUAAUAAAAUAUGAAAAAUAGGUUUUGCUUAUUUCACUCACCGUGACGAUACUCAAACUCGGCUAUCAUUAAUGUCUGCAGGAUGGGUCUCACUCACUAUUCCUCCUAAAUCAAGGAUACGACAUAAUUACUUUCCAUAAAUGUGAAAUACAACUAACUGUAUGUAAUAUACUCGAAACGAACAUCUAUCCACAAUAUGCUACUCCUAUGUCUGUAACGUUACCAAAAAUACCCCCAAAAUCAUAAAUUGUCAAACAACCCUCAAAAUCAUAAAUUACCAAACUAUCCUCUAUAAAAUAUUAUUAAAAUAUCCACAAAGUCAGAAAUUAAAAAAUUACCAUCAAAAUAUAAAUUUAUCAAAAUGCCUUUGUUGGUCAAUGGUGAUCGGGAGUCAAGUGAUGGUGGUUGGAAUGGUCAAGAUAAAUGCUUUGGACCACGCUGAAUUUAAUGGUGGCAAAUUGACCAUUUCUGGUGACAUGGGUGAUUAAAAAUUGUAGAGGGUGUCGUGAGGGAGAAAACUAAGCAGUAGUGUGCCACAAGUUCGACGAAAUCCCAUCGAAUCGAGGUGGUAGUACCAAAGCUCUUCACAUUCUUGAUUGGUGGUCUUUUAGCAGUUAUUUAGUGACCAUGAUGGUUGGGGAAUGACUAGCAUUGGUUAAGGAUUCGAUCGAUACCUUCUGUUGUCGAUAGAGUGGCCGAAAAUAGUAGUUAGCGGCGGGUGGGGUUUCAAGUCUAUCAGUUAGGUUGAUAGCUCUUCCUCUCUUUGUUUUUCUCUUCCCCUCGAUUCCGUGUCAUAACAAGUUUAAACUAGUCCAAACUCGAACCAUUUAACAAGCGUGUCAAAUUUAACAACCCACACAUUUAUUCAUGUUGAGUAAUUGAGUCGUGUCAAAUCUGCCAAUAACAAUUAUAAUAAUGACUUUUAAAACUUCAAGUCAAAGAGGAGGAUAAAAUAAUGCAUUUGAUUAAACAUAAAAUGCAUAUGUUACAACUAAUCACUAUUCAAAAUAUUAAGAGUGGAGUAGCAAAUGUCAAUUUAUUUGGUUGCAGUCAAAUUUAUCCUAUGAUAAAUAGUGAUUAUUAAAUAAUAUAUAGAUCUAUUAUAUAGUCAAUUAAUAAUAUAUAUUAAUGAAAAUUUAAAAAUAAAUUAUUUAAAAAAGUCAAACUAGGUAAUGGACUUAAAUGUGAAAAUUUAAAAUAAUUUGGAGUUAUGUGUUAAAAUAUUGAAACUUUGUCAUUUUUUAAUGUGCAAGCAAAUAAUAGGGACUAUAGACUUAAUAAACUAUUAAAUCCAUCUAAGCCACUAAGCUACGUUUAUGUUAAAUCUAAUGGUUAGUAAUAGCUAAUAAGAAAAGGACAAAAAUUGGGGUAUGAUGUCACAGGGACACCAUAGUCGGACCCAUUAUUAAUGUUUAGUACAAGUAUUUUCUGAAAUAACAACUACAUAAUUAUUAUCUUAUGUAUCUAAUGAGAUUAUUAAUUUAGUAUAUUAGCCCAAGUUAGGAACGUAAGAUUUUGUUAUUUAAUCAAGUAUAUUAAUUUAUAAAACAUUCAUUUAUUGAGAUUUUAUUGUAUAUUACAUUUGCACACUUUCUUUUUAAUGUGAAGUAAAAACUAAUGUUACACAUGAACUUAUUGCUGACAACAUUAGUACAUAAUUGCUGUCAUAAGAAAAUUUAUCAAUCCAGGAAUUUUGGAUUUUAUAAAGUCUUUACAAGUGAAAAGAGUAGUUUAUAACAUUGUAAAUGUGACCUCGACCUGGAAGCGAACUCGGCUGUCAUAAAUUGAUCAAAGCCACACUUAACUUCUACUACUACUUGCAUUGUUACCACCGUCUUCAGCCUUCUGCUUUGCCCAUUCAAAAAAAAAAAAAAAUUAUAUAACUUUUGUCAGCCAACAAUUAUAAUAAACUAAAAACAUGUCCAAAGAUUCAAAAAAAAAUUUUUCCCUUUUUUUGGUUUUAGCUCCUCUGACAUAUCAAAUCCUAUUGCCGUGAAAAGUUUCCCUUGCAGCGCAUAAUUUUGCCACAGCAUCUCUCAUCUCCAUUCGCUCAGUUGGAGACUCCAUUGAGCAGGAAACCCCAAUUCCAAUUACAGCAGACAAGCAUUGCUCAGUCCUGACUCUUAUCUCUCCAUCAGUAUUUCUUGCAAUUUCCUCAGUUAGAAGUGAAGGCUCAACAAUAUUCACCACUUCUUCUGGCAAAGCCCUUUUGGCAAAUUCAUGGAGAGUUAAGCCAUCAUUGAACAUACUGUCCGUGGGCCGCUUUCCUGUGAACAUUUCUAGCAAAAGAAUUCCGAAGCUGUACACAUCACCUCGCAUGGAGACUUCGCCACCCGUACCGUACUCUGAAAAAAACAUGUUAGAUAUAUUACUCAGUUAGUUGCCACAUAUACGAGUUCUAACAAACAGCAGAUUAAUUCAAAAAAUGUAAAAUUACAAUAUCAAAAUAUCUAUCUAAAGAGGAAUAUAUAUAAUUACCUGGAGCUACAUAACCGACUGUUCCUUUUAUCCCAAUUGAGCUUGAUUGAGAUUGAGGAGCAGUCACCCACAUGGGCAACCAUGUCAUGAUCAAAAAGAAUAUUGCUGGGCUUUAGAUCACCAUGAAUUAUUGGUGGUUGACUGUGGUGGUGGAGAUACUCGAUUGCAGAAGCUACAUCAAUGGCUAUGUCCAGUCUUUGAAUGAGACUUACAUUGCACGCUUCUAGGUGAUCAUUCCUCUGAUGCAACCACUCCUCUAGACUUCCGUUUUCCAUGUAUUCGUAAACGAGAGCCUUGAAAUCAGCUCCUUUAGAAUCAAUGCUUGAGCAAAUAGUGAUGAUUUUAAUGAGAUUCCGGUGGCGAAUAUUUCUCAAAGCUUCACAUUCUGCUACAAAACUCCUGAAACCCCCUUUCUGAUUAAGAUUGAUCACCUUCACAGCAACUACCAUUCCAUUUUCACUAAAAAUUCCCUUGUAAACAAUGCCAAAGCUUCCUUGACCAAUCAUGUUUGAUGUUGAAAAUUCAUUAGUUGCCUUCCUUAGCGCCGCGUACGAGACAAAUGGGAACUUUUGUUCUAUUAGCAACGAAUUAGAAUCUUUGUGUGCUGAUCUCCUUCUUCGAGCAUAAACAACAAGAAAGCAUGCUGAUAAGAUUAAACAUGACAUAAUGACUGGAAAUAUCACUUUGACUAGGAAAGUAACUUUUGAUUUUCUUGAUCCUUUCAAAGGACAUGAUGGUAAAUGCAAUUCAUCCAACCCUCCACAAAGAUUCUCAUUCCCAACCAGUGAAAUGCUUGUCUUAUUGUGAAAAACUCCUUUUGCUGGUACCUGGCCCUCAAAAUGAUUGUAAGAAAGAUCCAAAUAUUGCAAGAAUGGUAGAUUCUCAAGAUAUUCUGGAAUCUUGCCGGACAAAUUGUUACGGGAUAGAUCUAACACUUUCAAGCUUUUCAAGGAAAUCAGAGAAAGAGGAAUCCUUCCUCCAAAGGAAUUGCCUUGCAUAUAAAGAUAUUCUAAGCUUGUACAAGCACUUAGAGUCGCAGGAAUCUCACCAAAAAAAUGGUUCAUGGAAAUAUCUAAUCGAGCGAGAUUCUUCAAGUUUCCCACCCGAAAAGGAAGAUAGCCACUGAGAAGGUUAUUAGACAAAUCUAGUUGAAAUGAAAGGGUCCUUAUUUCAAGAAUUUGUUGUGGCAAAGUUCCAUUAAGCUUAUUGUGAGAGACAAUCAAUUCCAUCAAAUUCUGACAACUUCCGAGGGAUGAGGGGAUAUUUCCUUGCAAGUUGUUGAAGUCCAGUGCAAGCUUUGUUAGUAGUGUUAGAUUACCUAGAGAGGAGGGUAUGUUCCCUUCUAAAGAGUUUCCAUACAGAUAUAGUAAUUGUAAGUUUUAAGACUACCGAUAACAUGAGGAAUAGUGCCAAUUAAUUGGUUUAAAUGUAAAGAAAAUAAAUUUAGAUUGACAAGAUUUCCUAUCCCAAGAGGUAUGGUUCCAGAUAAUUUAUUCUCCCCCAUGUCGAUUAUGGUCAUUGUUUUUGAGAGAUUGGCUAUAAAAUGCGGCAGGUUUCCUCCAAAUUGAUUCUUACGUAACUCAAGCCAUUCCAAUUUGCUACAGUUUGUCAGGGAGAAUACAAAAUCAAGGUCAUUGCUAGCCUCAGCUCCUAAAUUAUUAGCCUCAAAACUUAGCCAAGCUAGAUCCGAAAGACCGUUAAAAUCUAUGCUCACUUUUCCUGUGAAAUGAUUUUGUCCAAGGUUAAGCUCUAUGAGAUUUGAAGCAUUGGACAAUGAAUGUGGGAUAGGUCCUGUCAGAUUGUUUUGAGCUACAAUAAGAGAUUUCAGGUUUGGAAGAUUGAAACCUAUAUUAAGGGGAAGAAUACCUUCGAGUCUGUUUGACGGUAGAAAAAUCAUCUCAAGCGAUGAGAUGUUGUAAAUUGAAACAGGAACCAUACCGGAGAAAUUAUUUUCUUCUACGUUAAGAAACUUUAAGCUUCUUAAUUGACCAAGACUUUCAGGAAUUCUCCCGUGCAGUGUAUUCUCUCCAACAUCAAAUGCCUGCAGAGCAGAAAGAUUCCCAAUGGAAGCAGGGAGCUGUCCUCUCAAAUGAUUGACAGCAAUGGACAGUUUCUCAAGCUUCGACCAGCUGCUGUAACCGAUAUCAGCUGGAAUUUCUCCCACGAGGUUGUUUUUAUGGGAUAAAAAGUUGAUGAGGUUGGAGCAACGGGACAAAUUUGUUGGUAUUUUCCCUGAAAAAGAAUUAUUUGCCACGACUAGAGUUUCAAGUCUGGAAAGACGACCAACCUCAUCCGGAAUUUCGCCAUCGAAAUUGUUGUCUCCCAGGUGGAUUAACUUGAGGAAGCUAAGAUUGCCAACAUAAGGAGACAAGGUACCUCCUAGACUUUGGUUCCUCAGAUACAACUCGGUUACCCUUUGAUGCCGACGACCACAAGUCACUCCUGUCCACUGGCAUAAGUUUACAGAAGUGUCCCACGAACUUGUUACUUCUAGUGGAUCAUGGAACUGUGACUUUAUAGCAAGUAAUGCUAGACGAUCUGUCUCGUUUGUGUGGACAGAAAAGCUGUGUGAACUAAGCAACAAACUGAAGCACCAUAUAAGAGUUGCAAGGCUGGUAGUGGUAGUAAAAAUGGAGCUAAACAUGUUUAGCGGCUGCAGGGUAUAAGAUAAUAAGACUAAUGAAAAGCGUGGCGUGAUCGUUGAAGUUCAUGUGAAGGGUUUUUAAAGUCGAAAAAUGAGUGUACGGUAAAAUCUCUUUAUAGUUAUAAUAUGAAGAGUAAAUUAUUUUUAUGAGAAGGUUAUAAUUUAAUUAAGGUUUAGUUAAAAAAACUUAUUAUUUUGGUAUAGUUAACCUUAGUGCAAGUGACAUAGAGAUAAAGUAUGCUUUAUAUUAAUAGUCAACUGCUAGAACACGUCAAAUUGAAUAUAUAAACAUUGACAAAAGAGAUAGACAUAAUUUCAAAAAGCUAUCAUAAAUUUUUUACAAUAUAAAGGUAGUUAUUAUUAUUUUAUGGAGGCAAGUUCAUGAAGAGGAAUUUAAAAAAAUUUAGACUGUUACAAUAUAAAAUUUAGGGCUUGUUUGGGAUUGUUUUUGGGAGACUCAAAAGAUAUUUUGAAAAGUUAAAAAUUAAUUUUAAUAUUUGAUAUAUUUUUUAAGAAUUAGUUUUGAAAAAAUUACUCUAUCGUACAAUAGAUUUUAAAAAGUAAAGAAUAGUUUUUUAAAAGAUGAUUUUGAAAAUCAUUCUUAUAUUGAAUACAAGUUUAUAUAUAUUCUCAUUUAUAUUAUAAAAAUUCAAAAUUAUCCUUUUUAAUUAAGAAGUAGAAUCAUUAAAUUUUAAAAGAUAUUAUUACUACCACUUAUAUUGAGAUAACUAAAUUAAAAUUAAAAUUAAUAAUAUAAAACAUUUAUUUUAGCUAUCAAUUAUUAUAUGUUAUAAAAAAAUUUUAUACACAUAUUUAUAAAUGUUUAAAUAAAUUUUAACUAACAUUAUAUCUAAUUGAGUCAUUUACAUGAUUACAACAAUUUAACGUCAAGAUUUAUCAAACUAAUUGUUUUUAAAAAUCACAAUACUUUUAAAAAUUUAUUUUACUAAAUGUUUAACUGAUUUCGUCGUAGCUGAUUAUUUCUAUAUUACAAUCAAUAAUAAUUAUUUUAAAAAUUAUAGUAUUACCAAACUAACCCAUAUUCUUAUUUAUAACCGAUCAAAUUGUUACCGAGAUUUUUAAAAUUAUGUGAAAAUGACUUUUAUGGAAUAUCAUUGUAAAAGAAUUUUAUCAAUACAUAUAUUUUUUUCAACUGCGGCUGCGGGAUUAGGCAAGGCUAAUGAAAGCUUUUGUUAAAAAUGUGUGGGUGGUCGUUAAAAGUCACGGGCACUCCAGUUCCUUGAUUAGAUUGAUUCUCGUCGUUGUUCUGAGUGCAAGUUGCCUUAGCACUUUCGUGAGUGAAUGAGAUUUUUCCUUUGUUGCUUUGGCAAGAGGUCGCUUUGGUGUGAUGUCAACUUGUGAAAUAGUCAAGGGUCUUUGGCUCUUUGCUACCUUUACAUCGCAUGCAAAGAUUUGACAAGUGAGCAAUUAGAAUUUCUCUACCUUUACGAUAGAGAAAAGCGAAAACAGUUCCCGUCCGGUCACACAACUGGCUUCAAGAGUUCCUCGCUGGUUGCAAAAAUUAAUUUCUUUUUAAUCUUUGUAAUUUGUUACAUAAAUAAAAAACAAUUUUUGAAAUAAAAAUGAUAAAUAUAGUUGAACCUCAAUGAAUUGAUUACCAGGAUUAAAUAAUAGUUUUUAUUGGUCUCAAAUUGGGUCAACAUAUUAAAUUAAUAAUUUGAUAAAUUUAUUAAUAAUAAAAAUAAAUAUUUUAUAUUUACUAAAAUAUUAAGACUGAUCUACUAUAUAAAUUAAUAAUUUAUUAACUUGAAACUAAGGUACUGUUCAUUUUUUAACUUAAUGAAUUAAUUGAUUAAUUUUAAUUAAACCAUUGAAUCUUUUCAUUUUUUUCAACCUAAUGAAAUUUUAAUGUAAAUUGUGCAAAUUCUUGUAGUAUUAAGGGAAAAAGAUAUCUACACCCAAAGGUUUAGAGAAAAAGUCAAGUAAAUCCUUAAGUUUUCAAUAAGGAAUAUCAAAACUCCCUUUAAUUGUAAUAUCUUUUGUAAAUAGUAAUUAAAAAUUUUACUUCAAAAUUUUUUAAUAAACACAAAUAUAAUUUAAACAGUUUAAUUUGUCAAGUAGACUAAUAAUAUUAGGAUAUUUUUAAUAUAUAAUAUAAUUUUUAAAGUGUAAAUUAGUGUAUUUAUUUUAAUAAUAUAUGUUAUUUAUUAUAAAAUUUUAAUUAAAUGUUUCGGUUAAAUUGAUUUUAUAGUUAAUAAAAUAUAUCUCAUGUAUUCAUAAUAUCUAAAUUAUUUUAUAUAAUAUUCAAAAUAAUGUAAAUUUUUAAAAAAUUUGUUAUAAAAUUUAGUUUAAUAUAAUAUAAGAUUGUAAAGUAUUAAAAUAUUUUUUAAAUAUUAAAAUUACCUUAAAAUGUUUAUAUUAUUAUAUUUAUUUUAAUAUUAUAUUUCUAUUUAAUAUAAAACAUUAGAGUUAAUUUUUUUUGAAUUAAUAGAACCAAAAGUUAUUAUAGUCAAAAGAGAAUUUUAAUAUCUUUUAUUAAGAACUUGAAAUUUAUAUGAUUAUUUUUCUAAAUUUUGAAGGUAUAAAUAUCAUUUCUCAUAUUAUUAAUGUCGCUUUAAAAUAGAGUACCCAAUAUUUCUAGUUCACCAAUUAUUGAAAAACAUUUUGACUCAUUACAGCCUGUUAUUAGUUUUGGUCAUAUUAUUUUCCAUCACUCGGUUAUUGAUUUUCAAAUCUACCGAUUAGUAACUAUUCUUAGGCCAUAAAUAAUAUUGAGGUACUAUAACUUUUAAGUUAUAGUUAUUAUAAAAAAAGUAUAAUAAUGAAAUAAUAAUUUAUAAUUUAUAAUAAAUAUAAUUUUUAAAUAAUAAUUUUAAUAAAAAUACAAUAAAAUUAUUAAAUUUUUUCAUGUAAGUAUAAAAUUAAAUUAAUUUAAUUUUUAAACUAUAAUAAUUAGUAUAUUUUAUAGAUGUCCAAUCUCAAUUUUAAUCACAGCCUUAAUAAUAUAAGUUAGCCAUGGCCAAAAAAUCAAAUAUCAAUUGUCAAACCUGCUGUGUACGCUAUGUUGCCGUGUACGCUAUGUUUAAGUCUAGCUGUGUGGAAUUUGUUUGUCCAUGUAUUUUAUAGACUUCAUUGAUCCAAUUCCAAUCUUUUUUCCUGUGGAAAACCCUCUUUUUCCGCAAAUCAAUUAAAUCAAUCAUGGAAUUAAAUACUAUACGGGAUAUUGGUGUAAAUAUUUGAAGAUGAAGCCACGUUUGGAAGACAUGUUCGCAUGUUCAAUAAAUGCAAAAACAGCCAGUUCUGUGCAUGGCUUUAAUGCAUGCAUCGAGAGUAGUAACUUCCACGUGAUGGCAAGUUGACGAUUGGCAAUUGGUGCUCCUUUUGUCAAGAUUUGCUUGAGAUAGCGGCUGUUUCACUAGAUUUUUUACCGUAAAGUUUGAUUUCUCAAUCCAUCCUGAUACUAUAAAUAGAGCUUAAUAUAUUCUCGAGAGUAAAUCAUCCCGUUUGCGAGGGAUAAAAGUUUAUUUAGUCCCUAUAUUUUAAGAUUAGUGUCUAUUUAGUUUUUAUAUUUUUAAAAAUAUUUUGAAACAUCUCUACUGUUAAAGUAUUGAUACCCCUAUUGUUACUUUUUAUUUUUUAUUUACUUUUACAAUAUUAUCUUUUUAUAAUAAUGUUUUUGUUUAGACAUUAAUUAAAAAAUAAUUAAAUUAUCAAUUUAAUUCUAAAAAAUAAAAAUAAAAAAUUACAUUAAUUUUUAAUUGUCAAAAAUUAAAUUAUCAAAAAAGUCAAAAAUUAUAUACAAACUACCAAGCGUGCAAAUAGUACUUGCAAAAAAAUUAAUAAAUUUUUUAUUUUUAUUUUUUAGGAUUAAAUUGAUAAUUUAAUUAUUUUUUUUAUUAAUAUCCAAAUAAAAAAAUUAUUAUAAAAAGAUAAUAUUGUAAAAGUAAGCCAAAAGAAAUAAAAAAUAACGGCAGAGAUAUUAAUACUUUAACGGUAUGAAUGUUUCGAGGUAUUUUUAAAAAUACAAGAAUUAAAUAAAUACUAAUUAUAAAAUAUAGAGACUAAAUGAACUUUUACCCGUUUGCGAGAGUUGCGAGCAUUUAAAUAUUGAUGGGCAAACAGAUCAGCUGUCAACAACUCAUUCCUAUAAUCCCAUGUGAGUAAUUCACAUUGAGUACUGCACGUGACGCCUGUUUCUCUACUUUUCAUGUUAACAUUAUUUUCAGUAGCAGCCGGUUAUGUAGGCAACAUUUCAAAAUUAAUUAAAAAAUAAAAAUUAGUUCAGCUGACUAAAUUUGAGAGAAUGAAUUUACUGUUGGUUAAAAAUUAUUUUGCAGCAAAAUUUUUGAAUCGUAACUCUUUUACAAUAUAUAGAAUUAUCAUAAUUUAUAAAUUACAUCUUUGCUUUUUUUGUGAUAGUAAUUCAGAUUCUCAAGUUACGAUUUAAACUGAAAAAAUAAAACUAUGAGUAAGAAUUGUUUUAUGAGAAUUAAAAUAAUUGAUAAAUAACUGAGAGGGAUAAUUUUGAAAGAUUUAAAUUCUAAUAUGAUAACAAUUUUAAUUUUUCACCCUCUGGUAAGGAAUCGAAAAUCACAAUUUAUUAGAUUAGCACAUAAAAUAAUUGAGUAUUCAGAAUAAUUUUUGAAGUACAAAUAAUUGGACCCUAAUAUUUUUAAUAUAUGAAAAUCUUACUAAUAUGUUGAUGAGAAUUAAAUUAAUAAUUAAGGGAGACAUUAAGACAUUUAGAAUAGUUGAGAUGAGACCGGAUUUUACGUUAUCCGAAAUUGAUCCUAAUUUUGAUCACAAAUGUAUUAAAAAGACGAGUUUCGGUCCAUAAUUAUGUGCCAUUUGAGUAAUUAAAAUGGGAAUGUGAUUGUCGAAUUCCAAACUUUCCCGAACCAUUGCCAUCUUUACCCAAAACACUAAAAAUAUCUAAAGAAAAGUCUGCACCUAUUCCAUUUUUUUUUAUCAAAUAGGAAAGAGCCCUCACGUGGCGUGAACUGGUAUCCUAAAUAAUUUUAAGAGUAUCAGCCCAUGAUUGGGUUUGUGACAAAUAAAUUACAUAUUUGAGGUACAUAGUUAUUGGUGUCCUAGUUUAGGUGGCACCUACCAUUUAUUGCACAUAUAAGGUAUUAAUUGACUUAAUUAAUAUACAAAGUUUAAAAUCUAAUUAAUUAGCGACACAAAUGCCAAGUACAGUAUAUGUAAAUCAUAUUUGUCGAUUAUCACAAAACGAGCUCUUGAAAAUAAGUAAGAAAGCUUAAUUUGUUGAAAUGAACUCAAACUCGUCAAUCGAUUUGUCGUCUAAAGGUUGGAAAAAUGAGUGAUAUGUCAUUUCAAGCUGAUCAUGGAUCCAGAACCGACGACUUGGUGCUGUUGUUCAAGGUCGUUAAACUCUCACGUGAAUAACAUACGCCUGUCUUAAGUCUAAAACGGCACGCCUUGUCGUCGUUUUAGGAAGGGUUUAAGUUUCACGUGAAAGGCUCUUGAUCAAGCAGUUAAGUUUGUCGGUUUUGGAGGGAAUCAUCUGGAUCUGUAACACCAACAGCAGCUGAUAUAUAUGUUGGUUCUGGUUUCAUCUAGAUCGAUUGAAGAGAGAGUGAUAAGGAAGCAUUAGAGAGAGUGAAACUUUUCUGGGUGUUCUCUGUAUUGUGUUUGUCACCUUUGUAACCAUUGAAGCUUAAUAAAAUUACUCCCUGAGUUGUUUUCUCCAGUGCACGUAGGCACUGUUAAAGGUGCUGAACCACUUAAGUCUUUGUGUGUUCUUGAUUCUUUGUGUUGAUUUUUCUUUGAUCUGGUGAUUGUUACGACUUGCUUAGACUUGGUUCUUAAAUCUUAGAGUCUUAAUUAGAUCUUGGGGUGAGAUAAAUCUGGUGUAAAGAGGGUUUGUUUCACAACAAUUGGUAUCAGAGCUUUAAUUCUGAUUCCAAGGUUCAAGAAUGGCUUCAAAGGUGGAUCUUGAGAAGUUUACAGGGCAAAAUGACUUUAAUAUGUGGAAGAUCAAGAUGGAGGCUUUGUUGAUCACUCAGGGUCUGGGAGAUGCCAUAGAGCUAGUCUCUAAACUUGAAGGAAAUGAAGCUUCAUCAUCCAAGACUCCAGAACAAGCAGUAGAGAUAGACAAGAAUGCUAGAAGCACAAUUAUUAUGAGUAUGGGUGACUCUGUAAUCAGAAAAGUGGCAAAAGAAAAGAUUGUUGCUGGUUUAUGGGCCAAGUUGGAGAAUUUGUAUUUGACAAAGUCUUUAGCUAAUAGGCUUUACAUCAAGAAGAAGAUGUUCUCACUAAAGAUGAUUGAAGGAGCAUUACUUGAUGAGCAUAUAGAUGAGUUCAAUAAGGUUUGUGAUGAAUUGGAAACCAUUGAUGAAAACUGAGUGAUGAGAGCAAGGCUCUGCUGUUAAUUAGUUCUUUACCAGAGUCAUACGAGCACUUUGUGGAUGCCUUGUUAUAUGGGAGACAAACACUCUCUCUGGAAGAGGUUAAAUCUACUCUUGGCACCAAGAAGUUGAAAGACAAGCAAGAUAAUCCAGAAAGUGAAUCAAGUGAGGGGUUGAUGGUUAGAGGCAGAUCUGAAAAAAAGGGAAAACAAGGGAAAUAAACAAGGCAGAUCAAAGUCCAAAUAGAAGCAUUUGAAGUGUUUUCAUUGCCAUAAAGAAUGGCAUUUAAAAAGAGAUUGCCCUGAAAGAAAGAACAAAAAUAAAGAAACCAAGGAAAAGACAAGAAAUGCAGCCAUAACCACAAAAGUUCCAAGCUUUGAAACAACUGGAGUGCUCAUUGCCUCAAAUGAAAAAUUUCAAGGUCACUGGGUUCUUGACUCAGGUUGUACCUUCCAUGUGUCCAAAUAGAAGCUAUAUUACUACAUAUCAGUUGUGUGAUGGGGUAUGAUUUUAAUGGGUAAUAACUAAAUGUGUAAAGUGGUUGGUAUUGGGAUUGUUAGCCUUAAAAAGUUUGAUGGUGUGGUGAAGGAAUUAACACAUGUUAGGUUUGUUCCUGACUUGAAAAGAAACUUGAUCUCAAUUGGCAUGCUAGAUCCAAUAGGUUGUGUCAUUAGGGCUAAAAAAUAAGUGUUGAGGAUAAUUAAAGGCUCAAUGGUGAUUAUGAAAUGUAUAAAAGAAAAUAGCUUGUAUGUGUUGGAUGGACAUACUGCUGUUGGAGAGGCAAGUGUAACUGAUAGUGGUGGGAACAAAUUAGUGUUGUGGCAUUUUAGGCUGGGGCAUAUGAGUGAGAGAGGCUUAAAAGAACUACAAUGGAACAUUGAGGAUAGAUAAUGGCUUGAAGGUGAAAACAUUGAGGACAGAUAAUGGCUUGGAGUACUGUAAUAAGUUGUUUGAAGGAGUACUGUGAGAAGAAAGGGAUUUAGAGGCACAAAACUAUCACCUAUACUCCUCAACCAAAUGGCCUUGCUAAGAGGAUGAACAGAACCUUGGUGGAGAAAGUAAGGUGCAUGUUGAUCUACUCUAAACUUCCAAAAACUCUAUGGGUAGAAACUUUAAACAUUGUAUGCUAUCUAGUCAAUAGGAGCCCAUCAACUGCCAUAAGAUGUAAAAAACCAAUGGAACUGUGGUUAGGAAGAAUAGCUGACUAUUCAAAACUCAAAAUCUUUGGCUGCAUAGCAUAUGCUCAUGUAAAGUAAGGUAAGCUGGAACCAAGAGCAUUAAAGUGUAGGUUUCUAGGGUAUCCAGAAGGUGUCAAAGGCUAUAGAUUGUUGUGUGUUGAUUCCAAGCCACCUCAGUGUCUAAUAAAUAGAGAUGUAACUUUCCAUGAAGAUGAGAUCUUGAAUCAAUCAAGGAGUCUUGUCAACGGCUCUGAAUUAGGUGAUGAGUCUAAUAAAGUGAAGUUUCAAGUGGAGCCUCAUACCUUGAAAAAGCUUGAUCUAGAAAUUAAGAGUGCUAAAAAAGAACUUGAAGCUGGUGUUGAGCAUGAAUCAGUAGAAAGUGAAGAGGACACCUAUCAAUUGGUAAGAGACAGAAAAAGAAAGAUUAUUAGACCACCUAAGAGAUAUGCAAUGGCUGAUUUAAUUGCAUAUGAUUUGACUGUUACUCAAAAGUUGAAUGUUGAUGAACUAGGACUUAUCAAGAAGCUAUCACAAGCAAAAGCAAGAUGGAAUGGAGGAAGGCAAUGGAUGAGGAGAUGGCAUCUCUAAUGAAGAAUAAAACUUGGGAAAUGAUUAUAAAACCAUAAAAGAGGAAGAUAGUAAGCUAUAAAUAAAUCUUCAAGAUAAAAAAAAAAGGGAUAUCUGGUGCUGAGCCUAGAAUAUGUAAAGCUAAACUGGUGGCAAGGGGUUUCACACAAAAGGAAGGUAUUGACUUCACUGAAGUUUUAUCCCCAGUGGUGAGACAUGCUUCCAUCAAAAUUAUUCUUGCACUUGUUGUUGUUCAGGACAUGUAUCUUGAGCAAAUGGAUGUCAAAACAACUUUUUUGCAUGGUAAGUUACAAGAAUAGAUUAUAAUGCAGCAGCCAAAGCGUAUGUGGUUUUUGGUAAAGAAGAUCAUGUUUGUUAUUUAAGAAGUCUCUAUAUGGUUUGAAGCAAUCACCUAGACAAUGGUAUUUGAGGUUUGACAACUUCAUGAUAACACAUGCCUUUAAUAAAUGCAGUUAUAAUUGUUGUGUGUAUUUCAAGAAGAUAAGUGGAGGAAGGAUGAUAUAUCUCUUAGUGCAUGCAGAUGAUAUGCUGAUUGCAUGUCAUGACAAGAAAGAAAAUGAUCAUCUGAAGAAACUCUUAAGCAGGGAAUUUGAAAUGAAGGAACUUGGGGAACCUAAGAGGAUUUUAGGGAUGGAUAUUAUCAGGGAUAGGAGCAAGAAGGUUUUGUUUUUAACUCAACAGAGCUACAUUAAAAGGGUUCUAGUGAGGUUUGGAAUAAAUGAUGCGAAGCAAGUGCAGACACCAUUGGCAAACCAUUUCAAGUUGUCUGCUGCACAAUGCCCCCAAACUGAUGCAGAACAAUAGAAAAUGGCUUGUAUACCCUACUCAAGUGUUGUGGGUAGCCUCAUGUACGCCAUGGUACUCACCAGGCCUAAUAUCUCACAUGCUGUGAGUAUGGUAAGUAGGUUUAUGGCAAAUCUAGGCUAGGAACAUUGGAAAGUUGUUCAGUGGAUUAUGAGAUACCUCAAAGGGACUUUGGAGGUUACUUUGAUUUAUGGUGGAAAGGAUAGCAAUGGACACACAUUGAUUGGUUAUGUAGAUGUUGACUUUGCUGGUGACCUUGAUAAAAAGAAGUCACAAACAGGGUAUAUGUUUACUCUGGGGGGAUGCACAGUUAGCUGGAAAGCAACAUUACAGAACAUAGUGGCUUUGUCCACUACAGAGGCAGAGUAUACUGCAGCAGCUGAAGCCUUUAAAGAAGCCAUUUUGCUGAAAGGCAUGAUAACUGAGCUAGGAGCUGAGCAAGGGACUAUAACAGUAUACAGUGAUAGCAAGAGUGCCAUACAUCUUAGUAAAAAUCAAACUCAUCACGAGAAGACAAAACAUAUAGAUGUUAAGUUACACUUUGUGAGACUUGAAGUGUCAAGGGGGGCUGUUAAGUUGCUGAAAAUUCAUACUGAAGAAAAUCUAGCUGACAUGUUAACCAAGGUUGUUCCCACUACCAAGUUCAUCCUUUGCAUGUAUUUAGCAGGAAUCUGCAGGUUUUAAGAAGCUGCAGAUGAGGAGAAAACAAACAAAGAAGAGGGAGCUAUGAGUGUUGGGUUCAAGGUGGAGAUUGUUAAAAUAAACUCCAAUGAACUCAAACUCGUCAAUUGAUUUGUCGUUUAAAGGUUGGAAAAACGAGUGACAUGUCAUUUCAAGCUUAUCAUGGAUCCAGAACCGACAACUUGGUGCUAUCGUCCAAGGUCAUUAAACUCUCACGUGAGUAACAGAUGCAUGUCUUAAGUCUAAACGGCACGCCUUGUCGUCGUUUUCGGAAGGGCUUAAGUUUCACGUGAAAGGCUCUUGAUCAAGCAGUUAAGUUUGUUGGUUUUGGAGGGAAUCAUCUGGAUCUGUAAUGCCAGCAGCAGCUGAUAUAUAUGCUGGUUCUGGUUUCAUCUAGAUCGAUUGAAGAGAGAGUGAUAAGGAAGCAUUAGAGAGAGUGAAACUUUUCUGAGUGUUCCAUGUAUUGUGUUUGUCACCUCUGUAACCAUUGAAGCUUAAUAAAAUUACUCCAUGAGUUGUGUUCUCCAAUGGAUGUAGGCAUUGUUAAAAGUGCUGAACCACUUAAGUCUUUGUGUUCUUGAUUCUUUGUGUUGCUUUUUCUUUGAUCUGGCGAUUGUUACGACUUGCUUAGAGUUGGUUCUUAAAUCUUAGAGUCUUAAUUAGAUCUUGGGGUGAAAUAAAUCUAGUGUAAAGAGGGUUUGUUUCACAACAUAAUUAAUAACUUAAAAUUAAAGGAAUUAGAUUGAGAAUAGUCUUUUUUUUAGGAUGGAGGCUCCUAAAUCUUCAAGAAUCAUUAUGUGCUUAUUAAAAUUUCAAAAUCAUUUGGAUUAUGACAUAGCAAAAAUUUGAUAGUACACAUGUUGGAAUACACCAAUUCAUAGAUGCAUUUGAUUAUUGUUUUCAUAAAUUUUAACUAGGAAGGAUGACAUGAUAAAAUUUGAUUUUAUUGUAUGGUUGAUUUCAUAUUUCAUGUGCUCAUUUCUUAAUAUAAUCAAAUUUGAUCUAGCAUAUUUUGCAACUGUAUAAAUAUCAAUUAUGAUCAAUCAAAAUGAUUUCAACACCUUUCAACCAGACAUAUUUAUAAUACAAUAUUGUCAAACUUACACCAGAAAUUUAGUUUAUUACAUAUUAUUAUCCAAUGAGCACACAAAAAUGAAUUUGUACAAAUUUAGUUUUGGAAUGCUGUAGCUCUUAAAAUAAUUGUUGUUAGUUGUGCUAUAGAAAUAAUUUACUGUGAAAAGAAUCAGUUAAUUGUUGGGUAAAUUUUAUUUUCAGAAAUACUGUGAGUUUUGAAAACAGUUACGGAAAUUUGGUAAAUUUUACUGUUAAAUUGCUGAAAGAAAACAAAUGAUUAAAAUGUAUAUAAUGUAGAAUAAAAUUUACUUAUACAUAUAAAAAUAUGUACAUAUAAUAUUUUUAAUUAUAUAUUAUAAUAAUUUUUACUAAAAAUAAAAUUUAUAAUAUAUUGAUUUUUUUUUAUAUUUUUACCUUAAAAUAAUUGUUAAUUAAAUUUGUAAUAUAGUGAAACAAGUUUAAUAAUAAUUCGACCAACAAAUUGAUAUUAAUAAAUUUAUAUUGAUGAAUUACAAUAAAAAUUUAUUAAAAUAUUAUUUUUUUCAAUUUCAAUAAGGAUAAUUUUGGAUUUACAUAAUAAUUUUGAAGAUAUUUAUAAAAUUAUAUUAAAAGAUAAAAUUAAUUCUCAAAAUCAGAAUCUAAAAAAUACUCCAUCCCUACUUUUCAAAAUCAACUAUAGAAGAAGUUGAUUUUGACAAAAAUAAUUUAAAUUUUUUUACUAAAUACUAAAAUUAACUUUUAAUUUUUUAAAAUUAAUUUUAAACCACAAAUUCAGACGACCCUUAAACCAAUUUUGCAAAAGCAGCCGUUACAUGUAUCACCAACUUUUUAACAGUCAGCUGCUUUUGUGACCGUUAUGCGACGGCUAGACUGCUGUCACUUAUGUUACUAUCACGUGACGGUUAAGAGCCAAUUGGCAUACUAUUUUUUUAAAGUUUUAAAUUUGUUUCUAAAUAGAAAACUAUUCGCUGGUGUCAAUAUUUUGAAAACCAAAGUCCCAAAUUCUCUCUUGUGCGUGCCGGGCCAGCAUCCUAAACCUUACUGGUUGCCGGAGAAUGGCGUAAAACGGCGGUGAUCUUCUUCUUCAUCUUAUUCUCUCUCAUCGUUUCAGGUAAGCUUGUGAUAAUGAGUUUCUUGUCUUUCUUAGCUUGUAAUUAUAGAUUUUGAUUUUUUAAUUCGUAUUGUAGCCGUUAAUGUAAAUUUUUGUCCCGCUGGCAAAUUUUUUUGUUCCUACAAGUUGAAGCCCUUCUGUUCUUGUUCCAUUGGUGACUUUGCUCACUCAAAUUAAUUUCGUUCGGCGGAAUUUACAAAGUUCAAAUGGAUUCAUUUGGAUUACUAUUGAAUUUAGCUUUCAUUUCUACAUUCAUUCUAAUGUUUUACAAUUAUGUAUUUAGAUUUACUUUGAUUUUAUGUUUAAAGCUUCUACAUUGAAUAGCUGAGCUUGGGUCUUAGUUUCAUUUUCUAAUUAACUUGUUUUGGUUUAUCUUAUAUGCUCACCAAGGGCUUGUUAUAUUGUCAGAUAAGUUAUAUAACAUUGCUGAUUCUAUAUUAAUAACGUCAUGUUUUAUUUUCAGAAAUUAUAAUAUAAAAGUUUUUACAAUGGCAAGCAUCUACAAACUGAAUUGAUUUGUAGAAUAAGAGCUUCGAGUAGUGUUAUGAUCUUGAAUAAAUGAAAGUUCAUAUUGUGUAAGAGCAUGUAGAUGUAAAGCAUCAUUACCAUUUCUGCAAAGUGCUUUCAUUCUGUUCAGAUGCUUCUCUUGAACUUUGAAAUGUGCCUCGUUGAAGUCCUAGCUAUAACUACUAGCUUUGAUUAAUUAAGUUCCUAUACUAGCUGAAACAGAUUUAUUUAAUUAAUUAAUUGUGUAUGUACUAAUUAUAUUGAAAGUAUUUGAAAACUUUUUUAUCAUGAAUGACUUCUAAAUGACUUAAAAACCUAAAGGAUAUGUGAAAUAAUGCUCAUUUCACUUGAACGAGCCUAUUAAUACUUGUAUGUCUAUGAUUGUUAAUAUUGGCUUAAGCGUUUCAGUUAAAUGGUUUACAUAACAAGGAAAAUAAUUUAAUGGAAAACUUUCGAGUUCUAACAGAAAUAUAAUUGACUAUGCAGAUAUAGUUAUUUUAUGGUAAUACAAAUCAUGUUGCCUUAAUCUCAAUGUCCUAUGACCUAUUUUAUUUUAUAGAGUCAUUCAUUUUUGCCAUGGCUUUUUGUGUUUAUAAGUAUGGAAAUAGUGGGAUUUGGUGUAUCUUAGCAUCUUUGGAAAAUUCUCUUUAAAUGUGGCAAACAAAAAUAUACAUAUAAUCAAGUUUGUUAAUCAACUAUCAUAACUGGCUAGCUAGUUCUUGCCUGCCUUGCUGCCAUUACCCAGGCCAUUACAUUGCAUAGCAUAAGGAAUAGUGAUUAGGUGAUUAUUAGUGACUCGUUGAGCUUAUUAUUGACCAAACAAACAUAUUCCCCUUUACCCACAACUUAGUUUGAUUAGUUAUUAGACCAUAAAGAGCGUUAAUCUGUUCAUUGGCUUUGUUAUUUUUAUUAGGUUUUUCUGUCAACAAAACUGUUGAUUUCUUAUAAAAAUAUUCAUUGAUUUUUAAACACCUAAUCAUUGGCUAUAAUGAAGCUAAUUGAAACUGAGGCUUUGGAUCAAUUUCUUCUAGCAAGAUACAAAUGAGCAGAACCUAUAUCCUCUAAGUAAAUUUUUCUAAUAUCCUUGAUUUGGUAGUAUCUGGCGGCCUGAAAUCCUCUAGAUUUUUUUAACACUGUCAAUGUUCUUUUUACUCUUAAAAGGGAAAAAAAAGGUUAUAUCUUUCAUACCCUAAUAGUAAGUUGGCCUUGACUUAACAUGCCUUCCUGAGGAUUUCCAAGAUUCACAAGCAGCCCCCCCCCAAAAAAAAAAAACAAAUAUGAUUUUGCAAGAUUCACAACCAGGCUAUAUUUAAUUUAUUGAUUGUGUGCACGUACUAGUUAUAUGUUGAAAGAAUAGGAAAAAGUAUUUUAACAUGAAUGACUUAAAACUUAUUGCUCAGUAAACAAAAUCUGCAUCAGUGCUAGAAAAUGUAUUUAUUGUUUGUAUUUUUUAUGGAUUUGCUUAAGAAAUGAUACGCGAAAUAAUGCUACAUUGUAUUAGGAAUAAAUUGAAGAGAUUUAUGUGUUAUUUAAAUUUCAGAUUGAAUUUUAAACUUUCAAUACAUGCAUUGAAAGCUUAGAUUGUUUAAGAAAUUAUUAAUAGACACAUGUUUUAUUAGUGUCAUCUAUGGAUGAUAGUGAGGAUCAUAUGUCUAUUAAUAAUUCUUGAAUUGUCUAGGCUUGAACUGUUUGGGAAUGCAUAGUUUUCUAUGGUAGCUAGUAGCUGAAGUUUUUUUCCCACGUAAAAAUGGGUUUUUCGCUGGCUGCUUCUCAUCUUCUGUGGGUGCAUACUAGAUAACACAUAAACACUCAUAUAUCUAUGUCGUGUGCUUGGAGAACUAUAGGGAGAUGCUGCCGAAAUUUCUAUAAACGUAGAAAUCCCAUUGGACCACUUACCUUUUGUAAAUAUGAAGGGAGUGUUGGACAUAUUGAUGGGAGUGAAGGAGCUGAGUUGGAUGGAUGUAAUCGGUUAUGGUUUUGCUGAGUUAACUUGGCUUUGAGCUUGUAAUUUUGUUUAUAAAUGGAGUACUAUCUCCAAUGUUGGUUUAUAAAUAUGUUUCAGCUGGCUGACCUAAUUUUUUGUUUCUAGGUAACAGGCUUUAUAUCUGUAAUUGAUAGCCAACUGAAGUUCUCAACUGUGGGUGAGAAUAUUUCUUUACAGAAGGUAUUGGAAACUGUUUUUUACGUUAAUUAUUGUUGUAUAUAUACUUUAAUUUUCACAUCUUUUUCUCUGAUUCUUGUCGCUUUGCUUGCUUUCAUAUGUAUAACUAAAAUGAUUUAUCUAACUAAUUUUUGUAGUGCAUUAAACGGAGAUGGUAAUGGAGAAGAGUUGGGUUGGUUUGGCAAAUUGAUAUCCAAGUUAUAUACUGAUGGGGUUGAAAAAUUUAUAGAUUUUGCAUUUGAGAAUGUUGUUGGUGAGGCAAGAAUUUAUUAUCCUUGUAAGAACUGUCGAAUCUUUCGUUUUAAGGGAAGUUGCAAGAGACCAUAUCAUUAUAAAUGGUUUUUGGUUAAAGUAUUAAAACUGGAUAUUGCAUGGUGAGCCAUCUUCAUCUUUGGAAUCUAACCAAGAAACAGGUUAGUCAUGACUCGGGUGCUGAUGAUGAUAUGGUUGGAAUGAUACAUGAUACAUCACGUAAUCAAAUAUUCAAUUCACACACAGCAUUGUUAUGGACUAUCAGUGACUUUCUAGCACAUGCCAACUUGUCUGAGUGGAGUAUUAAAGGUAAAUAAGCAUUCUUGUUUGCCAACAAAACACUAGAUCUAAUUGGUUGAUACAUAGUAGAAAAUUUUGUCACGUCGGUAACGUCGAUUUUUACCGACGAAUUAUAGGUUUCGAAAAUAUAGUGCCUUUUGAUAAAUCUAGAGAGUGGGGACAAGCACCUUCUCGGAUGUCUGGAGCUGAAGUGAAAAAGCAGUUGAAUAAUAUCCUUACUGAGUUUAAGAUUGAAGACUUGAAAAGUGGAGAAUGAAAAAAAUGAGAGAAAUGACAAGAUUACUUGGAAGAAGAAAAUCAUAUUUUAUGAACUACCGUGUUGGGAGUUCAAUUUGAUUCAUCAUAAAAUGUGAGACAUGAGGGAGAGACAAAAGCUCAGGCUUGUCUGCAACCAUGUGGGCCCUCAUAAGCAAUUCGUGUACACAACUUGGUUCACCAAGCCCAACAACUUGAAGCAGGCAAAAUCCGGGAACGAUCCUUCUCCUUCGCAACCCUAGCUGCCUUAACCUUGUAUUUCUGAUAUUUAGUUAAAGAGUAAGAAGAUUGCUCCUCUGUCAAUUACCUUCGAGAGAGACUUUCUUUUUCAUUCACCGAUGCUUGCUUGUGAAAGCAAGGGUUUUAGUUACGCUUUCAACGCUGUCAAUGUAGUGAAGUUAAGCAUUCGUAGAAUAGUGAAGUUAAGCAUUCGUAGAAUAGUGAAGUAAAGCAUUCGUAGAAUAAUGAAGAUGGAAGCCCCACAGCAUGAAAACUUUUAAACAGUAACACAGCUCUUAUUCCAGAGGCUGCACGCGAGUGACCUGAAUCUUCUUCAGAACUUUCAAAUUUUAUCAAGCGAAGCUUUCAAAAUUUCUCAACAAAUUGAUUAUUUGGUGUGGUUGCCACAUUUUGAGUAACCGCUAUUUGUUCUCAAGUACAAAAUCCUUGCCUUCCUAAGUUAGGAAAUAUAAAUGUGAAGCAAACCAAAUGAAAUAAAUGGGUAAACAGAACAAGCAGGGCAAAAAUUAAAAAUGAUGGCAAUUAACAAAUUAAUAGCAAUGUUACAUUUGACUCUUUAGCCCUUUGUUCCUUCUCUUAGCAUUCUUCAAAGGUUUUGAAAAUAGGACGUGAAGCAAACAAAAUAAAAUAAAUUUAGACAACACAUGCCCUGUAUUCAGCAUCAUAUAUAUCUCGCAUAUCUAAUAUAAUAAAUUUCACAUCUAAAAUACUAGAAUUUCAAACAGAAUAUCUAAUAAUAGUAAAAAAAUGACGACAACAACAAAAAUAGAAAAUUACAAGACUGCUGAUAAAAUUUCAUUUGCAUGCAUGUCUGACAAAAUUUCCGUGGUUUAAUGUGCUUUCAUGAACGCAAGUCCUAACGUUUCUGUGAUCACAAAAUAAAACUGAAGAUAAAACAGAACAACUACCAAACCUUUCAAGCUUGACGAAGCCAUGAGAAUUGAUAGCUCAGGCACUGAUACCAAGUUAAAGUUUCUAAUCUGUUUGGUAAGUAAGAAAAUGUGAGAAAAUGAAAGAAAGAACAGAGAUCAUCUAAGAGCUGGAUUUGAUAAGUAAAUAUGAAUCAUCCAUUCAUUAGUUGAUUGCAAAUGUAUUUAUACGAGGUUCCUGAACAUUUCAGAUUCUAUAUGCUCGAGCUAAGCACCUGAGAGUUGAGCAGUGUGCACUAACAAACUGCUAACAAAAUAACUAACUUAUGCCAGCUCAGCUAACACGUCAGUAACUCUUAACUAUCUUGCUUAACAAACUGAAACAAUAACUAACCAUUUUAACUAUCUUAACAAUCCCAAUAAUUUUUCCAUUUGUGUAUUUUUUUGAAUCAUAAUCAAAUGCGUAAAUGUUGCAACUAUUUUUUUUAGAUAUUUUCACUUUGGGCUGUCAGCCCGAGGAAGUACGGGGGUCUGAGUUAUUCAACUGAAAAUGUCGGCCAAGUUCUUGUGUUAGUUUUAGUAUAUUGUGUAAAAAUGAUACACUAACUUGAAUUUAUAUGCUUUUAUGACUAUUUGAUAAUCAAAUGGGUAAAUGACACGAAGAACUUUGAGUUUAAAAAUCUGGCCCUGAUGCCUGGUAGCCCUCCAACCUAUGAAGCACUAGAUGUUUUAAUGAGAAAACGACAAGACCAUUUAUCAAAUUUCUUGUGGAUAUAACUACAUACACAAAGACGAGACCAACCUCCUCAAAUGAGAAUUAGAGUGAUUCAAAUCUCAAAAUACAAUAGAAAUUCAUGACAUAUAUAUAAUAAAAGACCUCUCAUUGAGUCAUAUAUAUUGAGAAUAAAUUUUUUUUAAUACAUACAAAGAGCUUAGCUACAAUGAAAUGUCUUUGGACUUGCAAUGAUCAAACAAAGGAAACAGACAGGUUGCAACUCACACUAUCACAAAUGUAGCGACACGAUGCAGUGAAUCACAAGAAGAUCACGAAGAUGGAAACGGGAACCCCUCAGAAUGUAAACUUUGAAUAGAGGAAAAAAGAAAAACGACCUUAUUUCAAAUUGCGCACAGAAGAAGAGUGACUUAAAUCGUCAUCAGUAUCCAGACAUUCUGCAAUCAUAGAGUAGAGAAAUUUUAACAGGAACAGUGGAGAAAAUAUUAUGUAUAUGCUAGACCAAAUUAGUCCCUUUUUUGGUUUGUGAAAACUUGAUUUUUUAUGAAAUAUUUUCAAACAAUAUUUCCACAAUACACUUGUUGAUAGCCAACAUUUGAUGGUUUAAGGAUUUUUUAUGGGAACAAUGCACUGAUUACGUUUUUUUUUUUUAAUUUUUUUAAUGCGAUGAAUGAUAUUCAGCUGUUCUUUAAUUAUGUGUUCAUAGGGAAGAACAUUUUAUAAGUACUUUCCUUGCCUUCUAACUUUCCAAGGAAAUAUAGGUGUGAAGAAAAGCAAACCCAAUGAACAAACAGAACACAAACUAAAAUAAAAGAACAGCAAUGAUGAGAAUAAAUAAUUGGCAAAGAAAGAAUGGAAAAAGUAUGCACGUUUUCAAGGAAUUAUAAAAUACGAAGGCUUUUAAUGAAAUUUUAUCAUAAAAACGUACGCAAGGAGUUAUAAAAAUUUUAGAAGACGAAGGGAGCUCCCAAAAAAAAAAAAAAAGAAGAAAAAGACUCAAAUUAAACUAGACUAAAAAGACAUUCAAUUAUGCAAAAUCUGUCCAUAAAAGUCUGAAAGGAUCAUUAAAAUUGCAUUGCAAAUUUAACAGUAAACAGAGGGACCCAUUCUAAAUAAUUCAGAUGAAAUUGCGAAACAAGCCAUGGGAUUAAAUAAAUGAAAUAAAAAUUAAUUACCAGUUGAGACUUUCUUCUAAAAAUUCGCAACUCCAAGUCAUAAGAAGCCUAUGAAAUUAGUCGUACUGCGUAGAGUAUAUCGACGACCCCGCCAACAGCUGAAAAUAAAAUUCUUAUUCAUCAAUUUAAACUUUUACUUUAUAACAAACAUUUUAUUUAAAAAGAAAAAGCAAAUUUUGUAAAAAUUUAUCAUGGGAGAUAGAGAGUAAUAUGUAUAUCCGUACCUUCUCAGCAUGUAAUUGUUGUAUGGUUGUGUUUAGAUCAUUAUUAGCCCAACGCCGUUGAUUCAAUGUCUCUCCAUACUGGACGUUUACUCUCGGAGGCGUGAUUGAUUCUCCUGUAGUGAAAAUCUUCAUCUUGGGACAACCAGUCACUCCCAGAUAUUCCAAAGAUGGGAAUCUGAAGGUGUAAUUGGCAUAGCAGAAACUUGUGAGGCUAUCUAAAUCACGCAGAGCCAACGUCUUCAAUUUGCGGAAAACAAUCUCUUCUUUUUCAACUCCAUCUUUGUCAUUUGUUACCACCUCUGUCAUUGCUCUGCAUCCAUAUACUUGCACUUUGACGAGUUGCACUAGAGUUUUUGCUGUGGAAAAUGUUACCAUGUGUAACAAUUUCUUGCAACCGAAAGCUACAAGUUUUGUUAGGUUCCGAAAAGAUACCGAUGAUGAUGGCAAUAGAAUUAACAGACGUUGACAAUGAUAUACUCCUAGAAUUUCAAGAUACUGAAAAAUGGGGUCAAGUUUGGAGUCUUGUUUCCACAGCUGCUUCAGAUGAUAGUGCCGGUGCAGCUCUAAUGUUUUUAUCAUUGCCAACUUCCCCACAUGUUUCUCUAAGCUUCCUUCCUCCGAAAAUACCUCUUUGUUGAAUGCAAAAAAAGACAGUAUGAGUUUUUCAAGAUUGUGAAAUCUCUCAAGUACGUUCCAGAUUGGAAAACAAGCUGAGUUAUCUGAACCAAUCUCUAGUUCUCUAAGACUGCCAAAAAGGUGUUGUGGGAAAUCGGCCCGCAAAAUCAUCUCCACAUCUUUUCCACUUAGUGAUAGUUCCUUCAAGUUGGGUACGAUCUGAUCAUCAUCAAUCAUAAUAACUAAUGAGGUCAAUUGAUGUUCUUUCAAAUGAUUUUGAGUAAUCCAAUCACAAGCAGUGACUUUAUAGUAUUUAUUUUAUAUUAAUUUUACCCCUAAAAAAAAUGAAUUAGUGAUAAAAUUCAUUAUAUGAUUUUUUUUAUAUGUUAGUUUUAGAGGUAAUAAAGAAAUUAGGGAAAAAAACGAAAUUAUUUUAUUGCAUGAUAGUAAAUUACUAAUUUAUUUUGUAAGUUUUUCUGUAUGGAAAGACUAAGGAUUCUUUUAUAAAUGCUAUACCUAAAAAAGAUUAUUGUAUAACAAAAGUUUUCAAUUUAUUGAGCAUUAAUUUAUCGAUACUUUGUCAUAUUUUUCAAAGUUAAAAAUAAGCUAUAGAUAAAAAAUCUAGAAAAUGGCUUCAUACCUUUUCCAAUGGCAAUAGGGGCUGUUGUGCAGGAAUACCAAGUUGAAAAUCUGCAGCGAAUAUCUUUAAUUUGUCACAACCAUGCACUAAAAGAAUUUCUAGUGCGGGCCAUUCCGAAGUAUGCAUUCCAGGGUACAAACAUCUAAGUUUUGGUAGAUCUUGGAGUUUCAGAGUGGUGAGCUGUGGAAAGACAAAAUAAGGGAUCACUUGAUCUGCUCUGUUUUCAGAAAUGAUCUCCUGUAAAUCCUCACAGAAGCGUAUAUCUAGGUGUUGGAGCUGCUUAAGGCUUUCGAUCAUAGACGCUGAAAAUAUGUAUUUUAAUUUAUGACAACGCUGCACAGUCAAUCGUGUUAAAUUUUGAAAGCGAGGAAACAUGACCGGAAGAUGAUUGUAGUGCCAAAUCUUGUCGACAUUAAUUUCAGAUAUCUCCAAAGCCUCCAAGUUAGGCAACGCAACCUAAAAAAAAGAAGAAUUUCUCGUUAGAUCCAAUAUCCAUAUGGGAAGCACUUGUUGAAAUUUUCUUCUUUGAUUACAAAUUAAUGCAAAGUCAGAAUCAAUUUCCAACUGACAGCUGAGUAUGCAUUCUAAUUCAUACUACUUGUUAAGAGCUCAAUUAGUGAGCGCGUGAGAUUCUUUUUAUCCUUUUUUCCAUUUUCUUUCAAUUCUUUAAAUGAUUUAAUUAUUUUCCACGUAUGACAUCAAAACAAAACGCAUGAUAGAAUAAAGUCUGUUAUAUAUACAUAUAUAAAGAAAAUGUUAGCCUACGCACCUUCUCGUUGAAAAGCAGAGUUGAAAUGUCCAAAGUGAUUUCGCUGGUGCAAUACAUAGUCGUCGAUUCCUCUUGUGACGCUUGCCUGUUCGGUGAUGCUGAAGGAGUCUUCACCUCACGGCAAAAACUUGUAACCUCUGGAAGAUUCCCCAGACUCAAAGAUCUUAAUUGAGCAAACUCUAUCUUCUCAAUUGCAUUAUCAACUUCUUCCCCAAUUGCAAAAAUCUCUUUCAUCUUGCUGCAAUUAACAACUGCAAUUCUCUCAAGUCUUGGAAGGCAUUUUGUAGUAGAGAGCCAAAAGAUGUUACUCAACUUAUCACAAUUAUAUGCUUCUAUGUUUUUGAGUUGGUUGAAAGACUCUACUUUGAGCCGAUCAAUACAUAUCCUCUCCAUGUUGAUCAAAUUGUGAAGGAUAACUGACUCCAAAAGAGGAAAGGCAUCACAAGCGACCAUCUCCCUUGAAUCGACGAUACAAAAGAAGUCAGGAUUAUUUUGAACCCAGAGAAUCUUCAAUUGUGAAAAGCCCUCCGUGUCCAAAUUGAAAAGAACAUUCUCGAUGCCUUGCAGCUUGUCCAACCAUAAGCAUUCAACGUUAUUGAUGCCCUGCAAUUUCAUGGAGCAAAUGUCCAUAAAAUCAAGCUUGAGCUUCACUGCUCUUGAAAUCUUACGAUCUCUGUCGAUCAAAAAGUGCUGCCGACUUUUAAACCAAUUUUGUCCAGCAAUCAUGGGAUGUGUGAAUAACCCAUUUCCAAUAUGUAUUUUGAACCUUUCGAGCUUUCUGGCCAAAAAGCCUUCUGGUAACAUACUCUCAUUUUUAACAUCAAUUUCUAGAGUGGUUAGCCGAGGUAAAUGCAUCAAUUCAUCAAGGCUAGCAUUACUUCUUUUGCUGUUGGCUCUUUCAACCUCCCAUUCAAUGGAGCAAUUACACAUAUACAAUUCUUCUAAUCGGAUUAGGCUUGAUAUGACAUUUGGAACAAUAACUUUUAGAUGGAAACAGUCUGUCAAAUCUAACAGCCUUAGCUUUGUCAGUUGACCUAGUGCUUUAGGCAACUCUACAAUAUCAGACCGCACGAAGCUGAGGAUUUCUAGAUUUUCCAACUUUCCAAUAAUGGCUAUGUCUAUGCCUCCGAAAAUGCUUUGAUCAAGACAAAGUGUCUGAAGAUUUACUAGAAGACCAAUUGAAGAUGGCAAUGACAAUAACCGCAUUCCAUUAAAAUCCAAAACCCGAAGCUUUUUCGUCCUUUUGAAGAAGUUCUCAGGAAUAUUAGGCACAGCAAAAGAGUUCUUGGGAGACAUGAGUAGAAGUUCAAGUUGUAGAGAUUCGGACCCAUCAGGAAUGUCAUUAAUAAUACUAUCUUUUAAAGAAAUUGCAAGAUAUUUUUUUAAUUCAUCUGCAUUUGGCCAUUUCCAAUCAUCCUCAUUUCUCACCACAAAUCCAAUUUUGUCACGACAUGCAAUUGAAAUGGCAACAUCGCGAACAACGUCGUGCAUAGAAAAGUAUUUACUGCCACCAUCCUCAAGCAACAAACAAGAGUCUCUUAGUUGAUGGACCCAUGCAUCUAAUUUGUUAUGUGCAUCUUCUAGCUUAUGGACACUUUUAAAUACACCCAAGCCCAUGCUAUAUUUGAACAAGUCCAUAAUUGGUGCUGGCGUAAUAAGACUACACAGUAAAAAAGUUUUCUUGAGUUGCUCACCUCUUAAGUACUUGUAACUCAGCUCAAUUGUUGAGUAUGCCUCUGCUGGUACUCCUUCGUCGAAGCUUGCCUCUGAAGGCGUUUGGAGUUCUUGCAAGGCAUUCUUCCACACAGGCAGCUCUUUUUUUCUCAGUGCCUUUGCUACUGUGGUUAGGGCAAUAGGCAAACCUCCGCAUGCCUUGGCUACACUUGUUGCUGUAGAUUCUAAUUCACGAUUUUCCACAUAAUCACCUGCCAUUAUCUUGAACAAUCUCCAGGCUUCUUGUUCAUUUAAAAUGCCAAUCGAGAAGUUUUUUUCAGAUUCCAUCCUUAACAGCACAUCGAGAUCUCUUGUUGUGAAUAAUAAUUUGCAUCCUCUGUGCUCAACUCCAAAAGGAAUUCCAAUAGUCCCCAAAUCAAGAGGUUUCCAGAUGUUAUCCAGAAUCACAAGGAUCUUCUUCUCAUUCUUCAAUCUUUCAUAUAGUCUACUAGCUCUUCUAGACUCAGCUUCCUCGGACAACUGUAGGCCUAACGUUUCCGCAAUUUCCUCUUGGAUCUUUUUUAUGUCUGGACUUUGGGUAACCUCCGAAAAAGCCACCAUAUCGUAAAGCUUGUCUUCAAUGGCUCGCCUUGCAAACUCCUUCACCAGUGUCGUCUUUCCAAUGCCGCCCAUGCCGUAGACCCCAAUGAUGCUGACAUCAACAUCGAUCAAUGCAUUUUGAAUGGCCUUCAAAGUAGAAAGUCUUGAUUCGAAGGCCUCGCAGCCUUUGUGAGACUUGAGCCAUAUAUCCUCCGGAAUGGUACGGUAGGAAAUUCUAUCAUCAAAUUUCCCAGCUUCUUCUUUGAGUUCAACAAUGGCCUUCACCUUUGUUUCUGCUUCCUUGCUAAGCUGAUAGCCGGACUUCAAAUUAGGACACAAGCCCAUGAGACAUCGUUUAUUUGUUGUCACCUCAUCGUCAAUGAAUUUGGCUGACUGCUCAAUGGUGUUGUUCGCACGAACCAGCCACUUCUCAACCUUCUCUUCAAUCUUUUCCCCUUUUCUUUCAGCCUCAGAAACCCUGUGCUGAAUGCUUCUCCUUUCAUCCUUGAGCUUGUCUAUUUCUGCCUUGAGAUUCUCAACGUUGGCUUUAUAGUUACGCAAAUAACCAAAUCGGCGUUCUGUAGGAGGAGCCAAGCAUUUCACAAAUUCUAAAACAACAGUAACAAUGCUUUCCACCAUCCUGGAUCCCUUUUUUUUUUUUUUUUUUCAAAGUUCUGACAAGAAAAUAAACAACGAGCGAAACAUAGAGAGAGUGAAAAAAAAAAAAAAAAAAGCGAAACAACGAAGAUGGACAGUUUAUCCUGUUGUGGAAGCGGAGAAAUGAAAGAAAGAGUAAAAGCUGUUAUGGAUCUGGUGAGAAGAUGGAAACAAGGAAAAGGUUUCUAGUUCGAGAACUGAUUGAAUUAAUAUAAGGAAUGAUUUAGAUAAUAGAGGCGUAGGGAACCAAUCAGAAUAACUGAAGUAUUGACCAGAAGAAAGACGGAAAAAAUAUUGACUGGUAAUAGAGAUGGAAAAAAUGAAGAUAUCUUGACACGGUAGAAGUACAAAGGGUAGAUAUGGAACCAAACAGAGACAACAGCAGACCACAACAAGAUUGGGAAUGGACAGAAACUAAUUAACAAAGACUGGAGAUUACAACAAAACAGAUGCCAAGAGAAAACUUGAUCCAGUGAAAUUCAAGAGAGCUGACAACAAAAACUGAUACUACUUGAUUGGGAAUUGAAGGCAAAGAGUAGGAGCUGAUGAAUACGGGGAUCAAGAGGGAAAAACUGCUUGCUCGUAAAACUACUUUCAAGCGAAUCUGAUAAAAUUAUUUCAGUACUCGUGGGCGACUCCUUUUUAAACUGCAGAAGGAGAAAAAAGAAAUGUUCUGAAUUUCAAUGUAUUAAUUUUUAUCCUAAUUUAUGUUGAGACUCGUAAUCUCGUCUCAAUGAUUAAUUAGUAGAUAAUCUUUUUAACAAGUAUGUGAUGAAUAGAUAUAUUUCUUGACUAUUAGUAGGUUAGAUAUAUUUUAGCAUAGGAAUGAAAGUACAAGUUGUGUCAUAUUAGAAUACAAAUUUGACCUAAAAAUAUUGUUCUAUGACCUUUUAAUUAUUUGUCAGCUAAUAAUUAAGUCAUAUAAAAAAAAUAAUAAUCUGAAUUAGUCUUUAAGUAUUAUAAAUAUUUCUUGAUUUUUAAUUAUAAUAUCAUUAUUUAAAAAUAAUUGCUUGACUUACAUAGUAAGUCAAUAAAAUAUCUAACAAUAGUGGUCAUAAAACAUGUGAUCCUCAAUCAAUGAAAUAUCUAACAAUAUCAUCACCUAAAGUUUGAGAUAUGUUAUCCUUAUUCCACUGCGUCAAUUACACUCCAGUCAAAUGCUGCCAUCAUUAUUGAACAGUCGACAUCCACCAGUUCUAAUUGCCAAAACUUAGAACUAAACAGUAGCUCGGUCAGAAAAUCAAACGCCAGUACCGGUCAAAUGACCGAUAAAAAUAUAAAGAAAUAAAAAUUUUAAAGUUUUACUUUAUUGCUUUUUUAAUCUUAUUACUAUUUCGGGUAAUUUUUACUUUCCUCCCCUCAGCUUUGGACUUUUUGCACUUAGAUGGUCAAGAUACAUUUAUUAGUAAAGACCUCCCUACCGUCAGUUAAUUUGUAGUUGACUGUUAGUUGAAUUCAAAAAGACUGAAAUACCCCCAAUUGGAUUUUCAAGACUGAACAUGCUAUACAUUUGGCGCGAAAACUAUAACAACCAUAAUAUUACCAUUAUACCCCUUCAAAUUGGGUUAUUUACAAUUGCAUUCAACAAAUAAAAUGAUAAUUCUAUUUGGGUAAUUAUCACUGUUGCAAUUUGACCGUUGGAUCCGAAUGGUCACAUUGCCACAGAUUUGCCUAUUUAAAGGCUUAAAUACAGAGCUUUGUUCACAAGCAUCUCUACCUCUUCUUAACACUUUGCAAACUCAACUACAUUUCUCUCAAUCUUUCAAUCUCAACAACAUGGAUUCAGAGGGCUCAAGUGCAGUAACUAACAAGAAGAAUAGAUAUAAUAAAGGCAGUAUGAAAUGGAGGAGUCAAGUUAAUGGAAAUCUGAUCAAGUUUAGGAACUUGAAAUGUGAUUGCAGAGUACGUGCUGCUGUUCGAAUUUCAGAGACUGAAGAUAAUCCAAACAAGCUAUUCUACAACUGUCCUUAUGAUGCCUGUGACUUUUUCCAGUGGUGUUGUCCAGAACCAAGUGAUUUCGACAAUGGUGCAUUCUUUGAAGGUCAUAGAAGUUUUACAGUAGCACAACAACAAGUGCAGGUAGAACUUGAAGAAAUACUAAGUGCCCUGAAUGAAGUGAAGAUUAUACUGAAAAAAACUUAUCAAACUCAAAAUGUUUGUGACCAAGACUUAAGUGAUGUGCAUAAACUCACUUCAAAGAAAACCGAACAAGGUGGGGUGAUAUGUGGGCUGCUGAAGGCUGUGCUCUGUUUGAAUGCCUUUUUUUUUUACUGAGUGUUCUUGUGGUUAUUUUCCUGAAGUGAUUAACCUAAAUUACUAGCAUGAAUUUUGUAAUAAGUUGUACUCUAACUACUGGAAUGAGUAAUGAUAAGAUGAAAAUUUAAUGAACUUGUAAUGCUCUAUUUUUAGAAUGCUUAUCUUUGCUAACUAAGUGUAUAUAAUGUGAAGUAUCCUGUUUGAUUUGAGCAUAUGGCCUAGUCUUCAAUACUGCAUUUCCUAUGUAAUAACUUAACAUAAGCAUUCUGUACAUAUAGCUAAAAAUUAAAGGGAUUACAAUACUUUAGUUAUAAUAAUAUCUAUUAACAGUAGCAAAAUUAACUUGUGAGUUAAACUUUAACAGCAACAAGCAAACCAAUCCAGAACGAGUGAGAAGAGAAUCUAUUAAUUGCAUUCCAGCAUUAAAAUUCUUAAGCAGUAUCAUACAUAGUUACAUUCAAGCAGCUGUCACAAAGCAUGAAGCAGUUGAAUAUAAAUAGCUUCUGGUAAACUCAUGUAUAAUUUCCAGGUAUUAACCAAGCAAGCUUAUCAUAUUACUUGUCUUUGGCAUCACAAUAAUAUCAUGUACAAAAAACAAACUAACAAAAGGCUCAAACCUAUAGUCAGUCUGAGUAAAAGAUGAUACACCAGCUCCAUUCUUCUGCCCAUGACAAGAUGUUGUAUCAUCUGAUCCCUUCAAAAAAUUAGUUAGUGGGAAUAGUCUUGAUCUGCUUCUCAUGCUGGAUGCUAUCACUUUAAUGGUUUCAUUCUUGAGUAACAUGUCCUGGCAUGAAUAAAACAAACACUUACAUAUGAAAAUUAAAAAAAAUAGAUGUUGAUUACUAAAAUUAUUUAAAGAAUCGUGAAUAAAACUCACCAUUGUCAUGGACAGUAGGCUGAGAUAGUGCACUGCAAGCAACCCUUUGAGUUAUAGGCUGAUUAGAAUUAGAAGUGCCUUCACCAUUCACAACCUAUGCCACACCCAUUACAUCAUAAGCAAUUAAAUUAAUUAAAUUUAACUACUAAAUGAAAGAGAGAUGAUAAUUAACCUGUUUGCUAGAUACUUUAGUUCUUUUGCAGGUUCUCUUGUUAUGACCCCAAUGCUCACACUUAGAACAUUUGACACUUGAACUCCUCUUGAAUGUAGCUGGUUCAUCAGCUUCUUUCCUCCUCUUGAUCUGUGGCCGGCCAACAGACUUGAUAAUUAUAGGUGGCUGCAAAUUAUCAUGUAGAACCAGUGGCCACAUCUUCUCAUCAGGUAAAGGAAAGUAUUGAUACUUGUAGGUGUUGAUAAAAGCUGGACAUUUCAGAUAAUUAUGGAUAUAAUCUUCAAUGUUGAGCCUUUUUGCAUCAAUGGAACAAACACUAUGCUUACAAGGUAAGCCGGAUAUCUGCCAUUCCCUACAAUUACAAGUUUUUUUACCUAAAUCUACUACGAAUACUUUACAGAGAUCUUCCAUCACUUCGAAGGUGUUUUCAUGACCAAAUAUUACUGUUAAACCUCUCGCUGCAGCUCUUGCUUCCACAAUCUUUCUCCUAACAAGAGGUGGUAGAUGUCCAUUCCAUUUCUUUGCAUCCUCAUUCCUUUUAUGAAUAAGUUUCAUGAUCUUUCUCCUUAUCUCUUCGAGCAUCCUAACAAUAGGCAUGCCUCUAAAACUGUUAAUCCAGUUAUUGAACGAUUCAGUCAUGUUAUUGGUCACAUGAUUGCACUUGGUGUGGUUAGGAAAAGUGUGUUUAGCCCAAUAUACAGUUGGAAUGUUCAUGAGCCACCGGUGAGCUGCAUCGCUGAUUUUCUUCAAUUCCUCAAUGCUUUCACUGAAUUCUGAGUAGUUUGGACUUCUACAUGCCUUCCAAAAGACCUUUUUCAACAAAGUGCCAGGAAACUUUUGCUUGAAAUUGGCAUAAAUAUGCCUACAACAGUAUCUUUUGAUUGCAUUAGGAAACACUCUAUCAAUUGCAUUGAUCACUCCUUUUUGUCGAUCACUCAUGAAACAUAGGCCUUCUCCACCAUUACAACCAAUCUGGUCAUAUAGCUUUUCCAUGAAAAACUCCCAAGAGUAAGUGUUUUCACUCUCUACUACACAUAAGGCUAGUGGAUAUAUACCAUAAUUAGCAUCAAUCCCAACUGCAGUCAAUAAAACUCCUUUAUAUGGCCCUUUUAGAUGGCAGCCAUCAACCCCUACAAACUGCCUACAGCCUUCAAAAAAACCUCUCCUACUUGCAUCAAGCAUCAUGAAAAAUCUUUUAAAUACUGGGUGAGCUGUAUCUCCAUUCAAUUCCCUCUCAAUAGCUACUGUGGAUCCAGGGUUAUACUUUAUCAAAGCUUGUUGGUAUCUACUCAGUUUGCUGUAACUUUUCUUGUGAUCUUGGCCAAGUAAUUCAAGUGCUUUUUGUUUUGCUCUGUAUAACCUAUGCACACUGCACUCAAUGCCAUACUUUUUCAAAAGCUCAGCUGCUAUUAACUUGACACUGACUUCGGGAGUUGACUUGAAGAUAUGAAGAUAAGUGGCUGCAAUCCAGGUUGAAGUAGCUUCUCCGUUAUCAUCAUCAAUCCCACCACAUGUAUGAACAUCACAUAGGGUCUUAAUUUGAAAUGAGUUGCUGUUCCAGUUUGGACUAGCAUGAAUUCUCCAUGUACAUCCUGACUUAGCACAUCUAGCUGUCACUCUGGCUUUUUCAUUUUUAAGUCUAUACAAUCUGAAGCCAUUUCUGAUGGCAUAUACCCUCAACACCUUCCUAAACUCAUAAACAUCUACAAACAACUGACCAGGCCGUAGAACAAGGUUAUCUCCAUCUUGUGUGAACUCAAAUCCACCUGAAUUGGUGUCAUAUCUCACACAAGCAGCAAUUUCCUCAUCAGACGAAUCAAAUUCAUCACCAGUCUCAUCACCUGACUGAUAAUCAUCAAGAACAUAGUCACUUUCUUCACCAUCUGAUCUUGCAUUCUCUUCAUCACUUUCUUCACCAUCUGAUUUAGAAGUAUAAAUUGUGUCAGUUGAACCUUUGCCAUUUUUCCCAGAAUUCUCAGAGCUAAAGUGUACUGUCAUAUCAUCUUCGAGUAAAUAACCACUCCGAAUACUGAAUUGCGUCAUAUUAUUCUCAUUGUUAAUUUCUUCAACAUCAUCUAGUUCAUUCCAAUUAAUUUCAGGAUCGACAUUGAGGUUGACAGAAAACUGAUUUUCAGGAGUUAUCUCAGUCACCUUGCCAUCAACUACUGCUUCAACAUCAUAAUGCACAACACUGUAAUGCAAUAAAACAACAUAAAUAAAUGCUAUUAAUGUUAAAGAAAAAGCUAAAAUUUAGUAAAUAGAAAAUGCAAAGUGUAGUUGACUGGUAGUAGCACACAAAUGCAGCAUAUCAUCUAUUUCAAGCUUAUUAAAACCCACUUUAAAAAUUACAUCAUGAAUAUUACCAUAUGCUUGCAAAUGCAUAAUCAACCGUAACAUAAGCUAAAACCAUAUGCUUGCAAAAUACCCAAAAUGGUGUUGGAAAAUUUAUUCUCGAUUUUAUGUUUCACAGUUCCAUAAACAUUAUCAAAGAUGUGUCAAUGAACAAAUAAUGAAGCAUAAACUUGACAUUUACAAACAACUCACCAUAAUAUCAAUACGCUCUAAAUGGAGCAAAAAAAAAAAAAGCUUGAUUCAAAACUAACCUAUAAUUAAUUUCAACAUACCGAUUCAAAUCUUUCGAGCAUCGGUGAAAUUCAGAGCGGGACAUGAUGCAGAUUUAGUGUUUCUUCUUCACUUCACCCAAAUAAUAGAUACUGCUUUGCUAGAAAUUAAAAAAAAAAUUUCCUUCUCAACAGAGCUUUCGUCGUCUGAGCUUCAUGAAACUCAGCUUCAUGAAAGAGAAACGUGCAGUUUCAGAGAAAAGAGAAAAAGUUUUAAGCUUUGAUUCUUUUACAGUUUUUUAUUUAUAUCAAUUAUCACAAGGCACGAUUUUUUUCACAAUGAUUUGACAAUUCACUGGGCUCAUGUCAACUAAAAUGUGUAAAAGUUAGCUUGUCAAAUUAAAUUACUAAAUUGCCCAUAACUAACCAUAUGAGAUUUACCGUUUGCAUUCCGUAAGGGGGUUUUUACUAAUAAAUGAAUCUUGGCCAUCUAAGUGCAAAAGACCCAAAGCUCAAGGGAGGAAAGUAAAAAUUACCCUUACUAUUUCUCGUUGCACUUAUAAAGAAACCAAAGCUUUAAGAGAAAUCGGCCAAAUCAUGAAGAUUGAAGAGUAAAUCUAUGGUUUUAUAUUUAUAUUUUUAUUUUUAGAUAAUAGAUAUUAUUUUGAUGAAUUUUUAAUAUUAGAAUAAUGUUAGGAAUUUCGAUAGUAGAAUUCUAACUUGAGACCCAAUUGUUAUGUGUCAUUUUUUUAUUAGAUAAUAAAUUUCAUAAUUAGUAAAAUUAAUAUUUCAAUCAUCUAAUAAAUGACUAUCAUAUCAGUUGAGACUUAAUUAUUGGGAUCCUUAACAUUGCUCUUAGUAUUAAAUUGGACAUCUUAGCUAAAUCAGAUUAAAAAUCAAAUUAGAUUUUUGGCUUUUAUCCAACAUUUGUUUUUUGGUCUCUUUGUAGUGAACGAAAUAAAAAUACAACAGGUUCAACGACUGGGCAAUUGAUAGUCAAGUAGAAGCAAAUCAAGGCUAAAUGGGAAAGAAAAAUGAUAUGUGUACAAAACAAGGAGAAAAUCCGUGUAACUGAAGAGAAUCAAAGUGCUUUUGAGAUUAGAAAUUGAAGCAAGAAAAGGGUCGCUUGAUCCAUUGAAAAUGCUAAGAGCCAAUGGCAAAAGAGAACAAUGUUAAAUAAGAAAACAGCUAGCGCUAGCAGCGACCACAAUAGACAGAAAAGUUGAGAUGGAUUUACAAUAUUUCUGCCUUUCUUCAUGCUUUAACAAAUAUUGCUCUAUAAAAAAAAAUAUUGAGCGUUUUUAUUAUUGGAGUCACAAAAGACCUACACAAUAUAGCAAGUGCUAGGAAUAAAUAAGAAUAUAUAACUCUCUCUCUAAUUCUCACUCUAGCUUUUAAUUGUCAUUCAAAACCCAAAAUUCAUCCUUAAAGUGUAAGCAAAUCAAAGAUGACAGCGUCUGGUUGUCAUACGUGCCUUUUAGUUUUCGGAUGACAUGGCGUACACUUCUUCUGUAAACCGAACAUGACAUGUCGUACUCUUUGUUUUGAGAUCAUAUUUCAAACUCUUCAUGCUAUGAAUGUAAGAUAAACUACAAUCAUCAAAAUAUUUAGUGUUUAUUUGGUAAUGUAACGUCAUAGUUGUUGUGAAUUGAAAUUAUUUCUGUGAGAUAAAAGGAUUUGGGUCAUUGUUUGUUAUUCUCUGGCAAUAUUGUCUGGCCGUGACUAUUUGUUAAAUAUUAAAAAAAUAAAAUUAUAUUUAUUAAGUAUAAAAAAUAAAUAAACAAACAAAAAUAAAAGGAAAAGUUUAUACAUUACAUAAAAUAAUAAGAACAUUAUCAAUAUUUCACACUCUAUAAUUGAGUGAUGUGUUGUCCAACUGCCAUACAUUGGUCUCAAAUGGAGACUUAAAUAUUAAAGUCCAAAGUUAUUGUGAUGAUGACUUAUAAUCGCCAAACUUGACAUACNNNNNNNNNNNNNNNNNNNNNNNNNNNNNNNNNNNNNNNNNNNNNNNNNNNNNNNNNNNNNNNNNNNNNNNNNNNNNNNNNNNNNNNNNNNNNNNNNNNNNNNNNNNNNNNNNNNNNNNNNNNNNNNNNNNNNNNNNNNNNNNNNNNNNNCUGGAAGUUGCCAUUUGCCAAUGCUACUAACAUUUUUAAACUUAGAAAACCUUCAAUCAAUCAUUUAGUGGUAGGCUCUGGUAGCUUGCUUUGAUUAUGACAUAUGAUUAUUUGAUAAUAAAGUUAGAGGAUGUAUUAAUAUAAAAUUUGUUUAUUGGUGUUGAAGUUAAUUAUCUCAUUAAUAAUAGUAUAAAAAGUUAAUCACUAAGAAACACAUAGCAAUAUUCUGGGAUAUAAUUUUAUAUCAUAACUUUGUAAGUGUAUAAUUACUCAUUAAAUUAACAAAAUUAUUUUAAAAUAUUUAGUUAAAAAAAUAAAUUAUAUUCUUUUUAUUUCAAAUAAUCUAUAAGUUAACACAAAACAUAAUCAAGAUGAGAAUUAAAAUAAUGCUACUGUAUGAGAGGAUUUUUAUUUUUUCCCGAAGUUUCACUAGGAAAUUAUUGAUAUAUAGCUUUAUUCGGAUCAUCUCAGAUCAAACGACAAAUAAUUGAAAGACUAAACUAAAUAGACCAGCCAACAACUUUGUACAGCAGAGUUCAAAAAUUAAGGUCAUGGUAUUGAGGUGUUCUAUCUUCAAAAGUACGGUAUAGUGAUAAAAUAAAAACUAUUAGUCUUUGGUAAGAUAUGACUUUUAAAUAAUAAUUUUCACAAAAAUACAAAGAAUAUUUAUAAAGUACUUCUAUAGUGAGGAGACCCUCGCUUUGUUAAAGUGAAAAUAUCAAUAAUAUACAAGAAACAUAUAUUUUAACACAUUAAGAAUUGUAUCUUUUUAAUCUAUUGGUGUAUUGAAAUAUGUGUUAUUUAGUUUGUUAGUGAUAUCAUCACUUUGUUAAAAUAAGGAUGUCAGAACCAUUAUAUAUAAGAAAGCAAAUAUAUUUUGUACGGUAUAAUAGUGUAAUAACAUCACCCGAGUAUAUCAUAUAGAGUAAUAGUUUUUGGAACUUUAAUAAAGUUCAAGAUUAUAGAAUGAAUGAUUUAUAUAUAUUUUAAAUUUUUUAUCAUAAAGUGGAGGACAAAAGUAACAUAUUUUUCAAAUUAUAAUAAGUAUUUAUCAAAUAAUUUAACAUCGUAAUUUCUCCUAACUAGUGUAGUAAAUACGACCUAGGAGGUACAUUCAAAGCAUUUCAUAAGUUAAUUGUUAAUAAUAAAUGAUACAUGCAGCUCCAAUCAUCAUUGUACGGUGAGUAAUUUCCAGUUAUAAAUAGAUAUUACUCCCUUCCCAGCAAUUUUUGAUGGCUUAAUUUAGUGGGAUCAAAAUCAACAUUGAAUGUCAAAAUAUUAAUGGCCAUGAUGCUUAUUCCAAUGUGAGUAGAUCACAGUGGGUACUGCACAUGAUGCUUGUUUCUCCUUUUGCAUCUAUUUUUGUUGUUAACAUUAAUUUCAAUACCAGCUCGUUAUGUAUGCAACAUUUCAAAAUUAAUCCAAAAGAACAAAAAUUAGUUCAGCUGACUAAAUUUGAAAGCAUGUAUUUGCUGUCGAUUAAAAAUCGUUUUGUAGGGAAAAUUUUUGGAUUGCAAUUCUCAUACAAUACGUAAAAUUAUCAUAAUCUAUAAAUUGUAUUUUUGAUUUUCUGUGGUAGUAAGUUAGACUCCUUAGUGACGAUUUAAAUUGAAAAAAUAAAAUCAUAAAUAAGAAUUAUUUGACAAGAAUUAAAAUAAUUGAUAAAUAUUUGAGAGGAGCAAUUUUGGAAGAUUCGAUUUCUAAUCGGAGGGGAAUUUGAAUUUUACAGCCUUCGGUGAGGAAUCCAAAAUGCACAAUUUGAUGAAAAUUAAAUUUCAAUAGAAAUUGAAUUCCCUUUAUUAGUGAAAACCAAACAACAGAAAAGUGAAAGGAAUUUGAAUUCAUUUCCUUCCUCUCUUCUCCCUCCAACUAAAUACCAUCGAAAUCCAAAGGUAUGGGAUUGGGAUUCCAUACUGAUCAGAAUGGGAUUUGUUCAUAUUAUUAGGACCAAUUUUAAAAGCAGUCGGAGUUUCGGAGUUUAAGAUUGAAAUUAAUCCCAAUUGUUGAUUUGGGACUCGAUAAGAAUUUAUCUUGGAACUCCAAUUCUCCCAAUUAUUUUAGUUGACAAUAUGUUUAACAUUAUUUUUUAAACAUUAUUAAUUGCAUAUUAUUUAAUUAUCAGUAUAUAAUAUUCUUUAAUUUUCUAAUUUUAUAGGAUUAGACACAAAAUUGAUUAUGCCUUUUGAAAUUUAAGUGUUAUGUCAAUUGAAUAGAAAACUUGGAGUAAAACUUUUGGAUGCUUUUGUUGAUUAUCAAUUUAUGCAUGAAUUUUUGUACGUUUAUUUUGGUUUCUUAUUAUUACUUUUAAACAUUUUUAUUGGUUUGAUUUAGGGUUAGUUUGGUAAUCCUGUAUCUUUAAAAUUAAUUACAGUUAGCUAUGCUGUAGAAAUUGAUAAAUCGUGAAAAGAAUCAACCGAACAUUUAGGUGGCGUUUGUUUUUUUGUCUGAAAUCUGAAUAGACCUGAAUUAGUCUGAAUUCUGAAUAGGUCUGAAUGUCUGAAUCUGAAUAAUAUGUUUGUUUUUUCGUCUGAAUCUCGGAAAAUAAGUAUUAAGUUGUUUUUUUUUUCAACUUAAAAAGCUGAAAAUAUGUACUUUUACAUUUGUAUCCUUAUUAAAUUUGAAUGUCAAAUAAAUAAUAUAUUAAAUACCAUAAUAUUUUAACAUUUAUAAGUAAAACUAUAUUCAAGUGAAUACAUAAUUAUUUUGGAAUUUUAAUAUAUAAAAUACCAUAAAUUUCAAAUUUUAUUGUAUAUAAUAUAAGAAAGAAAAAAUAGGGAUAUUUUUAUGUGAGGUAAAUAUCUAUGGGUGAGUUUUGGGAUAGACAUGAAAAAUAAAUUAUAAAACAGGGAUAUUUUUUACAUUAGCAAGCAAUUGACUUAAUUCAUAUUUCUCCAUUAAGUAAAAAGCCAAAAAAAUUAGCUUAUUUUAUUAAGUCAAAAUUAUCUAAAAAGUCUCAUUAAGUUAUAAAAACAAACACGUCUAAUUAACUUAAUUAAUUAAGUUAAGUCACUUUAAGUCAUUAAGUUAAAAAACAAACACCACCUUAGUAAAUUUUAUUUUAAAAAGUACAUUUAGUUUUAAAAUCAGUCGUAUGUGUUUCAUAAAUCUUAUUGUUAAAUCAGUGCAAGAAUGUAAAUGACUGAAUCAGACAUAAUGCUAAAUAAAAUUUAUUUAGACAUUUACAAACACGUAUAUAAAAUAUUUUUAUUACGUACAUAUAAUUAUUGAUAACUAAAAUAAAUAUUUUAUAUUAUUAAAUUUUAUUCUCUAUUUUGUUAUGUCCAUAUAAUUGGUAAUAAUAAUAAUUUCUUUAAAGUUUUGUAGGGAAAAUUUUUAGAUUGCAAUUCUCAUACAAUACAUGGAAUUAUCAUAAUCUAUAAAUUGUAUUUUUGCUUUUCUGUGGUAGUAAGUCAGGCUCCUUAGUGACAAUUUAAAUUGAAAAAAUAAAAUCAUAAAUAAGAAUUAUUUGAUAAGAAUUAAAAUAAUUGAUAAAUAUUUGAGAGGAGCAAUUUUGGAAGAUUCGAUUUCUAAUAGGAGGGGAAUUUGAAUUUUACAGCCUUCGGUGGGGAAUCCAAAAUGCACAAUUUGAUGAAAAUUAAAUUUAAAUAGAAAUUAAAUUCCCAUAUAUUAGUGAAAACCAAACAACAGAAAAGUGAAAGGAGUUUGAAUUUCAGGGUCCAACUACAAUACCUGCGGGGUUUGGUACCCUAUUUUUUGUCUUUUUCAAACCUACCGUUGGAUUUAAUGUAAGAAUUGCGUAAUGGCUGAGAUGUGAUUAUUGGGUUAUUAACAUCAAAGACCCUUAUUGUUCAUGCAAAAUAAACAAAAUCAAAAGUUUUGAAAUUUGACAUAUAAGUCCAUAAUAUUCUCUCUUUUUUUUUUAACUCCAUUGAAAUAGGUUUCCAAUUAAAUGACUUAUUCUUACAUUUAUUAAUAUCUAUUUAAAUUAAUUAAUUAAUUAAUUAAUUAAUUAACUACUUUGUUAUAUAGUUAAACAAUGCAUGUAUAUUAUUUACUAACCAUAAUUAGUGAUAAGUAUAAAUAUGAUCUUUUUUUUUUAAUUUAACAUAAUGGCAACCAAUUAUCUCUCACCUAUGUGAACAAGGUUCAAAACCCAUAAUUUUGUUUUUCAACACAAGAGAUUUUAUUAUCUCAAGUAGAUGAAAUAUACAAAAUACAAAAAUAAACUUAAUUUCAUAUUCUAUGUAGUUAAUUUUUUUUGUAACAUAAUAUUUAUUAAACAUACUAUCAACUAUUUAAUUAUAUAGUAAAAAUAUGUUAAUUUACUAAUAAUAAUAAAAUGUUAGUUUAUUAACUUGUAAAAUCUUUUUGUUAACAAUGAGUUUUUGUCCUUAAAUAAAUAAAAAUAAUUUAAUUGCACGCUUAAAUAAAUUGGUAUUUGUUACUCCACCCCAACUAUUUAAAUAGUCAUUAACUUAUCGGAGAGAAGGGUAAAAAAAUUCUAAACAAUUACUCUAUUUGAAAAUAAUUUAAAUAUUUCUUUAAAAAAAACUAAAAAUAAGUAUUUUCUAUUCUUUCUUCUUUCUUGCUAACAUCACAGAUGGAUAACAAUAGAGAUGGCAAUUCAACACAUAUCUAUCAAUUAAAAUAGAAGUCAAUUAAUAUAAUUAAGUGAAUAAUUAAUUGUGUCAUGAAUGAAUUAUCAUAUUAGGAGUUUUAAAACCAAACCCAAUAGAAUUAUUAAUCAAGUUAACAGCUAGAAAGAGCAAACAAAUCCAUUCAAGUUGGAUGUCUAAGUAUCUGAUCUGAAUAGAUUGGAUAGUAUCCAUAUAAAAUACUCUGAAUUUGAUUUAUUCAAUAUCCAUCCAUGAACUUGAAUAUUAGUAAUAUUUAAGUGUAUGAGACUAAAAUUAAGUAUUAUAUUUAAUAUUUAAGUUUNNNNNNNNNNNNNNNNNNNNNNNNNNNNNNNNNNNNNNNNNNNNNNNNNNNNNNNNNNNNNNNNNNNNNNNNNNNNNNNNNNNNNNNNNNNNNNNNNNNNNNNNNNNNNNNNNNNNNNNNNNNNNNNNNNNNNNNNNNNNNNNNNNNNNNNNNNNNNNNNNNNNNNNNNNNNNNNNNNNNNNNNNNNNNNNNNNNNNNNNNNNNNNNNNNNNNNNNNNNNNNNNNNNNNNNNNNNNNNNNNNNNNNNNNNNNNNNNNNNNNNNNNNNNNNNNNNNNNNNNNNNNNNNNNNNNNNNNNNNNNNNNNNNNNNNNNNNNNNNNNNNNNNNNNNNNNNNNNNNNNNNNNNNNNNNNNNNNNNNNNNNNNNNNNNNNNNNNNNNNNNNNNNNNNNNNNNNNNNNNNNNNNNNNNNNNNNNNNNNNNNNNNNNNNNNNNNNNNNNNNNNNNNNNNNNNNNNNNNNNNNNNNNNNNNNNNNNNNNNNNNNNNNNNNNNNNNNNNNNNNNNNNNNNNNNNNNNNNNNNNNNNNNNNNNNNNNNNNNNNNNNNNNNNNNNNNNNNNNNNNNNNNNNNNNNNNNNNNNNNNNNNNNNNNNNNNNNNNNNNNNNNNNNNNNNNNNNNNNNNNNNNNNNNNNNNNNNNNNNNNNNNNNNNNNNNNNNNNNNNNNNNNNNNNNNNNNNNNNNNNNNNNNNNNNNNNNNNNNNNNNNNNNNNNNNNNNNNNNNNNNNNNNNNNNNNNNNNNNNNNNNNNNNNNNNNNNNNNNNNNNNNNNNNNNNNNNNNNNNNNNNNNNNNNNNNNNNNNNNNNNNNNNNNNNNNNNNNNNNNNNNNNNNNNNNNNNNNNNNNNNNNNNNNNNNNNNNNNNNNNNNNNNNNNNNNNNNNNNNNNNNNNNNNNNNNNNNNNNNNNNNNNNNNNNNNNNNNNNNNNNNNNNNNNNNNNNNNNNNNNNNNNNNNNNNNNNNNNNNNNNNNNNNNNNNNNNNNNNNNNNNNNNNNNNNNNNNNNNNNNNNNNNNNNNNNNNNNNNNNNNNNNNNNNNNNNNNNNNNNNNNNNNNNNNNNNNNNNNNNNNNNNNNNNNNNNNNNNNNNNNNNNNNNNNNNNNNNNNNNNNNNNNNNNNNNNNNNNNNNNNNNNNNNNNNNNNNNNNNNNNNNNNNNNNNNNNNNNNNNNNNNNNNNNNNNNNNNNNNNNNNNNNNNNNNNNNNNNNNNNNNNNNNNNNNNNNNNNNNNNNNNNNNNNNNNNNNNNNNNNNNNNNNNNNNNNNNNNNNNNNNNNNNNNNNNNNNNNNNNNNNNNNNNNNNNNNNNNNNNNNNNNNNNNNNNNNNNNNNNNNNNNNNNNNNNNNNNNNNNNNNNNNNNNNNNNNNNNNNNNNNNNNNNNNNNNNNNNNNNNNNNNNNNNNNNNNNNNNNNNNNNNNNNNNNNNNNNNNNNNNNNNNNNNNNNNNNNNNNNNNNNNNNNNNNNNNNNNNNNNNNNNNNNNNNNNNNNNNNNNNNNNNNNNNNNNNNNNNNNNNNNNNNNNNNNNNNNNNNNNNNNNNNNNNNNNNNNNNNNNNNNNNNNNNNNNNNNNNNNNNNNNNNNNNNNNNNNNNNNNNNNNNNNNNNNNNNNNNNNNNNNNNNNNNNNNNNNNNNNNNNNNNNNNNNNNNNNNNNNNNNNNNNNNNNNNNNNNNNNNNNNNNNNNNNNNNNNNNNNNNNNNNNNNNNNNNNNNNNNNNNNNNNNNNNNNNNNNNNNNNNNNNNNNNNNNNNNNNNNNNNNNNNNNNNNNNNNNNNNNNNNNNNNNNNNNNNNNNNNNNNNNNNNNNNNNNNNNNNNNNNNNNNNNNNNNNNNNNNNNNNNNNNNNNNNNNNNNNNNNNNNNNNNNNNNNNNNNNNNNNNNNNNNNNNNNNNNNNNNNNNNNNNNNNNNNNNNNNNNNNNNNNNNNNNNNNNNNNNNNNNNNNNNNNNNNNNNNNNNNNNNNNNNNNNNNNNNNNNNNNNNNNNNNNNNNNNNNNNNNNNNNNNNNNNNNNNNNNNNNNNNNNNNNNNNNNNNNNNNNNNNNNNNNNNNNNNNNNNNNNNNNNNNNNNNNNNNNNNNNNNNNNNNNNNNNNNNNNNNNNNNNNNNNNNNNNNNNNNNNNNNNNNNNNNNNNNNNNNNNNNNNNNNNNNNNNNNNNNNNNNNNNNNNNNNNNNNNNNNNNNNNNNNNNNNNNNNNNNNNNNNNNNNNNNNNNNNNNNNNNNNNNNNNNNNNNNNNNNNNNNNNNNNNNNNNNNNNNNNNNNNNNNNNNNNNNNNNNNNNNNNNNNNNNNNNNNNNNNNNNNNNNNNNNNNNNNNNNNNNNNNNNNNNNNNNNNNNNNNNNNNNNNNNNNNNNNNNNNNNNNNNNNNNNNNNNNNNNNNNNNNNNNNNNNNNNNNNNNNNNNNNNNNNNNNNNNNNNNNNNNNNNNNNNNNNNNNNNNNNNNNNNNNNNNNNNNNNNNNNNNNNNNNNNNNNNNNNNNNNNNNNNNNNNNNNNNNNNNNNNNNNNNNNNNNNNNNNNNNNNNNNNNNNNNNNNNNNNNNNNNNNNNNNNNNNNNNNNNNNNNNNNNNNNNNNNNNNNNNNNNNNNNNNNNNNNNNNNNNNNNNNNNNNNNNNNNNNNNNNNNNNNNNNNNNNNNNNNNNNNNNNNNNNNNNNNNNNNNNNNNNNNNNNNNNNNNNNNNNNNNNNNNNNNNNNNNNNNNNNNNNNNNNNNNNNNNNNNNNNNNNNNNNNNNNNNNNNNNNNNNNNNNNNNNNNNNNNNNNNNNNNNNNNNNNNNNNNNNNNNNNNNNNNNNNNNNNNNNNNNNNNNNNNNNNNNNNNNNNNNNNNNNNNNNNNNNNNNNNNNNNNNNNNNNNNNNNNNNNNNNNNNNNNNNNNNNNNNNNNNNNNNNNNNNNNNNNNNNNNNNNNNNNNNNNNNNNNNNNNNNNNNNNNNNNNNNNNNNNNNNNNNNNNNNNNNNNNNNNNNNNNNNNNNNNNNNNNNNNNNNNNNNNNNNNNNNNNNNNNNNNNNNNNNNNNNNNNNNNNNNNNNNNNNNNNNNNNNNNNNNNNNNNNNNNNNNNNNNNNNNNNNNNNNNNNNNNNNNNNNNNNNNNNNNNNNNNNNNNNNNNNNNNNNNNNNNNNNNNNNNNNNNNNNNNNNNNNNNNNNNNNNNNNNNNNNNNNNNNNNNNNNNNNNNNNNNNNNNNNNNNNNNNNNNNNNNNNNNNNNNNNNNNNNNNNNNNNNNNNNNNNNNNNNNNNNNNNNNNNNNNNNNNNNNNNNNNNNNNNNNNNNNNNNNNNNNNNNNNNNNNNNNNNNNNNNNNNNNNNNNNNNNNNNNNNNNNNNNNNNNNNNNNNNNNNNNNNNNNNNNNNNNNNNNNNNNNNNNNNNNNNNNNNNNNNNNNNNNNNNNNNNNNNNNNNNNNNNNNNNNNNNNNNNNNNNNNNNNNNNNNNNNNNNNNNNNNNNNNNNNNNNNNNNNNNNNNNNNNNNNNNNNNNNNNNNNNNNNNNNNNNNNNNNNNNNNNNNNNNNNNNNNNNNNNNNNNNNNNNNNNNNNNNNNNNNNNNNNNNNNNNNNNNNNNNNNNNNNNNNNNNNNNNNNNNNNNNNNNNNNNNNNNNNNNNNNNNNNNNNNNNNNNNNNNNNNNNNNNNNNNNNNNNNNNNNNNNNNNNNNNNNNNNNNNNNNNNNNNNNNNNNNNNNNNNNNNNNNNNNNNNNNNNNNNNNNNNNNNNNNNNNNNNNNNNNNNNNNNNNNNNNNNNNNNNNNNNNNNNNNNNNNNNNNNNNNNNNNNNNNNNNNNNNNNNNNNNNNNNNNNNNNNNNNNNNNNNNNNNNNNNNNNNNNNNNNNNNNNNNNNNNNNNNNNNNNNNNNNNNNNNNNNNNNNNNNNNNNNNNNNNNNNNNNNNNNNNNNNNNNNNNNNNNNNNNNNNNNNNNNNNNNNNNNNNNNNNNNNNNNNNNNNNNNNNNNNNNNNNNNNNNNNNNNNNNNNNNNNNNNNNNNNNNNNNNNNNNNNNNNNNNNNNNNNNNNNNNNNNNNNNNNNNNNNNNNNNNNNNNNNNNNNNNNNNNNNNNNNNNNNNNNNNNNNNNNNNNNNNNNNNNNNNNNNNNNNNNNNNNNNNNNNNNNNNNNNNNNNNNNNNNNNNNNNNNNNNNNNNNNNNNNNNNNNNNNNNNNNNNNNNNNNNNNNNNNNNNNNNNNNNNNNNNNNNNNNNNNNNNNNNNNNNNNNNNNNNNNNNNNNNNNNNNNNNNNNNNNNNNNNNNNNNNNNNNNNNNNNNNNNNNNNNNNNNNNNNNNNNNNNNNNNNNNNNNNNNNNNNNNNNNNNNNNNNNNNNNNNNNNNNNNNNNNNNNNNNNNNNNNNNNNNNNNNNNNNNNNNNNNNNNNNNNNNNNNNNNNNNNNNNNNNNNNNNNNNNNNNNNNNNNNNNNNNNNNNNNNNNNNNNNNNNNNNNNNNNNNNNNNNNNNNNNNNNNNNNNNNNNNNNNNNNNNNNNNNNNNNNNNNNNNNNNNNNNNNNNNNNNNNNNNNNNNNNNNNNNNNNNNNNNNNNNNNNNNNNNNNNNNNNNNNNNNNNNNNNNNNNNNNNNNNNNNNNNNNNNNNNNNNNNNNNNNNNNNNNNNNNNNNNNNNNNNNNNNNNNNNNNNNNNNNNNNNNNNNNNNNNNNNNNNNNNNNNNNNNNNNNNNNNNNNNNNNNNNNNNNNNNNNNNNNNNNNNNNNNNNNNNNNNNNNNNNNNNNNNNNNNNNNNNNNNNNNNNNNNNNNNNNNNNNNNNNNNNNNNNNNNNNNNNNNNNNNNNNNNNNNNNNNNNNNNNNNNNNNNNNNNNNNNNNNNNNNNNNNNNNNNNNNNNNNNNNNNNNNNNNNNNNNNNNNNNNNNNNNNNNNNNNNNNNNNNNNNNNNNNNNNNNNNNNNNNNNNNNNNNNNNNNNNNNNNNNNNNNNNNNNNNNNNNNNNNNNNNNNNNNNNNNNNNNNNNNNNNNNNNNNNNNNNNNNNNNNNNNNNNNNNNNNNNNNNNNNNNNNNNNNNNNNNNNNNNNNNNNNNNNNNNNNNNNNNNNNNNNNNNNNNNNNNNNNNNNNNNNNNNNNNNNNNNNNNNNNNNNNNNNNNNNNNNNNNNNNNNNNNNNNNNNNNNNNNNNNNNNNNNNNNNNNNNNNNNNNNNNNNNNNNNNNNNNNNNNNNNNNNNNNNNNNNNNNNNNNNNNNNNNNNNNNNNNNNNNNNNNNNNNNNNNNNNNNNNNNNNNNNNNNNNNNNNNNNNNNNNNNNNNNNNNNNNNNNNNNNNNNNNNNNNNNNNNNNNNNNNNNNNNNNNNNNNNNNNNNNNNNNNNNNNNNNNNNNNNNNNNNNNNNNNNNNNNNNNNNNNNNNNNNNNNNNNNNNNNNNNNNNNNNNNNNNNNNNNNNNNNNNNNNNNNNNNNNNNNNNNNNNNNNNNNNNNNNNNNNNNNNNNNNNNNNNNNNNNNNNNNNNNNNNNNNNNNNNNNNNNNNNNNNNNNNNNNNNNNNNNNNNNNNNNNNNNNNNNNNNNNNNNNNNNNNNNNNNNNNNNNNNNNNNNNNNNNNNNNNNNNNNNNNNNNNNNNNNNNNNNNNNNNNNNNNNNNNNNNNNNNNNNNNNNNNNNNNNNNNNNNNNNNNNNNNNNNNNNNNNNNNNNNNNNNNNNNNNNNNNNNNNNNNNNNNNNNNNNNNNNNNNNNNNNNNNNNNNNNNNNNNNNNNNNNNNNNNNNNNNNNNNNNNNNNNNNNNNNNNNNNNNNNNNNNNNNNNNNNNNNNNNNNNNNNNNNNNNNNNNNNNNNNNNNNNNNNNNNNNNNNNNNNNNNNNNNNNNNNNNNNNNNNNNNNNNNNNNNNNNNNNNNNNNNNNNNNNNNNNNNNNNNNNNNNNNNNNNNNNNNNNNNNNNNNNNNNNNNNNNNNNNNNNNNNNNNNNNNNNNNNNNNNNNNNNNNNNNNNNNNNNNNNNNNNNNNNNNNNNNNNNNNNNNNNNNNNNNNNNNNNNNNNNNNNNNNNNNNNNNNNNNNNNNNNNNNNNNNNNNNNNNNNNNNNNNNNNNNNNNNNNNNNNNNNNNNNNNNNNNNNNNNNNNNNNNNNNNNNNNNNNNNNNNNNNNNNNNNNNNNNNNNNNNNNNNNNNNNNNNNNNNNNNNNNNNNNNNNNNNNNNNNNNNNNNNNNNNNNNNNNNNNNNNNNNNNNNNNNNNNNNNNNNNNNNNNNNNNNNNNNNNNNNNNNNNNNNNNNNNNNNNNNNNNNNNNNNNNNNNNNNNNNNNNNNNNNNNNNNNNNNNNNNNNNNNNNNNNNNNNNNNNNNNNNNNNNNNNNNNNNNNNNNNNNNNNNNNNNNNNNNNNNNNNNNNNNNNNNNNNNNNNNNNNNNNNNNNNNNNNNNNNNNNNNNNNNNNNNNNNNNNNNNNNNNNNNNNNNNNNNNNNNNNNNNNNNNNNNNNNNNNNNNNNNNNNNNNNNNNNNNNNNNNNNNNNNNNNNNNNNNNNNNNNNNNNNNNNNNNNNNNNNNNNNNNNNNNNNNNNNNNNNNNNNNNNNNNNNNNNNNNNNNNNNNNNNNNNNNNNNNNNNNNNNNNNNNNNNNNNNNNNNNNNNNNNNNNNNNNNNNNNNNNNNNNNNNNNNNNNNNNNNNNNNNNNNNNNNNNNNNNNNNNNNNNNNNNNNNNNNNNNNNNNNNNNNNNNNNNNNNNNNNNNNNNNNNNNNNNNNNNNNNNNNNNNNNNNNNNNNNNNNNNNNNNNNNNNNNNNNNNNNNNNNNNNNNNNNNNNNNNNNNNNNNNNNNNNNNNNNNNNNNNNNNNNNNNNNNNNNNNNNNNNNNNNNNNNNNNNNNNNNNNNNNNNNNNNNNNNNNNNNNNNNNNNNNNNNNNNNNNNNNNNNNNNNNNNNNNNNNNNNNNNNNNNNNNNNNNNNNNNNNNNNNNNNNNNNNNNNNNNNNNNNNNNNNNNNNNNNNNNNNNNNNNNNNNNNNNNNNNNNNNNNNNNNNNNNNNNNNNNNNNNNNNNNNNNNNNNNNNNNNNNNNNNNNNNNNNNNNNNNNNNNNNNNNNNNNNNNNNNNNNNNNNNNNNNNNNNNNNNNNNNNNNNNNNNNNNNNNNNNNNNNNNNNNNNNNNNNNNNNNNNNNNNNNNNNNNNNNNNNNNNNNNNNNNNNNNNNNNNNNNNNNNNNNNNNNNNNNNNNNNNNNNNNNNNNNNNNNNNNNNNNNNNNNNNNNNNNNNNNNNNNNNNNNNNNNNNNNNNNNNNNNNNNNNNNNNNNNNNNNNNNNNNNNNNNNNNNNNNNNNNNNNNNNNNNNNNNNNNNNNNNNNNNNNNNNNNNNNNNNNNNNNNNNNNNNNNNNNNNNNNNNNNNNNNNNNNNNNNNNNNNNNNNNNNNNNNNNNNNNNNNNNNNNNNNNNNNNNNNNNNNNNNNNNNNNNNNNNNNNNNNNNNNNNNNNNNNNNNNNNNNNNNNNNNNNNNNNNNNNNNNNNNNNNNNNNNNNNNNNNNNNNNNNNNNNNNNNNNNNNNNNNNNNNNNNNNNNNNNNNNNNNNNNNNNNNNNNNNNNNNNNNNNNNNNNNNNNNNNNNNNNNNNNNNNNNNNNNNNNNNNNNNNNNNNNNNNNNNNNNNNNNNNNNNNNNNNNNNNNNNNNNNNNNNNNNNNNNNNNNNNNNNNNNNNNNNNNNNNNNNNNNNNNNNNNNNNNNNNNNNNNNNNNNNNNNNNNNNNNNNNNNNNNNNNNNNNNNNNNNNNNNNNNNNNNNNNNNNNNNNNNNNNNNNNNNNNNNNNNNNNNNNNNNNNNNNNNNNNNNNNNNNNNNNNNNNNNNNNNNNNNNNNNNNNNNNNNNNNNNNNNNNNNNNNNNNNNNNNNNNNNNNNNNNNNNNNNNNNNNNNNNNNNNNNNNNNNNNNNNNNNNNNNNNNNNNNNNNNNNNNNNNNNNNNNNNNNNNNNNNNNNNNNNNNNNNNNNNNNNNNNNNNNNNNNNNNNNNNNNNNNNNNNNNNNNNNNNNNNNNNNNNNNNNNNNNNNNNNNNNNNNNNNNNNNNNNNNNNNNNNNNNNNNNNNNNNNNNNNNNCUAGUUCUUGCCUGCCUUGCUGCCAUUACCCAGGCCAUUACAUUGCAUAGCAUAAGGAAUAGUGAUUAGGUGCUUAUUAGUGAUUCGUUGAGCUUAUUAUUGACAAACCAACAUAUUCGCCUUUACCCACAACUUAGUUUGAUUAGUUAUUGUUGUGUAAUAGACCAAGUUCGUAACCCAACUGAAGCAAUUAAUCAGAUUUACAAAACAAGCAAGAACCCAGAAAACGAACCAGGGGAUACAGUCAAGUAACCAAGAACAAGAAAGAAAACUUAAUCAAGAGAUACAAAACAGAGGUUAACGUGGUUCAGUACCAUGAGUACUUACAUCCACGAUCAGGAACAGUAGAGCUAAAGCUUUAUUAGGAGAUAUCAAGAUUACAAUGGAAUCCACUCAGAGCAAGAAACUAAACUCACACAGAGAAUCUUUCUCAACUCACAAACUAUCUCACUUGACUAACUGAUCAGCUCUCUCUCUCACUGAAGCUAUAAAGCUAGCAGUUUACAGCUGGUUAUAACGACUAACUAAAACCACCUGGGGACCCACCCAUGCUGACUCAGCUUUCCAGCUCAGCUAAUAUAUAUAACCGAAUGUAACUAACUUGAUUCCACAAAUCUCCACCUUAGUUAACUCGGUUAUGGCUUUACUCAUCACUGCUCCAUCACCAGUUAACUUGUCUCACAAGUUAAUAACCCCAAUCAAGUCCAAGGAGUUCCUGAACUUAACUGUUGGCAAAGGUUUUGUUAGCAUGUCUGCUGGAUUUACUUCAGUAGGAAUUUUAAUGACAUUGAUUACACCAUUUCGAAUUUCUUCCCUGAUAAAGUGCAUCCUCACAUCCACAUGUUUUGUUCUUUCAUGGUACUUGGGGUUUUUGCUCAACUGUAUAGCACUUGAGCUAUCACAAUUGACAGUGACUGAUUCUUGUUCCAAACCCAGUUUUGUAACUAACCCCUUCAACCAUAAUGCUUCUUUCACAGCCUCUGUUAAAGCAAUAUACUCUACCUCUGUUGUUGAGAGAGCAAUUACUGAUUGUAAUGUUGACUUCCAGCUCACAGCUCCACCACAGAGAGUAAACACAAGACCAGUGACUGACCUUCUCCUAUCUAAAUCUCCUGCAAAGUCAGAAUCAACAGAUCCCACAACUUGGCUAGAUGCAUUACUAACUUGUCCAANNNNNNNNNNNNNNNNNNNNNNNNNNNNNNNNNNNNNNNNNNNNNNNNNNNNNNNNNNNNNNNNNNNNNNNNNNNNNNNNNNNNNNNNNNNNNNNNNNNNNNNNNNNNNNNNNNNNNNNNNNNNNNNNNNNNNNNNNNNNNNNNNNNNNNNNNNNNNNNNNNNNNNNNNNNNNNNNNNNNNNNNNNNNNNNNNNNNNNNNNNNNNNNNNNNNNNNNNNNNNNNNNNNNNNNNNNNNNNNNNNNNNNNNNNNNNNNNNNNNNNNNNNNNNNNNNNNNNNNNNNNNNNNNNNNNNNNNNNNNNNNNNNNNNNNNNNNNNNNNNNNNNNNNNNNNNNNNNNNNNNNNNNNNNNNNNNNNNNNNNNNNNNNNNNNNNNNNNNNNNNNNNNNNNNNNNNNNNNNNNNNNNNNNNNNNNNNNNNNNNNNNNNNNNNNNNNNNNNNNNNNNNNNNNNNNNNNNNNNNNNNNNNNNNNNNNNNNNNNNNNNNNNNNNNNNNNNNNNNNNNNNNNNNNNNNNNNNNNNNNNNNNNNNNNNNNNNNNNNNNNNNNNNNNNNNNNNNNNNNNNNNNNNNNNNNNNNNNNNNNNNNNNNNNNNNNNNNNNNNNNNNNACUGCUUCAAUCCAUACAAGCUUUUCUUGAGUAAGCAAACCAUGUCUUCAGUUCCUUCUCAAUAAAGCCUUCUGGCUGAGCCAUCAGGAUUUCUUCUUCUAAGUUUCCAUGUAAAAAAGCAGUCUUCACAUCCAUCUGGUCCAAUUCUAAAUCAAAGUAGGCUGUGAUGGCUAAUAGAACCCUUAUAGAGGAAUGUUUCACAACAGGUGAGAAGACUUCAUUGAAGUCUAUCCCUUCCUUUUGUGUGAACCCCUUUGCCACAAGCCUGGCUUUAUACCUCACUGAUUUACUUCCAGCAACUCCCUCCUUGAGUUUAAAGAUCCAUUUGCAGCCCACCAAUCUUCUUCCAGCAGGCCUCUGAACUAGCACCCAAGUGUUAUUGUCUUUCAGUGAUGCCAUUUCUUCUUUCAUAGCACUAAGCCAUUUUAGCUUAUCUCUGCUAUUCAUAGCCUGCUUGUAGCUUUUAGGUUCUUCUCCAGUCAUCUCAUUAGCAACCAUUAGUGCAUAGGAUAUUAAGUCAGCAAUCCCAUAUCUUUUGGGCAGUUUAACUACCCUCCUUUCUCUAUCCCUCGCAAGCUGAUAGUUAUCAAGUUCUGAUGUUGUAGUACUUUCUUGAUGGUGCUCAGUCAUCUCUUUACUUACUUCCAAAUUGUCUCUGGACUCCACCUUCAACUUAGAUCUCUUUUGAGGUUCAGAUAUUUCAACUUCUGUUCCAACCUUCUGCUGCAACAUAGCUUCCUCAUUAAACACUACAUCUCUACUAAUCAAGGUUCUGGAUGGCUUGCCAUCAAUGCACCAGAUUUUGUACCCCUUUAUGCCUUCAGGAUACCCAAUGAAGUAUCCUUUCACAGCCCUUGGUUCUAGCUUGCCCUGACUUAUAUGAGCAUAAGCUGGGCAGCCAAACACCCUGAGAUUACCAAGAUUUGGUGGCUUCCCUGACCAUGCUUCUUGUGGUGUUUUGAAAUCUAAAGCUGAUGAAGGGCUCCUAUUUAUUAGAUAUGCAGCUGUAUUAACUGCCUCAGCCCAAAAAUGCUUUGACAGAUUUGCAUUAAACAACAUGCAUCUGACCUUUUCAAUUAAGGUUCUAUUCAUCCUUUCAGCCAAGCCAUUUUGCUGGGGAGUGUGUCUCACUGUCCUAUGUCUUGCAAUGCCCUUUGAUUUACAAAAAUUUUCAAAGUCACUGCUGCAGAAUUCCAGGCCAUUAUCAGUCCUCAGCCUUUUAAGCUUCUUUUCUGUUUGGGUUUCCAUAAGUGCAGUCCACUCUUUAAACCUUUCAAAUGCUUCACUCUUAUGCUUCAGCACAUAGACCCACACUCUUCUAGAGUAAUCAUCUAUGAAUGUGAUGAAGUACCUAGCUCCACCAUGAGAGGGAACUUGGGAUGGUCCCCAAAGGUCUGAGUGAACAUAGUCUAAGGUCUGUUUUGUUUCCUGUCUACCAGAGUUGAACUUUUGCCUUGUGGCUUUACCGAACACACAUUUUUCACAAAAUUGUAGUGAGGUGAUUUGAUCAUUUCCUAGCAGCCCUUGCUUACUUAAUUCUCUCAACCCCCUUUCACUCAUGUGUGCUAGCCUCAUGUGCCAAAGUUUGGUUUUAUCACUGCUUACACUAGCUGUGAUUGCUGGCAUAGUUGUUGAGCCAGCAAGUACAUAUAAACCAUUCCUCCUUAUGCCUUUCAUUAUAAUCAGGCCUUUAUCUUCAAUUUGAAGAUUUCCAUUUUCUGCUUUUAUACUACAGCCCCUCUGAUCCAUAACUCCUAAAGAUAUUAGAUUUCUUUUUAAUUCUGGAACAUAUCUGACCUGAUUUGGAUCCCUUUCAAUGCCAUCAAACAUCCUAAUGCUAAUGGUGCCAAUUCCAGCUACCUUACAGGCAAGAUUGUUCCCAAGCAAGACUUUUCCACCAUCAAUGCUUUCAAAAGUCUUAAAGAAAUCUACAUUUGGACACAUAUGGAAGGAGCAACCUGAGUCAAGAAUCCACUCACCUGAAGAUUGCUUUUCUGCAGCAAUGAGGACAUCUGCAUCAUCUGACAUCCCUUCAUCUUCAGAGGCUACAGCAGCUUUUCCAUUAGAUUCCUUUUGUAAUUUCUCAAGCUUCUUCUUCUCAAAACAAUCCUUGAUGUAAUGACCUUCCUUUUGACAAAAGUAACAUUUUCUCUUCUUUUUCUUCUUGUCUGGUUUAUCUUUCUGGUUGCUGUUCUUCUUGUCUUUGUAGAAUUUCUUAUCUGGUUUUGCUUUUGCAACUAAGCUUUCUGCAGGGUUUUGAUCCUUCCCAUCUAUUCUUCUCUUCAAGUCCUUUGAUUCCAGGGCAUUCUUUACAUCCUUUAAUGUAAGUGUUUGUCUUCCAUAAAGCAAUGUAUCAACAAAAUGUUCGUAAGAGUCUGGGAGUGAGCUUAAUAGGAUUAGGGCCCUAUCUUCAUCUUCAAGAACUAUAUUCACAUUUUCAAGGUCUAGGAUCAGCUUAUUAAAUUCAUCCACAUGAUCCUUCAAGGCUGUUCCAUCCUUCAUUGAAAAUGUGUAUAGCUUUCUUUUCAUAUACAGUCUCUUGGCUAGGGAUUUCUUUAAAAAUAAUUCUUCCAGUUUCUCCCAUAGACCAGAAGCAGUCUUUUCUUUAGACACCUCUCUUAGCACUUCAUCCGAGAGAUGUAGGAUGAUAGUGCUAUGAGCUUUGUUGUUGAUAGUCUUCAUGUCUCUGCCAGAGCUGGAUGAUCAUUCUUCCUUCCCUUUCUUGGCCUUUGAAUCUUCAUCUUCUUCAAGAGCAGCAUCCAAUCCUUGUUGAAUCAAGAUUGCCCUCAUUUUGAGACUCCACAAAUAGAAGUCAUUGUCCCCAUUAAACUUCUCCAGAUCGAAUCUUGUAGAUGCCAUUGGAGGAUUUCAAAGAGCUUGAUAGAUGACCAAGCUCUGAUACCAGUUUGUUGUGUAAUAGACCAAGUUCGUAACCCAACUGAAGCAAUUAAUCAGAUUUACAAAACAAGCAAGAACCCAGAAAACGAACCAGGGGAUACAGUCAAGUAACCAAGAACAAGAAAGAAAACUUAAACAAGAGAUACAAACAGAGGUUAACGUGGUUCAGUACCAUGAGUACUUACAUCCACGAUCAGGAACAGUAGAGCUAAAGCUUUAUUAGGAGAUAUCAAGAUUACAAUGGAAUCCACUCAGAGCAAGAAACUAAACUCACACAGAGAAUCUUUCUCAACUCACAAACUAUCUCACUUGACUAACUGAUCAGCUCUCUCUCUCACUGAAGCUAUAAAGCUAGCAGUUUACAGCUGGUUAUAACGACUAACUAAAACCACCUGGGGACCCACCCAUGCUGACUUAGCUUUCCAGCUCAGCUAAUAUAUAUAACCGAAUGUAACUAACUUGAUUCCACAGUUAUUAGACCAUAAAGAGCGUUAAUCUGUUCAUUGGCUUUGUUAUUUUUAUUUGGUUUUUCUUCCAACAAUACUGUUGAUUUCUUAUAAAAAUACUCAUUGGUUUUUAGUUAUUAGACCAUAAAGAGCAUUAGUCUGUUCAUUGGCUUUGUUAUUUUUAUUUGGUUUUUCUUCCGACAAUACGGUUGAUUUCUUAUAAAAAUAUUCAUUGGUUUUUAAACACCUAAUCAUUGGCUAUAAUGAAGCUAAUUGAAACUGAGGCUUAUCAAUUUCUUCCUGCAAGAUACAAUUGAGCAUAAACUAUAUCCUCAGUAAAUUUUUCUAAUAUCCUUGAUUUGUUAGGAUAUGGGCCUGAAAUCCUCUAGAUUUUUUUAACACUGUCAAUGUUCUUUUUACUCUGAAAAGGGAAAAAAAAGGUUAUAUCUUUCAUACCCUAAUAGUAAGUUGGCCUUGACUUAACAUGCCUUCCCGAGAUUUGCAAGAUUCACAAGCAGCUCACACCCCCCCCCAACCAAAAAAAAAAAAAGAAAAAUAAAUAGGAAGAUUUUUGCGAGAUUCACAACCAGGUUAUAUUUAAUUUAUUAAUUGUGUGCACGUACUAGUUAUAUGUUGAAAGAAUAGGAAAAAGUAUUUUAACAUGAAUGACUUAAAACUUAUUGCUUAGUAAACAUAAUCUGCAUCAGUGCUAGAAAAUGUAUUUAUUGUUUGUAUUUUUUAUGGAUUUGCUUAAGAAAUGAUGCGCGUAACAAUGCUACAUUGUAUUAGGAACAAAUUGAAGAGAUUUAUGAUAUUUCUGUGUUAUUCAAAUUUCAGAUUGAAUUUUAAACUUUCAAUACAUGUGUUGUAAUUAAGAAUGAGAAACCUUAAUUCUUUUACCCAAGAAAUCACCACACACUGAUCUUGUUAAGGAAAGAAUGAAGGAUCGAUAUAGAAAUCAGAUUAAGAAUAAGGGUAUUUUAAUCAGAGACAGGAAUUAAGAAAGAAUCAAGCAAAACGAAAUGCAAAGGGGAUUAUAGAGGUUUGGCUUUGCAGCCUACAUCCUCUUGAGAAACAGAAGCCAUAGCUUUUCUUUAUGCUUUAACAGAUUACAAGUAUUAGAGUAAUUGCUACAAGGAACGAUUCCUCCCAAGUAUAGCCCUCAAGGCUAUAUAUACAACUCGGAAGAGAUCCAGAUAUGUGAGCUGUACAACAGCUCUCAUUCUGGGUUUGUUUCAACAGACCCAGCAAACUCCCGCCAAUCCUAACUGUAUGUAACAGCUCUUCAAAUUGAAACGGCAUCAGCAGCUGCCGUUUAACUUAAGCUUGAUCGUGCAAGUCACGUGCGUUACUUAAGCCUUUCGUAUGAUAGUUGCUGGUUGUCAUACGGCAGUGUUAUCUGUAUGUUUGCUUUGUCGUUUCUCAUUCAAUUCUGGAAACGACAAAGUCGUCUCCUUCAGAAGGUUCUGAUUCAGGUUCACAUUUAACAACAUGCAUUGAAAGCUUAGAUCGUUUAAGAAAUUAUUAAUAGACACAUGUUUUAUUAGUGUCAUCUUUGGAUGAUAGUGAGGAUCAUAUGCCUAUUAAUAAUUCUUGAAUUGUCUAGGCUUGAACUGUUUGGGAAUGCAUAGUUUUCUAUGGUAGCUAGUAGCUGAAGUUUUUUUCCCACGUAAAAAUGAGUUUUUCGCAAUCUGCUUCUCAUCUUCUUUGGGUGCAUACUAGAUAACACAUAAACACUCAUAUAUCUAUGUCGUUGCUUGGAGAACUAAAGGGAGAUGCUGCCGAAAUUUCUAUAAACGUAGAAGAAAACUUUAAAGUACUUGAGAUUGAAGAAACUUAUGCAUUCUUGAGAGGGAUAUACGGGACCACUUACCUUUUGUAAAUAUGAAGGGAGUGUUGGACAUAUUGAUGGGAGUGGAGGAGCUGAGUUGGAUGGACGUAAUCGGUUAUAGUUUUGCUGAGUUAACUUGGUUUUGAGCUUGUAAUUUUGUUUAUAAAUGGAGUACUAUCUCCAAUGUUGGUUUAUAAAUAUGUUUCAGCUGGCUGACCUUUUUUUUUGUUUCUAGGUAACAUGCUUUGUAUCUGUAAUUGAUAACCAACUGAAGUUCUCAGCUGUGGGUGAGGAUAUUUCUUUACAGAAGGUAUUGGAAACUGUUUUUUACAUUAAUUAUUGUUGUAUAUAUACUUUAAUUUUCACGUCUUUUUCUCUGAUUCUUGUCGCUUUACUUGCUUUCAUAUAUAUAAAUUCUAAUGAAAUUAACCAUAAAAUUGUAUAAUGAUUUUUUAAUUAUAUUGCAAAACUGUGCACACACGAAAAUAUCUUGGUCAGUAGUAGAAAUGAAAAACUAAAAUGAUUUAUCUAACUAAUUUUUGUAGUGCAUUAAAAGGAGAUGGUAAUGGAGAAGAGUUGGGUUGGUUUGGCAAAUAGAUAUCUAAGUUAUAGAUUUUGCAUUUGAGAAUGUUGUUGGUGAUGCAAGAAUUUAUUAUCCUUGUAAGAAGUGUCGAAUAUUUCGUUUUAAGGGAAGUAGCAAGAGACCAUAUCAUUAUAAAUGGUUUUUGGUUAAAGUAUUAAAACUGGAUAUUGCAUGAUGAGCCAUCUUCAUCUUUGGAAUCUAACCAAGAAACAGGUUAGUCAUGACUCGGGUGCUGAUGAUGAUAUGGUUGGAAUGAUACAUGAUACAUCACGUAAUCAAAUAUUCAAUUCACACACAGCAUUGUUAUGGACUAUCAGUGACUUUCUAGCACAUGCCAACUUGUCUGAGUGGAGUAUUAAAGGUAAAUAAGCAUUUCUUGUUUGCCAACAAAACACUAGAUCUAAUUGGUUGAUACAUAGUAGAAAAUUUUGUCACGUCGGUAACGUCGAUUUUUACUGACGAAUCAUAGGUUUCGAAAAUAUAGUGCCUUUUGAUAAAUCUAGAGAGUGGGGACAAGCACCUUCUCGGAUGUCUGGAGCUGAAGUGAAAAAGCAGUUGAAUAAUAUACUUACUGAGUUUAAGAUUGAAGACUUGAAAAGUGGAGAAUGAAUAAAAUGAGAGAAAUGAUAAGAUUACUUGGACGAAGAAAAGCAUAUUUUAUGAACUACCGUGUUGGGAGUUCAAUUUGAUUCAUCAUAAAAUGUGAGACAUGAGGGAGAGACAAAAGCUCAGGCUUGUCUGCAACCAUGUGGGCCCUCAUAAGCAAUUCGUGUACACAACUUGGUUCACCAAGCCCAACAACUUGAAGCAGGCAAAAUCCGGGAACGAUCCUUCUCCUUCGCAACCCUAGCUGCCUUAACCUUGUAUUUCUGAUAUUUAGUUAAAGAGUAAGAAGAUUGCUCCUCUGUCAAUUACCUUCGAGAGAGACUUUCUUUUUCAUUCACCGAUGCUUGCUUGUGAAAGCAAGGGUUUUAGUUACACUUUCAACGCUGUCAAUGUAGUGAAGUAAAGCAUUAGUAGAAUAAUGAAGUUGGAGCCCCACACAUGAAAACUUAAAGNNNNNNNNNNNNNNNNNNNNNNNNNNNNNNNNNNNNNNNNNNNNNNNNNNNNNNNNNNNNNNNNNNNNNNNNNNNNNNNNNNNNNNNNNNNNNNNNNNNNNNNNNNNNNNNNNNNNNNNNNNNNNNNNNNNNNNNNNNNNNNNNNNNNNNNNNNNNNNNNNNNNNNNNNNNNNNNNNNNNNNNNNNNNNNNNNNNNNNNNNNNNNNNNNNNNNNNNNNNNNNNNNNNNNNNNNNNNNNNNNNNNNNNNNNNNNNNNNNNNNNNNNNNNNNNNNNNNNNNNNNNNNNNNNNNNNNNNNNNNNNNNNNNNNNNNNNNNNNNNNNNNNNNNNNNNNNNNNNNNNNNNNNNNNNNNNNNNNNNNNNNNNNNNNNNNNNNNNNNNNNNNNNNNNNNNNNNNNNNNNNNNNNNNNNNNNNNNNNNNNNNNNNNNNNNNNNNNNNNNNNNNNNNNNNNNNNNNNNNNNNNNNNNNNNNNNNNNNNNNNNNNNNNNNNNNNNNNNNNNNNNNNNNNNNNNNNNNNNNNNNNNNNNNNNNNNNNNNNNNNNNNNNAAUAGAAAAUUACAAGACUGCUGAUAAAAUUUUAUUUGCAUGCAUGUCUGUCAAAAUUUCCGUGAUUUAAUGUGCUUUCAUGCACGCAAGUUCUAACGUUUCUGUGAUCACAAAAUAAAACUGAAGAUAAAACAGAACAACUACCAAACCUUUCAAGCUUGACGAAGCCAUGAGAAUUGAUAGCUCAGGCUCUGAUACCAAGUUAAAGUUUCUAAUCUAUUUGAUAAGUAAGAAAAUGAGAGAAAAUGAAAGAAAGAACAGAGAUCAUCUAAGAGCUGGAUUUGAUGAAUAAAUCUGAAUCAUCCAUUCUUUAGCUGAUUACAAAUGUAUUUAUACAAGUUUUCUAAGCACCUGAGAGUUGAAUAACUUAUGCCAGCUCAGCUAACACGUCAGUAACUCUACCUAUCUUGCUUAACAAACUGAAACAAUAACUAACAAUUUUAACUAUCUUAACAAUCCCAAUAAUUUCUCCGUUUGUGUAUUUUUUUGAAUCAUAAUCAAAUGGGUAAAUGUUGCAACUAUUUUUUUAGACAUUUUCACUUUGGGAUGUCAGCCCGAGGAAGUUCGGGGGUCUGAGUUAUUCAACUGAAAAUGUCGGCCAAGUUCUCGCCAUCUCAGGUUCAAAACUGAUAAUCUUGCUCGUUGCUCCCCAUUUAUACUUAUUACGAAACUGAAAAAGUUACUCGUUCCUCUUAACUUGUUUUCUCAUGCAUCAACCCCACAAAACUGCUUAUUGCAGGGGGAAAAAUUUUGAACACAUCAUGUGGAAUUUGGACNNNNNNNNNNNNNNNNNNNNNNNNNNNNNNNNNNNNNNNNNNNNNNNNNNNNNNNNNNNNNNNNNNNNNNNNNNNNNNNNNNNNNNNNNNNNNNNNNNNNACCUCUUUUGACAAGUUACACUUACAUAGCAAUGCUAUCUGGGUUCAGCCUUACCUUUUUGAUAAACUGUGCUUCUGUGAUGAAGAAUGUUUUAGCUGUAAGUGGAUAUCCUAAUCAUUGAUCCAUAUACUUAGGUUAUAUUAUCCAUCAGCAAGUAUGUAUAAAAUUAUUUUAUGUCUUUUUUUAUUAGAAAUGUUGUAAUUCUAUUUUACUCUUCCUGAAUUAUAACAUCAGGUGUCUAUAAUAACUAGAUUAUUCCUUCUGCAAAACAGAGCAGUGGUAAAUAUUUUUUUUCUUUUGUUUGUUUAGUACAUUUACAUGCUUUCAGCUUUUUCAAAUUUUGUAUGUGUCAAAGUUUAAAUUUAAUUUGUUGGUUUAUGCCACAACAAAAGGAACAGCAUCAAAGAGGAGCUGCUAAUGGACUUGCUAUGACUGUAGUGUCGCUUACCAAAACUGCCGGUCCAGCUGUAGGAGGUGCUCUGUGAGUGUCCUGUUGAUUUUGUAAAACUACAUGUAAAUGAUGUUAUAAUUUUUUUUUCAUUAAUUGGGGUUCUGGCAGAUUUUCUUGAUCACAAAAGCGUCAAGAUGCUGGUUUCCUCCCAGGAUGAUGAUCUACUAAUGAAAUUUCUCGCGAGUUUGUGUACUAUUUCGUGCUAAUUCUUCAUUAGCUGCUUAAACAAAAGUGCAGGUAACCAGAUGGUUUUUUUUCAUUCUGAAUUUGGUUGAGGCACUUGGAGUAAUAUUGACAUCCAAACCGUUUCUAACUCAGCGUGCCCCAUGAGUAGCGAAAAGAUCAUCUGUUGAAAUAUUUAAAUAUAUAUCAAGCAAAUUAAAGCUUUCAAAAUCUAUCAACAAUUUGAUUAUUUGAUGUGGUUGCCACUUGCCAUAUUUUGUGUUACUGUUCAAAAGGCUUAAAUAUGAAAAUGGUGGUUGGCGCUCACAGCAACCGAUUGCUGGUAACAUUAGUUGUUCAAUACUUAUCUCUGUCGACAUUUAUACUUGUUCAUUGUCAGAACUACGACAAUUUAUCUUCACAAUGAUGCAAGCUAGAAAGAAUUUUUCAUGUUAAGUAAAACAUUGAAGCCAUAAAGAGUCUUAAUUGAGUACUAAGUUUUCUACCAUGCUUUCAACGGUAACACAUUUGGAGCUCUUAUUCCAGGGGCUUCACAGUAGAGAGACCUGAUUUCGAUCUUCUUCAGAACUUGGGGAUUCCGUAAUAACAGAGGACAACAGUUAUAUAAGAAUAUUAUUUUGUACAAUUUUCGUAUAACCUGACCAAUGCAAGUAUAAUUUUAUGAUCUUAACUCAGAUCAAAAGACCUUCAAUGAUGUAAAAUUUGCACAUAAAGUUGAGAACCAAACAUUAGAACUUAUGAUGAAACGGAAACAAAAACGUUGAGAUUAAAAGAUAGAGAAACACAAGCUUUUUAAAAGGGAUAAAUGCUCAUUUAAUUUCUAUAUUUUGAUUUAAGAGUGCAUUUAAUUCUUAUAUUUUAAAAAGUUCCUCAACCUUAAGACACCCCCUACUAUAAAAUAUAUUUCAUUCCUACCCUUAUUUUUUUUCUUUUUACAAUAAUACUCUUGGAAUAAUAUUUUUGGGAAUAUUAAUUAAAAUAAAAAAUGGUAAUUCAUCCAGCUAGCCUUAAACAAAAUAAAUAUUAAUAAAAAUUUUUAUGUUAUUAUUUUAGUUUUAGGACUAAUUUCGUAAAUUAAUUUUUUUAUGCAUUUAUUAGUAAGAUUGCUUUAAGAAUAUUAAACAUUACUUUAAGUUGGUUGAUAUUAAUUAAUUUAUAAAUAAUUAUUAGCAAGAUUGUUGUAAAAGUACAAAAAUAUUUUCAUAUUGAUAUUUAUUGAUUAAUUUGUCAAUUAAUUUUUUUAUAAAUAAAUUAAUUAAUUUAAGAAUAUUAUUGCCAGGAUAUCAUUGUAAAAGUAAAUAAAUUUUAAGGAAAAAAAUGUAAUGUAUUUAAUAUCAAAGUAUAUUGAGAUAUUUUUCAAAAUAUAAAGACUAAACGUGCAUUGAAGUUAAAAUACAGGUACCAGACGAGCAUUUUCUCUUUUAGAAAGUUUUAUAUUUUAUAAAUGAAAGUUUGAAUAACAAAAUUAGGGUUUUGGACUCCUUUUAAACUAAACCUAAAAUAUUACUACAUAAUAAUAUUCUCCUAACUGAAAUAAGAUAAAUGCUACUUAAAUUCUAUAUCUAAAAAAAAAGAUAAAAAUCCAGAAAACAAUAGGAAAAUGGAUAUUAAACUUGUAAAAUAAUAUGAAAUAUAUAUAAUUUUCAACCGAACCACGAGGCUAAUGCGGCGCUAUAGUAUUAGAUUAGAUUCCCCUCAUCCCAAACUUCAAAAGGUAUAUUAUACACCGUAAAUAGAUACUUAUAGCUCAAGUUGUUACCCUAGAGAGAUAAUCUACUCAUCCUAUGCAACCAUCCGCUGCAUCAAAUUCGUUCCAAAAUUAAGAAUAAACCAGCUGAUGCAUUCCAAACAAUUUAGAUGAACCGAUAAAAUAAACCUAGAGAUCAAAUAAAAUCAAAUGAGAAUGAUAAUUACCUCGGACUGAAGCUCAUACAAAUUCAUUAUUUGACACCUCCAGCAAUUGUUGAAAUAAUUGUUAAUUAAAUAUAAAAUAAGACAGGUACAUAUUAAUGACACACCACUGUGAAUCGAUAGCUAAGGACGGAGUAAAAUUUAAUUGUAAAUUAGGACAGUAGAGCAAGCAUCCAUAAACAUAACAUGAACGUAAUACAUCAAUUGAAAUAUCAUACGAUAAAUUAGUCAGAGAAAGAAAUAAGUAAAUAAAUCAGCAAAGGAAACAUGCAUGAACAAAUAAAAAAAAAAACAAAGACAAAAGUAGGAAGAGUUGUCUGUGAGAAUCUUCUUCUAUGGUCAUUGAAGUCCCAAACUCAAUGGAAAUUCAAUGGAACCUUAAAAACGAACAGUGAAGGAAAAUGAAGAAAUCUGCAGGAAAUAAGGCGAGUGAGAGUGAAGAAUUAAUUACCACCGAGUAAAUGCGAAUGAAGAAUGGAGACAGAUCGAGAAGUGAGAUUCAGAGAUUGUAUUGAAAUUGAGAGUUGUGAUCCAGAAGCGAUUCUUCUUCUCCGUAAUUCCCUUUUUCUUUUAAUGUUGUUGUUAUUAUUAUUAUAUAUAUAUUUUCAAUUUCAUGAUAUCUUUUUUGUUUUAAACGGUAUUGGCAUAUUACAUUUAUUUAUGUUAAUUUUACAAUACCUCCCUUCAGAUUGCACAAAUUACAUAAAAAAAAAAAAAGUGCUUUAUGUAUAAAACUUUCAAACAAAUUGGGCCAAAAUCUAACUUUACCAAGUUUAGAGUAAUUUUGGGCUCGACAUUCCGUUUCCGACAAACGAAUUUUCUUUAUCACCAAGGUAUGAUACUUUUCAUAUUUAUCCAACGGCUCGUCAAUGACAAUACCUUUGUAAAAAGUACUUAUUUUGAAUAGUAUAUUGUGGAAAUGUCUGGUCGGUAAUACAACUAUUUCUUAUAGUGUAAAAAUGAUACACUAAGCGUUCACAUUUUGAUGAGUAAAUUAAGGAUUUCAAGAUGAAGUGCAUAAUUAGAUUAAUGCUAAGAAACUGAAGUUUGAUCGAUUGAAAACGAAAAUAAUAAUGAAGGUAAUUAAGAAAAUGAACAAUAUAUGCGGAAGCGGUCCUUAUUAGUACUUCUAGAUUUUCUCUUGGGCUUUCCUUAUUAUUGUUAAAAAAUGACCCGAAGAACUUUGAGUUUAAAAAUCUGGCCCUGAUGCCUGGUAGCCCUUCAACAUAUGAAGCACCAAAUGUUUUGAUGAGAAAAUGACAAGACCAUUUAUCAAAUUUCUUGUGGAUAUAAAUACAUACACAUAGACGAGGCCAACCUCCUCAAAUGAGAAUCAGAGUGAUUACAAGACCUUGCAAUGAGACAAUGAUACACCAUCAAAUGUCAAAAUACAAUAGAAAUUCACGACAUAUAUAUAAUAAAAGACCUCUCAUUGAGUCAUAUAUAUUGAGAAUAAAAAUGUUAUAAUACAUACACAUAGCUUAGUUAGAAUAAAAUGUCUUUGAACUUGCGAUGAUCAAACAAAGGAAACAGACAGGUUGUAACUCACAUUAUCACAAGAAGAUCACGAAGAUGGAAAUGGGAACCCCUCAGAAUGGAAACUUUGAAUAGAGGAAAAAAGAAAAACGACCUUAUUCACAGAAGAAGAGUGACUUAAAUCUUCAUCAGUAUCCAGACAUUUUGCAAUCAUAGAGUAGAGAAAUUUUAACAGGAACAGCAGAGAAAAUAUUAUGAAUAUGCUAUAGACCAAUAUACUUGUUCAUAGCUAACGUUUGAUGGUUUAAGGAUUUGUUCUAGGAAUAAUGGGCUGAUUACUUUCUUUUUAUUUUAAAUUUUUUUUAAUCCAAUGAAUGAUAUUCAGCUGUUAAUUAUGUGUUCAUAGGGAAGAAUAUUUUCUAAGUACUUUCCUUGCCUUCUAACUUUCCGAAAAGCAAACCCAAUGAACAAAUAGAGCACAAACUAAAAUAAAAGAACAGCAAUGAUGACAAUAAAUAAUUGGCAAAGAAAAAAAGGAAAAAGUAUGCACGUUUUCAAGGAAUUAUAAAAUAUGAAGGCUUUUAAUGAAACUUUAUCAUAAAAAGUAUGCAAGGAAUUAUAAAAUUUUAGAAAACAAGGGGAGCUCUCAAAAAAAAUGAAAAACUCAAAUUAAACUAGACUAAAAGACAUUCAAUUUUGCAAAAUCUGUCCAUAAAUGUCUGAAAGGAUCAUUAAAAUUGCAUUGCAAAUUUAACAGUAAACCGAGGGACCCAUUCUAAAUAAUUCAGAUGAAAUUGUGAAACAAGACAUGGGAUUAAAUAAAUGAAAUAAAAAUUAAUUACCAGUUGAGACUUUCUUCUAAAAAUUCGCAACUCCAAGUCAUAAGAAGCCUAUGAAAUUAGUCGUACUGCGUAGAGUAUGACGACGACACCGCCAACAGCUGAAAGUAAAAUUCUUAUUCAUCAAUUUAAACUUACUUUAUAACAAAUAUCUUAUCUAUAUUGUAUUUAAGAAAGCAAAUUUUGUAAAAAUUUAUCAUGGGAGAUAGAGAGUAAUAUGUAUAUACGUACCUUCUCAGCAUGUAAUUGUUGUAUGGUUGUGUUUAGAUCAUUAUUAGCCCAGCGCCGUUGAUCCGCUGUCUCUCCAUAGCAGACGUUUACUCUUAGAGGCGUGAUUGAUUCUCCUGUAGUGAAAAUCUUCAUCUUGGGACAACCAAUCACAUCCAGAUAUUCCAAAGAUGGGAAUUUGAAGGUGUAAUUGGCAGAACAGAAACUUGUGAGGCUAUCUAAAUCAAACAGUCCCAACGUCUUCAAUUUGCUAAAAACAAUCUCUUCUUUUUCAACUCCAUCUUUGUCAUUUAUUACCACCUCUGUCAUUGCUCUGCAUCCAUAUAUUUCUAUUGCUAUGAGUCGCACCAGAGUUUUUGCUGUGGAGGAUGUUACCAAGUGUAUCAAUUCCUUGCAACCGAAAGCUACAAGUUUUGUUAGGUUCCCAAAAGAUACCGAUGAUGAUGGCAAUAGAAUUAACAGACUUUGACAAUGAUAUACUUUUAGAAUUUCAAGAUACUGAAAAAUGGGGCCAAGUUUGGAGUCUUGCUUGCACAGCUGCUCCAGAUGAUAGUGCCAGCGCAGCUGUAAUUCUUUUAUCAUUGCCAACUUCCCCACAUGUUUCUCUAAGCAUCCUUCCAUCGAAAAUACCUCUUCGUGGGAUGAAAAAAACAACAGUGUGAGUAUUUCGAGAUUGUGAAAUCUCUCCAGUACGUUCCAGAUUGUAAAACCAGCUGAGUCAUCUGCAGCAAUCUCUAGUUCUCUAAGACUGCCAAAAAGGUGUUGUGGGAAAUCGGCCUGCAAAAUCAUCUUCACAUCUUUUCCACUUAGUGAUAGUUCCUUCAAGUUGGGUACGAUCUGAUCAUCAUCAAUCAUAAUAACUAAUGAGGUCAAUUGAUGAUCUACGGUCACACGCAGUGACUUUAUAGUAUUUGUUUUAUAUUAUAUUUUUAAAAAAAAUUGAAUUAUUGAUAAAAUUUAUUUUAUAUGUUAAUUUUAGAGGUAAAAAAGAAAUUAGGGAAAAAAGGUUGAUUUAUACUGGCUUGAAAUUAUUUUAUUGCACAAUAAUAAAUUACUAAUUUAUUUUGUAAGUUCUUCUAUAUGGAAAGACUAAGGAUUCUUUUAUAAAUGCUAUACCUUAAAAAGUUCAUAUAAUUAUUAAUCUACCACAUUGAUCUCUUAAUCUAGACUAGCAAAGAUUAUUGUAUAAUAAAAGUUUUCAAUUUAUUGAGUGUUAAUUUAUCGAUGCUUUGUCAUUUUUUUCGAAGUUAAAAAUACGCUAUUGAUAAAAAAUCUAGAAAAUGGCUUCGUACCUUUUCCAACGGCAAUAGGGGCUGUUGUGCAGGAAUACCAAGUUGAUCAUUCUCAUUAUUCUGCGAUAAAUCUGCAUCGAAUAUCUUUAAUUUGUCACAACGACCCACUAAAAGAAUUUCUAGUGCGGGCCAUUCCGAAGUAUGCAUUCCAGGGUACAAACAUCUAAGUUUUGGUAGACAUUCGAGUCUUAGAGUGGUGAGCUGUGGAAAGACAAAAUAAGGGAUAACUUCAUCUGCUCUGUUUUCAGAAAUGAUCUCCUCUAAAUCCUCACAGAAGCGUAUAUCUAGGUGUCGGAGCUGCUUAAGGCUUCCGAUCAUAGACGCUGAAAAUAUGUAUUUUAAUUUGUGACAACCCCACACAAUCAAUCGUGUUAAACUUUGAAAGUGAGGAAGCACGGCCGCUGGAAUUUGAUUGUAGUGCCAAAUCUUGUCGACAUUAAUUGCAGAUAUCUCCAAAGCCUCCAAGUUAGGCAACGCAACCUAAAAAAAGAAGAAUUUCUCGUUAGAUCCAAUAUCCAUAUGGGAAGCACUUGUUGAAAUUUUCUUCUUUGAUUACAAAUUAAUGCAAGUCUGAAUCAAUUUCCAACUGACAGCUGAGUAUGCAUUCUAAUUCAUACUACUUGUUAAGAGCUCAAUUAGUGAGCGCGUGAGAUUCUUUUUAUCCUUUUUUCCAUUUUCUUUCAAUUCUUUAAAUGAUUUAAUUAUUUUCCACGUAUGACAUCAAAACAGAACGCAUGAUAGAAUAAAGAAAAUGUUAGCCUACGCACCUUCUCGUUGAAAAGCAGAGUUGAAGUAUCCAAAGUGAUUUCGCUGGAGCUAUACGUAGUCGUCGAUUCCUCCUGCGACGCUGGUCUGUUUGGUGAUGCUGAAGGAGUCUUCACGUCACGGCAAAAACUUGUAAACUCUGGAAGAUUCCCCAGACUCAAAGAUCUUAAUUGAGCAAACUCUAUCUUCUCAAUUGCAUUAUCAACUUCAUCCCCAAUUGAAAAAAUUUCUUUCAUCUUGCUGCAAUUAAUAACUGCAAUUCUCUCAAGUCUUGGAAGGCAUUUUGUUGUAGAGAGCCAAAAGAUAUUACUCAAUUUAUCACAAUUAUAUGCUUGUAUGAUUUUGAGUUCGUUGAAGGACUCUACUUUGAGCCGAUCAAUACAUAUCCUCUCCAUGUUGAUCAAAUUGUGAAGGCCAAGUGACUCCAAAAGAGGAAAGGCAUCACAAGCGACCAUCGCCCUUGAAUCGACGAUACAAAAGAUGUCAGGAUUAUUUUGAACCCAGAGAAGCUUCAAUUGUGAAAAGCCCUCUGUGUCCAAAUUGAAAAGAACAUUCUCGAUGCCUUGCAGCUUGUCCAACCAUAAGCAUUCUACGUUAUUGAUGCCCUGCAAUUUCAUGGAGCAAAUGUCCAUAAAAGCAAGCUUGAGCUUCAAUGCUCUUAAACUCUUGCGAUCACUUUUGCGAGAAAAGCGCCGCAGACUUUGGAACCAAUUUUGUUCAGCAAUCAUGGGAUGUGUGAAUAACCCAUUUCCAAUAGAUAUUUUGAACCUUUCGAGCUUUCUGGCCAAAAAACCUUCUGGUAACAUACUGUCAUUUUUAACAUCAAUUUCUAGAGUGGUUAGCCGAGGUAAAUGCAUCAAUUCAUCAAGGCUAGCAUUACUUCUUUUGCUGUUGGCUCUUUCAACCUCCCAUUCAAUGGAGCAAUUACCCAUAUACAGCUCUUCUAAUCGGAUUAAGCUUGAUAUGACAUUUGGGGCAAUAACUUUCAGACGGAAACAAUUGGUUAAAUCUAACAAUCUCAACUUAUUCAAUUGACCUAGUUCUUCUGGCAACUGCGUUAUAUCAGACUUCAAAAAGCUAAGGACUUCUAGAUUCUUCAACUUCCCAAUGAUUGCUAUGUCGCCCAACGCACUUUUAUCCAGACAUAGUGUGUGAAGAUUUACUAGAAGAUCAAUUGAAGAUGGAAAAGAAGAAAACUGCAUUCGAGUAAAAUCUAGAAUUCUAAGCUUUUUCAUCCCUACAAAAAAGUUCUCAGGAAUAUUGAUUUCAAGAGAAAAAUCUUUGAGAGAGAUAUAUAAAAAUUCAAGGUUUGGGCAUUCUAAUCCUUCAGGAAAUUCACGAUUACUAUUUUUUAUUAAAGAGAUAGCUUUGCAAUUUCGAAGUGCAUCCUUAUCUGGCCAGUCCCACACAUCCUCAUUCCUCACCGAAAACACAUGUUGCUGGCGGCAUGCAAUUGAUAUCGCGACAUCGCGAACAACAUCAUGCAUUGACAAUUGUUCAUUGCUCUCACCCUCAAGCAACAAACAAGAGUCUCUAAGUUCAUGGACCAAUGCAUAUAAUUUGUCUCGUGCAUCUUCCAUCUUAUUGACUCCUUUAAAUAUACCCAAACCCAUGGAGUACUUAAACAAGUCGAAAGUAAAAAUACGGUUACCCAUUAGACUGCAGAGCUGAAAAAUUUCCUUGCGUUCACCUUUUAAUUGGUUGAAACUCAGCUCAAUACUUGCAUAAGUCUCUGCAGAUACUCCUUCGAAGUUUACCAUUGAAGGCGUUCGGAGUUCUCGCAAGGAAUUCUUCCAUUCAUGCAGACUCUUGCCUCUCAGUGCCUUUGCUACUGUAGUCAAGGCAAUGGGCAAACCUCCACAUGCCCUGGCGACGUCUAUUGCUGUAGAUUUCAACUCACGAUUUUCAACAUCAUCACCGGCCAUCAUCUUAAACAAUCUCCAGGCUUCUUCUUCAUUUAAAUUGUUUAUCAAAAAGUUGUCUUUAGAACCCAUUUUUAAGAGGACACUACGAUCUCUUGCUGUCAGCAGUAGUUUGCAUCCUUUAUGAUCUUCUGCAAAAGGAAUUCCAACAGUCUCCAAAUUAAGGUGUUUCCAGAUGUUAUCUAAAACCACAAGGAUCUUCUUCUCAUUUCUCAAUCGCUCAAAUAGUCUACUUGCUCUUCCAGAUUCAACUUCCUCGCGCAACUCCAGGCCCAACUUCUCGGCAAUUUCCUGUUGAAUCUUUUUUAUGUCUGGAGUUUGCGAAACCUCUGAAAAGACCACCAUAUCAAAGAGCUUGGCUUCCAUAGCUUGCCUGGAGACCUCCUUCACCAGUGUCGUCUUUCCAAUGCCGCCCAUGCCGUACACCCCAAUGAUGCUAACAUCGAUCAAUGCUUUUUUUAUAGCCUCCAAAGUAGAACGUCUUGAUUCGAAGGCCUCGUAGCCUAUGUGAGACUUGAGCCAAAUCUCCUCCGGAAUGGUACGGUGGGAAACAAUAUCAAACUUCUUUACUUCUUCUCCAAGUUCAACAAGGGCCUUCAUUUCUGUCUCUGCUUUCUUGCUAAGCUGAUAGCGGGUCUUCAAAUUAGGACACAAGCCCUUGAGACAACGCUUAUUCGUUGACUCCUCAUUUUCAAUGAAUUUGGCUGCCCUGUCAAUGAUGUCGUUCGCACUAACCAGCCACUUUUCAACCUUCUCUUCAAUCUUUUCUCCUUUUCUUUCAGCCUCAGAAACUCUGUGCUGAAUGCUCCUACUUUCAUCCUUGAGUUCAUCAAAUUUUGCCCUGAGAUUCUCAAAGUUGGUUUUAUAGUUACGUAAAUAACCAAGUUGGCGUUCUGCUAGAGGAGCCAAGCAUUUCACAACUUCCAAAACAACAGUAAUAAUGGUUUCCACCAUCUUUGAUCCUUCUAUUUUUUUUUUUUUUUUGAGUUCUGAAAAGCAAAUAAACAAGAGCCAACCACAGAAGAGAAAAAAGAAGAAACAACAAAGAUGGACAGUUUAUCUGGUUGUGGAAGCGGAGAAAUGAAAGAAAGCGUAACAACUGAUUGAAUAAAUAUAAGGAGGGAUUUAGAUAAUAAAGGAGAAAGGAACCAAUCAAAAUAACUUAAGUAUAGACCAAAAGAAAGAUGAAAAAUAUAUUAUAGACCACAACCGAAUGAACAAAAGAAGAUGUCUUGACACAGCAGAAGUGCAGAGAGUAGAUAUGGAACAAAACAGAGACAACAGCAGGACACAACUAAAUUGGGAGCGGAGAGAAACUAAUCAACAAGGACUGAGAGAUUACAACAAAACAGAUGCCAAGAGAAAAGGGUUUCCUGAUCCUGUGAAGCUCAAGAGAGUUAACGGCAAUAGGGAGCAAACAUUAAUAACAAAACAACAGUGACUACAACGAACGAACGCAUAUGUUUUUCUUGAUUGAGAAUAAGUUCAAAGAAUGACUUUUUAAUGAGGUGCUGAAGCUGAAGAAUAACGAUUUGCUAAAAUUUUAAGAAUGCUAUAUAUUCUGUAAAUUCAACAAGUGAAGAAUAAAGAAUAAUGGUUUGUCAUCUUCACGAUGAAGAUCAUGGGCGAGAUUAAAAGCAAAAGUGAAGAAUAAAGAAUAAUGGUUUGUCAUCUUCAUGAUGAAGAUCAUGGGCGAGAUUAAAAGCAAAAGUGACCUAUUUGAAAAGCCAAAGUUCAAGUUCCUUUGCUAAGCUUAGAAGUGAAGCAAAGAAUAAAUAAAUAAAUGAGUAAUGAUCAAGGGAUCGGAAUGAAGUGUUAGAGUACAAUUUAUGCACUAGUUUUGCAUUAUUUACUUCUUUUAAUAUCGAUGUUUUGCACUUAAUAAUAGUGAUUUACUUGUGUUUUAUUUUGGUAGGUGCAAUUUUAUUGAUUGGUGCUAAAAUUGAGCUACAAGAUGAUGUUUGAGGAUGAUUGUUUUCUUGAAGAAAUUAUGAGCUUCAGAAGAACUUUGUUGAUAAGGUGUGGGCGCAUGCUGUCAACUACGGACCUGCAGUUUUUAGUUUAACGUGUUUUGUAUUUUUAGUUAUUUUUGUAAUUACGCAUUUAAUAUUUAGAUAAUAUUUUAGAAAUUAGUAUUUUAUUUUAAAAAGAACUCUAGAGGAGAAGAGAGAGAAGAGAAUUUAAGGGAGGAAUCUAUUGUCAAAGACGGGAGAUUUUUGAAGAGAAAGAAACCCUAGAUCUAAAUUUUUCUCUCCUGUCUAUGAAGAACUAAAUCUAUUAUUCUGGUUGAAGGUUAAUGAACUUUGAUUCAUCACUGCUGUGAGAUCUUUCUUAUACUUUAAUUAUUUUAUUACUUUUUGGGUAUUUGUUUAUUCUCUGAAUUAUUGUCAUGAUUAUGUUUGUUAAUUAGAUAAUUGGCUACUAUUUAAUUAUCAACUUAAUCUAUUGUCAAUUAAAAGAUUUAUCGUAUGAAGAUUUUAAUGUUUGUGACAAAUAGCAUAGCAGUGCAUUGUGUUAUGAGAAUAAACAAUCUAAUUUAAAUGAAUCAUCGUAUGCGUUUGUUGAUUAGGAUUUGGGUCUCUCUGAUUUUUCAGACUGUCAAUUGAUUAAAUCCUAUGAUCGUAUCUAGGGUUGUCUAUUGAUUAGGAAAAUAACCAACAAUCGUACCUUAAAACUAAUGUGGAUCGAGCAAUUGAACAGUUGCAAACUCAAUGGAAAUACAAUGGAACCUUAAAAACGAACAGUGAAGGAAAAUGAAGAAAUCUGCAGGAAAUAAGGCGAGUGAGAGUGAAGAAUUAAUUACCACCGAGUAAAUGCGAAUGAAGAAUGGAGACAGAUCGAGAAGUGAGAUUCAGAGAUUGUAUUCAAAUUGAGAGUUGAGAUCAAGAAGCGAUUAUUCUUCUCCGUAAUUUCCUUUUUCUUUUAAUGUUGUUAUUAUUAUUAUUAUUUAUUUUUUUUCAAUUUCAUGAUAUCUUUUUUGUUUUAAACGGUAUUGGCAUAUUACAUUUAUUUAUGUUAAUUUUACAAUACCUCCCUUCAGAUUGCACAAAUUACAUAAAAAAAAAAAGUGCUUUAUGUAUAAAACUUUCAAACAAAUUGGGCCAAAAUCUAACUUUACCAAGUUUAAAGUAAUUUUGGGCUCGACAUUCCAUUUCCGACAAACGAAUUUUCUUUAUCACCGAGGUAUGAUACUUUUCAUAUUUAUCCAACGGCUCAUCAAUGACAAUACCUUUGUAAAAAGUACUUAUUUUCAAUAGUAUAUUGUGGAAAUGUCUGGUCGGUAAUACAACUAUUUCUUAUAGUGCAAAAAUGAUACACUAAUCGUUCACAUUUUGAUGGGUAAUUUAAGGAUUUCAAGAUGAAGUACAUAAUUAGAUUAAUGCUAAGAAACUGAAGUUUGAUCGAUUGAAAACGAAAAUAAUAAUGAAGGUAAUUAAGAAAAUGAACAAUAUAUGCAGAAGCGGUCCUUAUUAGGACUUCUAGAUUUUCUCUUGGGCUUUCCUUAUUAUUGUUAAAAAAUGACAGGAAGAACUUUGAGUUUAAAAAUCUGGCCCUGAUGCCUGGUAGCCCUCCAACAUAUGAAGCACUAGAUGUUUUGAUGAGAAAAUGACAAGACCAUUUAUCAAAUUUCUUGUGGAUAUAAAUACAUACACAUAGACGAGACCAACCUCCUCAAAUGAGAAUCAGAGUGAUUACAAGACCUUGCAAUGAGACAAUGAUACACCAUCAAAUGUCACAAUACAAUAGAAAUUCACGACAUAAAUAUAAUAAAAGACCUCUCAUUGAGUCAUAUAUAUAUUGAGAAUAAAAAUGUUAUAAUACAUACAAAGAGCUUAGCUAGAAUAAAAUGUCUUUGAACUUGCAAUGAUCAAACAAAGGAAACAGACAGGUUGUAACUCACACUAUCACAAGAAGAUCACGAAGAUGGAAAUGGGAACUGCUCAGAAUGGAAACUUUGAAUAGAAGAAAAAAGAAAAACGACCUUAUUCAUAGAAGAAGAGUGACUUAAAUCUUCAUCAGUAUCCAGAUAUUCUGCGAUCAUUGAGUAGAGAAAUUUUAACAGGAACAGCAGAGAAAAUAUUAUGAAUAUGCUAUAGACCAAUAUACUUGUUCAUAGCUAACGUUUGAUGGUUUAAGGAUUUGUUCUAGGAAUAAUGGGCUGAUUACUUUUUUUUUAUUUUAAUUUUUUUUAAUCCAAUGAAUGAUAUUCAGCUGUUAAUUAUGUGUUCAUAGGGAAGAACAUUUUCUAAGUACUUUCCUUGCCUUCUAACUUUCCGAAAAGCAAACCCAAUGAACAAACAGAGCACAAACUAAAAUAAAAGAACAGCAAUGAUGACAAUAAAUAAUUGGCAAGAAAAAAAAGGAAAAAGUAUGCAAGUUUUCAAGGAAUUAUAAAAUAUGAAGGCUUUUAAUGAAAUUUUAUCCUAAAAAGUAUGCAAGGAAUUAUAAAAUUUUAGAAAACAUGGGGAGCUCUAAAAAAAAAAGAAAAACUCAAAUUAAACUAGACUAAAAGACAUUCAAUUUUGCAAAAUCUGUCCAUAAAAGUCUGAAAGGAUCAUUAAAAUUGCAUUGCAAAUUUAACAGUAAACCGAGGGACCCAUUCUAAAUAAUUCAGAUGAAAUUGCGAAACAAGCCAUGGGAUUAAAUAAAUGAAAUAAAAAUUAAUUACCAGUUGAGACUUUCUUCUAAAAAUUCGCAACUCCAGGUCAUAAGAAGCCUAUGAAAUUAGUCGUACUACUGCGUAGAGUAUGACGACGACACCGCCAACAGCUUAAAAUAAAAUUCUUAUUCAUCAAAUAUCUUAUCUAUAUUGUAUUUAAGAAAGCAAAUUUUGUAAAAAUUUAUCAUGGGAGAUAGAGAGUAAUAUGUAUAUACGUACCUUCUCAGCAUGUAAUUGUUGUAUGGUUGUGUUUAGAUCAUUAUUAGCCCAGCGCCGUUGAUCCGCUGUCUCUCCAUAGCAGACGUUUACUCGGCGUGAUUGAUUCUCCUGUAGUGAAAAUCUUCAUCUUGGGACAACCAAUCACACAUAACUCUUGCAAAGAUGGGAAUUUGAUGGUGUAAUUGGUAGAGCAGAAACUUGUGAGGCUAUCUAAAUCACGCAGUUCCAACGUCUUCAAUUUACUGGUGAAGUAGGUCCAUAGCUAAAAUAAAAUUGGAAGAAAAUGAAGAGCAAGCACACAGAGGACACUAAAAAUUACGUGGUUCGACUUUUAACAUACGUCUAUGGGUAAAGACAAAAGGAUAAAACUUUAGUGGUGAAAUGAGGAUUACUAGUAUUAUAAUAUUUUGUUUCACUUCCCAGAACCCCAAUCCACUCAAUCUCUUAAAACACUAAUCACUCAAGAGCAUUAAAACUCUUAGUCUCUCACACUAGAAUUGAAGAAGAAAAGAAUGAAAUGCAGGGGUGAACCCCUCAUUUAUAGUUAAAAUUUUGGGCACUAUUUAUAUAUAUAUAUAUAUAUAUAUAUAUAUAUAUAUAUUAAAUUCAAAGUUUGAACUUGACAUUCAAACUUUGAAUAUCAAAAGGUAUUGGUCGCUCUUCUAGAAAAGCGACAUUGACUUUGAUAUUCUCCCACUUAGAAAUUUGAUUGAGAAUCAAUCAAUCUCCACACCAUCCUUUCUACUUCGCCGCUGUCAUGUUGUUUAUGUCUCUACUAGGCCGUAAAAUGAUCUACUCCAAACAAAUUUAUCAGCAUUGAUAGGCUUGGGCAAAACAUUUGUUAAGUUCUCCUUGGUAUCCACUCUUAUAUCUUUCACUACUUCACGAAGAAGUGAUAUUGUACUCCUAUAUUCUUUGUCCUAAAAUAAAAGGUUGGAUUCCUUGCAUUCUAACUAUCACAAGCCAUAAAAAAUUUUAUGCCCAAGCUCCUUCAGUAACCUUUGUAUCCAAAUAGCUCAUCCAAGCUUGUGUAGCUGCUAUGUAAUCUGCUUCUGUUGUUGAUAAAGCCACAAUGGUCUGCAAUUUUGAAAUCCAACUAACAAUUUCUCAUUCUGGUGCAAAUACUUAGCCAGUAGUGGAUUUCUUUUUAUUAAGAUUUUCUGCAAAAUCUGAAUGCACAUAGCCCUUGACAGUAUCCUUCGUAACAUAAUGCAACAUCUGAUGUUCCUAUGAUAUAUCUCAGAAUCCUCUUAAUAGUCUUCCAAUGUUCUUUGCAAGGAUUCGCUAUGUAUCGACUAACCUCUCCCACUACUUGUACAAAUCAUAGCGAACCUUAAAUUUUCCACUGCUGAUGCAUACAGUACUCAAGACAUCUCUUCUUCUCUACUUCAUUACUAGAUGAAUACUUAAGAAUAACUUGAAAUUAAUGGGAGGCGGGGUAGAAAGCCAAAUCUUUUUGCUAUUACUAUCUCGGUGAAUUUGCAUCCCUAAAAUCUUGUUUGCUGGUUCUAAGUCUUUUAUUUCAAACUCCCUAGUUAACUGUGCUUUAGUUCUUGGACUCGAUCUUUGUUGGGGCCUGCUACUAAUAUGUCAUCAACAUACCACAGUAGAAUGAUGAAAUUAUUAUUAUCAAACUUGUUGUAAUAUGUACAACAGUCUGAACUGAUUCUAUUGUAUCCAAGGUUUAUGAUGAAUGGAUCAAAUCUCUUAUAUCAACAUCUCGGUGCAUGUUUGAGAUCGUAUAGAGAUUUGUUUAACUUGCAAACCAAGUGUCCCUUUUUAGUAAAACCUUCUAGUUAGAGCAUAGAAAUCUUUUCUUCAAGUUCUCCAUAAAGAAAUGAAAUUUUCACAUCUAACUGCUCCAAAUAUAGGUCAAAUGUAGCACACAUCGACAAGACCACUCUGACUGUCCUGAGUCAAAUCACUGGAGAAAAUAUCUCAUUGAAGUUAAUACAUUCUUUCUAAGGAUAUUCUUCCAUCACCAAUCUUUCAUGAUACCGCUCCACUAGGUUAUUACCAUCACGUUUGAUCUUAUGGACCCAUUUCCAACCAAUGGGUCUUUUUUUUUUCAUAUAGUAGUAGUACGAGUUCCUAUGUCAUAUUCUUGUGUAGAGCCUUAAUUUCUUCCUGCAUUGCUAUCAUUCACAAAGUAACAUCUGAGCUGUUUAAGGUUUCAUGAAAAGUUGAUGGCUUUCCAUUCUCUAUUAAAAGACAGUAUGCAAAAUUGAUAUCUGUGACAUAAUCCAAAUGCCACACUGACAAUUAUCUAUCACGAGUUGACCAACAAACUUUUGGGGCCUCAGACUCGAUUGGUUCUUGUUCUCAUACUUUGGUGCUGUUUCAAAAAAAUCUAAAUCUUCAUUUUCCAAAUUAUUUUCAACAUAUAUUAGCACAAUCUCUGAAUUUUUAUAGUGCUAUCAUCCAUAUCUCUCUUUUGCAUUUGAUCUUCUACAAAGAUAAUAUCUCUACUGAUAACGAUCUUAUGGGCAUUGAGGUCCCACAGAUAAUACCCUUUCACUCCAUCAAUAUAUCCUAAGAAGAUACAUCUCUUGGAUUUUGGAUCCAUCUUUAAUCUCACUUGGGUAUUGUAUAUCACGUAAAAGGACAUCAAAAUGCCUAAGAUGAGAGUAAUCAACUGGCUUUCCUGUCUAUUUUUUCCAUUGGAAUUUUCAACCCGGUUGCAUUGAAUGAUGACCCACUUACCACAUAAUAAGUAGUUUUUGCUACUUCCACCUAGAAUGAGUUGGUAGACCAGCAUUUCUCAACAUAACUCUUUUUUUUUUUAUAAGAGUCAUGCCCUUUCACUCUACUACUCUAUUUUAUUGAGGAGUGUAUGCCACCGUGAACUAUCUCUAGAUACUUUCUUGCUUACAUAUGCAAGAAACAUGCUAUUUGUAUACUCUCCACCAUUGUCUGUCCUCAGGCACUUGAUCCCUUGCCCUGAUUUAAGUUCAAUCUACGCUUUGAAUUCUUUGAACAAUGGAAAUACAUUUGACCUUUUCUUGAUUGGAUACACCAAAUAUCUCCUAGAAUAAUCAUUAAUAAAAGUCACCAAGUACUUUGCACCUCCCAUAGAUAUAUCAAUUGAUUCCCAAACAUUAGAAUGAAUCAAGUCUAAAAUACAUUUACUUUUGAAAGUGGAUCUGCUAAACUUUCAUCUAUGUUGCUUCCUUGUUUUGACAUGUGGCCAAGUUUAAGAUGCCACAUCAUCACUGAAUUUUCUCUAUUUGAUGUGACUGACACAAAAGCUUUCUGUAGUGUUUCCCUUUAAGCAUGAAUAAAUUAUCACCGAUCUUUUCCACCUUCAUUAAUGCAAGUGCGCCUUUGACUAUCUUUAUGAUCCCAUUUUCUACAUGAGUUUUGCGCGCAAGACUAUCUAUUUGUCCUAAAGACAAGAGAUAUUUUUCAAGUCUUUGACAUGUCUUACCUUCUCAAUUGUGCGAACCAUACCAUUAAACAUAUUUAUUUUGACAGUACCAAUAUCAGUAAUCUCAAAGGCAUAAUCAUCACCUAUGUAUACAAAUUCUCUUGAAAUAGGUUCAUAUUUGUGAAAUCAUUCUCUUGGAGAGAUCAUGUGCCAGGCAACUAUUAAGUCUAUAAGCCAGAUGUCAUAUAGUGGUUUUCUAUCUUCUGAAGCAGUUGUUGCCUUACUGUAAAGAAUUUUGCCAUCAUACGAGGUACUUACUACAUACCCUUGAGCAUUUGAUGACUCAGAAUCUUUACCAUCUCUUCUCUUCUAGUUGUUCCAAAACUCUUCCUUGACAUGCCCUUUCUUGCAACAGUUGUUGCAUUUGACAUUCUUUUUACUUCUAGAUUUUGAUCUACCGUGACUGUGGCUCUCACUAGGGCCACGUUCCAUGGAUCUUCCUUUCAUCACCAAUAGCGCUUCUACUUGUUGCGAACUCUUUUGUCUAUCUUUUUUAUUUUUUGCUACUCUCCUCAUUUAAUACGGAGGCUGCCAUAUUGUCAAAGACUAACUUGUUUGCUCGAUUGUUAUUAGUUAUAUUAAUGACGAAUUGAUCAUACGAAUCUGGUAAACCUUGAAGUAAAAGCUCUAUAUGUUUAUUUUCCUCUAUUUUAUGACCCAACGUUGUAAGUUAUGAAAAUAAAGUCUUUAAAGUGUUGAUAUGGUCGAUCACUGAUGUAGAUUCCUCCAUUCGAAGAGUAUAAAGCCUCAUCUUUAAGAAGAUUUUAUUUUGUAGUGAUUUGACCUCGUAUAGUCUUGUGAGAGUAAACCAUAUUUCCUUUACUCUCUUUUACUCUACCAUAUUGAAAAAUACCCUAUCUGAAAGUGGUAAGUGUAGAUAUGCAAUGGCAUUAUUGUCUAUCUCAUUCCACUUGCCAUCAUUAGUUAUCUUUGUGAGCCUCUCUUCAAUUGCUGCCAAGCAAUUACUUUUCCUCAAUACAACCUUCAUCUUCAUUUUUCAUGACGAAAAAUUAUUUCUGUUGAACUUCUCAAUUUUGUAUUUUUCCGCCAUCACUUUUCACCACGAGCUACCUUGCUAAGAUCGAUCAAACUUUACUAGCGAAAUGAGGAUUAUAAGUAUUUUAGUAUUUUGUUUCACUUCUCAAAACCUUAAUACACCCAAUCUCUCUAAACAUUCUUAAUCCCUCAUUAUAGAACUAAAGAAGAAAAGAAUGGAAUGAAUGAAAUGAGGGGGUGAACCCCUCUAUUUACAGCUAAAAAUUUGGGCACUUUUUAUAUCUAUUAUUACAAUUAUUUAUUUCAAAAUUUAACGUUUGAAACUUGAUAAUCAAACUUUGAAUAUCAAAAGAUAACGGUUCCAAUCUUGACUCUUAGGCUGAUAUUUAGAGCCUUACACAAAGAAAAAUCNNNNNNNNNNNNNNNNNNNNNNNNNNNNNNNNNNNNNNNNNNNNNNNNNNNNNNNNNNNNNNNNNNNNNNNNNNNNNNNNNNNNNNNNNNNNNNNNNNNNGUAAAAUAUAAAAUCAUAUUACACAAAAAAUAUCAAAUUACUAAAGUGAUUAAAAUCAUUCCCAUCAAAUUAAGUCAAUGUCAUCAAAUUAGAAGAUAAUCUUUGAACUAAUUAAGCAAAAGUAAAUCUUCAAAGUUGAACUCAUCCAUAAAUGUCAUAUAGUAUAAACCAUCAAUUAAAUUAUCUUUGUCAAUUUUAAAAUGUUUAUAUUUACUUUAUAUUGGCUGUUAUUUAUAUUAUUUUUAUAAAUGUAUUGUGAUAUUUUUUAUUUACAUCACACUAUUAUAAUUGAAAUUUUAAAUGUAUUUACUAUAAAUUUGAAAUAAAUUAAUUAAAAAUAGAACUAAAGAUAGAAAUAGAAAAAUGUGGAGCCAAAUAAAAUAUUAGGGCAAACACUAAGUUAUAUUUCAUGUAACUUACACCCACACAUAUUAAUUUAUCACAGUCUUGUCUCCACAUAGAAAAAUUAGAUCUAAGAUUAUCAAACUCCCGAAUGAGGAAGAUCCCUCGGGGCCAUCGUCCCUGUGGAAAUUUCUGCAUCCCUGCAGUCUACAACGCCUAAUAAUGAAUUGAACGGUUGAAAUCCCUCUAAAUUUUUGAUAAUUUCUAAUCGCCCCUCCAUAUUUGAUUGAACAUCAAAACUAUUGAGUCCAAAUUUAUAACUUUGAUUUAUCUUCCAUUCCAUAGUUUUCAAGUUCUCUCUCUCUCUCUUUUAAUCCUUUUUACUGCAACCACCAUCAAAGCCUAGUAGUUAAUAUGUAUGCUGCUUUGCUUUCAAAAUCGGACACUACUGGUAUUUAUGGUUUUUAUUCUUUAUUUGACACAAAAUUUGGCGAUAUCUCCGCGGAAAAACACUACUGGUGUAUUCAAUUUUAUCCGGUAAUGAUUAAAUUGAUUAUUACAUGAACCGUAACUUCGCCAAGCCCAAAAUACAUAUUAAGUUAUAAAGCGUGGCACUCAUUAUUUUUCGCAAAAAGUUUCGCCCAAAAUACAUAUAUUUUUUUAAUUUUUUCUGUGAAAAAAACUACUGUUAUAUUCAAUUUUAUCAUUAAAGUUGUUAGUUACAUGAACCUUAAAUUAACACAAACCGUAACUUAGCCAAGCCCAUAAUACAUUAUUUCAUAUUUGUAUGAAAUUUAAAGUUUUUCCACUUUAUAUUUUUCCGCUAAAGUUUCUAAAUUGUAUUNNNNNNNNNNNNNNNNNNNNNNNNNNNNNNNNNNNNNNNNNNNNNNNNNNNNNNNNNNNNNNNNNNNNNNNNNNNNNNNNNNNNNNNNNNNNNNNNNNNNNNNNNNNNNNNNNNNNNNNNNNNNNNNNNNNNNNNNNNNNNNNNNNNNNNNNNNNNNNNNNNNNNNNNNNNNNNNNNNNNNNNNNNNNNNNNNNNNNNNNNNNNNNNNNNNNNNNNNNNNNNNNNNNNNNNNNNNNNNNNNNNNNNNNNNNNNNNNNNNNNNNNNNNNNNNNNNNNNNNNNNNNNNNNNNNNNNNNNNNNNNNNNNNNNNNNNNNNNNNNNNNNNNNNNNNNNNNNNNNNNNNNNNNNNNNNNNNNNNNNNNNNNNNNNNNNNNNNNNNNNNNNNNNNNNNNNNNNNNNNNNNNNNNNNNNNNNNNNNNNNNNNNNNNNNNNNNNNNNNNNNNNNNNNNNNNNNNNNNNNNNNNNNNNNNNNNNNNNNNNNNNNNNNNNNNNNNNNNNNNNNNNNNNNNNNNNNNNNNNNNNNNNNNNNNNNNNNNNNNNNNNNNNNNNNNNNNNNNNNNNNNNNNNNNNNNNNNNNNNNNNNNNNNNNNNNNNNNNNNNNNNNNNNNNNNNNNNNNNNNNNNNNNNNNNNNNNNNNNNNNNNNNNNNNNNNNNNNNNNNNNNNNNNNNNNNNNNNNNNNNNNNNNNNNNNNNNNNNNNNNNNNNNNNNNNNNNNNNNNNNNNNNNNNNNNNNNNNNNNNNNNNNNNNNNNNNNNNNNNNNNNNNNNNNNNNNNNNNNNNNNNNNNNNNNNNNNNNNNNNNNNNNNNNNNNNNNNNNNNNNNNNNNNNNNNNNNNNNNNNNNNNNNNNNNNNNNNNNNNNNNNNNNNNNNNNNNNNNNNGAUACUUCUGAUAUAUUUUAAAAUUUUUAAUGCACCAAAGUUCAUUUUUAGCUUUUAAGGUUUUUAUGUGUGAGCCUCUCAGCACGUUCCCCAACCUCCUCACGUGAAAAUAUUUCUAUGCACGGUUACAAGCUUUUCCAGAUUGUGAGUAUUCCGAAGCAAUCCAACUUGAAAAACAGCUGGUUCGUAGAAAAUGACAGUUUACGAAGCUGGCCCUGCUGCCAUACAUAUGAUGAUGAAGACCAUUUUGCUUUAUGUCAAUUCCUCCAAGUUGAAAUCUUUCUCGGUCUGGGACACUUCCAACACAUAAAGUACUACUAGGCUAGAUGAUUUUAAAAAAUGUCAAGGUCCUUUAUCAAAUUUCAUUUGCAUUCAAGACCAAUCCCCUUUGAUGAAAAUCAAUAAUUAAAGGCUUUCCAAUGAGAAAUUAUUACGUCUUCAAAUCUCAAAAAAUCGCCAGAAUAUUAAUUCGCUACAUAUAAUCAAGAUAUCUCAUUGAGACGCAUUAAUAAAAAAUGUCAAAAUGCAUAGAAAGAGCAGACACACGGAUGAUGAAUUUACUCAUCUUGAUUAGUAUUUGAACUUGAGAGACAGAAUGAAGUACAUGUCAAGAAUAUCAUAGAGAUGGAAACCGGAAGUCCUCCGCACAUAAACUUUGAAGAAACUGGAAAACGACUUUAUUCCAGAUAAUGCACACCAGAGUGACCAAAAUUCUCUUCAGUAACUAUAGAGAAAAUAUUAUUUUGCAUGCAUUUCACGUAACUGGAUCAAACUACUCCCCUGUUGGUUUAUCAGACCACAUUUUUAUGGUGCAAUAUAAACCAUCUUUUCAAAACACUUUUACAAUGUGAGAAAUAUAGGCAUUAAGUUUCAUAAACUAAAAACUCCAAUUGUCCAAAAAAAAAAAAAGGUGAGAAACUCAGUAGAAUUUACAACUUCUCAGACUCACGAAAAGGUGAGAAACAAAUGAUUUUUAUAUAGUUGUUCAUAGCUAACUUUUGAUGGUUUAAUGAUCUGUAGAUUUUGUUUUAUGCUAUUCAAGGAAAGAUAUUCGAUUGUUCCUAAGAGUUCAUAGGCAGGGGCAUAUAUGCAUGAUUUGAUAUAAUUCUCGCAAUUUCUAAGUACUUGCUCUUUCCAUACCUUCUAAGUUUUGAAAGAAAGGUUGAAAUAAACAGAUAAACAGGACAAACAGAAGAAGACUGAAUUAACAGAUCAACAAAGAUGGCAACUAACAAAUGGAAAAGUUCUCUUGUAAUCAAACUAUAGCAAACAGAUGACACCAUUACCAUAUAUCUUAAUGAGUAGAUUGAUUCUAAACAUAUAUGUUAGGAUACAUUUGGUUGUUUAAUAGUUUGAAAUAAGGAGGAUGAGAUGGUUUCCACAUAAAAGUGCUGGCCCUUUCAAUGACAUUUUCAAGGAAUUAUAAAAUUCAAAAUUAAAAAAAAAAACACAUUAUAAAGCCACGACGUCAAAAAAAUAAAUAAAUAAAUAAGUGAAGACCAAACUAAGUCACUAAGACCUUUAAUGAUAUAAAAUCAGCAUAUAAAUCUCAGAACAAAACAUUAAAACUCAUUCUAAAAGUAAAAAUAAACUAGUGGUGUAUUCCAAACAAUUUAGAUGAAGCGAUAAAACAAGCCAAGAAAUCAAAUAAAAUGAAAUGAAAUUGAAUUACCUGGGACUUUGUUUUUCAAAUUCACAACUCGCUUGUAAUUAAAGUAAAACGCCAAUGCCAUUAGGACAUAUACAUCAUUGAAUAAGAUGAGGACCCCUCCAACAGCUGAAAGUAAAAUUUUCAUUCAUUAGUUUCAAUUAAAAGUAAAGCACGCAGAGAUUUGCAGGGAAGCAAGAGAUUUAAUAAAUUUAACAACAGCAAUUUAAUUUGACAGGACUUCCAUACAGUAAUGAAGUUAAAAACUAACGAUUAACGAAAUUUUGUAAUUGAAUGAAUAAGAUUCUCUGAUUUUGGAUAAUUGAAUGAAUAGGAUUCUCUAACUCUUGUGAAAAUAUCAAUUUUAAAUAGGGUAGAGUUUCAAGAAUUAAGCACAUAUGUAUCCCAUCUGCCAGUACGUGAUCAUAAACUUACUUUAUAACAAAUAUCUGAUCUAUUUGGUGCAUUUUAUUUAAAAGAGAAAUUUUAUAAAAUUUUUCCACUGGUGAUAGUGAGUUAUUCGUACCUUCUCAGCAUGUAAAUGCUGUAUGAUUGUGUUAAGAUCAUUAUUAGCCCAAGGCUGUUGAUCGUCUCUCUCUCCAUAGUAGAAGUUUACUCUGAGAGGCGCGUUUAAUUCUCCUUUAGUGAAAAUCUUCAUCUUGGGACAACCAAUUAUAGAUAAAUCUUCCAAAGAUGGGAAUUUGAAGGUGUAAUUGGCAGAGCAGAAACUUGUGAGACUAUCCAAAUCAUACAGAUACAAAAUCUUCAAUUUGGUGAAAACAAUCUCUUCUUCAAAAUUUGCUGCUCCAUCUUCGUCAUUUAUCACCACCUCUCUCAUUGCUCUGCAUCCAUAUACCAACAUUGAUAAGAGUCGCUGUAGAGUUUGGAGUGACAGAUUCGAUAAUGAUCAACUCCAAAUACUGGCCAAGAUCGCAAAUCAAACAACCAAGAUGCAAAAAGAAUCAAUCCAGAACAAAUCACAGAGAAACUUAAGAACCGAAAAGAAUUAAAGAAUUAGCAGCAAAGACAAAAGAAUUAACAGAUUUUGACAAUAAUGUACAUUUAGAAUUUCAAGGCAUUGAACAAAGGAGUCCAAUUUGGAGUCUUGUUUCCACAAUUGCUUCAGAUGAUUAAAUUUGUGCAGAUCUAAAUGUUUUAUCAUUGUAAACUUCCUCACAUGUUUCUUCAAGUAUCCUCCAUUCGAAAAUACCUCUUCGCAUGAACAACGACGCCGUAUGAGAGUUUCCAGAUUAUGAAAUCUCUCAAGUAAAUCAAGUGGAAAACAAGUUGAGUCAUCAUCCACUGUUUGUAGUAGUUUAAGACUGCCAAAAAGGUGUUGUGGGAAAUCGCUCUGCAAAGUCAUCCUCGAGUCUUUUCCACUUAAUGCCAGUUGGGUAAGCUCUGAUCAUCAUCAAUCACGUAAUAACUUAUUAAGUCAAUUCAUAUUCUCUCAAAUAACUUUUAAUAAUCCAAUCAUACACAGUGACUUUAAUAUAAAUCAUAAUAAUUUACAAAAAAGAAGAAAAAAUCGAAUUAGAGGUAAAAGUUAUUCUACGAUUUUAUUUUUUAUAUAUAUCUUGCAUGCUAUUCCCAAAAGCAAUCCCAAACGACCCUUAAAGCAAUUUUACAAAAGCGGCCCGUACAUGUAUUGCCAACUUUGUUAGGAAUGGCAAUGGGAAGGGGAGGGGAAGAGACCGACCUCCCCGUACCCAUUCUCGAUAUUCUGUAUAUAUCCCUGGCCUCUUCCCAUUCACAAAAUUGCUUUAGGGAAUCCCCCUCCCCUCCCUAAAUAAUAAUAGGGGAUCCUUAAAGGUCCUCGAUUCUCGAAUAACUGAUACGUUUUUAGUUUUAAAUUUUAAUUUAAUCAUAUUAAAAUAAAAAAUAAAAAUAAAAAUAAAGUUUGACGAUAUAUCUUACAUUAACAUUAAUCUAUUACAAAAGUCACAUUACAAAGUAUAAAUCACCAUAAUAAUUAUCUUCGGCAAUCUUCAAAAUCAUAUAAUAAAAAAAAAGAAAUUACUUUUAUAUCAACAAUGAGAUAAAUGAAAUGAAUAUAGAUACUUAAUCAAUAUUUCUAAUAAAAGUAUUUACCUCUUGUGUCUCCUACUCUUCUUGUUCUUCCUCAAGGAAUGUGACAAAUUGAGAGAUAGCCUCAGAUUUCAAAUUUAAAACAACAAAAAUAAUAUAAGUAAUGUAAAUUCUAAGUGAAAAUAUUAAUAAUUAUAUAAUAUAAUUACAAUGUAAAAUAAACUCAUACUGCCAUUGUAAGCUUGUAGUCAACUUUGACAACAUAUUAAAGCCUCCAAUGUGCUUGAAUAAAGCGUGUUACGGUACUCUACCACUGGUGCUAAAAGCUAAUUCAGAAGCAACAUUUGUAAUUAGAAUUGCCAAAAUAUCUCUAGCAAUUCAUGCCAGUAUAGGAUAUCUAUAGACAUUUAUUUUACACCAACUCAAAAUAUUAAAAUCUUUCAUCCUAAGCAUAACUUUCUCAUCCAAAUAUUAAUGUAGUCAAUUAGGCCUAAAUUUUAAUAAUAUAAUUAUUUUAUUUUUUUUUAUUUAUACUAAUAUUUAAUAUUUUAUUAUUUAUUUACAAAUAAUUUUAAAAAAUAAAAUUAAAUCAAAAAAUUAGAAGAGAAUAGGGAUUCUGCCGAUCCCCGUUCUUUCUCUGAAUAAGAAAUUAGGUAAAAAAACUAUCUCCGUCUCCUUUUCAAAUAAAAAAUUAAGUAAAAAAUUAUGUACCCACCUGAAUUGGGAAAAUCUCGAGGGUCAUGUCCCCGCGGCAAUAUCUGCCAUUCCUAAACUUGUAACAGCCAGUUGCUUUUGUGACCGUUUAUGUGACGGCUAGACUGCUCUCACUUAUGUUACUAACCACGUGACGGUAGAGAGUGACGGUAGAGAGUGACGGUAGAGUUAUAAAUUUGUUUCUAAAUAGAAAACUAUUUGCUGGAGUCAAUAUUUUGAAGACCAAAGUCCCAAAUUCUCUCUCGUGCCUGGCCAGCAUCCUAAACCUUACUGGUAGCCGGAGAAUGGCGUAAAACGGCAGCGAUCUUCUUCUUCAUCUUAUUCUCUCUCUUCGUUUCAGGUAAGCUUGUGAUUAUGAGUUUCCUCUCUUUCUUAGCUUGUAAUUAUAGGUUUUGAUUUCUUUAAUUCGUAUUGUAACCAUUAAUGUCAAUUUUUGUCCCGCCGGCAAUAUUUCUUGUUCCUAGAAGUUGAAGCCCUUCUGUUCUUGUUCCAUUGGUGACUUUGCUCACUCAAAUUAAUUUUGUUCUGCGGAAUUUACAAAGUUCAAAUGGAUUCAUUUGGAUUACUAUUGAAUUUAGCUUUAAUUCCAACAUCCAUUCUAAUGUUUUGGCAUUAGAUUUAGUUUAAUUUUAUGUUUAAAGCUUCUACAAUGAAUAGCGGAGCUUGGGUUUUAGUUUCAUUUUCUAAUUAACUUGUUUUAGUUUAUCUUAUAUGCUCGCCAAGUGCUUGUUAUAUUGUCUGAUAAGUUAUAUAACAUUGCUGAUUCUAUAUUAGUAAUGUCAUGUUCCAUUUACGGAAAUUAUAACACAAAAGUUUUUACAAUGGCUUGCAUCUACAAACUGAAUUGACUUGUAGAGUAAGAGCUUGGAUUAGUGUUAUGUUCUUGAAUAAAUGAAAGUUCAUAUUGUGUAAGAGCAUGUAGAUGUAAAGCAUCACUACCAUUUCUACAAACUGCUUUCAUUCUGUUCAGAUGCUCCUCUUGAACUUUGAAAGGUGCCUCAUUCAAGUCCUAGCUAUAACUAAUAGCUCUGAUUGCUUAAGUUCCUGUGCUAGCUGAAACAGAUUUAUUUAAUUAAUUAAUUGUGUAUGUACUAAUUAUAUUGAAAGUAUAUGAAGAAAUUGUUUAACAUGAAUGACUUCUAAAUGACUUAAAAGCCUAAAGGAUAUGUCAAAUAAUGCUCAUUUCACUUGAACGAGCCUAAUACUUUUAUGUCUAUGAUUGUCAAUCUUGCUUAAGUGUUUCAGUUAAGUGGUUUACCUAACAGGGAAAAAAAUUUAAUGGAAAACUUUAGAGUUCUAACAGAAAUAUAGUUGACUGCAGAUAUAGUUAUUUUACAGUACAUAAAUCAUAUUGUCCUAUUCUCAAUGUCCUGCGACCUAUUUUAUUUUAUAUGGUCAUUCAUUUUUGCGAUGGUUUUUUGUGCUUAUGAGUAUGGAAAUAGUGGGAUUUGGUGUGGCAAACAAAAAUAUACAUAUAAUCAAGUUUCUUAAUCAUGUAUAUUGGUUUUGGGUAUGAAUGUUUUCCUAUUCUAGUUCUAGGCAAAGUUUCUUCAUUUUGGUCUUCAGAUUUCCAGUAGGUUAAGUUAAGCAACUAUCAUAACUAGCUAGCUAGUUAUUGCCUGCCUUGUCGCCAUUACCGACGCCAUUGCAUUGCAUGGCAUAAGGAAUAGUAACUAGGUGAUUAUUGGUGAUUCCUUGAGUUUAUUAUUGGCCAAACAAACAUAUUCUCCUUUACCCACAACUUAGUUUGAUUAGUUAUUAGAUAAUAAAGAGCCUUAAUCUAUGCAUUGCUUUAUUAUUUUUAUUUGGUUUUUCUUUCAACAAUAUUGUUGAUUUCUUAUAAAAAAUAUUCAUUGGUUUUUAAACACCUAAUCAUUGGCUAUAAUGAAGCUAAUUAAAACUGAGGCUUUGGAUCAAUUUCUGUUAACAACACACAAAUGAGCAUAACCACCCCCUCCCCCCCCCCCCCCCACCACCACCACCAAAAAAAAAAAAACAAAUAGUAAGACUUUGCAAGAUUCACAACCAGGUUACAUUUAAUUUAUUAAUUGUGUGUACGUACUAGUUAUUUGUUGAUAGAAUAGGAAGAAGUAUUUUAAUAUGAAUGACUUAAAACUUAUUGCUCAGUAAACAUAAUGUGCAUCAGUGCUAGAAAAUGUAUUUGUUGUUUGUAAUUUUUUAUGGUUUUGCUUAAGAAAUGAAAUGUGAAAAAAUGCUACAUUUUAUUAGGAAUAAAUUGAAGAGAUUUAUGAUUUUUAUGUGUUAUUCAAGUUUCAGAUUCAAUUUUAAACUUUUGAUACAUGCAUUGAAAGCUUAAACUCCUUUAAGAAAUUAUUAAUAGACACAUGUUUUAUUAGUGUCAUCUUUUGGAUGAUAGUGAGGAUCUUAUGUCUAUUAAUAAUUCUUGAAUUAUCUAGGCUUGGACAGUUUGGUAAUGCAUAGAUUUCUAUGGUAGCUAGUGCCUGAAAUUUUUUUCCCACGUAAAAAUGGGUUUUUCAGCAGCUGCUCCUCAUGUUCUCUGGGUGCAUACUAGACAAAUGGGUGUCAUGUGUUGUUUUGGCAUAACACAUAAACAUUCAUAUAUCUAUGUCGUGUACUUGAAGAACUAUAGGGAGAUGCUUCCGAAGUUUCUAUAAACGUAGAGGAAAACUUUAGAUACUUAAGAUUGAAGAAACUUAUGCAUUCUUGAGUGGGAUAUAUAGGACCACUUACCUUUUGUAAAUAUGAAGGGAAUGUUGGAUAUAUUGAUGGGAGUGGAGGAGCUGAGUGGGAUGAAUGUAAUCGGUUAUGAUUUUGCUGAGUCGACUUGGUUUUGAGUCUUGUAAUUUUGUUUAUAAAUGGAGUACUAUCUCCAAUGUUGGUUUAUAAAUAUGUUUCAGCUGGCUGACCUAAUUUUUUGUUUCUAGGUAACAGGCUUUAUAUAUCUGUAAUUGAUAGCCAAGUGAAGUUCUCAGCAGUGGGUGAGGAUAUUUCUUUACAGAAGGUAUUGCAAACUGUUUUUUAGAUUAAUUAUUAUUGUAUCUACUUUAAUUUUCACAUCUUUUUCUCUAAUUCUUGUGGCUUUGCUUGCUUCCAUAUAUAUAAAACCAUAAAAUUGUAUAAUAAUUUUUUUUAUUAUAUUGCGAAACUGCGCACACAUGAAAAUAUCUUGUUUAGUAGUAGAAAUGAAGAAUUAAAGUGAUUUAUUUAACUAAUUUUUCUAGUGCAUUAAAAGGACAUAGUCAUGGACCAGAGUUGGGUUGGUUUGCCAAAUAGAUAUCCAAUUCAUAUAAAAUUUAUAGAUUUUGCAUUUGAGAAUGUUGUUGGUGAUAAAAGAAUUUAUUGUCCUUCUAAGAAGUGUCGUAAUAUCGAUAUUUCCUUAUAAGGAAAGUGGCAAGAGACCAUAUCAUUAUAAAUGGCUAUUGGUUAAAGUAUUAAAACUGGAUAUUGGAGGGUGAGCCAUCUUCAUCUUUGAAAUCUAACUAAGAAACAGGUUAGUCAUGACUCGGGUAGUGAUGCUAGUAUGGUUGGAAUGAUGCAUAAUGCAUCACAUAAUCAAAUGUUCAAGUCACACGCAGCAUUGUUAUGGACUAUCUCCGACUUUCUAGCAUAUGCCAACUUGUUUGGGUGGAGUAUUAAAGGUAAAUAAGCAUUUCUUGUUUGCCAACAAAACACUAGAUCUAAUUGGUUGAUACAUAGUAGAAAAUUGUCACGUGGGUCACCGUCGAUUUUUACCAACAAAUCAUAGGUUCCGAAAAUAUAGUGCCAUCUGAUAAAACUAGAGAGUGGGGACAAGCACCUUCUCGGUUGUCUGGAGCCGAGGUGAAAAAAUGUACUUACUGAGUAUAAGAUUGAAGACUUGAAAAGAGGAGAAAAGAGGAGAAUGAAUAAAAUGAAAGAAAUGAUAAGAUUACUUGGAAGAAGAAAAGCAUUUUUUAUGAACUAACGUAUUGGGAGUUCAAUUUGAUUCAUCAUAAUCUUGAUGUCAUGCGCCGUUUUGAUUUUUGUUAUGAACUCAGAUCAAAAGUUUAAUGUGAUCAAAAUUUCUUAAAAAUCGUGAAAACGACUCUUACACUGUCAACGCUGUCAAUGUAGUGAUACAAUGAAGAUGAAGUAAAGCAUUAGUAGAAUAAUGAAGUUGACCAGUAACACAGUAAAGCAAAUUUUAUUCCAGAGCAUGAAAACUUUUAAACAGUAACACAGCUCUUAUUCACACGAGUGACCUGAAUCUUCUUCAGAACUUUCAAAAUCCUUGCCUUCCUAAGUUAGGAAAGAUAGACGUGGAGCAAACCAAGUGAAAUAAAUGAGUAAACAGAACAAGCAGGGCAAAAAUUAAAAAUGAUGGCAAUUAACAAAUUAAUAGCAAUGUUACAUUUGACUCUUUAGCCCUUUGCUCCUUCUCUUAGCAUUCUUCAAAGCUUUUGAAAAUUGGAUGUGAAGCAAACAAAAUAAAAUAAAUUUAGACAACACAUACCCUGUAUUCAGCAUCAUAUAUAUGUCGAAUAUCUAAUAUGAUAAGAGUAUACGCAAGUCCAAGUGAGAAGCAAAACCCAACAACAAAUAUGACGAAUAUGCAUGGGCACAUGCAAGCAACCAUGCAAGCCAAUAACGAAAAUGUAUGGGCACAUGCAAGUAACAUGCAAGCCAUGCAUGAGGUGGGCAUCACGUUCCUUCAAGGACUCUUCACAAAAUCAACGGAAAGCUUACUACGUCAAGUCGUAUUGAUGAAGAAUUCAGAUUUAAUCAUGAUUCCUUUAAGAUUAUUAUUUACUUCGAAAUUAUAGCUAAGUGGUUUAAUUGAUUUUAACUACUUUAUUUCAUUAAUUUUGUUCUAUAAAUAGACUCGAAUAAUUCAAUAAAAAGAUAUCAGACUUUUAUCUAAUUCAAUUAGCAAUUGCGGUAGUUCUCACCCUAAGAAGAACAAAUUAUUUACUUGUUGUUUCCGCUAAUUCUGACUGGGACCUAUCAUAAUAUAAUAAAUUUCACAUCCAAAAUACUAGAAUUUCAAACAGUACUAGUAGUAAAAAAAUGACGACAACAACAAAAAUAGAAAAUUACAAGACUGCUGAUAAAAUUUCAUUUGCGUGCAUGUCUGACAAAAUUUCCGUGGUUUAAUGUGCGUUCAUGCAAGCAAGUCCUAACGUUUCUGUGAUCACAAAAUGAAACUGAAGAUAAAACAGAACAACUACCAAACCUUUCAGGCUCUGAUACCAAGUUAAAGUUUCUAAUCUGUUUGAUAAGUAAGAAAAUGAGAGAAAAUGAAAGAAAGAACAGAGAUCAUCUAAGAGCUGGAUUUGAUGAAUAAAUCUGAAUCAUCCAUUCUUUAGCUGAUUACAAAUGUAUUUAUACAAGGUUUCUAAGCACCUGAGAGUUGAAUAACUUAUGCCAGCUNNNNNNNNNNNNNNNNNNNNNNNNNNNNNNNNNNNNNNNNNNNNNNNNNNNNNNNNNNNNNNNNNNNNNNNNNAAAAAAAAGAAUAUAUAAGUUUGUGUAUUUUUUUGAAUCAUAAUCAAAUGGGUAAAUGUUGCAACUAUUUUUUUAGACAUUUUCACUUUGGGAUGUCAGCCCGAGGAAGUUCGGGGGUCUGAGUUAUUCAACUGAAAAUGUCGGCCAAGUUCUUGUGUUAGUUUUAGUAUAUUGUGUAAAAAUGAUACACUAACUUGAAUUUAUAUGCUUUUAUGACUAUUUGAUAAUCAAAUGGGUAAAUGACACGAAGAACUUUGAGUUUAAAGAUCUGGCCCUGAUGCCUAGUAGCCCUCCAACCCAUGAAGCACUAGAUGUUUUAAUGAGAAAACGACAAGACCAUUUAUCAAAUUUCUUGUGGAUAUAAAUACAUACACAUAGACGAGACCAACCUCCUCAAAUGAGAAUCAGAGUGAUUACAAGACCUUGCAAUGAGACAAUAAUACACCAUCAAAUCUCAAAAUACAAUAGAAAUUCAUGACAUAUAUAUAAUAAAAGACCUCUCAUUGAGUCAUAUAUAUUGAGAAUAAAAUUUUUUUAAUACAUACAAAGAGCUUAUCUAGAAUGAAAUGUAAACUUUUUUAAUACAUACAAUGAUCAAACAAAGGAAACAGACAGGUUGCAACUCACACUAUCACAGAUGUAGCGACACGAUGCAGUGAAUCACAAGAAGAUCACGAAGAUGGAAACGGGAACCCCUCAGAAUGUAAACUUUGAAUAGAGGAAAAAAGAAAAACGACCUUAUUUCAAAUUGCGCACAGAAGAAGAGUGACUUAAAUCGUCAUCAGUAUCCAAACAUUCUGCAAUCAUAGAGUAGAGAAAUUUUAACAGGAACAGUGGAGAAAAUAUUAUGAAUAUGCUAGACCAAAUUAGUCCCUUUUUGGUUUGUGAAAACUUGAUUUUUUAUGAAAUAUUUUCAAACAAUAUUUCCACAAUAUACUUGUUCAUAGCUAACAUUUGAUGGUUUAAGCAUUUGUUAUAGGAACAAUGCACUGAUUACGUUUUUUUUUAAAAAUUUUUUUAGUCCGAUGAAUGAUAUUCAGCUGUUCUUUAAUUAUGUGUUCAUAGGGAAGAACAUUUUCUAAGUACUUUCCUUGCCUUCUAACUUUCCAAGGAAAUAUAGGUGUGAAGAAAAGCAAACCCAAUGAACAAACAGAACACAAACUAAAAUAAAAGAACAGCAAUGAUGAGAAUAAAUAAUUGGCAAAGAAAGAAUGGAAAAAGUAUGCAUGUUUUCAACGAAUUAUAAAAUACGAAGGCUUUUAAUGAAAUUUUAUCAUAAAAACGUAUGCAAGGAGUUAUAAAAUUUUAGAAGACGAGGGGAGCUCCCAAAAAAAAAAAAAAGAAGAAGAAAAAGACUCAAAUUAAACUAGACUAAAAAGACAUUCAAUUAUGCAAAAUCUGUCCAUAAAAGUCUGAAGGGAUCAUUAAAAUUGCAUUGCAAAUCUAUAUCUAUCUAUCUAUAUAUCUAUAUAUCUAUAUAAAGCUAGGACUUGAGGAGGUGAUGUGGCAUCACCAUUUUGCUUCUUUGUAUAUUCUCUAUUAUCUAAUAAAUAGAGAAUUUUUUUUAGAUUUAGCUUUUCAUCUUCUCAUAAUUAAUUUGAUUGUAUUUAACUCAUUUAAUAAAUAGUAACUUUAUUAAUAUAUAUCAUUCCUCAUCUUUUUAUAUUUUCUAUUAUCUAAAAUAUCUAAAAUAUUGGUGAAUAUUCUUUGUACUUUUUUUCUCUUUCUAUUUAAAUUCAACAAUAUGUAAUCAUUAAUAAUAAUUAAUUAUAAGUCCAAUUUUAAUGUCAACAAUGCCAUUAGAGCCCAAUUUUAAUGUCAUGAUCCCAUAUUUAAUUAUUCAAUAUUUUGUUUAGUGCCUUUUGGCUUCUUCAAACUCUAUAAACAUUAAAUAUUUAAGAUUUGUGGCAUCAUUAUUUCUUCCUCUUUCUAUUUAAAUCCAACAAUAUGUAACCAUUAAUAACAAUUAAUUAUAAGUCUUUUGAAAUAUUCAUUUAUUUUAUUAUGCUAGCAAUUAAACUUUAGUUGCUUAAAAUACAUCAAUUAAUUAACAUAGGAAGAGGGGUUCUUUCAUCUUCCCUCAAUAAUGCAGCUAGGGCCUAAGUUUAAUUUUCAUGUCUCUUCCUCUUUCUAUUGAAAUCCAACAAUAUAUAAUCAUGAAUAAUAAUUAAUAAUAAAUCUUUUGAAACAUUCAUUUAUUUUAUUAUGCUAGCAAUUAAACUUUAGUAGCUUAAAAUACAUCAAUUAAUUAACAUAUGAAGAGAGGCUCUUUCAUCUUCCUUCAACAAUGUCAUAAGGGCCUAAUUUUAAUGCCAUAAUCUCAUAUUUAAUUAUGCAACCUUUUAUUUAGUGUCUUUUGGCUUCUUCAAAUUUUAUUAUACUAGCAAUUAAACUUUAGCGGCUUAAAAUACAUUAAUUAAUUAACAUAGGAAGAGAGGUUCUUUCAUCUUCCCUCAACAAUGCCACUAAGGCAUAAUUCUUCUUAUUCUAAAUUUAAGUUGCUUGUCAUCAUCAGCAACACAAGUCGAUUAUGAUGCAACUACCAUUAUAAUUAAUGGAGAACGACGAGUUAUCUUCUCUGGUGCAAUUCAUUAUAUUUUCGCAGUAGUCCACAAGUACUGUAUGCAAAUAAUUAAUUUACAAUUUCUCAAAUCACUUGCACUUUCACAUUUUCUUCUUCUUUUAACCAAAAAAAAAAAAGCUACUUUGUUGCAAAAAUAUUAUCUUAAUUUUUUUUCCUAACAAGCCAAACAUGAUCCCACAUUCAAAACGGUGCGCUUUCAUGUUUAGGAAAAAUUAUGGGCAAUAUUUUUGGAUCCAACAGCAUUAUUAUUCUUAAAAUAUGUAAAAUUUGAUAUGAUUUAUUUCUAUAUGCGUUAUAUUUGUGCAGAUGUGGCCAGAUCUUAUACAGAAGGCAAAGGAUGGAGGGCUCGAUGCAAUUGAAACUUAUAUUUUGUGGAAUGCUCAUGAGCCUCAACGUCGUCAGGUGCCAAUUAUUAUUAUUAUUAUUUUUUUUAUUAUUAUUAUUAUUAUUAUGUGCGAUCGUUAUUAUUAUUGAAAUAAACAUACAAAAUUAACUUGUUUAAUCUUCCUUUUGAGAAGAGAUCAGAAGGUUAUCUUAAGAAAUUUGAAUUUCAUCAAAUUUUUUAUUUUUAAUUUGAUAUUUUUAAAGCCGCGCGAAGCGCGGUUCUAUUUCCUAAUUUAACAGUAAACCGAGGGACCUAUUCUAAAUAAUUAAGAUGAAAUUGCGAAACAAGCCAUGGGAUUAAAUAAAUUAAAUAAAAAUUAAUUACCAGCUGAGACUUUCUUCUAAAAAUUCGCAACUCCAAGUCAUAAGAAGCCUAUGAAAUUAGUCGUACUGCGUAGAGUAUAUCGACGACCCCGCCAACAGCUGAAAAUAAAAUUCUUAUUCAUCAAUUUAAACUUUUACUUUAUAACAAACAUUUUAUCUAUAUUUUAUUUAAAAAGAAAAAGCAAAUUUUGUAAAAAUUUAUCAUGGGAGAUAGAGAGUAAUAUGUAUAUCCGUACCUUCUCAGCAUGUAAUUGUUGUAUGGUUGUGUUUAGAUCAUUAUUAGCCCAACGCCGUUGAUUCGAUGUCUCUCCAUACUGGACGUCUACUCUCGGAGGCGUGAUUGAUUCUCCUGUAGUGAAAAUCUUCAUCUUGGGACAACCAAUCACUUCCAGAUAUUCCAAAGAUGGGAAUCUGAAGGUGUAAUUGGCAGAGCAGAAACUUGUGAGACUUUCUAAAUCACACAGAAUCAACGCCUUCAAUUUGCUGAAAACAAUCUCUUCUUUUUCAACUCCUUCUUUGUCAUUUAUUACCACCUCUGUCAUUGCUCUGCAUCCUUGUAUACGCACCGUGACGAGUUGCACUAGAGUUUUUGCUGUGCAGGAUGUUACCAAGUGUAUCAAUCCCUUGCAACCGAAAGCUACAAGUUUUGUUAGGUUCCCAAAAGAUACCGAUGAUGAUGGCAAUAGAAUUAACAGACUUUGACAAUGAUAUACUCUUAGAAUUUCAAGAUACUGAAAAAUGGGGCCAAGUUUGGAGUCUUGUUUGCACAGCUGCUUCAGAUGAUAGUGCCGGUACAGCUCUAAUUCUUUUAUCAUUGCCAACUUCCCCACAUGUUUCUCUAAGCAUCCUUCCAUCGAAAAUAGCUCUUCGUGGGAUGAAAAAUCACACAGUGUGAGUAUUUCGAGAUUGUGAAAUCUCUCCAGUACGUUCCAGAUUGGAAAACAAGCUGAGUCAUCUGCAGCAAUCUCUAGUUCUCUAAGACUGCCAAAAAGGUGUUGUGGGAAAUCGGCCUGCAAAAUCAUCUCCACGUCUUUUCCACUUAGUGAUAGUUCCGUCAAGUUGGGUAAGAUCUGAUCAUCGUCAAUCAUAAUAACUGAUAAGGUCAAUUGAUGAUCUCUCAAAUGAUUUUGAGUAAUCCAAUGACACGCAGUGACUUUAUAGUAUUUGUUUUAUAUUAUAUUUUUUUUAAAAAAAAUUGAAUUAUUGAUAAAAUUUAUUAAAUGAUUUUUUAUAUGUUAAUUUUAGAGGUAAAAAAGAAAUUAGGGAAAAAAGGUUGAUUUAUACUGACUCGAAAUUAUUUUAUUGCACAAUAAUAAAUUACUAAUUUAUUUUGUAAGUUCUUCUAUAUGGAAAGACUCAAGAUUCUUUUACAAAUGCUAUACCAAAAAAAGUUCAUAUAAUUAUUAAUCUACCACAUUGAUCUCUUAAUCUAGACUAGCAAAGAUUAUUGUAUAAUAAAAGUUUUCAAUUUAUUGAGUAUUAAUUUAUCGAUGCUUUGUCAUAUUUUUCGAAGUUAAAAAUAAGCUAUUGAUAAAAAAUCUAGAACUUGGCUUCAUACCUUUUCCAAUGGCAAUGGGGGCCGUUGUGCAGGAAUGCCAAGUUGAUCAUUCUCAUUAUUCUGCGAUAAAUCUGCAGCGAAUAUCUUUAAUUUGUCACAACGAUACACUACAAGAAUUUCUAGUGCGGGCCAUUCCGAAGUAUGCUUUCCAGGGUACAAACAUCUAAGUUUUGGUAGACCUUCGAGUCUCAGAGUGGUGAGCUGUGGAAAGACAAAAUGAGGGAUCACUUCAUCUGUUCUGUUUUCAGAAAUGAUCUCCUGUAAAUUCUUACAGUAGUGUAUACGUAGGUGUUGGAGCUGCUUAAGGCUUCCGAUCAUAGACGCUGAAAAUAUGUAUUUUAAUUUGUGACAACGCCACACAAUCAAUCGUGUUAAACUUUGAAAGUGAGGAAACACGGCCGCCGGAAGAUGAUUGUAGUGCCAAAUCUUGUCGACAUUAAUUGCAGAUAUCUCCAAAGCCUCCAAGUUAGGCAACGCAACCUAAAAAAAUAAGAAUUUCUCGUUAGAUCCAAUAUCCAUAUGGGAAGCACUUGUUGAAAUUUUCUUCUUUGAUUACAAAUUAAUACAAGUCUGAAUCAAUUUCCAACUGACAGCUGAGUACGCAUUCUAAUUCAUACUACUUGUUAAGAGCUCAAUUAGUGAGCGCGUGAGAUUCUUUUUAUCCUUUUUUUUUUCAUUUUCUUUCAAUUCUUUAAAUGAUUUAAUUAUUUUCCACGUAUGACAUCAAAACAGAACGCAUGAUAGAAUAAAGAAAAUGUUAGCCUACUGUCACGGGAUGAGUGUUUUGCGCAGCUAACCCGUGCGGCACUUAGACAACUUUGCCGAAUGUUGCUAAGUAAGCCUAGAGAUUCUCGAACAAGAGAAGAGAGCAAUUGAGCCAAAGAAACUUGUAUUGCACAAAGAGAGAUUAUAAUGCUUGUUGGAUACAAAUGCCUAAUGCCAUCCCAUAUUUAUAGGGGAGGCUUUGCCUAAGUUUGCCUAACUUUGCCAAACUUGGUCAAACUCUAGAGUAUUAUACAAUUUCCUAGCUAUUUACAUGUGCUGGAAUUGUAUAAAGUAUUCUAGAAUAUUUACAUGUUCACAUGUGCUAGAGUUGCCUAGAACCUUCCGGAAUUGGGCCAAGCUAGCACUCUUGGCCUUGUGUUGGCUCUCUAGCCCGAAAUUGUGGGCAAUUGGGCUAGCAAAUUGGGCGGUCCGCAACAUCCUCCCCCACCUAAGCUCGUGGCGUCCUCGUCGCGGUCUCGUGCUUGAAGUGCUGGAUGUGCUCAGCGAAUUGCCACAAAUCAUCUUCACGUUCCCAAGUGGCUUCGCUCUCGGGGAGGUUUUUCCACUUCACCAAGUACUCGCUAUGUGCUGGCACGCCCCUCCUCAAAACCGUUCGGUCCGCAAUGAUGUAGUCCACAUCUUUGUCGAACGCGGUGACAACGGCAGUUGGCGCGCGCCUCGAUUCUCCGCGACUUGGUUCUCCCAUGUCUUCGUGAUAUGGCUUGAGAAGGCUCACAUGGAAGACCGGAUGGAUCUUGAGUCUUGGCGGAAGUUGGAGUUGAUACGAGACGUUGCCCACACGUCGAACAACUCGGAAGGGUCCCUCGUAGCGCCUCACUAACCCCUUGUGAACUUUCCGCAAAGUCUUGAAUUGUUGGGGUAGGAGCUUGAUCAUGACUUGAUCACCUUCCUUGUACUCAACAUGUCGUCUCCUUGUCUCCGCCCAUUUCUUCAUCUUCCUCGCGGCUUUGUCGAGGUAGGCUCGUGUGAUGUCCGCUUCCUCAUGCCAUUCGCGGGCGAGCUUGUGUACCGCGGGGCUUUUCCCUCCGUAAGUCGAGGCUAUGGCAUUGGGGGUCAUGGGCUGGAAUCCCAUGAUGAUCUCGAACGGACUCUUGCCCGUAGCCUCGCUUCGCUGCAAGUUAUAAGAAAAUUGGGCGAUGUCGAGUAGCUUCGCCCAAUCCCGCUGGUGAGCGCUCACAUAAUGCCUCAGGUACAUCUCGAGGAGGCCAUUAAUGCGCUCGGUCUGCCCAUCCGUUUGUGGGUGGAAGCUUGUCGAGAACUUGAGAUCGGUCCCCAACAUUUUGAAGAGUUCCGUCCAAAAGCGUCCAGUGAACCGAGGGUCUCGGUCGCUCACAAUGCUCUUCGGUACUCCCCAAAGCUUCACAAUGUGCUUGACAAAUAGGCGGGCUGCCUCGUCCGCUUUGCAAUCGACUGGUGCAGCAAUGAAUGUGGCGUACUUGCUGUAUCGGUCGACAAUGACCAUGAUACUUCCGCAACCUUCGGACUUGGGCAGCGAUGUGAUGAAGUCCAUGGAGACACUUUCCCAUGGCCUUGUUGCUAGUGGUAGCGGCUCCAACAAUCCCGCUGGAAGUUGAUGAUCCACUUUGUCUUGUUGGCACACAAGACAAGUUCGCACAUAUGCCUCAAUGUCGUCCCUCAUGUGCGGCCAAAAAUACGAGGCUUGAACUAGUGCGGUGGUGCGCUCGAUUCCUGGGUGACCAGCCCACUUAGAGUCGUGGCACUCCUUGAUUACUUCCUUCCGCAAGUUUCCCCACCUUGGCACGAACAGCCGAUCUCCUUUGGUGAGGAGGAUGCCUUCCUCUUGCCAAAACCGCCUUGUCUUUCCCUCGAGCACCUUCUCCAGCAAAUCCUUUGCUAGCGGAUCUUGUUGGAGGCCUUCCUUGAUGCGUGAGACAAGGUCGGACUUCGGUUGGCUCAUGCUAAGUGUUGCCAAUUCCGCCUUGCGGCUUAGAGCGUCCGCAACAACAUUGGCUUUCCCCGGUUUGUACUCUAGCCGAUAGUCGAAUUCCGCAAGGAAAUCUUGCCACCGUGCUUGCUUCGGACUCAACUUCUUUUGAGUUUGAAAGUAGCUUGUCGCCACGUUGUCCGUCAUGAUCGUGAAGUGUGAGCCAAGCAAGUAAUGUCGCCACACUCUUAGACAAUGGAUGAUGGCUGUCAUCUCCUUUUCUUGCACCGUGUAGCGGCGUUCCGUGUCAUUUAGCUUUCGACUCUCGAACGCUAUUGGGUGGCCUUCUUGCAUAAGGACUCCACCUAUGGUGAAAUCCGAGGCAUCCGUUUGAACUUCGAAGGGCUUGGUGUGGUCCGGAAGAGCGAGGACUGGUUCCUCCGAAAUUGCCUUCUUCAACUCCUCGAAUGCACGUUGGCACUCUUCGGACCAAUGCCACGUUCUGUUUUUCUUGAGCAUAUCCGUCAAGGGUGCCGCCUUGGCUGAAUAGCCCUUAAUGAAGCGGCGGUAGUAAUUCACCAGCCCAAGGAAUGAGCGAAGCUCGGGUACUUUCGAGGGAGGCUCCCAAUCGAGGAUGGCCUUUACUUUGUCAUUCUCCAUCAUGAUCUUCCCGCCCGCAAUCUUGUGGCCAAGGAACUCCACCUCUUGUUGGGCAAACGAGCACUUCUCUAGUUUGAGGAAGAGCUCAUUGUCUCGAAGUACUUGGAGGACUUGUUGCAAGUGUUGGGCAUGAUCCUCGAGUGUGGUGCUAUACACCACAAUGUCGUCCAAGUACACGACCACGAAGCGGUCGAGGAAUGGUUGGAGUACCUUGUUCAUGAGUGUGCAAAAUGUGGCGGGUGCAUUAGUAAGGCCAAAAGGCAUCACAAGGAAUUCGAAAGACCCGUACCUUGUUGUGCACGCUGUCUUCGGUUCGUCUCCCUUGGCGAUGCGCACUUGGUAGUACCCGGAGCGCAAGUCAAGUUUGGUGAAGUACCGCGCUUUGCCAAGCUGGUCGAACAAGUCCGCAAUCAAUGGAAUCGGAUACUUGUUCUUGAUGGUGAUCUUGUUGAGCGCUCUAUAGUUGAUGCACAUCCGCAGCGAUCCAUCAUUUUUCUUUUGGAAGAGGACCGGUGCACCGAAUGGGGCCUUUGAGGGGCGAAUGUAGCCGGCAUCCAGCAAGUCUUUGAGUUGUCUCCGCAACUCCUCUAAUUCGGGUGGCGCCAUGCGGUAGGGUGCCAAGGCUGGUGGCUUCGCGCCUUGUUCCAGCUCAAUCGCAUGAUCUACCUCUCGCGGAGGUGGGAGCUUCUUCGGAAGUUCUGGAGGCAUCACAUCCUUGUAAUCUUCGAGGACGGCUUGAAUUUGUGGAGGGACUUGGCUUGGCGACGUUCCGCUAUUUCCUUCCUCAUUUAGUUCCCGAAUGGAGACCAAGAAGCUUGGGUCCUUCUUGAAAGCCCUUUUGAAUUGCAUGGCGGAGAGUGUCUUCUCCUCGGACUUGCCUCGCUCCGUGGGUACCAUGCAUGCUUUACUCCCGUCGAGGAUGCUUAGGGAGUUUGUAGCGGGCAGUGGGAAGGCAUGGACUUGGUCGAAGAAUUCCAUGCCGAGGACCAUCUUGAAGUCGUCCAUGGGCAUGAUGGAGAAGUCAAGCUUUCCGCUCCACGUACCAAGUGUGAUGUGCACGCCUUGUGCGAUUCCCGCAAUUGGCUUGGCGGGUGAGUUCACAGCCUUCAUUGUGCCUCCUUCCUUGGUGGCCUUGAGGCCUAAGCGCUUGGCCUCGUCUACGGACACGAAAUUGUGUGUUGCUCCCGUGUCUAGCAGCGCGCGAACGGACUGACCGUUUACCUUUGCGCUUACAUACAUGAGCCCUUUCUUGACGAGUGCGGGCUGUUGGCGAUUGAGGGCGCCGAGGCGUUGGAGAGAACCCAUGCUGAGUUGGGGUUCCUCCGUGGACAUUGUGGGGUUGCUCUUGAGUUGGGCAGCAAGAGCAUUAAGCGACCUCUUCUCCGGACAGUCGCGUACCCAAUGAGGACCAUUGCAUAUGAAGCAUGGGCUUCGCGGCUUUGGCGCCUCCUUCUUGCCCUCCGAUUUUCCUUUCCAACUCUUGUUGCUAGGCGGCUUUUUCUGCCCCCAAUCUUUGCGGUUGUUGCCCUUGUCCUUGCGACUCUCUCCCCCACCUUUGCCUUGGUUGGCCUUUUUGUCCUUGGAUUGGGUAGAGUAUUCGGUGAGCGACUCCGCAACGGCAAUGGCGUCGUCAAGUGUUUGAAUACCACGCCUAUCAAGCUCGGUCUUGGCCCAAUCCUUGAGGCCAUCUUGGAAGUAGAAGAGUGAAUCCUUGUCGGACAUGUCGCUUAUCUCCAACAUGAGGGUAGUGAACUCGUUGAUGUAGUCCCGAAUGCUACCCGAUUGCUUGAGGCGACAUAAGCGCACUCGCGCUUCCUUCUCCGCAUUGCUUGGGGCGAACUGCUUUCGGAGUUCUUGCUUGAAGUCGGCCCAAGUGUUGAUGGCGCAAAUGCCCUUGCCCAUCUCGCCAUGCUUGCGACGCCACCAUAGUUGUGCAGCGCCUUUAAGAUAGGUGGGUGCAGUGCCCACUUUCGAUGCCUCAUCUCGGACACCCAUGGCAUCGAAGUAUUGAUCCAGCCCAAAGAGGAAAUUGUCCACGAUGGUGGCAUUGCGUGUGCCAUCGUAGGUGUCGGGCUUUGGCACGUCAAUGCGGCGCGCAUCACUCGAGUUUGCGGAAGCUGGACUUGUGGAGAGUGUGCGCUUGUGCCAUGCCCAAUCCGAGCGGACUUCAUCCACUUCCGCACGGACAGCACGUAGUUCGUCCUGAACAAAACUACGAAGUUUGAGCAACUCAUCAUGGAAAGAACGAAACUCACCUCGGAGAAUGUUCGCUUGCUCAUGGAUGAGAGCUUUUGUGGCCACCGUGAACUUGGCGUAUUCUCCCUCGAGACCAUCCACUCUUUCCUCUAAUCCCACGAGGCUAUCUUGAGCGGCGGACAAUGCUAUUUCGAGAGUGCCUACACGAGGCUCCAACGCAUCCAUGGAUAGGGCCUUGGACUUGCCGCGAGUCUUGCCUUGGGCGCGUUCUCCCUCUCGGCCACGGCUUGGUUCCGGUGGAACAUCCACACCAACAACACCCUCUUGUGCUACGUUCGAAGGGUUGGCCAUUGCUUCGUGAGCUAAUUUGCGUGCGUGCAAACCUUAGCUCUGAUACCACUUGUCACGGGAUGAGUGUUUUGCGCAGCUAACCCGUGCGGCACUUAGACAACUUUGCCGAAUGUUGCUAAGUAAGCCUAGAGAUUCUCGAACAAGAGAAGAGAGCAAUUGAGCCAAAGAAACUUGUAUUGCACAAAGAGAGAUUACAAUGCUUGUUGGAUACAAAUGCCUAAUGCCAUCCCAUAUUUAUAGGGGAGGCUUUGCCUAACUUUGCCUAACUUUGCCUAACUUUGCCAAACUUGGUCAAACUCUAGAGUAUUAUACAAUUUCCUAGCUAUUUACAUGUGCUGGAAUUGUAUAAAGUAUUCUAGAAUAUUUACAUGUUCACAUGUGCUAGAGUUGCCUAGAACCUUCCGGAAUUGGGCCAAGCUAGCACUCUUGGCCUUGUGUUGGCUCUCUAGCCCGAAAUUGUGGGCAAUUGGGCUAGCGAAUUGGGCGGUCCGCAACACUACGCACCUUCUCGUUGAAAAGCAGAGUUGAAAUAUCCAAAGUGAUUUCGCUGGAGCUAUACAUAGUCGUCGAUUCCUCUUGCGACGCUGGUCUGUUUGGUGAUGCUGAAGGAGUCUUUACUUCCCGGCAAAAACUUGUAACCUCUGGAAGAUUCCCCAGACUCAAAGAUCUUAAUUGAGCAAACUCUAUCUUCUCAAUUGCAUUAUCAACUUCUUCCCCAAUUGCAAAAAUCUCUUUCAUCUUGCUGCAAUUAACAACUGCAAUUCUCUCAAGUCUUGGAAGGCAUUUUUUAGUAGAGAGCCAAAAGAUAUUACUCAACUUAUCACAAUUAUAUACUUCUAUAUUUUUGAGUUCGUUGAAGGACUCUACUUUGAGCCGAUCAAUACAUAUCCUCUCCAUGUUGAUCAAAUUGUGAAGGCCAAGUGACUCCAAAAGAGGAAAGGCAUCACAAGCGACCAUCGCCCUUGAAUCGACGAUGCAAAAGAAGUCAGGAUUAUUUUGAACCCAGAGAACCUUCAAUUGUGAAAAGCCCUCCGUGUCCAAAUUGAAAAGAACGUUCUUGAUACCUCGCAGCUUGUCCAACAAUAAGUAUUCAACGCUAUUGACGCCCUGCAAUUUCAUGGAGCAAAUGUCCGUAAAAGCAAGCUUGAGCUUCAAUGCUCUUAAACUCUUGCAAUCACUGUCGAUAUAAAAGUGUCGCCGACUUUUAAACCAAGCUUGUCUGACUCUCAUGGGAUGCGUGAAUGACUCAUUUCCAAUAUGUAUUUUGAACCUUUCAAGCUUUCUGGCCAAAAAACGUUCUGGUAACAUACUGUCAUUUUUAACGUCAAUUUCUAGAGUGGUUAGCCGAGGUAAAUGCAUCAACUCAUCAAGGCUAGCAUUACUUCUUUUGCUGUUGGCUCUUUCAACCUCCCAUUCAAUGGAGCAAUUACCCAUAUACAAUUCUUCUAAUCGGGUUAAGCUUGAUAUGACAUUUGGGGCAAUAACUUUCAGACGGAAACAGUCUGUGAAAUCUAACAGCCUUAGGUUAGUCAGUUGACCCAGUGCUUUAGGCAACUCUACAAUAUCAGAUUGCAAAAAGCUGAGGAUUUCUAGAUUUUCCAACUUUCCAAUAAUGGCUAUGUCUAUGCCUCCCAAAAUGCUUUGAUUAAGACAGAGUGUCUGAAGAUUUACUAGAAGACCAAUUGAAGAUGGCAAUGACAAUAACCGCAUUCUAGUCAAAUCCAAAACCCGAAGCUUUUUCGUCCUUUUGAAGAAGUUCUUAGGAAUAUUAGGCACAGAAAAAGAGUUCUUGGGAGACAUGACUAGAAGUUGAAGUUGUAGAGAUUCGGACCCUUCAGGAAUGUCAUUAACAAUACUAUCUUUAAAAGAAAUUGCAAGAUAUUUUUUUAGUGCAUCUGCAUCUGGCCAGUUCCACACAUCCUCAUUUCUCACCACAAAUCCAAUUUUGUCACGACAUGCAAUUGAAAUGGCAACAUCGCGAACAACAUCGUGCAUAGAAAUGUAUUUACUGCCACCAUCCUCAAGCAACAAACAAGAGUCUCUUAGUUUAUGGACACUUUUAAAUACACCCAAGCCCAUGCUGUAUUUGAACAAAUCCAUAAUUGGUGCUGGCGUAAUAAGACUACACAGUAAAAACGUUUUCUUGAGUUGCUCACCUCUUAAGUACUUGUAACUCAGCUCAAUUGUUGAGUAUGCCUCUGCUGGUACUCCUCCGUCGAAGCUUGCCUCUGAAGGCGUUUGGAGUUCUUGCAACGCAUUCUUCCACACAGGCAGCUCUUUGUUUCUCAGUGCCUUUGCUACUGUGGUUAAGGGCAAUAGGCAAACCUCCACAUGCCUUGGCUACCCUUGUUGCUAUAGGUUUUAACUCACGGUUUUCAACAUAAUCACCAGCCAUUAUCUUGAACAAUCUCCAGGCUUCUUGUUCAUUUAAAAUGCCAAUCGAGAAGUUUUUUUCAGAUUCUGUCCUUAACAGCACAUCAAGAUCUCUUGUUGUGAAUAAUAAUUUGCAUCCUCUGUGCUCAACUCCAAAAGGAAUUCCAAUAGUCCCCAAAUCAAGAGGUUUCCAGAUGUUAUCCAGAAUCACAAGGAUCUUUUUCUCAUUUUUCAAUCGCUCACAUAGCCUACUUGCUCUUCUAGAUUCAACUUCCUCGUGCAACUCCAGGCCCAACUUCUCGGCAAUUUCCUGUUGAAUCUUUUUUAUGUCUGGAGUUUGCGAAACCUCUGAAAAGACCACCGUAUCAAAGAGCUUGUCUGCCAUAGCUUGCCUGGCGACCUCCUGCACCAGUGUCGUCUUUCCAAUGCCGCCCAUGCCGUAGACCCCAAUGAUGCUGACAUCAACAACGAUCAAUGCAUUUUGUAUGGCUUUCAAAGUAGAAAGUCUUGAUUCGAAGGCCUCGUAGCCUUUGUGAGACUUGAGCCAUAUAUCCUCCGGAACGGUACGGUAGGAAAUUCUAUCAUCAAAUCUCCCAGCUUCUUCUCGGAGUUUAAAAAGGGCCUCCUUCUCUGUUUCUGCUUUCUUUCCAUGAUGAUAGCGAGCAAACCAAUCAGGAAACAGCCCCAUGAGACAUCGGCCAUCAUUUGCUUUCUCUUCGUCUUGAAUGAAUUUGGCUGCCUGCUCAAUGCUCUCGUUCGCAUUAACCAGCCAUUUCUCAACAUUCUCUUCAAUCUUUUCACCUUUUCUUUCAGCCUCAGAAACUCUGCGCUGAAUGCUUUCUCUUUCAACCUUGAGCCUAUGGAGUUCUGCCUUGAGAUUCUCAAAGUUGGCACCGGAGUUAUACCAGUAACUAAAUUCGCGUUGUGCGUGAGGGGACAAGCAGUUUACAACUCCUGGAACAAUGCUUUUCAAAAUGUCCAUCUUUUUUUUUUUUUUAGGGAAGUGAACGAAAUAGAAAUAGAACAGGGUCAACGGCUGUGCAAUUGAUAAUCAAGUAGAAGCAAAACAAGGCAAAAUUGAAAAAAGAAAUUAUAUUUGUACAAACAAGGAGAAAAUCAUUUCCUUCUGCGGUUUAAAAAGGAGUCACCCACGAGUAUUGAAAUAAUUUUAUCAGAUUCGCUUGAAAGUAGUUUUACAAGCUUGAAAUAUUCUGAAUUUCAAUAUAUUAAUUUUUAUGCUAAUUUAUGUUGAGAUUCGUAAUCUCGUCUCAAUGAUUAAUUAGUAGAUAAUCUUUCUAACAAAUAUGUGUUGAAUAGAUAUAUUUCUUGACUAUUAGAAGGUUAGAUAUAUUUUAGCAUAGGAAUGAAAGUACCAAGUUGUGUCAUAUUAGAAUAAAAAUUUGAGCUGAAAAUAUUGUUAUAUGACCUUUUAAUUAUUUGUCAGCAAAUAAUUAAUUCAUAUAAAAAAAUUAAUAAUCUGAAUUAGUCUUUAAGUAUUAUAAAUAUUUUUUUAUUUUUAAUUAUAAUAUCAUUAUUUAAAAAUAAUUGCUUGACUUAUAUUAGUAACAUUACGAUUGUCAUAAAACAUGUGAUCCUCAUCCAAUAUCCAUUAUUUGUGAUCCUUAAUCAAUAAAAUAUCUAACACUCCAGUCCAAUGCUGCCGUCAUUAUCGAACGGUCGAUAUCCAACACUCGCACGAAGAUUCCAAGAAGUUGCGUGGCUGCCGACUUUUAGAUGCAAAGCCUCAUUGUGUCGAUGUUACACAAAAGAGAGCAGUCCGGGUAAUUGCCAAAACUUAGAACUAAACAGUAGCUUAGUCAGAAAAUCAAAUGCCAGUACCGUUAAAAUGACCGAUAAAAAUAUAAAGAAACCAAAGCUUUAAAAGAAAUCAGCCAAAUCACGAAGAUUGAAGAGUAAAUCUAUGGUUUUAGAUUUUUAUUUUAUUUUUUUAGAUAAUAGAUAUUAUUUUGAUGAAUUUUUAAUAUUAGAAUAAUGUUAGGAAUUUCGAUAGUAGAAUUCUAACUUGAGAUCCAAUUGUUAUGUAUCAUUUUUUUAUUGGAUAAUGAAUUUCAUAACUAGUAAAAUUAAUAUUUUGAUCAUCUAAUAAAUGACUAUCAUAUCAGUUGAGACUCAAUUAUUGGGAUCCUUAACAUUGCUCUUAGUAUUAAAUUGGACAUCUUAGCUAAAUCAAAUUAAAAAUCAAAUUAGAUUUUAGGCUUUUAUCCAACAUCUCUUUUUUUUUUUUUUGGGUCUAUUUGAAGUGAACGAAAUAAAAAUACAACAGGUUCAACAACUGGGCAAUUGAUGGUCAAGUAGAAGCAAAUCAAGGCUAAAUGGGAAAGAGAAAUGAUAUUUGUGCAAAACAAGGAGAAAAUCAGUGUAACUGAAGAGAAUCAAAGUGCUUUUGAGAUCAAAAAUUGAGGCAAGAAAAGGGUCGCUUGAUCGAAUGAAAAUGCUAAGAGCUGAUGGCAAAAGAGAAUAAAGUUAAAUAAGAAAACAGCUAGCGCUAGCAGCGACCACAAUAAACAGAAAAUUUGAGAUGGAUUUACAAUAUUUCUGCCUUUCUUUAUGCUUUAAAAAAUAUUGCUCUAUCAAAAAAAAUAUUGAACAUUUUUAUUAUUGGAGUCACAAAUGACCUACACAAUAUAGCAAGUGACUAGGAAUAAAUAAGAAUAUAUAACUCUCUCUAAUUCUCACUCUGGCUUUUAAUUGUCACUCAAAACCCAGAAUUCAUCCUUAAAGUGUAGGCAAAUCAGGGAUGACAGCGUCUGGUUGUCAUACGUGCCUUUUAGUUUUCGGAUGACAUGGCGUACACGUCUUUUGUAAACCGAACAUGACAUGUCGUACUCUUUGUUUUGAGAUCAUAUUUCAAACUCUUCAUGCUAUGAAUGAAAGAUAAACUACAAUCAUCAAAAUAUUUAGUGUUUGUUUGGUAAUGUAAUGUCAUAGUUGUGAAUUGAAAUGAUUUGGGUCAUCGUUCGUUAUUUUCUGGCAAUAUUGUCUGGUCGUGACUAUUUGUUAAAUAUUAAAAAAAUAAAUUUAUAUUUAUUAAGUAUAAAAAAAAUAAACAAACAAAAAUAAAAGGAAAUGUUUAUACAUUACAUAAAAUAAUAAGAACAAUAUCAAUAUUUCACACUCUAUAAUUUAGUGAUGUGUUAUCCAACUGCCAUACAUUGGUCCCAAACGGAGACUUAAAUAUUAAAGUCCAAAGUUAUUGUGAUGAUGACUUAUAAUUGCCAAACUUGACAUACGGGUAAUCAUGCAUUAUAAGGUGCUGAUUUCUUCAGAUCCGAACCUUAUUUUUCAUUUACAAAUAAAUAAAUGAUGUGACUUCACGGUUGGCGGGGUCCUUUGUGUCAUUUGGGCAUUUCACUAAAUGAUUGAUUGUAGCAGGAAGAUUCCUGGAAGUUACCAUUUGCCAAUUCUACUAACAUUUUCAAACUUGGAAAACCCUUCAAUCAAUCUUUUAGUGGUAGGCUCUGGUAGCUUGGUUUGAUUAUGACGUAUGAUUAUUUGAUAAUAAAGUUAGAGGAUGUAUUAAUAUAAAAUUUGUUUAUUGGUGUUGAAGUUAAUUAUCUCAUUAAUAAUAGUAUAAAAAGUUAAUUACUAAGAAACACAUAGCAGUAGUUAAUUGGUGUCAUAUUAUUGGUAUUCUGGGAUAUAAUUUUAUAUCAUAACUUCGUAAGUGUAUACUUACUCAUCAAACUAAUAAAAUUAUUUAAAAAUUUCAGUUGGAAAAAAUAAAUUAUAUUAUUUUCAUUUUAAAUAAUCUAUAAGUUAACUCAAAACAUAAUCAAGCUGAGAAUUAAAAUAAUGCUACUGUAUGAGAGGAUUUUUAUUUUUUCCAGAAGUUUCACUAGGAAAUUAUUGAUACAUAGCUUUAUUCGGAUCAUCUCAGUUCAAACGACAAAUAAUUGAAAGACUAAGCUAAAUAGACCAGCCAACAACAUUGCACAAGAGAGUUCAAAAAUUAAGGUCAUGGUAUUAAGGUGUUCUAUCUUGAAAAGUAUAGCGUAGUAAUAAAAUAAAAACUAAUAGUCUUUGGUAAGAUAUGACAUUUAAAUAAUAAUUUUCACAAAAAUACAAAAAAUAUUUAUAAAGUACUUCUAUAGUGAGGACACCCUCACUUUGUUAAAAGACAUAUAUUUUAACUCAUUAAAAAUUUUAUUUUUUUUAUUUAUUGGUGUAUUGAAAUAUGUGUUAUUUAGUUUGUUAGUGAUAUCAUUACUUUGUUAAAAUGAGAAUGUCGUUACUAGAGAAUCAUUAUAUAUACAUAUAUAAAGUGCUUCUGUCCAAGACCUAGACUUUAUUAAAAUUUAAGAAAGCAAAUAUAUUUUAUAUGGUAUAAUAGUGUAAUAACAUCGCACAAUUAUAUCAUAUAGAGUAAUAGUUUUUCAAACUUUAAUAAAAUUCAAGAUUAUAGAAUGAAUGAUUUUUAUAUAUUAUAAAAUUUUUUAUCAUAAAUGGAGGACAAAAUUAACAUAUUUUCAAAUUAUAAUAAGUAUUUAUCAAAUAAUUUAACAUUGCAAUUUCUCCUAACUAGUAUAGUAAAUAAUACGACCUAGGAGAUACAUUCAUUUCAUAAGUUAGUUGUUAAUAAUAAAUGAUAUAUGCAGCUCCAAUCAUCAUUGUACGGUGAGUAAUUUCCAGUUAUAAAUAGAUAUUACUCCCUUCCCAGAAAUUUUUGAUGACUUAAUUUUGUGGGAUCAAAAUCAACAUUGAAUUUUUGACCAGCUGCCAACAACUUGUGAGCAGUUCACAGUGGGUACUGCACAUGAUGCCUGUUUCUCCUUUUGCAUCUAUUUUUGUUGUUAACAUUAAUUUCAAUAGCAGCUCGUUAAUCCCAUUUGUUGAUUUGGGACUAGAUAAGAAUUUAUCUUGGAACUCCAAUUCUCCAAUUAUUUUAGUUGACAAUAUAUUUAACAUUAUUAAUUGCAUAUUAUUUAAUUAUCAGUAUAUAAUAUUCUUUAAUUUUCUAAUUUUAUAGGAUUAGACACAAAAUUGAUUAUGCCUUUUGAAAUUUAAGGGUUAUGUCAAUUGAAUAGAAAACUUGGAGGUAAACUUGUGGAUGUUUUUGUUGAUUAUCAAUUUAUGCAUGAAUUUUUGUUUAUAAUUAUUAUUUUUAAACAUUUUUAUUGGUUUGAUUUAGGGUCAAUUUGGUAAUCCUGUAGCUUUUAAAAUAAUUACAAUUAGCUAUGCUGUAGAAAUUGAUCAAUCGUCAAGAGAAUUAGCUGAACAUUUAGUAAAAUUUAUUUUUAAAAGUACUUUUAGUUUUAAAAGCGUUGUAUGAAUAAAACUGUUACACUAAAAAUUAAAUGUAUUGCCCACUUGGGUAAAUAAAGCUACAUAUUACAACUGUUACACUAAAAAUUAAAUGUAUCUUAAACCCAAACUUCUUCUUCUUCUUUUUUUGACUAACAAAAUUAAAAACAAUAGUGAACACAUUCUUUAAUAAACAAUAAGUAAUAAAUAAAAUCGUGUUAAAUUUCUUAAAAACUUUCUUUCACGGUUUGCUAAAUAUUUUUAUUAGUAUUUUAAAUAAAUAAAAAUAGUUGAUUUAAUUUUUUUAAAUAAACUUAUUAGGUUCAUGUAAAGAUGUUUUUGUUAUUUUAAAAAGUGUAGAAAGUACUCCUAAAAAAAAGCGUAGAAAGUAAAACUUAAUUUUUUAAAUUUAUUAGCUGAGUGCAUAAAUAAUUGAGUGUUCAUAAUGAUUUUUAAAGUAUAGAUAGUCGGACCCUAAUAUUUUUAAUAUAUGGAAAUUUUGCUAAUAUGUUAAUGAGAAUUAAAAAGAUAAUUAAGGGAGGCAAUCGAGACAUUCAGGAUAGUUAGGAUGGGACAUGAUUGUGAGCGGUUAGAUAUUGGUCCUAAUUUUGAUCACAAAUAUAUAAACAGGACGAGUUUAUCUCUACUUACAUUCCAUUUGAUAAUUAAGAUGAGAGUGGAAUUGUCAAAUCCCAAAUCAUCCCGGACCACUGCCACCAAGGGUACUCUCACUAAUAAUAUCUAAAGAAAAAUCUACAUCUAUUUCAUACUUUUUUUUAAUGGAAAGAGCCCUCAUGGGGCUUGAAAUGGUAUCCUAAAUAAUAUUGAGAAUAUCAGGUCAUGAUUGGGUUUGUGACAAACAAAUACUACAUAGUUGGGAUACGUAGUUAUAAUGUCCCAAUUUAUGUAGUAUCUAUCAUUUAGCGCACAUAUAAAAUAUUAAUCAGCUUAAUUAAUUUAUAAAAUUUAAAUCUAAUUAAUAAGUGAUACAUAAAUGCCAAGUGCAAUACUGUAUAUGCAAAUCAUGUUUGUGGAUCAUUACAAAAUUGGCUCUUGAAAACAAGCAAGAAAGCUUAAUUAAGAACUUAAAACAAAAAGAAUUAGAUUGAGAACAGUCAAGCCUUAUUUUUUCAAGGAUGGAGCUUAUAAAUCUUCAAGUACCAACAUACGCUUGGCCCAAUUGUUGUUAUUAAAAUUUCAAUAUACAUAUAUAAGUAUGAUAUAGCAAAAAUUUGAUGGUACAUAUGUCGGAAUAUACUAGUUCAUGGGUGCAUUUGAUUAUUGUUUCCAUAAAUUUGAACCAGGAAGGACGACACGAUAAAAUUUGAUUUUAUGGUAUGGUUGAUUUCAUAGCUCAUGCACUCAUUUCUUAAGAUAAUCAAAUUUUCUCUGGCAUCUUUUUCAACUGUCGAAAUAUCAAUUAUGAUCAAUCAAAACGAUUUCAAAACCUUUCAUCGAGACAUAUUUCUAAUACAAUAUUGUGAAAAUUACACUAAAAAUUUAAUUUAUUAUAUAUUAUUAUCCAACGAGCACACAAAAAUGAUUUCGUACAAAUCUAAAAUACUAAGCAAUUUUCAAAUAGAAUUUACCAUGUACUACAAGAAAAUAGGGUAUAUGUGACCCCUACUGUGAAUGCAAAAGCAGCCAUUACGCAUAUCACUAACUUCUAACUUUGUAACCCCGAGUUGCUUUUGUUACCCUUUAUGUGACGGCCACACUGCUGUCACAUAUGUUACGAACCGCGUGACGGUGAAGAGCCGUUCGGUAUACUAAUAUUUUAGAAUUUUAAAUUUAUUUCCAGUUAGAAAACUAUUCGCUGGACUCCGUGUUGCUGGCCACCAUCGUAAACAUAACUGGUUGCCAGCGAACGGCGUAAAACGCCGGCCAUCUUCUUCUUCAACGUAUUCUCCCUUCAUCUUUUGAGGUAAGCUUGUGAUUAUGAGUUUCUUCUCUUACUUAGCUUGUAAUUAUAGAUUUUGAUUUUUUUUAAUUCGUAUUGUAGCCGUUAUUGUCAAUUUUUGUCCCGCCAGCAAUAUUUUUUUAUUCCUACAAGUUGAAGCCCCUGUGUUCUUGUUCCAUUGGUGAGUUUGCUCACUCAAAUUAAUUUUGUUCUGCGGAAUUUACAAAGUUCAAAUGGAUUCAUUUGAAUUACUAUUGAAUUUAGCUUUAAUUUCAACAUCCAUUCUAAUGUUUUGCAAUUAGAUUUAAUUUAAUUUUAUGUUUAAAGCUUCUACAAUGAAUAGCGGAGCUUGGGUUUUAGUUUCAUUUUCUGGAUAACUUGUUUUAGUUUGUCUUGUAUGCUCACCAAAUGCUUGUUAUAUUGUCUGAUAAGUUAUAUACAUUGCUGAUUCUACAUUAAUAAUGUUACGUUGUAUUUUCAGAAAUUAUAAUACAAAAGUUUUUGCAAUGGCGUGCAUCUACAAACUGAAUUGACUUGUAGAAUAAGAGCUCGGAGUAGUGUUAUGUUCUUGAAUAAUUGAAAGUUCAUAUUGUGUAAGAGCAUGUAGAUGUAAAGCAUCAUUACCAUUUCUACAAAGUGCUUUCAUUCUGUUCAUAUGCUCUUCUUGAACUUUGAAAGGUGCCUCGUUCAAGUCCUAGCUAUAACUACUAGCUUUGAUUAAUUAAGUUCCUAUACUAGCUGAAACAGAUUUAUUUAAUUAAUUAAUUGUGUAUGUACCAAUUAUAUUGAAAGUAUAUGAAUUUUUUUUUAACAUGAAUGACUUCUAAAUGACUUAAAAACCUAAAGGAUGUGUGAAACAAUGCUCAUUUCAUUUGAAUGAGCCCAUUAAUACUUUUAUGUCUAUGAUUUUCAAUAUUGGCUAAAGCAUUUCAGUUAAGUAGUUUACCUAACAGAGAAAAAAAUUUAAUAGAAAACUUCAGAGUUCUAACAGAAAUAUAGUUCACUAUGCAGAUAUAGUUAUUUUACGGUAUACAAAUCAAGUUGUCCUAAUCUCAAUGUCCUAUGACCGAUUUUAUUUUAUAUAGUCAUUAAUUUUUUCCUUGGUUUUUUGUGUUUAUGAGUAUGAAAUAGUGGGAUUUGGUGUACCUUAGCAUCUUUUGAAAAUUCUCUUUCAGUGUGGCCAACAGAAAUAUACAUAUAAUCAAGUUUCUUAAUCGUGUAUAUUAGUUUUGGGUAUGAAUGUUCCUAUUCUAGUUCUAGGCAAAGCUUCUUCGUUUUGGUCUUCAGAUUUCCAGUAGGUUAAGUUAAUCAACUAUCAUAACUGGCUAGCUAGUUAUUGUCUGCCUUGGCGCCAUUACCCAGGCCAUUAUAUUGCAUAGCAUAAGGAAUAGUGAUUAGGUGAUUAUUAGUGAUUUGUUGAGCUUAUUAUCGACCAAACAAACAUAUUCGCCUUUGCCCACAACUUAGUUUGAUUAGUUAUUAGACCAUAAAGAGCCUUGAUCUAUUCAUUGGCUUUAUUAUUUUUAUUUGGUUUUUCUUUCAACAAUAUUGUUGAUUUCUUAUAAAAAUAUUCAUUGGUUUUUAAACACCUAAUCAUUGGCUAUAUGAAGCUAAUUAAAACUGAGGCUUUGGAUCAAUUUCUUCUAACAAGAUACAAAUGAGCAUUAACCUAUCUCCUAUGAGUAAAUUUUUUUAAUAUCCUUGAUUUGUAAGGAUCUGGAGGCCUGAAAUCCUCUAGAUUUUUUUUAACACUGUCAAUGUUCUUUUUAUUCUGAGAAGGAAAUAAAAGGUUUUAUGUUUCAUACCCAAAUAGUAAGCUGGCCUUGUCUUAACAUGGCCUCCCGAGGACUUGCAAGAUUCAUAGUGCCCCCCACCCCAAAAAAUAAAAAUAAAAAACACAAAUAGGAAGAUUUUGCAAGAUUCACCACCAGGUUUUUUUUAAUUUGUUAAUUGUGUGUACGUGCUAGUUAUAUGUUGAAAGAAUAGGAAGAAGUAUUUCAACAUGAAUGACUUAAAACUUAUUGCUCAGUAAACAUAAUCUGCAUGUAUUUAUCGUUUGUAUUUUUUAUGGUUUUGCUAAAGAAAUGAUAUGUGAAAUAAUGCUACAUUGCAUCAGGAAUAAAUUGAAGAGAUUUAUGAUAUUUAUGUGUUAUUCAAAUUUCAGAUUCAAUUUUAAACUUUUGAUACGUGCAUUGAAAGCUUAGACUUGUUUAAGAAAUUAUUAAUAGACACAUGUUUUUAUUAGUGUCAUCUUUGGAUGAUAGUGAGGAUCAUAUGUCUAUUAAUAAUUCUUGAAUUGUCCAGGCUUGGACAGUUUGGGAAUGCAUAGUUCACUCUGGUAGCUAGUAGCUGAAGUUUUUUCCCACGUAAAAAUGGGUUUUUCAGUAGCUGCUCCUCGUGUUCUCUGGGUACGUACUAGGUGAAUGGGUGUCAUGUGUUGUUUUGGCAUAACGCAUAAACACUUAUAUAGCUAUGUCGUGUGCUUGGAGAAUUAUAGGGAGAUGGUGCCGAAAUUUUUAUAAACGUGGAAGAAAACUUUAGGUACUUGAGAUUGAAGAAACUUAUGCAUUCUUGAGUGGGAUAUGUAGGAUUACUUACCUUUUGUAAAUAUGAAGGGAAUGUUGGAUAUAUUGGGGAUAGUGUAGGAGCUGAGUUGGAUGAAUGUAAUUGGUGAUGAUUUUGCUGAGCUGACCUUGGUUUUGAGCUUGUAAUUUUGUUUGUAAAUGGAGUGCUAUCUCCAAUGUUGGUUUAUAAAUAUGUUUCAGGACUUGCUGACCUAAUUUUUUGUUUCUAGGUUACAGGCUUUAUAUAUCUGUAAUUGAUGGCGAAGUGAAGUUCCCAGCACUUGGCGAGGAUGUUUCUUUACAGAAGGUAUUGGAAACUGUUUUUUACAUUAAUUAUUGUUGUAUAUAUACUUUGAUUUUCACAUCUUUUUCUCUGAUUCUUGUGGCUUUGCUUGCUUUCAUAUAUGUAAAUUCUAAUGAAAUUAACCAUAAAAUUGUAAAAUGAUCUUUUUAUUAUAUUGCAAAACUGUGCACACACGAAAAUAUAUUGUUUAGUAGUAGAAAUGAAGAACUAAAAUGAUUUACUUAACUAAUUUUUGUAGCGCAUUAAAAGGAGAUAGUCAUGGACAAGUGUUGGGUUGGUUUGCCAAAUAGAUAUCCAAGUCAUAUACUGAUGGGGAUGAAAAAUUUAUAGAUUUUGCAUUUGAGAAUGUUGUUGGUGGUACAAGAAUUUAAUAUCCUUUUAAGAAGUGUUGUAAUCUAUAUUUCGUUAUAAGGAAAGUGGCUGAUGAUGAUAUGGUUGGAAUGAUACAAUGCAUCACGUAAUCAAAUGUUCAAGUUACACGCAGCAUUGUUAUGGACUAUCAGUGACUUUCUAGCAUUGCCAACUUGUCUGGGUGGAGUAUUAAAGGUAAAUAAGCAUGUCUUGUUUGCCAACAAAACACUAGAUCUAAUUGGUUGAUACAUAGUAGAAAAUUUUGUCACGUGGGUCACCGUCGAUUUUUACCAACAAAUCAUAGGUUUCCAAAAUAUAGUGUCUUUUGAUAAAACUAGAGAGUAGGGACCAGCACAUUCUCGGUUGUCUGGAUCUGAAGUGAAAAAGCAGUUUAAUAUACUUACUGAGUAUAAGAUUGAAGACUUGAAAAGAGGAGAACGAAUAAAAUGAGAGAAAUGAUAAGAUUACUUGGAAGAAGAACAGCCUUUUUUACGAACUACCGUAUUCACCAUGAUCUUGGUAUCAUGCACUGUUUUGAUUUUUGUUAUGAACUCAGAUCAAAAGUUUAAUGUGAUCAAAAUUUUUUAAAAAUAGUGAAAACGACUCCUAAUAAUAUGGAAGAUGGCUAUAAAAGAUAAAAGGAAAGGCUUAAAAAGAAAAGCCAUGCCUGUCAAAAAAAAAAAAUAAUCAACAAAAAUCAAAACGGUGCGUUUGAGAGUGUAUAAAAUACAUUUAGAGUGGGAGUUGUGUUGUUGCUUGAAGGCAGAAAGAUAUUUGUCGACGAAGCCAAAACCAAAGAUGAAGCCCAUAAAGCUCAAAACUCCACCGGAGCAAAUUCAGACAAUUACGAGGGUUAUGUUUGACAUAGUCAGGGAAGACGGUCCUCUCACCGUUGCCGAAACUUGGGAACGCGUCAAGGUGUGUGUAUCUGUUAAAUUGAAUUUCAACCGUUUGAUCUGUAAUUAUAAUUAAUCCAAUCGAUCUGACAGUGAUCACUGACCAUAAUACUAGUAGCUGGAGCGAGUGGGUUGACGGGCAAAAGCCACAUGAAGAUUGUGUUGAGAUGGAUGAGGGAGAGACAAAAGCUCAGGCUCGUCUGCAAUCACGUGGACCCUCAUAAGCAAAUCCUGUACACAACUUGGUUCGCCAAACCCAACAACUUGAAGCAGCCAAAAUCAGGGAAUGAUCCUUCUCCGUCACAACCCUAGCUGCCUUAACCUUGUAGUGAGGCGGUGAAGAUGAAGUAAAGCAUAAGUAGGACAAUGAAGAUGGAAGCCCCUCAGCAUGUAAACUUUUCAACAGUGACACGGCUCUUAUUCCAGAGGCUGCACAGAAGAGCGACCUGAAUCCUCUUCAAGACUUUCAAAUUUUUAUCAAGUAAAGCUUUCAAAAUUUCUCAACAAAUUGAUUAUUUGGUGUGGCUGCUACAUUUUGUGCAACUGCUAAGUUAGGGAAGACAGAUGUGAAGCAAACAGGGAAACAGAACAAACAGGGCAAAAAUUAAAAUAACAGAACAGCAAUGAUGGCAAUCAACAAACUAAUAGCAAUAUUGCAUUUGAUUCUUUAGGCCAAUUGUUCAUUCUCUCAGCAUUCUUCAAUAGUUUUUGAAAACUAGAUGUGAAGCAAAAAAAAAAAAAAAAAACAAAUUUAGACAACAGGAGCCCUGUAUUCAGCAUCAUAUAUAUACCUUGAAUACCUAAUAUAAUAAAUUUCACAUGUAAAAUACUAGAGAUUUCAAACAGUACCAGCAAUAGAAUAAUGACAACGACAACAAUAACAGAAAAUUACAAGAUUGCUGAUAAAAUUUCAUUUGCAUGGAUGUAUGACAAAAAUUCUGUGAUUUAAUGUGCGUUCAUGCAUGCAAGUCCUAACGUUCCUGUGAUCACAAAAUGAAACUGAAGAUAAAUCAGAACAACUACCAAAUUUGACUGAAAAUUCAAAAGAAUUUAUAUUCAAAAUGUCAAAAUAAACUGGAAAUUUAUUGCAUAUAUUACAAGAAGCAGUACACACCAAUGGUAAAUUGAUACAUCGUUUUUGAACUUAAGAUAGUCAAAGGAAAGAAACACAACGGAGGGUUAAUGAAACACUUUCAAAGCUGCAUUAGUGAAUAACCUCAGCAUGUAAACUUAACUUCAAAGGACGGAGCACAAGUUUCACAGAAAAACAGCCCUUAUUUCUGAUGCUGCGAACACAGAGGAGUGACCUCAAUCUUCUUCAUCACUUGGGAAUUCUGCAAUUAUAGAGCACGACAUUGAGCAUGAACUAGAAAAAAUAUUUAUUUUCUACAAUUUUCAUAUAACCUAACUAACCAAGAUUAAUUUUGUGGUAAUGUAUUGGGUCAUUAAUUCAUAUGUUUUUACUGUCAUCACUUUAGAAAAAACUAAUUUCUCAUUGUGAAAUGGCUCGUGAAAAGUAUUCUCAUUUAAAAACUAAAUUUGAAGCGUGGGAAAAAAAAAGUCUGAAGGCUUUCCACAUGAAAGUGUUGUCACUUUGAAUGAUAUUUUCUAGGGAUUUCAUUCUAAAAAUAAAAUACGUGGGACCUUAUUCUUCAGAUUGACAGCUCGCCAAGUACUAAAGGCGUAUGAGAUCAGUACUGCGAUGAGUACCGAGACGACCCCUCCAACAGCUGAAAAUAAAAUUAGCAUUCAUCAAUUUAAAUUUAAAUUCAUAUUAUGAAAUAAAAACUAAUGUUAAUGAGUUUCCGAGGAAUUUCAUAAGAUUCUCAUAUAAAAACGUGAUAAAAAACUCACUCAUCAAUAACAAAUAUUCUAACCUUUUCUUGAUGUAAUUGUUGUAUGAUUGUGUUAAGGUCAUUAUUAGACCAACGCAGUUUGUCAUCACUCGUUCCGUACCGAACGUUUAGUCUCAGAGGCGUGCUUAAUUCUCCUUUGGUGAAAAUCUUCAUCUUGGGACAACCAAUCACCCACAAAUCUUCCAAAGAUGGGAGUUUGAAGGCGUAAUUGCCAGAGGAGAAGCUUGUGAGACUGUCUAAAUCAAACAGGGACAACGCACUCAAUUUGCUGAAAACAAUCUCUUCUUUUAAAUUUGGUGUUUCAUCUUCGUCACUUAUUACGACCUCUGUCAUUGCUGGGCAUCCAAAUACCCUCAAUGAUACGAGUCGCUCUAGACUUUUUGCUGUGGAGGAUGUUACUAAGUUCAUCAAUUUCUUGCAAGCAAAAGCUUCCAGGCGUGUGAGAUUCCAAAAAGAUACCGAUGAUGAUGGCAAUAGACUUAACAGAUUUUGGCAGUGAAAUGCUCUUAGAAUUUGAAGAUGUUGAAAAAUGAAGUCCAGCUGUUUGUAAUCGUGUUUCCACAGUUGCUGCAGAUGAUUAAGUCUGGUCAGGUGUAACCUUUUUAUCAGUGCCAGCUUCCUCGCACGUGCCUCCAAAUAUCCUUCAUUUGAAAACACCACUUCGUACGAACAAUCCGACAGGAAGAGAAGUUCCAGAUUGUGAAACCUCUCAAGUAAAAAAAGUGGAAAGCAAGCUAAGUCAUCAUCCCCAACCCGUAGUAGUUUAAGACUGCCAAAGAGGUGUUGUGGGAAAUCGUCUUGCAAAAUCAUCGUGAUGUCUUUUCCACUUAAUGCCAGUCCCUUCAAGUUGGGUAAGAUCUGAUCAUCAUCAAGCACAAAUUAUUAUCUUAGCACAUUGAUCCCUGAUUCCAGACUGGCAAAAUUCAUUCUGUAAUCAAAUUUUCAAUGAUCUAACUAAUUGGUCUGUGAGUAAGAAACAACAAACACAACUGAUAAAAAAUCUAAAAGUUGGUUUCAUACCUUCUUGAACGAUAAUAGGGGCUGUUGUGCCGGAACACCAAAUUGAUCAUUCUCGUCAUUCUGGGAUAAGGUUAUUUUAUCACAAUUACACGCCACCAAAUUUUUUAGUGCUGGCCAUUCCGAAGUAUGCAUUCCAGGGUAUAAACAUCUAAGUUCUGGUAGACCGUCGAGUUUCAGAGUGGUCACCCGUGGAAAGACGAAAUAAGCGGUCACUUGAUCUGUUCUGUCUUCCGAAAUGAUUUCUUGUAAACUCUUACAUAACCGUAUCUCCAGGUGUUGGAGUUGCUCAAGGCUUUGGAUCGUAGAAGCUGAAAAUAUGUAUUUUAAUUUGUCACAGCCCCACACUAUCAAUCGUGUCAAACUUUGAAAGCAAGGAACCAUGCCCGGAAGUUGAUUGUAAUGCCAAAUCUCGUCGACAUUAAUAGCAUUCAGCUCCAAAGCCUCCAAAUUUGGCAACACUACCUAAAGAUAAUUUUGUCUUUAGAUCCAAUAUCCAUAUAAUAAGUGCUUAUUGAGAGCUUAAUUAGUGAGUGUAUGAGAUUUUUUUUUUCAUUUUCUUUUUAUAAAUGAUUUAAUUUUUUUUGCACAUAUAGCAUCAAAUGCAAGUGCAUGAUAGAAUAAAAAAAAUGCAAUAUCCAUAUGAAAAACACUUGUGUGGGCCAAUUUGGUAUUACAGUUGCUGAUUAAAUAAAUUGCUUCUGCUGUACGGAUGUAAUAAGUAGUUGAUUAAAAAAGCAGCUAGGUGUUUGGUGAGUUAUAUUGUUGCAGUUGAUAUGAGUUUAAAAAGCAGCGUAUAUGCGUUUGGUAAAUUUUAUUAUAAACUUGUUAUUUUAUCGUAUAAUGACCAAAAUAGACAUAAGUUUAAUUACCUUUUAUUUUUUUGAAGUAUGUUUAAUAAUGUUUAGAUGUGUCAUUUUCUUUUUAAAACACGUAAAUUAUAUUAAGUGAAAAAACUUAAUAAUUUCUUACAUAAAAUAUGAUAAAAAUUUAUACUAGUAGAUAAUACAAAUAAAAUAAAAAAGUAAUACGUAUUACUUUCAAAUUAAACUUGUUGCAAUAAACACCAUGACCAUAUAAAAAAUAUAAAUAGAUUGAAUGUUAAAAGCUAUGGUUAUGAAAUUGAUUUUUAAAGUUAUGAUUAAUUUUCAUGUAUAGUUAAAAAAUUAUAUAAUUACAUGCAAGUCUUUUUAAAUUUUAUUAUAGAAAAUACAAGUAUAAAUUGUAUAAUAUAAAAAAAAUAUGAACUUAUUAGAUCAAAACUUUGAUAUUAGAGAGAAUAUAUAGUAGUUGUGGUGGUAAUAUGAUAUCUGAUGACUUAUAUAUUAGAGUGUAUGGAAAUUUAUGACAUAAUUAUCUUUGUUAAAAUAUUAAUAAGGUUAUGAUAGGAAGUUUAAAACGAUGUGGUAGCUUAUUUAAUAAGCUGCUCAUGAAAAGCAACCCUAUCUGCUUUUAAAAGUUACUGUCAAAAUAGAGAAAAUUAUAAAAUAAACAGUUUUUACAAAAUUUACCAAACACUAUUUUUGUCACAGAUUAUGAAAUAGACAGUUUAUUGAGUUUUAACCUCAAUCCCAAAUGAGGCCACAAUAGCCACAUGAGAAGCACUUAUUGAGAGCUUAAUUUGUGAUUGCAUGAGAUUUUUUUAUUUAUUUGCUUUUUCUAAAUGAUUUAAUUUUUUUGCACAUAUGGCAUCAAAUGCGAGUGCAUGAUAGAAUAAAGGAAAAGAAGAAGAAGAAUGCAUUAGCCUACGCACCUUCUCGUUAAAAAGCAGAGUUGAAGUAUCCGAACUGAUCUCGUUGGAACUAGCUGUCAAUUCCUCUUGUGACUCUUGUCUGUUUGGUGAUGUGGAAGGAGUCUUCACUUCACGGCAAAACCUUGUAACCUUUGGAAGCUUUCCCAGAGUCAAAGAUCUUAAUUGACCAAACUCUAUCUUUUCAUCAACAUCAACAUCAGCUUCUCCUCCAGUUGCAAAAAUCUCUUCCAUGCUGCUGCAAUUGAUAACUGCAAUCCUCUCAAGUCUUGGAAGGCAUUUUGUACUACUCGAGAGCCAGAAGAUAUUACUUAACUCAUAACAAUUUUCCACUUUUAUGGUUUUGAGUUCAUUGAAGGACUCUAUUUUGAGGCGAUCAAUACAUAUCCUCUCCAUAUUGAUCAAAUUGUGAAGAGUAAGGGACUCUAAAAGGGGAAAGGCGACACAAGAUUCUCUCUCUAUUGAAUCGACGAUACACAGGAAGUCUGGAUUAUUUUGAACAUGGAGAUGCUUCAAUUGUGGAAAGCCCUCAGUGUCCAAUUCUAAAACAACAUUCUUGAUGCCUUGCAACCUAUCCAAACAUAAGUAUUCAACGUUAUUGAUACCCUGCAACUUCUUGGAGAAAAUGGCCAUAGAAUCAAGCUUGAGCUUCAAUGUUCUUAAGCUCUCAUGAUUACUGAUCAUAAAGUGCGGCCGACUUUGAAACCAGUCCUUCCCAAUAACAUUGAUAGAGUCGAAUGAUCCAUCUCCUAUUGAUAUAUCAAACCUUUCCAGCUUUUUGGAAAAAAAGCCAUCUGAUAAAAUGCUACCAUUUUUAACAUCUAUUUCUAAGGUUGUCAGUCGCCGCAAAUGCAUCAAUUCAUCGAGGCUGGCAUUACUUCUUUCACUAUUGGCUUUUUUCACUUCCCAUUCAAUAGAGCAGUUAGCCAUAUACAGUUCUUCCAAUCGAGUGAAGCUUGAUAAGAUAUUAGGCACAAUAAAUUUUAGUUGCAAGCAACCUGUUAAAUCUAACAGCCUUAACUUAGUCAGUUGACCUAGUUCGUCAGGCAACCGUACAAUAUCAGAACUUAUAAAGCUAAGGAUUUCUAGAUUCUUCAACUUUCCAAUUAUGGCUAUGUCUCCCAACAUGCUUGUUUCUAGACACAGUGUUUGAAGAUUUGCUAGAAGACCAAUUGAAGAUGGCAAUGAAAAUAGUCGCAUUCCUGUCAAAUCUACAACUCGAAGCUUUUUCAUUCCUUUAAAAAAGUUGUCAGGAAUAUUGACCUCGACAAAAGAGUCUUUGGGAUGAAUAAGUAAAAAUUCAAGUUGCGGACAUUCCAAUUCCUCAGAAACUUCAUGAAUGCUACUAUAUAGUAAAGAGAUUGCAUAGCAUUUUUUAAGUGCAUCCUCAUCUGGCCACUCCCACACAACCUCACUUCUCACCGAGAAAACAUGUUGUUCUCGACAUGCAAUUGAUAUGGCAACAUCGCAGACAACAUCAUGCAUAGAAAAUUGUUCAAUACUAUCACCCUCAAGCAACAAACAACAGUCUCUAAGUUCAUGAAGCAAUGCAUAUAAUUUGUUUCGUGCAUCUACCAUCCUGUUGACUCCUUGAAAUAUGCCCAAACCCAUAGAGUAUCUAAACAAGUCUCUGAACCAAAAACUGUUACCUAUUAGACUACAGAGCAGAAAAAUUUUCUUGAGUUGCUCACCUUUUAGAUACUUGAAACUCAGCUCAAUACUUGAAUAAGUCUCUGCAGGCACACCUUCGAAGUUUACCAUUGAAGGCGUUUGGAGUUCUCGCAAGGCAUUCUUCCAUUCAUGCAGACUCUUGUUUCUCAGUGCCCUUGCUACUGUAGUCAAGGCAAUGGGCAAACCUCCACAUGCCUGGGCAACAUUAAUUGCUAUAGACUUGAACUUACAAUUGUCAACAUCAUCACCAAUCAUUAUCUUAAACAAUCUCCAAGCUUCUUCUUCAUUUAGAUUGCCAAUCAAAAAGUUAUCUUUGGAGCCCAUACUUAAUAGUACAUUAUUAUCUCUUGCUGUGAGCAAUAGUCUACAUCCUUUAUGAUCAUUUCCAAAAGGAAUUCCAAUCGUCUCCAAAUCAAGAUGUUUCCAGAUAUUAUCUAGAAUCACAAGAAUCUUAUUCUCAUUCUUCAAUCGCUCAUACAGCCUGCUAGCUCUUCUAUAUUCAGCUUCAUUGGACAACUCCAGACCUAACUUCUCUGCAAUUUCCCCUUGAAUCUUUUUUAUGUCUGGAGUUUGUGAAACCUCUGAAAAAACCACACGAUCAAACAACUUCUUUUCCCUGGCUUGCCUAGCAAACUCCUUCACCAGUGUCGUCUUUCCAAUGCCGCCCAUGCCGUACACUCCAAUAAUGCUGACAUUCACAUCAGUCAAUGCAUUUUGUAUAGACUUCAAAGUAGAAACUCUUGAUUCGAAGGCCUCGUAACCUUUGUUAGACUUAAGCCAUAUUUCCUCCGGAAUGGUACGGUGGGAAACGAUUUCAAACUUCUUAACUUCUUCUCCAAGUUCAACAAGGGCCUUCACCUCUGUCUCUGCUUUCUUGCUAAGCUGAUAGCGGGUCUUCAAAUUAGGACACAAGCCCUUGAGACAGCGCUUAUUUGUUGACUCCUCAUCUUCAAUGAAUUUGGCUGCCCGGUCAAUGAUGCCAUUCGCACUAACCAGCCACUUCUCAACCUUCUCUUCAAUCUCUUCCCCUUUUUCUUUCGCCUCUGAAACUCUGCGCUGAAUGCUUGUACGUUCAACCUUCAACUUCUCCAUUUCCGCCUUGAGAUUCUCAAGGUUGGCAUCGUAGUUCCGCUUACGCAAAUAAACAAGUUGGCGUUCUGUUGGAGGAGCCAAGCAUUUUACAAGUUCCAAAACAAGAGUAACAAUGAUUUCCAGCAUCUUGAAUCCUGACAACAAUGUAGAAGUGAAGAAGGCCAAAGGAAAGUAAAAACAGAGAGACAGCGAUACGACAAGCAGUUGUGGAGCUAAAAAUAAAUAACGAACAGGCAGAAGCAAAGUGUUUUUCGAAUAAGAAGAAGGAAGCAAGAAAAGGGUUUCUAUUUAGAUUAAGAAUAAAUGUAAAGAGCUAAAAAAGCUGAUGGGUACAGAAUAAGAAAUGAUUAAGAGAAUGGGGGAGCCAAUAAGACUGUGGAGUGAGCAAACGUAAAUAAAAUUUUCUUAACCUUUUGUCAUACGUGUAUAUAAAAUAAUAUAAUUAAUUUUAUAUUUUUAUGCAAUAACUAUUAAUUAUAUUUUUUCAAAAUUAGUUAAAAGAAUAAUUAAGUACUGAAUCCAAAUCCUAUCCUAAAUGGUUAGAUAAAAAUAAAGGAAUGAAAAGAGUAAUGGUAGAUUAAAGAGAAAGUGAUUGAUUAAUUUAUGAGGCCAAUUAACGAAACGACAGAUCUGGUUUCCAUGUUUGUAAUUUAAGUGUAUGAGUACGAGAUGAACCGACUCUUUGUCGAGUCAGGCAAAUAGAAAGAGAAAUUACUAAAACAAGAACCAGCAACUUUUACUCACACAUGAGCUAAUAAUGUAUUGAGAUUGUGCAGAAUAAUAUAAAACCUUAAAACUAGUAUAAUAAAUUUGUCAUGAAGUUUUAGCCUUCUUCUUCAACCAAUUACAACACUAUCUUGAGCUCUUUGUUUCUUUUUUUAAAUUAUUCAAAAGAUCUCUGUCAUUAGUUUUUCAAUGAUAAAAAUUAUGUUUUUGUCUCAUAAAAUAUAAAAAAAAAAAAAAAUCAAACAUAUAUUAUAGGUUCGUUUGAUAUUAUUUUUAAAGGCUUAAAAGUCAUUUUGAAAAGUUAAAUGCUAAUUUUGAUAUUUGGUAAAAUUUUUAGAAAUCACCUUUGGUAAAAUCACUUAUCCUACAACAAAUUUCGGAAAGCAAAAAAGGAAUACUUAAUACAAUCUAUAUACAACCUUAUAUAUAUUAUAAAAAUCUAAAAUUAUCCUUAUUAUUUAGGAAAUAAAAUUAUUAACUUUAAAGAUAUUUUAACAAUUACAUUGAGAUAUCAAAAUAAAAAUAAAAUUAAUAAUAUAAAAUAUUUAUUUCUGUGAUCAAUUAUUAUAUGUACAAGAUAAAUUUUUUUUUAUAUACAUGUUAAUAAAUGUAUAAAUAAAUUUUAUCUAACAUUAUGUUCAAUUCGGUCAUUUACAUUAAUAGCACUUUAGAAGUAAAUUUUCCUAAAUGUUUAACUGAUUAUCUUCACAGUGAUUAUUUCCACAACAUAACUACCAAAAAUUAUUAUAAAAGAUACAACAUUACCAAAAAAAUAUUGAGGUACAUUUUAAUUAGGUAAUUGACUUAAUUAUAAAUCAAUUUAUUAUUUCCAUAUGUGUUAUCUAAACCAGCUCAUUAAUGAGAUCACUCUUUUUCUUAAAUAAAAAUAUUCCUGCCAAACAAUUGUUAACAAAAUUUCAAAUAUAAAUUACAAACAACAAAAUUUUCUAAAGUCAUAACAAUUAUUUAUGUUCUAAAUACAUGUAACUAAACCACAUUGAAAGUUGUCAAAACAGGAGGAUCUAUUGUUAGUAAAAUUAUUUUUCAAGCAGAUGCAGUGACAGAUCGGAUUUGGUUUCAUGUUUCACCCUCAAUAACUUAAUUUUCAUAUAUAACAAAUCAUCCAUAUUAUUAACAAUAUCAUCACCAACCAUAAUCUACCUAAACAUAAACUAAGCAUAACACAUACAUAUAACUAUAUACAUACCGAACCAGGAAAACAAUGAAAGCUACACGUAUCCGGCUCUACAAUUCCUUGUUGAUACCCUUGUGCUUCUGAAAUAAUCAACCAAUUAUAAAAAUUAGCAUAGGCGCAACUUUACCCCUUUUUUGGAAAACUUAACGAUAAAUAAAGUAUACAAAUCUCUAAAUUAACUUCGUCCCCAUGAAAUUCAGCAUAAAUAGAAAUAGAAUUAUAGAAACCUUACUACCUUUUAUGAGAAAUCCAACUUAUAUAUUUGAGACCUCUCUCUCUAAACACGCGCUUCCUCUCUCUGUACACUUUCCACCUUUGAAUUUUCCUUCACUAAGUCUACCUAAAUGAAUUUAGCAUUCUCCCAGUUUCUUUAGCAUUUUUUCUCCGUGAAAAUAGGUGAAAAAGAGAAAGUGGUUUGAUUAUUUUAAUGUAUGACAGAUCUGGUUUCCAUCUCUGUAAUUUAAGUUUGUCAAAACGAGAUAAUCAACUCUUUGUCGAGUCCGUCAAAUAUAAAAGACAAAUUACUAAGCCAAAAAAAAUAUUUUCCAAUUAAAUAAUCAUCAAGUCUUUUUCAAUUAAAUUAGGGAGUGCAGAACAACUGUCGAGAGAUAAUCAUUGUUUAUGGAGCCAUAUUAUAUUUUCGAUUAAAAUAGGUGCGCGUGAACAAUUGGCAGAAUUCGUAUAAAUUGUUGUCAGGUCUAUUAUAAUUAACAAGCGGAAUGGCCAAUGGAUGAAGAACCACUGUAAUUUCGUUUAUGAAUUCAAAAUGCUAAAGAAACUGGACAUCAACGCUAAAUGUCAGCCUGCGGCCCUUGCCUCAGUGUCUUUCAGGCGUUACUCUGGGUAGUUGAUAUACUGACCGUCCCUUUAUCAAUUAAUAAUCGAAAUAGGUUAAAAUAUGAAUGGAUUGGAAUAGUAUGACUUGGAAAUGGGAUGACAAUCAGAUUAAUUUAUUCAUUUAAACUGAGAAAUCAGAAUUAAAAUAAACUAUAUUAUUAUUGAUAUAUUUACUUUAUCUUAAAAUUACGAUGAGUUGUUACAAGUUAUUAAUAUGCCUUUAUUUUUAUUAUAAUAAUUAUUAUUUAUUAUAACAUUUGUCAUAAAAUAAUAAUAAUAAUUGUAACAAUUUAUAUUGAAAAAAUUUUAUUGUUAAUACUAAAUAGGCAAUUAUCCAUCGACCAUGUGAUCUUUCGAACUUUUUCAAAAAUAGACAAACACUUUUUUCUUUGCAGAAAUCCACCUGAAAUUUACAAAGCGUUUCAAUUGUUUACCGUCAUCUUAACUCUAUUAGAAUUUUGUUGAUGGCAUAAGGAUGAAAUUGUCAUUUUCACCUAAACAUCCAAAAGGGAUAUCUUUCAAGCAUGACUAAGAUAAAAAAGUAUAAAAAAUUAUCCUUCGGCUAUAUGAUCUUUUAACCUUUAUAAAAAUAUUAAAAAAAAUAUAUGAACAUUUUUUUUUUAACAAUCCAUCUGAUAUUUGUGAAGUGCAUUAGUGCUCCACUACUAUCAUAACCCUUUAAAAAUAUCACUUAAACACGAGAACCUAUUGCCUAAAAUUAUUUUUGAAGCAAAUGUAACGACAUAUCUGAUUUUGAUCUUCGUGACUUUUAAGUGUACAAGAACAAGAUGAAUGACCCUUUGUCGAGUUGAAGAAUUAAGAUGAAUAAAUUACAAAUCCAGAACAAAUUUACAGGUGACAUUUUAGAAUUAAGCAAACUAUAAUUGAUCAUCCAGUGAUAGGCUUAUUUUCAAUUAAAUUAGAGUAAAGAUAUACAUUCCAAAUUUUUUUAUCUCAAAUUUAAUCCUAGAUGAUAUGUCAUUAAUUGAGUACUUGGUAAUUCUUUCAAGAUCUAAGUGAAUUAAUUAUAUUAUCUCUCCAAUCAAUUGAUAAAUAUCAUAUUAUUUUGGAUAAUUUUUUUAUCUCAAAUCCUAGAAAAGAAAACAAAACAAAGGGAGCAAAAAUAUUUUUAGAAACGUAAAAUAACAAAAAAAAACUUUUUCUUGUUUUUCUUAUUUUCCACUGUUAAGCUUCAAAAUGAACAACUUUAUUUUACAAUCUCUCAAAUAAUAAUAAUAACAACAAUGUCAUCAUCAUCAAUAAUAACAAUUUAUUAACUUUGUAGGAUGGAGCUCUCUCAAAUCUUCAAGACACAAAAUGUGCUUGACCCCAUUGUUGUCAUUAUAAUUUCAAAAUCAUAUGUAUUAUAUAAUAUUAGGGAAUAUGGCAUAGCAAAAUUGAUGGCACAUAUGUUGCAAUAUACUUGUUCAUGUGGCGACACAUUGAAGUAAAGCACAAGCAAAACAACGAAAAAUGUAACGGGAGAGCUCUCAUUUUGUAGAUUUUCAAUAGAAGUAAUGCAUAUUUCACAAGGGCAAUGGCCUUAUUUCGCAUGCUGCACCUGUGGAAUGAUUUUGAAUCUUCUAUUGAACUCAGGCAUUCUGUAAUCAUAGAGUACAACAUUUCAACAACAAUUUUAUAUAGGUCGUUCCUAUAUAUAUUUUCUAGGUAUACAUACAUAAAUAUUAUUUUAGGUACAUUUCUCGCAAUAAAGCCUGCCCAAUCUAGCGUUUUUGUUUUUUCCAUUGGUUAAUUAUCACAAAACUCCACAGAGAUUUAGCAUGUUUUUAGUUUGAUAGAUUGUAUUCGCGUAUUCUCAAAUACCUUUUUAGACGUUAGUUUACCACUUCAUAUAAAUUAAGUUGGUGAGGAUAAAAUCAUAAAAGUACACAUUAAUGAUAAAAAAAUUCAAGUAAACUUGAAAUUUUCAAGGGGCAGUUUUUCGGGACCUCCCCUUAGGUUUGGUGUAUUAAAAGUGUCAUAGAAAGUAUUCACAUAAUUAUAAGAACCUCCCCUAGCGUUAGUACACAGUUAACUUGACUGUUAGUGGACUGAUAAAAAGUCAAAAAUGCCCUUAACUACAAAAAUGAGUCCAACAAUUUGGAGCUAAAUAGUAAACACCACACUAGAGCACUAAAAAGUCUACAAUAACCAUGGAAAACAAAUCAUUGACAUUUACAUAAUGUAAAAAAAAAAAAAAAAAUUAUGAAAAUCAACAAAACUGUCAACGUAUUGAAUAUUUACAACAGCAGUGGCUAUAAAUACAGUCGUCGUCAAAUUAAAAUAUCAUCAUUAGUAAACUACUUCAAUAAGACAAUAAACCAUGAUUCACUCUUCAAAGCAUUCAAAAUACACAACCCGCACAAUAGAAUCACAUACGCACACCUGCUAAUGAAAUAUAAGAACAAACAGGAAAUUGAACUGACAUGGCUAAGAUACUCCUUCCCCAUAGCUAUUAGAAAGAUAAUGAGCGAUUUAUGAAUCAUGAUGCUUGCUUUACUUUCUGGCAGUGUUAGCUUCAAAUUCAAUGAUAGUAAAUGAACAAUGGUUCAUUCAUUAUGAAAGUAAUUGUAAAGUUAGGAAUUUAUAAUAUUCAGAUGUUGGAAUUAGAAAAAUAUUCCUUAGUCGUUUCAAUUGAAGCCAAGGAAGAAAGGAAACGAGUCUUCUUUUUUCAGGCCACAAGCCAUAUGAAGAAGGCAGACCAGAGCAUAAGAACGAAUGCUACUGCCACAGUAAAAGCUUAGAUCAAUGGUUAAUGGUACCUGCCAUGUCAAUUUCAUGACAAACAAAAAUCAAUUAUCAUCCCCAGACCACAACACCACCAAACCAACCUUUUGAAUCUAAAAUAACAAGUUAAUAAAUCAAAGAUUUCAAUUCAUUUAAGUUUGAAAUCAACUAAAAUAGAAAAAAAAAAAACCCAAUUUCUUUUAUGUUCAAUAUAACUGAUUUGGCAUCUUCUUCAACACAUUUUUAUCAUUCUUCAUCAUCACAACAAUAAAAAGAAAAAAAAAACAUUGAGUCCAACAUGCAAGUUUUUUUUUUUUUUUUGGGAAACUAACCUUUUUUAGGUUCCAAUUCUAGUAAUCUUAGACGGUAGCCGCCGACGAAAUUCGCUUGGCGACACCCUUUUGCCACCAUUGCAGCUUGUCAUGUUCAUACGCAGCUUAAAAUUACUUGAAGGCAGCUGGGAUUUUAUAGUUACAAAAGUUUCUUCAGAGCUUUUCAAGCUUGAAAAUGGUUGUUCCAUUUAAUGAGAGAGAAAAUGGAGUUUUCAUUCAUCUUAGAUAAAUUGAAGAUAAUUUGCAUUGUGGGCAAUAAAUUGAUUAUCAGUGCCUAAAUUUGGGUCAUCGAUGCAACUUUGGAUUUUUUUUUCUUUUGAUUUUUAUUUAUGAAACCACUAAUUUACCCUCAUAUACUAAUAAUAUACGAAAUGGUAUACUAACGUCAAAGAGUUCCCUAUAAUUACAUGAAUACUUUCCAUGAGACUGUUAAUACACGAAACCUUAGGGGAGGUCCCUAGAAGUUACCCAAUUUUUAAGUUGUGUUUUGAAAUUGGUCUCAACUUUGUAAAUGUCCAUUGGGUAAAGAACAUAAGAUUUACCCAGCACACAUUAACGCCCACAAAAAAAGAAAAGGAAAAAUGGUCAUCUCUUUCCUCCAUUCGACUUGAACCCAUGAAACGCAACAUCCCUUUCAUCUUCUCUCUAAUGCUUUGAUUAAAAAACUUGCUUACGAAAGGGAGACCAUGACACUGAAUCCCAAGAUGGCAAUACUAGAGACGACUGAUUCACGCCAGCGAUGUGGAAGAAUACCGACCAGUGACUUUCGUCGUCGACCUACAAACAAUCCCAGUGUUUUCGAGCCGCGAAUGAGGUAUGAAUAAGAUUAUUUCCGUGCAUGUCAGUUUUGUAAGGAGAUUUGAUUAAAAAAAAAAGAAUAAUGGUUCUCAAAAUUUUUUUGAGAGUAUUUCUGUUGCUUAAAUUUUUUUCCAUCGAUUAAUGUUAGUUGUAGGUGAAUGAUUGUUGCAAAUGCAUGUUCGCUUGUGAUUGAUUGAAAAUGACUUGUUGUUUGUUAUGUUGCCGUGUGACUGAUUGAAAAUGGCUCUGAAAUUUUUUUAUUUGUUUAAGGUACUGAUUUUGAUUAUUGAACAGGGAUUCAUGCUAGUUUUUAUCAAAUUAAAGAUGAGAUUAUUUUUUAAGAGAUCUACCAAACCUUCUUUACUAUGGAUUUGGCUUCUGACAUACCUGGUUGGCUGGAGAUAAUUUUUUAUAUAGUCAUUGCUGCUCGUAUUAAUCAGGAAUAUUGAUUAGCAAUGUACUGGAUUGGAGAUUGGUAUAAUUUUGGAAAAUUAGUCGUAGAUGCAACCUGAUUAUGGUCUUAAAUAGUGUGAUAUAAUCAAGCUUGUUAGCCAAUGUCCAAAAUUGCAGUGUCUUUAGAUAAGUCCCGUCUUACUUGUUUGAGUUAUAAAUGAAAAUUGUAGUGUCUUUGGAUAAUCACGCUGAAUGUUCAAGUUAUUGAAGAGAAGGGACUCCCAGAUUCAAGGCCGGAGCUCCUUGUUGAGAAGCUUUACAUAUAUAGGAUUGUCGCUGGGCGGAGGACCGAUAUGCCCAGUUUUGUUUGGAAUAGGGAUGAAGAUUUUGCAUUGAGGCUUUCUUGAUAGAUCAUUCUGCAAAUCAAGCUCCAUGCAUCUAUAUUCAGUCUCUUGGAUAUGUAUAAAGCAGGUGCAUGCUCUAUAUGUUACUCAUUGUAUCACGAUUAUUAUGGCAAACUCUUUACCACCUUUUUGAUUACCAAAAAACCCAUUGGUAUUCAAAUCUUCCCAAAUUGUGUCAUUUGGACCAAAGUUAUUGGUUCAACUCUUCCUAAUAAGGAUAUCUUGUUAGGAUUUGACAUCCUUCACCAAAUCAAACACCUCCAAAUCAUUCCCACUGGAAUCCGAGUCAAGUCCAUGUUCAAACCAUUCACAGACAUUCUGAAACUCUACAAUUUGUCUGAAACUCCCCAGUCUUACCAGGAUAUUUCAACCAAACUUUUGAGUUUCUGUCCAGAGUCCCAUUCUGAGUUCACCCAUCCAAAUCCUUUGUGGAAAAAUAAGUCUUUCUUCAUUAAGUUACCCUUCAAACUCAAUGAAGAGGCAUACCGUUCAUUGAAACUUGUUUUCUAAAUUCUUGUUUACAUGAUCAAAAUGGUAUCAUUUAAGCCUUUUUUCUUUUUUGCUCCAUAGACUUCAGACGCAGAGAGAGUUUCUCAUUCAUGGCUUCCACUUCAUCUUCGACUCCUUCCACUCCUGUUACUCUUUCUUCUACUCUUUCCUUGCCGAAAUCUUGCACUUCUCAUACUGCCAACAAAAUUGAACACCUUGUAGAAUACUCAUACAUCCCUGAAUCCGCCCAGAUCAGUGAAUCUUCAUACCCUCUCAUUAGCCCUUACCACCUAUACAAACGCCCCAGUUCUUUUACCCGCAGUAUUCGUACUCUCAUAUCCACCCGAAGACCUCACCCUAAAGAAUACAUCCAGUCUUCUCGCCUGGAUCAGUGUUCACUCCAAGCAACCUCUGCUGAGCAAUAUGUCACUCUUGAAAUACCCUCAGAGUUGAUUUCCAACUGGAAACGAGAAGGUUACACUCAUCUCCACCUUGGAGGCAUCAGAUUAAUCCUUACCCUUCAUGGGAGAAAAGGAUUACCGGUUACAGCUCGCCUUGCUAUGCUUGAUACCCGGUUUAAACAGUACCCAGAUGCUGUUAUUGGCACUGUCCUUACAACCCUUCAUGCAGGAAGUGUUUUACUCACUUUCUAUCCCAACUUCAACCUUUCUCUCCAAGAUCCCAACUUGCCCACAACCUUGAAGGUCCAAAUCCAAAUUCAAGGUGCUGAACAAAUUUCUUCCGCCAAAAUUGCUACCUUACACCACCAACUGGUCUAUAGGCUUCAAAAUCAUGCCUUAGAUCUACCCACACCAGAACACCACUCUGACACCCUCAUGGUGUUAGCAGAAUCUGACCAGAUCCCGACAAUCAUCCAGAUCCCACGACAAAUUCCCCGUCAUGAGCUCAUCAAGCUUAUGCCUCUUGAAUGGAUCUCCAACUAUGAACAGUUCCACAAUAAUACAGCUCCCAUUCAGACACCCGAAAGUAUGUUUGAAAGACGACAAGAUGGAACAGUCAGAAUGACUUUUAAACCACCUCCCAGUGCUCCACAAGAGCCUCAUCGGCUCUCCUUUACUUAUUCCUCAAUGAUCACAGCUGUUCAGACAGCCCAAGAAGAUCUGCCCAUUACAGGGUUUAAUUAUGAAGGUUACCCUGUUUAUCCAGCCAAACACAAUGGCCAUUUCCUAUGGGAUGCCCCUGGUUCCGGCAUGUGUGACCCAAAUUGUCCCUGCUAGGAUGAUUGGGAAGAAGACGAUGAUUAUGCAACCACAAGGAAAAAGAAGCCCAAAAAGAAAAAAACCUUCUGUCCCAUGUCACCACUGUGACCCCAAACCACCAUCAGACCCUCCACCUCCACCAGCUCCAUUACCCAUCUACCGAAAAGAACUCAGAUGGAUUGCCAAACAUUGCAAAUCUGAGAUUCCAUCACCACUUCCAAACCCAACGCCUAUCGUCCAACCACUGGCUUGUAUGAUGUUUUCCUCUACCUCUUCCGAUUACUCUUCUUCAUUUCCUUCUUUGGAACCCCACACAGAUCCCCAACGACAUGUUGUGUCCAAACCCUUUAUCCCUUCACCUAUUACUUCCACUGACCAUCUAGAGCCCCCUAAACCUUUUGAGUCAGUCCUCAACUGGCAAACUCAAAAUGCCAGGGCCCAAAAUGAUACAUUGUUGCAUCUCAAUUCAAAAGUUGAGAACAUCAGUUUGCGAACUGAACAGAUUGAGACAAAAGUUGACUCUAUCACUGCACAGAUGCAGCAGAUCUACCAAAACCUCCAGUCCAGAAUUUCUCAACUUGACUCUGAGUUACGAGCCAUGCUUGCCCAUCGUUACUCAGGCCCCGAAUUUGAGCAAAAAGAAAAGGAAAUCAGACGCUUAAAAGCUGAACUUGCUCAGAUUGAAUCUGAAAAACAGAGACCUACUCUUUUCACCACUUCACCUCUUAUCCCUUCCAUCGGUCCAACUUAUCAUCCUUUUGCCUCUAUGCUUUCUCCUAUUAAACAGUAUGACCCUUCCAAGUUAUUUGGUAUGACUCAUACUCUUUUCAGAGACAAUCCUUUGCCACCACCACCUAAAUCUAAACCCAAACCUAGACCGCAGCCUCGCCCUGCCUCUCUUCAUCCUUCCUCUCUGACCAUCCCUGGCCAACCAUCUCCUAGUUCUACAUCGGCAUCACCACUAGCUCCAUUAUCAGUCCCUACCCAAUCCAAGGAUAAAUAACCUAUGCACCAAUUUACUGCUCACACAGUCACCUAUUCAUCUACUACAGUUGAUCAAACUUCUGAUUCAAAUCCAGCUGUUUCAGAUAGCCCUACCGAAACUGAUACAGAAUCUUCAGUAUCCACCAGUGACUCUGAAAAGUCCUAUGCUGAUAUCACCAAAAUCCUGAUGGCUCAACCUGAUCAACCUACCCAAGGCCAAACCUCUCAUACAGAACCAUAUGUUGAUAUUCCCUCCGAAGUUGAAGAAGAAAUGCCUGAAUCUUCUGUCACAAACCAACCUCCUCCAACCCAGACCAAUCCAUCGAGCCAAAAAUCGUCAAAUGGCCCAUGGUUCACAUUUGAUGAUCUUCCAUCUCAUAAAUGGCGUGACCGACUCAAUGAAAUGUCUGCCCGGAUUGACCUCCAGAUGCUAAGACCAGGAGCAACAACUCAAUCAGUCCUUAGAGAAUUUGCUACUCGUUUCACGGGUGCUCUAAGAGAUUGGUUUGAUUCGUUAGGCCAAUACCGCCAACUACAGUUUGUCGAUCUCCCAGAAGUCUCAAGUGCUCUUGCUGUGCUUCAUGAUCAAUUCCUUGGCGACCCUUCUGCAGUCUUUGAAGCUGCCAGACGAGACUAUCUCAACAUGAAAUGCUGUUCCCUCAAUGCUAAGGAUCUUGACUUCCAUUAUAAGCGAAUGUCCCUGCUGUUCUAUAAGCUUAAUGGAUUCAAUGAGCCGACAUUAAAGCAUGUCUUUCUGGCUUCCCUCCCCGAAGAACUCCAACCCAACAUCCAGAGACAACUCACAGCAUCCAAUCUUUCCCUAGACAACAUCUCUCUUGGCAAAAUCUUUCAGCUUGCCAAAACUUGUCUUGACAAACUUUGUGAGCAAAAACAGUUUUUCAAAGAACUGUUGAAAGACAAAGAACCUUUCUGAAGUGCUUGCAAAAAGCCUUAUUUGCAGAUCAAAUGCCACAAGAAAAAGGAUUGCGAUUGCAGUUCAAAGAAAAAAAGGCAUUUUCGGAAAUUCAAAACUCCAGAAUUUUCCUCCAAGCCUCGCAGAUCCCGAAAGCCCUACCGGUUCUUCAGAAAGAAAUCUUCCUCCUCUAGAGAAUCCAAACGAAAGCAAUCAAGCAGAUGUUUCAUCUGCAAGAGAAAAGGCCAUUAUGCCAAAGAUUGCCCCAACAAAAGAGAAAAAUCCAUCCUGUUAGUUGAGCAUCUUCAAGCAACUACCGACUACUCUCCUGCCAAAGAUGAACUGGAAUUCUAUUUCUCUGAACAAGAUGAGCCCAAUGAUGAAACAAUGUUCGCACUACAGAAUUCCUCUAAUUCAGACAGUGACCAGUCUCAAGUGAUUUUCCACCAACAGUUACUCUCCCUUGAUACUACAAUUCCUAUCCCAUCCAUCAAACUCCAGAUCUUGCCCUCAAAAUUCCAAAGGCCCAUUCCAGCAAUUGGUCUUAUAGAUACUGGCGCCCAACGCAGCAUGUUAAACCCCCAUAUUCUUCCAUCAGAAUAUUGGACCCAGUCUGAAGAACACUUCAAAGCUGUCAAUGGCAAACUCUUUACCACCUAUUUGAUUACCAAAAAACCCAUUGGUAUUCAAAUCUUCCCAAAUUGUGUCAUUUGGACCAAAGUUAUUGGUUCAACUCUUCCUAAUAAGGAUGUCUUGUUAGGAUUUGACAUCCUUCACCAAAUCAAACACCUCCAAAUCGUUCCCACUGGAAUCCGAGUCAAGUCCAUGUUCAAACCAUUCACAGACAUUCUGAAACUCUACAAUUUGUCUGAAACUCCCCAGUCUUACCAAGAUAUUUCAACCAAACUUUUGAGUUUCUGUCCAGAGUCCCAUUCUGAGUUCACCCAUCCAAAUCCUUUGUGGAAAAAUAAGUCUUUCUUCAUUAAGUUACCCUUCAAACUCAAUGAAGACAUCAACCCGACCAAAGCUACUCAUCCAGGAAUGAGUCCUUCUGACUUACUCCUAGCCCAACAAGAAUGUUCACAAUUGUUAGCCCAAGGUUUAAUUGAGCCCACAAGUUCUCAAUGGGCUUGCCAAGCCUUUUAUGUUGAAAAGCAUUCAGAAAUUGUCCGAGGAAAGAAACGCCUAGUCAUUGACUACCAGCCAUUAAACAUGUUUUUACAAGAUGACAAAUUCCCACUACCUCGUCGACAAAGCAUGUUCACUUUUCUCAAAAAUGCCCAGAUCUUUUCAAAAUUUGAUUUAAAAUCAGGUUUUUGGCAACUAGGCAUUGAACCCUCUGAACGCUACAAAACCGCUUUUUGUAUUCCCAAUGCCCAUUUUCAAUGGACCGUCCUACCCUUUGGUCUCAAAACUGCCCCAUCCAUUUUCCAAAAAUCCAUGGUCCAAAUCUUCCAACCCCUUUUGCAUCAUGCAUUGAUUUAUAUUGAUAAUAUCUUGCUUUUUUCAGGCUCACAUGAUGAACAUCGCCAGCUGUUAACUCAAUUCUAUGAUAUUCUCCAAAGUCAUGGAAUCAUGUUAUCCGCCAAGAAAAGCACCAUUGCUACAGAUAAUGUUGAAUUCCUUGGUACGAUCAUAAAAGAUGGACACUAUCAACCAGGAAAGCACAUUGCCCAAGAAUUGCUUCACUUUCCAGAUCAGCAACUUUCCAAAAGGCAAAUUCAACAGUUUCUCGGCAUUAUCAAUUACAUCCGUGAUUUCAUCCCCCACGUGGAUCAUUACACUCACCAUCUCUCGGCUUUAUUGAAAAAGAAGCCCCCAGAAUGGAAUGCUGACCACACCUUUGCUGUCACUACCCUAAAGCAGAUUGCGCAAAAUCCGCCUCCUUUAAAGUUGAUUACAGAUGGCAAGCGCAUCUUACAGACAGACGCAAGUGAUGAAUCAUGGGGUGCCAUACUCCUUGAAGAAAUCAACGGAAAAGAAAACUUUAUCGCUUACGCUAGUGGACAUUUUUCUGACACACAGAAGCACUACCAUAGCGUGUUCAAAGAAAUCUUAGCGGUCAAGAAUGGCAUCAAAAAGUUUGAGUAUCAUUUGAUUGGACACCAUUUUCUCAUCCGAAUGGACAGCUCAGCCUUCCCCAAUAUCUUUCAUUUCAAAGGUAAAACUGUUCUCGAAAAAAUGUUACUCAGAUUAAAAGAUUGGUUUUCCAAAUAUGACUUUUCAGUCAAGCAUAUAAAGGGAUCCCAGAACCUCAUCCCUGAUAUGCUCUCCAGACUCUCCAAACCAGAACACCCUCUCAAACCAAAGUCCACAUGUAUCAUCAUCAAAGAAUAAAAACCAGACUACACUGAUUUCCUGUUCCAGGAUUCCCAAGACCCAUGGGAUGCAUUUCUCCCUCUGAGCCAACACCUUCACCAGUUUCCCCAACCAACAAUGGAUGAACCUGGCCCCUCUGAACCAGGACCUUCAACUCAAUCCUCCAAACGACCAGCUCAACCAUCCAAAGUUGACAAAGCUACCCAAACUUCCCCUCAGUAUACUCCAAAGUGUACUCCCAGAGACUAUAAUUGCCCUUAUCCACCUUGCCGUGGUCCCCACUGUAAGCAUCCAAAGCUCUCCAAGACCUUUUUCCCAAAAAGCAACCCUGACAACCCAUAUGAGACAGAAAGCUCAUCCGAAGACGAGUACAUGAACCUCCGCUCUCCAUAAAGUUGUUUGUCUUGUUGCUUUCCAUAAAGUAGUUUGUCUUGUUGUCAUAAUGAUGUUUCGCUUUAUGCUUGCAUAAUUAUUAAAGUUUGCUUUUACUUUAAGCUUUUGCUUUUGCUUUUGACAAAGUCAUGCUUUAAUUAUUAAAGCACUUUUGUCUUUUGUAAUAAUUAAAGUUGUGCCAUUAUGUAAAAGAUAGGGGUCCUGUCCUAUCUUAUCUUUUGUUUUUGCUUUUGUAAAAGAUAGGGGUCCUGUCCUAUCUUCUCAAGAAUCCUCCUCUAUAUAAAGGAUUCUCCCCUUGCUUGUAAGAUAUAAGAAAAAUUUCCAAGAAAAAAACUCGUGUGUUUUCUUCCAUGAAUUUCUAAACUCUCCUUUCUCUCUCUGCAAAUGAAGUUCUAAGAAAGAAAAGGAAUAAAGGAUUAAAUUUGUUCAUUUUGAAAACCUAAGGAAGUAUGCUCUGCACUUGCCUUCUAGUAAGGAUCCUGUGCAUCAGAAAACUUUUGAUCAUUUCUUAUCUGGUUUGGUACCCUGUUUUAGACUAAAGGAAAGUCUGUUUUGGGUUGUAUAACCUGAGAAAAAAUGUUUUAAAGGUUUUUGAUUACAGAGGUAUAUCGGCUGGAAACCCGAGCUUGCGGACUACUGGUCCAAAGUACAGUUUUAACUGUUGUAGUUCUGGUAUAACAACGCCACGUAUACAGAGGCUUGAGAGUUUGAUCGCCAUUCAUUUGACACUUGGCUGAGCUAUAGCAUACCAACUAGUGAUUAAUAAAGAGAAGGUAUGAAGGUCCUGUUGCUGGUGGUAUUAUCAAUCAGAAUUGUUAUUUUACUUAGUCAUAGUUACCAUGUAUACUAUUCGUAGACUUUUUGCAUGUUUAUGCAUUCGCAUCAUCUUUUUGUUAAGCUAGAGAUGGUUGAUUUGUGUACUCAUUUGUAUCACUUGUAACCCUUGAGGAAUAAAUUUAAAAUUCGGUUGCAUCUCCUGUACUAAAUACUAAUUAACUCAUGUAUGGGAAAUGGUUCAUUAUCUUAUUUCUUUGAUGCGUAUAGUGUUACACUGUCUAAAGUUGAAAAGUAUUUCUAUCACUUGUGUAAAAAACAAACAACUUUUUUUUUCACUCUUCUUAUAUUGAAUAAAAGAGGGACACCAAGAUCUUCACCAAGAUUGAACAAAAUUUGAUGCAGAAAACAUAGCAAUUAGGCUAGUGCAAAACAACUUCCUUUUGGUUCUCUGAUAUUUGACUUAAAUCUUUUGUUUGUUUCAUUCAUCAAAGUCAUUUUGGAAAGUAGCAGGGGUGAUUUGAUAUUUUCAUUGUAUUCACAUCCCUUGGCACCAAAACAAGCGUGUUGGUACUAACCAACAAUUUUUUAUUUUUAGUAUACAAAUUAUUUUUUUAAGACAAAUAUGCUGGUACUAACCAAUAAUAUUUUCUUUUCAGUAUACAAAUUAUUCUUUUUUUUAAAUUAGGGGUAUCAAGGAAAGAUAUACUAGCACCAGAGGAAAGAUAUACUAGCACCAGGGGAGGUAUUUAAAAAUACACAAAUAUAAUCUAUCAAACUGAGAAUACGCCAAACCGGCAGGUUUCUGAUAAAUCCUUUUUUUCUUUUUCCUCCAUUCACGAUAGGUUCAAUUUAGACACUGUUGACCAAACAGAAGGUUUGGGUUGGUAAACGCACUAGCGUAAUAGUGUUAAUGCCAACAACCCAAGGGGCUUCGUGGUCCUCUGGGCCGAAAUAGCGUAAUUAUUAAUUCUCCUCCAGUGAAAAACUUCAUCUUGGGACAAAUAAUUACAAUUUGACAUUAUUGCUGUGGAACUCUGGAGGUGUAACAACCGGAAAAAUAAAAAUCUUAAGACUUUUUAAAUAAAAAAGAUAUAACACCUUUAAUUUGCUAAAAGUAAUGGUAUCAUUUCUUGUAUGGAUAAUGGAUGAUUAGAUUUUGUUUUUUUGUUAUCCGACGAAGGAUAUUCAGUUGUUCUUUAUGUGUUCAUAGGCAAGAGCAUGAGCAUAUGCAUCAUUUGAUAUAUACUUCUUGCAUUUUCUAAUUACGGACUCUCUUUCCUUGCCUUCUUAGUUUUGAAAGAAAGAUGUGAAGCAAAGCAAACCCAGUGAAAUCUACAGAGAAACAGAACCAUCAGAGGAAAAACUAAAUAACAGAACCACAAUUGAACCAAACAAAAUCAAAUAAACCGAGGCAACGGAUGCCCUGAAUCAGGCAUCCCUUUUUGUCGAAAGAAAAUAUGUUUGCAUGGGUGGGAACCUAAUAAUUACUCAAGAGUUGGAGUUGGAAAGAUUUGGUAUUCAUAUCUUCACAAUUCAUAAGCUUUAAUGCAGAAUCGACGGCUUUAUAUUAAUUUAUUCGACCAAAAACGAUAAAGUAGGAAAACCACAAUAAUCCACCAACUUUUGCUACUUUUAGGAAUAAUUUUUAGUCAACUUUCAAAAAGUGACAUGACGAUCUUUGAGUUGACAAAUCUUGGCCUGCUGCUUAGUACCCUUUCAACAUAUUAAGUACUAGUCUACUAGAUGUUUUACUGAGAAAAUGACGAGAUCAUUUAUCAAAUUUCUUGCGCAUAUAUACAUAUAUAUACAAGAAAUAAGAAUCAGAGUGAUUGUAAGACCUUGCAAUGAGGCAAUAAUACAUCAUCAAAUCUAAAAAUACACAAGAAAUUCGUGACGUAUAUAUAACAAUAGACCUCUCAUUGAGUCAUACAUAUUGAGAAUAAAAUGUCAAAAUGUAUACAAAGAGCUUAUACAGAAAAUGAAUUUACACACAUUUAAAAUAAACUGUCUUUGAACUUCCGAUGGUCAAACAAAGGAAACAGACAGGAAAUGACACACACUAUCAUAUAUGUAGCGACACGAUGAAGUAAAUCACAUGAAGAUGGAAAGGGGAACCCCUCACAGCAUAAAAUUUGAAUAGAGGGGGAAAAAGGCUUCAUUUCGAAUGUUGCACGGAAGAAGAGUGAUUUGAAUCUCCAUCAAUAUUCAGACAUUCUGCAAACACAGUGCUGAGAAUUUUAACAAGAAUAACAGACAAAAUAUUGUGCUCUCUAUACUUUCACAAAACAAGACCAAAUUAGUUCCCUUUUUGGUUUGUGAAAACUUGAUAUUUUUUAAAAUUCUAUCCAAUGCUUUCAAACAAUAUUUCCACAAUAUAGUUGUUCAUAGCUAACCUUUGAUUGUUUAAGGAUUUGUUGUAGGCAUAAUGGGCUAAUUAGAUUUUUUUUUUUAUCCAAUGAAUGCUAUUCAGCUGUUCUUAAUUAUGUGUUCAUAGGCAAGACCAUUUUCUUAAGUACUUUCGUUGCCUUCCAAGUUUCCAAAGAACAAACAGAGCACAAACAAAUAUAACGGAACAGCAAUGAUGACAAUAAAUAAUUGGCAAAGAAAGAAAGAAAAAAGUUUGCAUGAUUUCAAGGAAUUGUAAAAUCUGAAGACUUUCAACAGGAAUUAUAAAAUCUGAAGACUUUCAACAUGCAAGUGUUGCCCCUUUUGAUGAAAUUUCAUCAUAAAAUGCUUGCAAAGAAUUAUAAAAUUUUAGAGAACAAGCGAACUCUCAAACAAAAUACUCAAAUUAAAUUAAAUUAGACCAAAAGACACUCAAUGACGCAAAAUCUGCCAUUCUAAAUAAUUGAGAUGAAAUUGUGAAACAACCCACAAGAUCACAUAAAUAAAAUAAGAAUUAAUUACCAGCUUUGACUUUCUUCUCCAAAUUCGCGACUCCAAGACAUAAGAAGCCAAUGAAAUUAGUCGUAACCCAUAAAGUACGACGACGACCCCGCCAAUAGCUGAAAAUAAAAUACUUAUUCAUCAAUUUAAACUAACUUUAUAACAAAUAUCUUAUCGAUAUUUUAUUUAAAAAAAGCAAAUUUGUAAAAUUUUUCCAUGGGAGAUAGAGGGUAAUAUGUAUAUCCGUACCUUUUCAGCAUGUAAUUGUUGUAUGGUCGUGUUAAGAUCAUUAUUUGCCCAACGCCGUUGAUCCUCUGACUCUCCAUACGAGACGCUUACUCUCGGAGGUGUGUUUGAUUCUCCUGAAGUGAAAGUCUUCAUCUUGGGACAACCAAUCACUUCCAGAUAUUCCAGAGAUGGGAAUUUGAAGGUGUAAUUGGCAGAGCAGAAACUUGUGAGACUGUCUAAAUCACACAGAAUCAACGCCUUCAAUUUGCUGAAAACAAUCUCUUCUAUGUCAACUCCUUCUUUGUCAUUUAUUACCACCUCUGUCAUUGCUCUGCAUCCAUAUACUUGCACUGUUACGAGUCGCACCAGAGUUUUUGCUGUGGAGGAUGUUACUAAGUGUAUCAAUUCCUUGCAACCGACAGCUACCAGUUUUGUUAGGUUCCGAAAAGAUACCGAUGAUGAUGGCAAUAGACUUAACAGAUUUUGACAAUGAUAUACUUUUAGAAUUUCAAGAUAUUGAAAAAUGGAGUCAAGUUUGGAGUCUUGUUUACAUAGCUGCUUCAGAUGAUUAAGGUGGCCCAGCUCUAUACAUUUUAUCAUUGCCAACUUCCUCAAACGUUUCUCUAAGCAUCCUUCCGUUGAAAAUACCUCUUCGUAUGAACAAUGAUACAGUAAGAGUAAUUCGAGAUUGUGAAAUCUCUCAAGUACAUUCCUGAUUGGAAAACAAGCCGAGUCAUCAUAAGUUAUGUCUAGUUUUUUAAGAUUACCAAAAAGGUGUGGGAAAUCGGCGUCCAAAAUCAUCUUCACAUCUUUUCCGCUUAACGCCAGUGACUCCAAGUUGGGUAAGAUCUGAUCAUCGUCAAUCACGUAGUAACUAAUCAGUCAGUUGAUGUUCUCUCCAAUAAUUUUGAGUAAUCCAAUCAUAUGCAGCGACCUUAUAGUACUUGUUGUAGAUUAUAUAUAUUUUACCCAAAAAAAAACAAAAAGAAAGGAAAAAUUGAAUUAGUGAUAAAAUUCAUUCUAGGAUUUUUGUAUGUUAAUUUUAGAGAUAAGAGAGAAAUUAGAAAAAAAAAAAGGAUGAUUUAUACUGGCAUAAAUAUAUUUUAUUGCACAAUAAUAAAUUAUUAAUUUAUAUUGUAAGUGAUUAUAUAUGAGAAAACUGAGGAUUCUUUUAUAAUGCUAUACCUAAAAUAAUUCAUCUAAUUAUUAAUUUAGUACAUUGAUCCCUUAGUCAAGACUAGCAAAAAUAUUAAUUUUGUAAUAAAAGUUUUCAAUUUAUUGAGUAUUAAUUUAUUGAUGUUUUGUUAUAUUUUACAAAGUCAAAAGUCGCUAAUGAUCUAAUUGAUAAGAAAUCUAGAAAGCGGCUUCAUACCUUUUUGAACAAGAAUAGGGGCCGUUGUGCAGGAAUACCAAGUUGAUCAUCCUCAUUAUUCUGUGAUGAAUCUGCAGCGAAUGUCUUCAAUUUGUCACAACCAGACACCACUAAAAUUUUUAGUGCAGGCCAUUCCGAAGUAUGCAUUCCAUGGUAUAAACAUUUAAGUUCUGGUAGCUCUUGGAGUAUAAGAGUGGUCACCCGUUGAAAGACAAAACGAGGGGUCACAUGAUCUACUCUGUCUUCCGAAAUGAUCUCUUGCAAACCCCUACAAUUCACUAUCUCUACUUCUUGGAGAUGCUCAAAGCUUUGAAUCAUAGAAACUAAAAAUAUGUAUUUCAAUUUGUUACAGUGGCACACAAUCAAUCGUGUUAAACUUUGAAAGCGAGGAAGCAUGACCGGACGAUGAUUGUAAUGCCAAAUCUUGUCGACAUUAAUUUCAGAUAUCUCCAAAGCCUCCAAAUUAGGCAACCCUACCUAAAAAAAUAUUAAUUUCUUGUUAGAUCCAACAUCCAUAUGAGAAGGACUUAUUGAAAUUUUCUUCUUUGAUUACAGAUUAAUAAUUCAAGUCAAAAUCAAUUUCCAACUGACAGCUGAGUAUGCAUUCUAAUUCGUAUUACUUGUUAAGAGCUCAAUUAGUGAGUGCGUAAGAUUCUUUUUAUCCUUUUUUUUUCACUUUCUUUCAAUUCUUUAAAUGAUUUAAUUAUUUUCCGCGUAUGACUUCAAAAGAGAAUGCACAAUAGCAUAAAGAAAGUGUUAGCCUACGCACCUUGCCGUUGAAAAGCAGUGUUUCCAAAUUGAUUUCGUUGGAGCAAGAACUUGUCAAUUCCUCUUGCAGCCCUUGUCUGUUUGGUGAUGCUGAAGGAGUCUUCAAAUUACGGAAAAAAGUUGUAACCUCUGGAAGAUUUCCCAAACUCAAAGAUCUUAAUUGAGCCAACUCUAUCUUCUCAGUAGCAUUAUUGUUGUCAACAUCAGCAUCUCCCUCAGUAGCAAAAAUCUCUUUCAUCUUGCUGCAAUUAAUAACUGCAAUUCUCUCAAGUCUUGGAAGGCAUUUUGCAGUGGAGAGCCAGAAGAUAUUACUCAACUCAUUACAAUUUUCUACUUUUAUUGUUUUGAGUUUAUUGAAAGACUACUUUGAGUCGAUCAAUGCAUAUCCUCUCCAUGUUGAUCAAAUUGUGAAGAGUCAGUGACUCCAAAAGAGGAAAGGCAUCACAAGCGACCAUCUCCAUUGAGUCGACAAUACAAAAGAAGUCAGGAUUAUUUUGAACCCAGAGAAACUUCAAUUGUGGAAAGCCCUUUGUGUCCAAAUCGAAAAGAACAUUUUUGACACCUUGUAGCUUGUCCAACCAUAAGUAUUCAACGUUAUUGAUGGCCUGCAAUUUCAUGGAGCAAAUGUCCGUAAAAUCAAGCUUGAGCUUCAAUUCUCUUAAACACUCAUGAUUAUCGUUGAUCAAAAAGUUCGACCGACUGCGAAACCAAUCUUUUGCAACAGGCAAGGAAGCCAUGAAUGACUCAUUUCCAAUAGAUAUUUUGAACCUUUCGAGCUUUCUGGCCAAAAAGCCUUCCGGUAAAAUACUGUCAUUUUUAACAUCAAUUUCUAGAGUGGUUAGCCAAGGUAAAAGCAUCAAUUCAUCAAGGCUUGCAUUACUUCUUUCACUGUUGGCUCUUUCAACCUCCCAUUCAACGGAGCAAUUACCCAUAUACAAUUCUUCUAAUCGGAUUAAGCUCGAUAUGACAUCUGGGGCAAUAACUUUUAGACGGAAACAGUCUCUUAAAUCUAACAGCCUUAGCUUAGUCAGUUGCCCUAGUGCUUUUGGUAACUCUACAAUAUCAGACCACACAAAGCUAAGGAUUUCUAGAUUUUCCAACUUUCCAAUAAUGGCUAUGUCCAUGUCUCCCAAAAUGCUUUGAUCAAGACAAAGCGUCCGAAGAUUUACUAGAUGAUCAAUUGAAGAUGGCAAUGGCAAUAACUGCAUUCUAGUCAAAUCCAAAACCCGAAGCUUUUUUGUCCUUUCGAAGAAGUUCUCAGGAACAUUGGGCGCGACAAAAGAGUUCUUGGGAGACAUGAGUAAAAAUUCAAGUUGUGGAGAUUCCAACACUUCGGGAAUGUCAUUAAUAAUACUAUCUUUUAAAAAAAUUGCAGGAUAUUUUUUUAAUGCAUCUGCAUCUGGCCAUUUCCACACAUCCUCAUUUCUAACCGCAAAUGCAAUUUUGUCACCACAUGCAAUUGAAAUGGCAACAUCGCGAACAACAUCAUGCAUGGAAAAUAAUUUACUGCUACCAUCCUCAAGCAACAAACAAGAGUCUCUUAGUUGAUUGACCCAUGCAUCUAAUUUGUUAUGUGCAUCUUCUAGCUUAUGGACACUUUCAAAUGCACCCAAGCCCACGCUAUAUUUGAACAAGUCCAUAAUUGAAGUUGGUGUAAUUAGACUACACAGUAAAAAAGUUUUCUUGAGUUGCUCACCUCUUAAGUACUUGUAACUCAGCUCAAUUGUUGAGUAUGCCUCUACUGGUACUCCUCCGUCGAAGCUUGCCUCUGAAGGCGUUUGGAGUUCUUGCAAGGCGUUCUUCCACACAGGCAGCUCUUUGUUUCUCAGUGCCCUUGCUACUGUGGUUAGGGCAAUAGGCAAACCUCCACAUGCCUUGGCUACACUUGUUGCUGUAGAUUUUAACUCACGAUUUUCAACAUAAUUACCAGCCAUUAUCUUGAACAAUCUCCAAGCUUCUUGCUCAUUUAGAAUGCCAAUCAAGAAGUUAUUUUCUGAUCCCAUACUUAACAAGACAUUACGAUCCCUUGCUGUUAAUAAUAAUUUGCAUCCUCUAUUAUCAUCGCCAAAAGGAAUUCCAACAGUCUCUAAAUCAAGAUAUUUCCAGAUGUUGUCCAGAAUCACAAGGAUCUUCUUGUCAUUCUUCAAUCGUUCAUAAAGUUUACUAGCUCUUCUAGAUUCAGCCUCCUCGGACAACUCCAGACCUAAUUUCUCUGCAAUUUCCCCUUGAAUCUUUUUUAUGUUUGGAGUUUGGGAAACCUCCAAAAAAACCACCAUAUCAUAAAGCUUGUCUUCAAUGGCUCGCCUAGCAAACUCCUUCACCAGUGUCGUCUUUCCAAUGCCGCCCAUGCCGUACACUCCAAUGAUGCUGACAUUAACAUCAGUCAAAGCAUUUUGCAUUGCCUCCAAAGUAGAAAGUCUUGAUUCAAAGGCUUCGUAGCCUUUGUUAGACUUUACCCAUAUCUCCUCUAGAAUAGGACGGUAGGAAACACUAUUAUCAAAUUUCCCAGCUUCUUCUUUGAGUUCAACAAGGCCCUUCACCUCUGUUUCUGCUUUCUUGCUAAGCUGAUAGCGGGUCUUCAAAUUAGGACACAAGCCCAUGAGACAUGGCUUAUUUGUUGUCUCCUCAUCAUCAAUAAAUUUGGCUGCCUGCUCAAUGGUGUUGUUCGCACUAACCAGCCACUUCUCAACCUUCUCUUCAAUAUUUUCCCCUUUUCUUUCAGCCUCAGAAACCCUGUGCUGAAUGCUUCUCCUUUCAUCCUUGAGCUUGUCUAUUUCUGCCUUGAGAUUCUCAACGUUGGCUUUAUAGUUACGCAAAUAACCAAGUCGGCGUUCUGUUGGAGGAGCCAAGCAUUUCACAAAUUCUGAAACAACGGUAACAAUGCUUUCCACCAUCCUGGAUCCCUUUUCUUUUUUUCAAAGUUCUGACAAGAAAAUAAACAACGAGCGAAACACAGAGAGAGUGAAAAAAAGAAAAAGAAAAAAAGCUAAACACAGAGAGAGUGAAAGAAAAACUGUUAUGGAUCUGGUGAGAAGAUGGAAACAAGGAAAAGGUUUCUAGUUCAAAAACUGAUUGAAUUAAUAUAAGGAAUGAUUUAGAUAAUAGAGGCGAAGGGAACCAAUCAAAAUAACUGAAGUAUUGACCAGAAGAAAGACGGAAAAAAUAUUGACUGAGAUGGAAAAAAUGAAGAUAUCUUGACACGGUAGAAGUACAAAGGGUAGAUAUGGAACCAAACAAAGACAACAGCAGGCCACAACAAGAUUGGGAAUGGAGAGAAACUAAUUAACAAAGACUGGAGAUUACAACAAAACAGAUGCCGAGAGAAAACUUGAUCCAGUGAAAUUCAAGAGAGUUGACAGCAAAAGGGAGCAAAGAUUAAUAACAAAACAACAGUGACUACAAUGGACAAAAGCAUAUGCGUUUCUUGAUUGAGAAUGAGUGCAAAGAAUGACCUUUUAAGGAGGUUCUGAAGCUGAAGAAUAUAUGAUUUGCUAAAAUUUCAAGAAUGAUAUAAACUCUGUAACUUUAACAAGUGAAGAAUAAAAGAAUAAUGGUUUGUCAUCCUCACAAUGAAGAUCAUCGACGAGAUUAAAAGCUGAAAGUGACCCAUUUGAAAAGCCAAAGUUCAAGUUCCUUGGCUAAGUUCGUAAGUGAAGCAAAGAAUAAUAAAUAAAUAAAGAUCAAGGGAUGGGAAUAAAGUCAUCUUCAGAAAGUUGCAGAAAGAUUUCUGCCGACAUUGUCAAAAUUAUUAUUUGGUAAACCUGAUGUAUUAUUAGUAUAAAACAGAGUAGGUGAAACACGUACUUACUACUUAGUUCAAGUUCCUUGGCUAAGUUCGUAAGUGAAGCAAAGAAUAAUAAAUAAAUAAAGAUCAAGGGAUGGGAAUAAAGUCAUCUUCAGAAAGUUGCAGAAAGAUUUCUGCCGACAUUGUCAAAAUUAUUAUUUGGUAAACCUGAUGUAUUAUUAGUAUAAAACAGAGUAGGUGAAACACGUACUUACUACUUAGACUGAUUAGCAUCUGAAAUUUUAUGAUCAUUAUGUGUUGCAUUUUACUUUAUACAUUACGUAACACAUUUUAAUUUAGCCAAUUUUGAUAAAAACACAAUUAGUGGUUUUAGACAAUGAAAAAAAUAAUAUAGAAGUAGAAAAUGAGGGCAAAACUACGUUGCAAUGGGGGUUUGGUACCUCUUUCUCUUGUCUUUUUCAGGGUUAAUUACAGUAAAAUCCUGUUAUUUGUUAUAAAUACAAAAAAGUUAAAAACUUUUAAAUUUUCACACAUUAGUCUUAUACCCAAAAAUUUUCAAUUGCAUUAAUGCUUCUGGAAGCCACGAUUUGUUUAGAAUUCAAGCACCUUUAAAUUCAAGCACUUACUCUCUUUAUACACACAAACACCAGUAAAUUAAAAGAAAUUUUUUUUGAGUUGUGUGAUUGAAUUUGAGGCGCAAAACUUUAAUAGAAAAUAAAUGCAAUUGCAUGCUUUCUUUUUUACUUUGUAAAACUCCUAAUUUAAUAACCCAUUUAUGACACAAUUAAUUAUACUAAUUGGCUUAUAUUUUAAUUGAUAGAUAUGUGUUGAAUUGUCAUAUCUAUUGUUGUGCAUGUGCGAUGUUAGGUACAGAGAAUAAAGAAUAGAAAAUACUUAUUUUUUAGUUUAUUUUUACAAAGAAAAUUUUUAAAUUAUUUUCAAAUAGAGUAAUUGUUUAUAAUUUUUUUUACCCUUCUCUUAGUUAAGUUAAUGAAAGAUCUUAACCGUAUGGAUGUGUGCUAAUGACUAUUUAAACUACUGGGGUAGAGUAACAAAUAUCAAUUUAUUUAAUUGUGCAAUUAAAUUUAUUCUUUUUAUUUAAGGACAAAAAAUACAAACUCAUUGUUCAAACAAACAAAAAUUAUUUUACAAAUUCAUAAAUUAACACUUUAUUAUUCGUAGUAAAUUAACAUAUUUUUACUACAUAAUUAAAUAAUUGAUAGUAGGUUAAAUAAAUCUAUGUUACAAAAAAAAUUAACUACAUAGAAUAUCAAAUUAAAUUUAUGUUCGUAUUUUGUACAUUACAUUUACUUGAGAUAGUAAAAUCUCUUGUGUUGGAAUAAAAAAGGUUAUGGGGUUUGAACCUUGGUCACAUGGGUGAGAGGAAAAUUGGUUGUUGUUAUGUUAAAUUAAAAAAAAUCAUAUUUAUAUUUAUCAUUAAUUAUGGUUCAUAAAUAAUAACAUAGUUUAACUAUAUAUUAAAUUUUUUAAUUUGUUAAUUAAUAAGAAAAUUUAUUAAUUUAAAUAGAUAUUAAUAAAUGUAAGAAUAAGUCAUUUAAUUGGAAAAAAAUAUUAUGGAAUUCUAUGUCAUAAUUUUAAAAAUUCUGAUUUUUCUUAUUUUGCAUGAACAAGAAGAGCUUUUAAUGUUAAUAACCUAAAAUCACAUUUAAGCCAUUAUACAACUCCUGCGUUACAUCCAACGGUAAAUUAGAAAAAGACAAAAAAUGGGGCACCAAACCCCAGGGGUAACAUAGCUGGACCUAGAAAAUGAAUGGAACUAUACUCAUCUUCAUUUUGGAAAAUCAAGUCAAAAAAAAAAAAUCCACAUGCUUUUGUUAAAGUUAAAAGCUACAUAAAUAAUAUCACAGAGGCUUCUAUUGAAGUUGAUGUGAAUCACAGCUUUGACGCUUGUAAAUGAAUUUAACAAACAAAACACAAUUAGUGGUUUUAGACAACGGAAAAAAUAAUACAGAAGUAGAAAAUGAAUGGAACUACACCCAUCUUCAUCUUGGAAAAUCAAGUCAAAAAAACAAAAAUCCACAUGCUUCUGUUAAAGUUAAAAGCUACAUAAAUAUAUAAUAUCACAGAAGCUUCUGUUGAAAGUUGAUGUGAAUCACAGCUUUGACGCUUGUAAUACAAGGAGCGCGCAAACUUCAGUUUAGGUGUAUACAUUACUUGUCUUUCAAGCUUGAAAUGAUUAUAGAUAAAAAACAAAAGCAAACAUACAGAUGGGCCAUUCAGUUCACAUAAUUUGACAAAAUUAUUAUUAUUUUGAAAUUUCGGUCAUUCACUCAUUUUCAUUUUCACUUUCACUUUUGAUUCAAUUUAACCAGUUAAUGUUGACAAAAUAAAAUGCUAAUAAAAGGCUAAGGCUACUAUUUUGAUGAACUAAUUAUCUCAGGAAUAGAAGCAUCUAUAAGCAUGCAUGGGUGGCCACAUGAUAAUUACUAUCAAGAGCGAAAGAGUUAAAAAUUUCUUUGUAACGUAAGCUUUUCCAGAUCGUGAAUAUUCUGAAGCAAACCGUAAACAGUCAAUCCAUAAAAAAUGGGAUAAUAAAUUUCAACUUCCCUUCCAAAUAGAAUGACAACCUCAAUUUCUAUACUUCCAUUUUUGUUCAAAAAAUUGUCUUCUUAACAGUAAAUGGAUAAAUUGAUGUUUUCACUAAAUGACAUGAAGAUCGUAAUUCAAGUUUACAAAUCUGGCCGUGCUGCCAUACGAUGGCAAAGUUCUUUUUGCUUAAUAUCAAUUCCUCCAAGUUGGAAUCUUUCUCUGUCGGGGACACUUCAAAGUAAUAAACUAACAAGAUCGUUUAUCAAAUUUCAUUUGCCUACAAGACCAAUUUCACCUCAGAAGAAAAUCAGAAUGAUUACAAGACUUCCCAAUGAGACAGUAUUACAUCUUCAAUUCUUAAAAGACGCUAGAAUAUUAAUUCGCUACAUAUAAUCAAGAUAUUAGUUAAGAACUGAGUUUAUAUUGUUUGGUUGCUCAGAAAGUAUGAGAAACAGAGAGAAAAUGAAGAAUGAAUUGUAACUGUAUUAUUAUAUGUAUUCGUUCAUUACACAUAUAUAUUCUCAGAUCUAAUGAAUUCUAAAAUGUUGUACACAUACACUGUACAUGUUAGCUGAAUCUAGGCCUUUUACAAGAGAUUCUUAACAAAUUUAACUAACUUGCGGAAACAAACUUAACUAGCUCACACGUGUAACAAGCUCAACUAGCUCACUAUAUUAAUAAGCCUCCUCAAACUCAAGGUCUAGGAGACACAUUGAGCUUGAAUCUAAGAUACUUAAAUUGAUCAAGAGCUAUCUACUACUUGAUCACAACUUGGGACAUGAUGAAUUUGGUGAAUAUAUCUACUGCUUGAUCACAACUUGGGACAUGAUGAAUUUGAAGUUCUUUCUAUGCUAUGUGCUUCAAACAAAAUGCAAACCAAGUUCAAUGUUUUCGGUUUUGGAAUGAUAUCUUGGAUUGCUGGCCAAUGCUUCUGCACUCUUGUUAUCACAAUUAAGCACCGGGGUUUGAAGCAAUGGUAUUUGUAAUUCUUUAAGCAAGUAGGUUAUCCAAAGCACUUCAAAGGUAGCCAAAGCCAAGGCUUUCACAAUUUUCAGCAUGUCUUCCUUGUUCUUGUGCCUAUUCUCAUCCUCUAAAAUAGAGGGUGCAACAUCGUCAAAGACCAGGUACUCCAUUAGGAUAUUGUUUGUCAGAUUGAUGAUGAGUUGACCUUACGAGUUAGGUAGACUUUCAAGUAGAAGCUCCACACGUUCAAUUUCUUCUAUUUUGUGACCCAACAAUGUAAAUUGUGAAAAUAAAGUUUUUAGAGUGUUGAUAUGGUCAGUUGACGAUGUGGUUUCCACAAUUCGAAAAGUAUAGAGUCUCCUCUUCAAGAAGAUCUUGUUGUGCAAUGACUUGGCCUCGUACAAUUUUAUGACAGUAUCUCAAAUACCCUUUGCUAUCUUUUUUUCCGCAACACUAGAUAACACCCCAUUUGCAAGUGCCAAGUAUAAAUCAGCAAUUGCAUUGCCAUCCAUCUCAUUCCACUUAUCAUUAAUGAUUCUUGUAGGCCUUUCUCCAAUUGCUUCUAAGCAAUUAUUUUUCCUCAAAAUUGCCCACAUUUUUAUUUUCCACAUCGAGAAAUUACUCCUGUUGAGCUUUUCAAUUUCAAACUUUGCUGUCAUUUUGUUGAUAAGUACCAUACACAAGUUAGUGUACCACCUUAAAUAGUUGCGAGUGAUCGUAUAUGUGAAAAUGCACACCAAGUUCCCAAGAAAGACUGGAGAAGUCACAAUGGUCCCACUUAAAACCCAACCUCCUUAGGUUGUUAUCGCCUUUGUGACAUAACUUUCUUAAACAUGUACAAAACCACACGGUUACUCCACUCACACCAUUAUUCCCUGCUUUGCAACACAAAAUUCUUGGAUCGCACCCAUUGUUUCACGUGAACAGUAAUCGUAUAUGUGAAUAGUACUAUAUACAUGAACAGUGCCGUCUACGUGAACAAUACCCAAACUUCAAAAUAUACAACUAAUGGCUCUGAUACCACUGUUAGAAAAUUAAUAGGUGAAGCAAAUACACAACUAAAGUGAAAUUGAGAAAUAUUAAGACAACGGAAUCAUAUAGGGACACCAGAAUUUACAUGGUACGACUUUUAGUCUAUUUCAAUGGGAGAAGAUAGAAAGAUAAAAUUUUACUAGUGAAAAGAGGAUUACAAAUAUUGUAAUAUUUUACCUCACUACCCAGAACCCCAAUACACCCAAUCUCUCAUAUUACUAUAACAAGAACUUAAAGCUCUGACACUCUCAACUCUCUACUUAUCUCUCUUAAGAGAAGAAAUAAGAUGAAAAAAAAAAAGGAUGCUGAGAUGAGGAGGAGCAUCCUCCUUUUAUAGACAAAAUUGGCUACCGUUCAUGCAAUAUAUUAUAUUAUAUUACAUAUAUAAUUUUUUUUUCAAAUUAUGUGGCACUGAAUUCGGUGUUGCUUUUGUUAAUUAAAUUUGGGGGCUUUUGUGCCCACCAACUUUGACAAAAACUUAUAUAAAGAAAAGCAUAUCAAAUUCCACCUAUCUAAGGCCCCGUACUAUAUGUUAUUAAAGUACUAUAACUUUUAAGGGACAUCUAUUAUAAACAAAAAAAAUUAUAACUAUGAAAUAAAAGUUGAUAAUGUGGAGUAAAUAUAAUUUUUUUAAAUAAUAAUCUUAAACAAAAAUAGUAAAUAUAUGAUAGGUUUUUCAUCAUAUAAGUGCGGGACCAAAUCAACUUAACUUUUAAUUUACAGCAACUAGUGUUUACCAAACACUUUAAUGUUAUAAGUUAAAAAUUAUAGCUAUCCAACCUCAAUACCAAAUAGAUCAUAAGAGGCACAAGACUUUUGGCUAUUUAGGUCGUUACUAAUUAGCUUAUUAGUCUCGAAUAGCUGCAACUUUCAAGGCGGUUAGAUUUCAGAAAGAUGCUGAGGAUGGUACAAGAUUUAUCAAACUGUAUUGACAAGUCAAGAUUGGGAAAAAUGAGUUUCCAUAAAUGCUCCAUUAUCCACCAAAGUUCAUUUAGUUUUUUAUCUAUAUGAGCCUCUCAGCUCCUCAACCUUUCCACACGAAAAUAUUUCUUUCCAAGAAUACAAGCUUUUUCAAAUUGUGAAUAUUCUCCAGCAAACCAACUUGGAAACAAUUGAUCCAUCAAUAUAUAUAUAUAUAUAUAUAUAUAUAUAGCAUGAAGAAUUUUGAUGAUUACAAAGCCGACCCUGCUGCCAUGUAUAUGAUGGUGAAGUACGUUCCCCUUUAUGUCAAUUCCUCCAAGUGGGAAUCUUUCUAUUUUUCUAAUGGAUCAUAUGUGAAGCUCCCUCAUAAAUUAUAAUACCAUACAAGGGGAAGGCAAUUAUAUAAUGUGCUCAUAUAUACACAUUGCGGAAGCAAUACUAGAUACUUUUCUAGCAUACUUUCAUGAAAACUUAAGAAGGGCUUUCACUAAGGAGAAAAUAUCUCAAUUGAGAAAAUAUUGAAUAUUAUUUAAGGAAAGCUUUUGUGUGCUAAUAAACUAUGAAUAAUAAGCCUAUAUAUUCUAGUAACUCACUUAAUCCUAAAUCUUCUCAAAUAAGAGAAAUAAUCUAAAAUCCCAGUUAGAUUAGAAUUAAAAAUAUAACUCAAAUAAACCUAAUAAAGUAAGAUAAACUCUAAUAAUAUUAAGGAAAAUUUACACUCGUCCACUUGUUUGUUUUGCUUUUUUUAAAAAUACACAAACACUUUUUUUUUCAGCAUGCCACCUGAAGUUUGCUUUUUGUUGCAUUCGUCCACUUCCGUCUAAUUUCCGUUAGUGGAUUUAAUGGAAUGUUAACGAAAUGACCUUUUUACCCCUCAAAAUUACAAUUUAACCCAAAAUAAAUAGAAAUUGGAGAUAAAUUGGAUGAAUUUAAUUUUUUUCAAAGGUGGAUGCUAGAAAUUGGAGGAAAAUAGUGUUGGUUGCUUGCUAAAUUUAUUACCNNNNNNNNNNNNNNNNNNNNNNNNNNNNNNNNNNNNNNNNNNNNNNNNNNNNNNNNNNNNNNNNNNNNNNNNNNNNNNNNNNNNNNNNNNNNNNNNNNNNNNNNNNNNNNNNNNNNNNNNNNNNNNNNNNNNNNNNNNNNNNNNNNNNNNNNNNNNNNNNNNNNNNNNNNNNNNNNNNNNNNNNNNNNNNNNNNNNNNNNNNNNNNNNNNNNNNNNNNNNNNNNNNNNNNNNNNNNNNNNNNNNNNNNNNNNNNNNNNNNNNNNNNNNNNNNNNNNNNNNNNNNNNNNNNNNNNNNNNNNNNNNNNNNNNNNNNNNNNNNNNNNNNNNNNNNNNNNNNNNNNNNNNNNNNNNNNNNNNNNNNNNNNNNNNNNNNNNNNNNNNNNNNNNNNNNNNNNNNNNNNNNNNNNNNNNNNNNNNNNNNNNNNNNNNNNNNNNNNNNNNNNNNNNNNNNNNNNNNNNNNNNNNNNNNNNNNNNNNNNNNNNNNNNNNNNNNNNNNNNNNNNNNNNNNNNNNNNNNNNNNNNNNNNNNNNNNNNNNNNNNNNNNNNNNNNNNNNNNNNNNNNNNNNNNNNNNNNNNNNNNNNNNNNNNNNNNNNNNNNNNNNNNNNNNNNNNNNNNNNNNNNNNNNNNNNNNNNNNNNNNNNNNNNNNNNNNNNNNNNNNNNNNNNNNNNNNNNNNNNNNNNNNNNNNNNNNNNNNNNNNNNNNNNNNNNNNNNNNNNNNNNNNNNNNNNNNNNNNNNNNNNNNNNNNNNNNNNNNNNNNNNNNNNNNNNNNNNNNNNNNNNNNNNNNNNNNNNNNNNNNNNNNNNNNNNNNNNNNNNNNNNNNNNNNNNNNNNNNNNNNNNNNNNNNNNNNNNNNNNNNNNNNNNNNNNNNNNNNNNNNNNNNNNNNNNNNNNNNNNNNNNNNNNNNNNNNNNNNNNNNNNNNNNNNNNNNNNNNNNNNNNNNNNNNNNNNNNNNNNNNNNNNNNNNNNNNNNNNNNNNNNNNNNNNNNNNNNNNNNNNNNNNNNNNNNNNNNNNNNNNNNNNNNNNNNNNNNNNNNNNNNNNNNNNNNNNNNNNNNNNNNNNNNNNNNNNNNNNNNNNNNNNNNNNNNNNNNNNNNNNNNNNNNNNNNNNNNNNNNNNNNNNNNNNNNNNNNNNNNNNNNNNNNNNNNNNNNNNNNNNNNNNNNNNNNNNNNNNNNNNNNNNNNNNNNNNNNNNNNNNNNNNNNNNNNNNNNNNNNNNNNNNNNNNNNNNNNNNNNNNNNNNNNNNNNNNNNNNNNNNNNNNNNNNNNNNNNNNNNNNNNNNNNNNNNNNNNNNNNNNNNNNNNNNNNNNNNNNNNNNNNNNNNNNNNNNNNNNNNNNNNNNNNNNNNNNNNNNNNNNNNNNNNNNNNNNNNNNNNNNNNNNNNNNNNNNNNNNNNNNNNNNNNNNNNNNNNNNNNNNNNNNNNNNNNNNNNNNNNNNNNNNNNNNNNNNNNNNNNNNNNNNNNNNNNNNNNNNNNNNNNNNNNNNNNNNNNNNNNNNNNNNNNNNNNNNNNNNNNNNNNNNNNNNNNNNNNNNNNNNNNNNNNNNNNNNNNNNNNNNNNNNNNNNNNNNNNNNNNNNNNNNNNNNNNNNNNNNNNNNNNNNNNNNNNNNNNNNNNNNNNNNNNNNNNNNNNNNNNNNNNNNNNNNNNNNNNNNNNNNNNNNNNNNNNNNNNNNNNNNNNNNNNNNNNNNNNNNNNNNNNNNNNNNNNNNNNNNNNNNNNNNNNNNNNNNNNNNNNNNNNNNNNNNNNNNNNNNNNNNNNNNNNNNNNNNNNNNNNNNNNNNNNNNNNNNNNNNNNNNNNNNNNNNNNNNNNNNNNNNNNNNNNNNNNNNNNNNNNNNNNNNNNNNNNNNNNNNNNNNNNNNNNNNNNNNNNNNNNNNNNNNNNNNNNNNNNNNNNGCGCUUUAACAAACACGAUUUUCCUCCAAUAAAAUAAAUACAAAUUUUUUAAAUUUAGUAACAAACAUUAUUUUCCUCCAAUAUCUAGCAUCCACCUUUGAAAAAAAUUAAAUCCAUCCAAUUUAUCUCCAAUUUCUAUUUAUUUUGGGUUAAAUUGUAAUUUUGAGGGGUAAAAAGGUCAUUCCGUUAAAUUCGCUAACGGAAAUAAGACGGAAGUGGACGAAUGCAACAAAAAGCAAACUUCAGGUGGCGCGCUGAAAAACAAAAGUGUUUGUGUAUUUUUGAAAAAAGCAAAACAAACAGGUGGACGGUUGUAAAUUUCCCUAAUAUUAAAUACUAAAUUGACUUAAAAUAUUGUAAUUUCUAAUAUAUUUUAUCCUAUAAGCUUCGUACAUCAUUCUCCUCCUCUUAAAAAAAAAACUCAUCUUCGAGUUUUGCUAAAAACAAAAGAGUACUAUCUCGUGGAUGAAACUUAAAAUAGAGUAGUAAUGUAUCUCGAAGCUCGAACUCAUAGCCUUUCAUACCAAUCUUCCUUGAAACUCGAAAUGUUUUAUACUUUAUCUUCUUCUUGAUUUUAUUAGUCACCCUAUAAAAUGGUAAAGUCAUGUAUGAACAAAUAACUUCUAAAUCAUAUCAACUUUAUCUUGGUCUUCAAGAAUAACUUUCUUAUCUCCACUAUGAAUAGGCAAAAUCAUAUCAAUUAUCUUUGGGUCUUCUUGAAUAAUUAGUUUGCCUUGAACUUUAAAUUCAAUUAUCUCUAGGUCUUUAAGAACAAUAUGCUUGGCUUCACGAAUAAUUGGUAAAACCAUAUCAACUUUGUCAUCUUAAAAAACAAUUGGUGUCUCUUCACCUUGAGCUUCUUGCGCAAUUUUAACUAUAUCGUUAGAUAUAAAAUUCAAAUCAAGAACUAAUUGUACCUCUUUAUUGAAAACUUCAAGUGCAUUUGAAAUAUCUUCAAAAGAAGCUUUAGUGAUAUUCUUUUCUUCCAAUGAUGAAACUAACAAAGAUUACUCUUCUAUAUUAAUAUCUUUAACUUCAUAAUCUAGGGUAAACUCUUUGUUUUCACUUACUGCAGUGGCUAAAUCUUGAACAAUCAAUAUAUCUUUAGUAACUUUAGAGCCUUCAAGUACAAUAUCUUUUUCCAUUGGGAAGUUUUGAUCUUUAUUGGCAUAAGAAAGUUGUUUUUCGAUAUUAGAAUCAUUCAGUGAAGAGAAGUCCUUGAUACAAUCUUACUUCGAUAACAAACUCACAUACUGUAGUUUUGGAAAAAUGAAUAUAUUAAACUCUUGAUCUUUUCUUCUUUGGCUCUCACAAUGCUCUUGUACCCGUUCAAAUCUCUUCAAUGCUUACUUUUUCUCUCUCUUGAUUUGCAAUUCAACUUCUAAAGCAAUGUUAACGAUAUCCCAAAAUUCAUAAGUCGCAACAAUUUGUAACAAAACUCGUUGCUUAAUAUCAGCACGUCAUCCUAUCACGAAUCUGGAAAUUGUAUCUUCAUCGUCUUUAGAAAGAUUCACAUGACAACGAUAAUUUCGAAGUUGAGAUUCACAAAAUUGAAUGGAAUUUAUACCUUGUUGACACUUAUCAAAUUUACGAUGGAUCAUUUGAAAAUAUUCAAGAGGAAUAAAAUAAGCUUUUAUCUUCAUUGUCAUGCUAUGCCAAGUUCGAAUAUGAUCUCUUCCAUGUUGAAUUCGUGCUGGUUGUAAGUUUGUCCACUAUUGUGAUAUAUGUUCCAUCAAUUUUGAGGACAUGUACUCAACAUGUUUAUCCUAUCUUUAAGAGCAUCUUUAAUUUUUUUAUCUUGGAAGAGGAUGGAAAGCUUGCAGCAGAAGUGCACAUUUGUGUACUAGCCUGACCACAAUGAAAGUCACGUAAAAGCAUAAAAGGCUGUUGAAGACGAUUGCUACGACGAAGAUCAGGGGCAGGUGAAUUUGAGUUUGAUGAAGAAGAUGUGGGUGAUAAAUGUGGUGGAGGAGAAAUGGAUAUAUUGGGAGAGGAAGGGUCGAUGCCAAGUGUAGAAGAUUGUAGAUUUUGUGUAGGUUCUGUAGAGGAAUUGUUAGGUGGUGUAAGUGAAGAUGAGGUGAGAUUUGGAUCAAAGUUAGAUAAAGACGUGUGAGAAGUAUUCAAUUGAGUAUUGAGAUCGGAAGUGGAAAAAGGAAAAGUGCUCUCAUGAAAAAUUAUGUCACGACUUGAGAAGCUUUUUUAUUAGAUGGAUAACCUACAAAAAUACACUUACGAGCACGUGGUGGGAAUUUAGUUAAAGGUUGAAUAUUGGUGGCAUAACAAAGAUAACCAAAAACUCGUAAAUGUGUGUAAGUGGGUGGUUUGUUAUAUAAUAUUUCAUAUGCCGAUUUAUAGUGUAACACUGGGGUAAGGAGUCGAUUGAUGAGAUAGGUGGCAGUAAGUAAGCUUUCCCCCCAAAAUUACAAUCGUAGAUGGGCUUGAAAUCGUAAAGCUCUACUUACAUUGAGAAGAUGAUGAUGUUUGUGUUCCACCACACCAUUUUGUUAUGGUGUAUAAAGAUAAGAGGUUUAAAGCAAGAUGCCAGGGCUAGAAAAAAAGGUUUCAUUGGGGUGAACUCUGAGCCAUUAUCAGCUCGUACACAUUUAAUUUGACAAUCAAAUUGAGUGUUAACAAACGUAAUAAAGGAUUUUAGUCAACCUUGAGUUUCAUAUUUGAAUUUCAUAAGAAAAAUCCAAGUAAAUCGACUAUAAUCGUCAACAAUUGUCAAAAAUUAAUGUGCACUUGUGUGAGUUGCAAUUUGAUGAGGACCCAAAAUAUCACAAUGAAUAAGAUCAAAAGAAUGCAUGCUUUCAAUUGAACUGGAAGAAAAAGAUAAUCUAGUUUGCUUUGCCAAAGGACAAAUUUCACAUGAAUGUUGAGAAUCAAACGUAAAAUAAGGAAAUUUUUGUCACAAAAGUUGAGAUGGUGCUUUAGAGGGGUGUCUCAAUCGUUGAUGCCAAGUGAUGGCAGAUGGAGAGGAGACUUGAUAAGAUUUUGGUAGUGAAGAUAACAACUCAGAACGUGGCUCAAGAUAGUACAAUCCUUUAUACUGCUUCCCCAGGCCAAUCAUCCUCUUUGUAGCUAGGUCCUGCAAUGCACAAAAGGUAGGGAAAAAGUGAAUGGAACAAUUUAAAGCUGAUGUGAGUUGACUAACAGGGAGAAGAUUCACAUGAAAAGAAGGUACACAUAGAACAUCUUUAACAUAUAAGUUGUUUGACUGAUGAGCUGACCCAAUACUUGUAAUUUUAGCAUGAGAGCCAUUUGGUAACACCACUAUCAAUGAUUCAAUUCAUUGAAUUAAAAUUUUGCAAGGUGGAUGACGAACAAAAAGGAGUAUAGAUACUUGUAUAAUUUGCACGAGGAUAAUUUUUACUGUUUCGGAAGAAGACUUUAAUUUGUGACAAUUCUUCGGGAGUAAAUUGAUGUGAUAAAUCAGAUGUUUGAACUGUCUUUAUAGGAGUUUGAGAGGAUUUAGUUCCUAUUUGAUUUACAGUAAAUUUAUGGGUUCGAUUUGGUGGUUGAACAUCCUUUCUAUGAAACUUGCGUCCAACAGGAAAACCAAUCAAAUAGUAACAUUUGUCUACUAUAUGAGGGGUGCCAUCACAAUAAGUGCACAAGAGCGGUUUCUUAGAAGAAUGAGAAUUGGACUAGUGUUGGAAAUCAGAUCCUUGUUGUUUAAAAUUUGACUGAGUUUUGACAUUCAUGGCAUGAUUUUGAUCUAUUCCCUUGUGUUCAACUAGCCCUUGUUGCUUUUCUUCUUCACAGAGAAGAGAAUAUGCUUUCUUGACUAUUGGUAAAGGCUGCAUCAACAUGAUUUGCCCUCUGAUAGCUGAAUAUUUUUCAUUCAAGCCCAUAAGAAAUUGUCUGAGCCUCAUUUUUUUCAUCUCUAUCAUUUAGAUGUUUUAUUCCUCCACAAUUACAAGGAAUGGGUGGGGUACACAUUUUCAAUUCAUCCCACAAGGUCUUUAUUUUGGUGUAAUAAGUAAAAAUGGAAUCUUGGUUUUGUUUCAAUUUAAUGAUGAGAUGUUGAACUUGAUAAUGAUGAGAAAAAUCACCUUGUGAGAAGCGUUCUUGUAGAUCCGCCGAGAUUUCUAAAGGCGUUUCCACGUAGAGAACACUGUUGGCAAGGUCUGGACUUAACGAGUUGAAGAUCCAAGAGAGAACCAUAUCAUUACAAAGUUGCCAUAUUUGAUAUGUAGCAUCGGUUUCAUUUGGUGUCGAUAAGGUUCCUUUGAUGAACCCUAAUUUGUUUUUGGCAUGUUUUUGGCAUUAAGACUUACCAACAUUGAUCGCCUCCAAAUAGCAUAAUUGGUUCCAUCAAGAACCUUUGGAAUAAGCAUCAUCCCUGGAGGGUCAGAGGCAUGAAUGAAGAGUGGAUUAGAUGGAUCUAUGGAUGGAAGAGACAUGACUUGAUCAAUAGGCGAUUGAGUUCCUUGACCAAUAAUAGAAUUUGUAGUGGAAAUAGUUUGGAUGACAAUAGUAGAAUCAGUAUAGAAAAGAGUUGCGGAAGCUUUGUUUUAGAGGUGUUAAGGUCAACGCUCUGAUACCAUGAAAAACUUAAGAAGAUUCCUUGUUUUCAUACAUUAUAGGAAGAUAUUACAUGAAUAUAUAACAGAGCUAAUAAGCUACAUAAGCAAAUGAAUAAAUCUAAUAUCUAAUUCCUAUAUCAAAGGGAUCAAAUAAAAUAAAUACAAUAAGUCAAGAGAAUCUCUUGACAAAAAUCAAUUACAUAAAUUAAGGGAAAUCAAUCUUAACAGUAAAGAGAAAACAAAAUAGACAAAUCCAUGAGAUCAAGAAAAAAAAUAACAAGUAAAUCAAACAGCCACUGAGUUAUAUGAACUAACCUUCCUUCAAAUUACGAGCCAACAAUCAUCUGUAUUAUUGUGCCUUGCCACCUCUUGAAAAUCAUGAACUUUGGCCACUCUUUUCUAUCUAUGGAGCUGGUGCUCACACUGAACAAAUUUAAUUGAGAAAAAAAAAGUUAACACACGAAUUUGCUUUCAAAUAAGUAAUUACUAAAGCACAAAAUCUUUACCAAAAUAAAAAAUUCUCAUUCCUAACAGUUGUGCAAAUUUUAUUGAACUCGCAAGUGCACGAAUCUAUUGUAGAAUAGAUCAAUGGUGACGAGUGUCGAUCCCACGAGGAGGUGGAUUUUAAUUAUAUAUAGAAUUAAUUUUCUAUGAGGGUGGUUGGAUUUGUGGUGAAAGUGAUUUAGACUAUCUUAGAAUUUAAAUUGGAAUGGCGGAAUUAAAUUAAAGUGGAAACUAUUAUAAUUGAAGUGCUUGGGUAUCUGAAUCCGCAUCAACAUGCACCAUGGGCUAAAUAUUCCUUAUUAAUGUCAAUUAAAUCAUGAGGGGGAUUUCCACACCUCAUGAACCACACUCUAAUCAAUAUGGUGCUAAGGGCUCAUCGUGCCAAAUAAUAAUAACCUUGUACUAGGGAGCCAGUGAAAUCAGAGCGGUAUCUAGACAAAAUUAUUAUUAUUUAUUAACGAAAAGUCAAAACAAUCACAAUAAUUAGAGGGGAAGAGAAAGUAAAUUUACCAAAUAAAGCCCAUGGCAUAUGUUGAGACUUCAUCUUCAACUCAAGCUUGAAAGAAAAUUAGCUACUCAUAAUUGAACUAGGGGCAAAAUGAAAAUUUAUUAAAAUACAUAGAAAAUACAAGAUGGAGAAGGAAUUACAGAAAAUUGAACUCAAAAAAUGAAUUCAAGGAUGCCAAAUUAGGGGGGAGAGCCCCCCUUUUUACAGAUACACUGAGUAAAUCAUGGCCAUCGGAUUAAAAAUAUUUUGGACGCUCAGGAUUGCGCAACGUCAUCAGUCAACAGUAUGUGGUUUGAACAGCAACAUGGUUGGACCACGCGGUUUGAACAAUCAGGCGACUUGAAUAGUUACGCGGUUUGGUUGUAAAUAAUCCCUUGCAUAUGCAUGUACCGUACGCGCGAUUUUUGGUCCACUGACAUGCUGCCACAUCACCGAUCAACAGUGCAUAAGAAUUUUAGUCCAAUAGGAUCAUGACACCUCAUCGGUCAAUAUUACAUCAUCGGUCAAUGCCAUGUCAUCGUUCUGUAUAUGUGAACAGUGUCGUGAACAGUAACAUAGACAGUACCGUACAUGUGAAUAGUACCAUACAUGUGAACAAUGUCAUUUUUUCUUUUAUGCUCCUCCUAAGGUUUUCGAUUGUCCUGAGUUCAAAAGUGAUGUCCGUUUUACUGUCUGAUCUUUCAUUUAUUGUGAAAUGACCAUGAUGCCCCUAAAAUACAUAAAAUAUUUAAUUAAAAUAAAACACACAUAAUUAAAUCACAAGAAGCUUAAAUAAAUAAAAGUAAGGAUGUUCGUAAGACUUGAAAUGUAAAAUGACGAUUUUCGCCUUUAUAAAUAUACACUUUCUAACACUCAACACUAACCCAUCCUUCACUAGAUUCUGAUAAAAAAAACUCAAAAUUCUGAUUAACAAUCCAUAUUUGACCAAAGAUCAACUUUUGGUUCCACCGUGGAAUUGCAAUUUCCCAUUAACAAUCUCUAAAAAGGAUCAUAUAUUUGAUUUUAUCAAUUAAUCAACAACCAAUUUAAAAGAAAAUUCCCAAAAAUUAAUCAAGAAAACCCUAGAUACAAACCAAGAUCCCUAAUCACAAAUUAAAAUGAAAUAAUUGAUUAUUAAGAAAAGAGAAAGACGCCAACUAACCACAUGAGAUUAAAGAGAGCGGCCUAAUUGACUUUGACGAAAUUAUUAUCCCAAGCCUUGAGAUAAUCAUCGAUGCCAGUAGUGGCGAUAUCGUCGGACUUAGAUGCCUUGUCAUGCUUAUUAGAAUACUCGAUGGCCUUAGAGACGGCCUUACUUGUGACAUUGGGAAAAAGGAUAUCGUCAUCGGAACAAUCGUCCUCAAACAUGUGCUUGACAAUGGUUAAUUAGGGUUUAAUUCCAAAAUUUUGAAAGGAAGUGAAAGAGACAAAAAAUAAUGGGGGACAAAAUAAAAAUGAGGAUAUUGCAGGCUUAAUAGGAACGAGAGUGAUAGCUGAACAAGAAGAAUAAAUCAAGCAUGAUGGCAACGGCAAUGUGUGAAUGGUAGAAGAAUGGCAAGAAUGAGGGGUUUAGACAAAGUGUAUGUUAACGGCAAGAAUGAAAGAACUAGCAUUUAGGGAUUUUGAUUUCUAAGUGUGUGUGUGUUUAGUACUUAGAAAAAGAAAAAGGAAUGUUAAAACUUAAAAGUAACCAAAACAGAACAUUUUGCUAGCAUUUUCUUUUCUUUUUUUUCAAUUAUUAAAACGUAACUUUUGUUUUUUUUAAAUAAUAGAUUAAAAUUUGGGUCAAACAUGGUCAAAAUAACUUUUUUAUCACAAUUUUUUGACAGAUCAAAUUUCUAUCACGAUUCUAUCAUAAGUUUGUGAUAUACAAUAAUUUUAUCACAACACCAUCAUAAAUUCGUGGUAGAAAAUAUUUCUAUCACAAAACUAUCAUUGAUCUAUGAUAGAUUGAAAAUUCUAUCACGAGUCCGUCGUAUUAUUAUGAUAAAGGUCAUUUUGCCUAGAAUCCAUUAUAAACUAUAUGUCAUCUAUUGUCUAUUUUCUGGUAGUGAAUGACUGUCAUGUGUUACACUUUUUUGUUAAAUUUUUAUGAUGGUUUUAAUUCAUAACCAUCAUUAAAUAUUCUUUUUAAUGAUGGUUGUCCAAUGAAAUCAUCAUGUUAUAGUAUAUCACUACUAGAAAAAUGGGCUUUACUGACACCAAUUUAGUGUCAGUAAUUACUUUUGCUGACACUUGUUAAUUGUGUCAGUAAUGCUCAAGCCAGAACACACUGACACUAAUCUUUGGUGUCAGUGAUUUUUGCGUCAGUAUUUUAUGUCACUAUAGUAUCACCACCAUAGUGAUACUAUGAUGUUAGUAUCAGUUGAUACUAUUUUUAUGUCAGUAUUUUGUGUCACUAGAGAGUCACAAGGAUAGUGACUCAAUCGCGUUAGCAUUUAAUGAUACUAUUUACAUGUCACUGAUUUACGUGACUACAGUAUCAGGAAUCCACUGACUCAGUAACAUCAAAAAUUCUUAUCGUCAUUUAAAUAAUUAGUGUCAGUAUUAACGGUGCUAUACUGGUUGUGUUUUAUUUUUUUUAAUGACAUUAUUCAUGUUUAUUUUACAAUUAAAAUAAACCCAAAAUAUAUUAAACAUACCAAAUCUUGUAAUGCAAUUCACAUAAUACACAUUUCAAAUACAUCAGUUAAAUUAAAAUAGUUCAAAUACAUCAUUGUUUGGGGGUAAAAAACAUGUUCAAGUACAAAAUUAAGCUUUGAACAAGUAGUAUACAUGAUAAAGUACUAAAUUAAUUUCGGAAAAUUUAGCCAAGAAGAAAAAACAGAUAACAAUGUCACUGAUUUUGGAGUCACUGAUUUUGGAGUCCGCAUAUGCCUUCAUUUUUUUUCCACCUACAAGUAUAUAAAAUCAAUUAGCACACCACAAAAAAUAAAUCACAGAUUUGUUUUAAGGAAAAAUAAUCAUAAAUUACUUGUAUGUUACCUCGCGAUUGUAGGCUGUAAUUAACUUGGCAACGUAUGUAGCCCACUGAUCACGAAGUCGCGAGAGGUCCUUGACAGUGUAUUCCUCAACUCCCUUGAACUUUAAUUUUAAAACAACAAGUUAUUCACAGAAAAUCCUUGACUAAACUACUUAAUUAUCAUUCAUUUAAAUACAUUUGUGUGUUAACAAUUAAAGCCAACAAAUAAACUCCAACAAUGUUACUGUUUUAUCCAAAAUUAUAUAGGUAAAUACUGAACAUCCUGAUCAUGGUAAUUCCAAAAAAAAAAACAACUUGUGAACCCCAACAACAACAAUAUUUGAUAGCCGAAGCAACUUGUGAACCCCAACAGUACGCGAUUUAAUACAAAUAUGGAUGUAGAUACAAAACCUUAAUUAGGAUGACAACUUAUCCUCAUCAAAGUAAAGUACAAGCAACGACACCAUAGCACAUCCCCACUAACAACUACUUUGCAACCCAAACAAUUGUUUUGUGUUGGGAUAUGCAGUACAUUGUGUAUAUCCCAAAUCCUAAUUCAUGUCUAUAUGGAUAUUCAUAUAAUCUAUUCAACAGUAUGCAACAUAGUCACCAUUAUAAGUACCCUCACAGUUUAUAAAAUGCAUACAAUACGCAAUAAAAAGAUAACUGUAAAGAAGCACACAGGUGUUUGAGCUGAUUCAUUUCACAAUAAAUUAAAACAAUAUGAUACAGUAUUGUAAAAAUCAUUUUCAAUACUUAUAUUAUUUUUCAGAACGUUCACAUUUGUGAUGAUAUCUUGCAUGUAUUUCAUCACAUAGUAACCACAUUCAAAGCUGCUCGGCUGCCUCGGACACUACAAGAUCAAAAUUACAUUAAUUUUUUACUGUACGUUAACAAUAAUUAGUUAGGUUUGUCUGAUUUUUACCUUGACAGGUAUCCAUUGAACAUUGGCCUUUGUAUCAGAAUUUAAACUCUGAUGUAUUCGAAUCCCCCUACAAUUAAGAGACAUAGCUAACGUUAGCAAAUAAUUAGCAUAAGACAUAAAAAUAAAAUAGCAUGAUCAAAGAUACAAAUAACAAACUUAACUGAUUGACAAUCUGCAUUAGCUCUUCAUCAGGACUACCUUCCAAAGGAUCAAGGUAAUAGGUUGUACGUCUCACCAUAUCAAUUGCCAAUAACACCCAGUGGGCACUAAACAAAGUAAAAAUUGUUCUCACACAUGAAUUACAAGUAAAAGUGAUUAAUCUACAAAUUAAAGAAUAUUACUAGCAAAUGAAAAAGGUUAUACCCAGGGUUAUACGGGAAUACGAUGACUUGUCCCAAUUCUGCCAAGCCUAACAGUUUUGAAAUGUAUUGAGUCCUGUCUUUGAAACUGACCCUUGGAUAUAGCUUCUCAAAAAGCCCAAACUGAACUGGUUUAGUACUUCCAUUGCUCUCCAUCUCCUCAUACAGGUGUCUAAGAGGAAACAAAUAUAUAUAACGAAGUAAGUUUGAAUAUAGGAAACAAAAUAAUAGGGCCAAGUUUACUAAAACAUAAGUUAUGAUUUACCGUACUUGAUCCAUAUGUUAAUGAUGCAGUUUGAGACCUCUUUAAACUCGAUGAUUUCAGCACAAAUCAUUUUGUCCAAGUGUGUUUCCCAAAUUUCACCAAAGGUUGCUGUGUCAUGCCGAAUCCUGAUCAACCGAGGUAAAGAAUUCUCGAUGAACAUGGUAAACAUGUUCAUAUAUUCACUCAUGUCAUUCUUUCUUGAUCGUGCUGCUGCCCGUGUAUUCUUCACACGUACAUUAAGGUCUUUUGCUGCUGGUCUGAUGACUCGGGGUUCUUUUUUGGCUAUUUCUGCUGGUCUGAUGACUCUGGGUUCUUUUUUGGCUACUUCUGCUGGUAUGAUGACUCUGGGUUCUUUUUUGGCUACUUCUGCUGGUCUGAUGACUGGUGGUUCUUUGUUGGGUACUUUGUCAUGACAGGAGAACUGCCUAUCUAGUACUUUAGGAGUUAGUCGAGGAGACCUUCUCGGUGUGGGCUUUAAAGUAAUUUCACAGUCUACUUUUUCGGGGGUUUGUUGAGGAGUUGCUUGGGAAAUUGUGGUGGGACUGUCCUUGAUUUUACUCUUCACAGAUUUUGGAGUCGACUUACCCGAUGGGAAAUCAGCCUUUGCAAUAAUCAAAAUACAUACCAUUAGUAGUAAUACAUGCAUAUACAAAUGGAAAUAAAAUAAUGACAUGUAACAGGCCAUAUACCUUUCUUUUUCCAAGAGUUUCAGGGGAUUGUUGAUCAUUGUCAAUCUGAACACCAGUGGAAGUUUUGGGCUUAGGAAAGUUAGAACUUCCAACUUCAGUAUUGCUGUACGCAUUUAACUUUGCAUUCAUGCAUUCUAAUUGAGCAGACAUGAAUUGGAAACUCUCUUGAUACAUCUUUCUUUCUCUUGCUAACUCAGUGGCAUCAGGGACAUGAAAGUACAUAGAUGGGGUGACGAAUUGCCCCACUCCUUGCACCCUACUUCCAUUUGGCUGCUUCUGAAGAGCUUCACCUAGAAUGUCAUGUGACCCUUGUGAUUGGAAUGUUCCUUGUUCAACAUGACUCUUCAGCUCAUUCUACAAAAAAAUAUAUUGUAAAUCCGCAAUUACGAGUACAAGACAUCAGCUAAACUAAACUAAUAUCCUUCUUGAAUCUUUAACAAAGAGCAAAUCCAUAUACAGUUCAAAUUGAAACUACAGAAAAUAUUACAAGACAACACCUCAAACAAGUUUUAACCUUUUAAUAUGCGAAGAAAUAAGUUCUGAUGAAAUCUUACUGAGUUUCUGUCAAUUGUAAAUGUUGCCAUACAAUUAUUACAAAAAGCAGUAUAUAUGUACGUUAAUAUCUACCCCCACACACACAUAUUAUAAAGAAAAUUCAUAAGAAUUAAGUAUACAAGUGACUUACUAUUUUCUCAGCAAUUGGCGUCACAUCAGAAUCAUAUUUGCCAUCUCGGUCUGCUCGUGCCAUUAACCAAGCUUCACUGCGAUCAAUCUCCCGCUCAGAAACUCCACUCUCCUUUUUCUGUUACAAGGUGACAUAAAACAUAAAUAAUUGAUUCUAUUAUAUUAUACGCAUUAGAUUACUUAUGUUACUGUAAUUACUCCAUAUUACCACACUUACUUUUCUAUACAACAUGCCACCAUAUCCUGUGCUACCCAAGCGAUGGUUGUAGACAUUCUUUGCUCUUUUGUCUUUUGCCUUCUUACUUUUUUCCUGCACAAACAGUUUAUAUGAAGAACAAAACGUUACCACUGAUUAUUAGUAACUACCAACAAUUAAACUUUGUCAACAAAAAGUUUCCAAUCUUCUUUUUUAAUGCUUGGAUAUUCAAUAGGAGGCAACCUUAGUGACUUUCGAUCGUCCUUGUUAGGUAGAACGAAUUCAGUUGCCAGUUCACAACGAAAGUUUCUUGAUGCAACCCCCAUCCACUUUAAUACUUGGCUUUUGCAUUUCAAGCUCAAUUUGAAUUUUUUCUGUCAACCAAUAACAUGGAUUAGCAACAACUUUAAAAAAAUCUGGAUGUUAUAUAAAAUCUUUAAACAUACUAUGAAACAAGAAAACAAAACCUGAAAAUGAACCCACAAAGUUUCCUUUAUCUCCAGUGGCACACGCCUCCAAUCAUCAAGUAAAAUUGAAAUUGUUUCACGUACAAUGACUCCAAUGUAACUCCUAAGAUCAUUUCUUCCCUUUCCAACCGGAACACCAUAAGAAUUGUACUCAAUUGCAGCUUCAUGACUAACUUCUUGUUUUUGCAAACCUUUUUUUUUGUUUGUUUUCUUCUCCUUGGUCUUCCGUCGAGCUCCGGAAGAGUGAACUCAACAUCGUCAGCCAUCUCCUACAGUCCUGAAAAUGAUUAAAAUAAAUAAGUAUAUCAUUUAGAUUAAUAAGUUAAUACAAGAGCAAUAGCAUAUAAUGAAAUAAAUAAAUCACUUACUGGAAAACUUUGAAAAUUGGUGCUGGAAACUAACUACAAUAAUGCAUUCACUGAUUUUCUAAAUCAAUAUCUAUUGGAAUAGCAUCACAAUCUUUUCUAUCAUAAAUUCCUUCAUCAUCUUUCUCAUCCAACUCACAUACUGGAAGUUUGUUAGAUAAUGGAGAAAAUACAUCCACGUCUUCACAUCUUUCCCCAUUUAACUUAUAAGCUUUGUCGGUCACUGAACAAACUAUUGAUUUAUUAUUCUCUAGCUGGUCCUUUACAUAAAAUACUUGCUUUGCAUGACAAGCCAGAAUAAAGCAAUCAGAUUUAUAGCCAAUCCGAUUUAAAUCAACUACAGUGAAACCUAAAUUGUCAGUGCAAACCCCUCUAUCAUCUACCCAAUCACACUUGAAAAGUGUUUUUUUAACCAUUAGAUAAUCAAGCUGCCAAAUCUCAUCAAUGACUCCAUAAAACGUCAUGUCUCCAAAAUGAGGACUUUUAUCUUUUGAGCUUGAAAUCUGUAGAGUGUUAGCAACAACCCUAACACCACUAUUUUGGGUCAUACGAUUACAGUCCCGGUCCCUCGUUGUAAAAUUGAAGCCAUUUAUCUCGUAGCCAGAGAAGGUCACCACGCUUGAGCGUGGUUUGUUUGCUAACCAGCACACUAUUUCGUCAAUCGGCACAUUAUUUGCUUUAUCAUGUGCCACCUAUAAAUUAAUUUAACAAGUACAGUAAUUAGUAACAUGUAGAAAAAUCUUGUUAAGUUUAUAUCCUAUAUUGUAUUUAGUUAAGUAAUUCUAACCUUUGCUUGUAACCAACCAGAAAAUGUUCGUAUGUGUUCAUUUUGCAACCACGGAUUUGUUUUUGCCUUAUAAGGGUUUCUUGAUGCCAAAUAAUGCAUAUGCUCCCUACCUAGAUGCUCCACAAUUUGGGCAUUCAGCAAGAUCAGCAAAUUCAUUCCUAUACAAAAUGCAGUCAUUUGGACAUGCAUGUAUUUUUUCAUACUCUAAGCCUAGCACUUUCAUUGUUUUCUUAACCUCGUACAUUGACAUAGGUAGAGUAUUAUUAUUUGGCAAAAUAUCAGCAAGGACUUCUAACAAAGCAGAAAACCCUUUAUCGGACCACCCAUAGUUCCCUUUCACAUUGUAAAGUCUCAUUAAACUAGAUAACUUUGAAUGUUUUGCACCCGGGUACAAAGGCUUUUCAGCAUCUUCAAGCAUAUCCUUAAAAGAACUAGGAUCUCUAUCACAAUGCUCGUAAGCAUCUUCGACCAUGUCAAUUAUAUUACUGUAAUCAUGACAUCUAAAUCUUUGACUAUGUGAAUGGUCUUCACAAUUUGUAAAUGUAGAUUUAGAGUCAGUCUCACCAUGCCAAGUCCAAACAAUAUAUCUUGGGAGAAAACCUUUUUCAAAUAAAUGAUCCUUCACUUGUUGAGGAGUAUGAAACUCCAUAUUACAACAAAAGGUGCAAGGACAUCUAAUUGACAUUCGAUUUUCAGCAUUCAAAAUGGCAAAAUCUAAGAAAUCAGCAACUCCAGAACGAUACUCUACAGACAAUCUAUCACAAGUUAUCCAACUUCUGUCCAUUUCAAAUAUUUUACCUGUUCACAUAUGUAAUGUUAGUUUAAGUUUAAUUAAAUUGCAUGAUUAAUUUAAAGUUCAAUGUUAUUAUGAUUAUAGUUGUAAUAAUAAACUUAUAAUUCUGGAAAAUCAUUAAUAGCCCUAUAAAUCAUUAAUUAUAAUAAUAAUUUAGACAAAAUCCUGAAAUUGAAACAAAAUAAGUUUUGAAACUUAAAUAGGAGAUUAAUAGGUAAGAUGGGUGCUAAUGGCUUUUUAAGUAGUCGAACUAAUUCAUAAGUCAAGUAACUAACAAAAGUUAAGAGUUCAAAUAAAUAAUGUCUUCAUACCACUUUGCAAGCCAUUUUUUAAGAUUCUAUAAAUCAUUUUUUAACUUCAAAUACAACAUGCAGAACUACUUUAAAACAAGCAUUUCUUUAUUGAAUCAAACACAAAUCAUCAACUUUAUACAAUCUCAAAAUACUCACAACCACGAACUUAAUUAAUUCAUAUCAUAGUCAUUGUCUCUAUUACAAAUCGUCCAACCAAAACAGAAUAAAUAAACAAGUAGGAUUAUAUAACAAAAUUUGCCUCUCUUUACAUGAAACAGAGAUGUAAAUAGUUUGUAACCACUAAAUACACAGUCAUUCAGCCAAUAUAACACCCAAACAAUCAUCUCCUAAUCACAAAGGCAAAAGCUAAAAUCAAAUUUCAUAUUUUAGUACAUUCAAAAUCAACUAACUUAUUGCUCAAAGUUAAGAAACGGAGCUAACAGUUUAUUUCAGAAACUAAAAAAAAUGCACAUUCUUAGUUUUAAAUAACAAUGACAGUAAAUCACAUGCACAAAAGUUUGAAACUGACCUCAAAUGUGGCAGAAAAAACAGAGUCGCAGCAGCAAGUGUUUUGAGUUUAAGUAAUGCACCACUUAAAAUGCCUGUAUUUUUGGACUGCAUGUGAGUGAAGAUAUAGAAAAUAAGAACAAAAAUUUCAAGUUACGAAUAAAUAAAUAAAUAAAAAAUUUGGAAAACAAAACCCACCAGGGUUGCACGACUGUUCAAUUUCUAAAUAUCUGAAACAACCCAAAAAUAAAAAUUCAAAAAUAUUAUUCAUAAGCCAAAUUAAAACAAACCCAAUAAUUAAAUUGCACAAAAAAAUAAAACAUUCCGCCAUUACCAGCUGAUAACCUCCUCUAUAGUUCUUUCUCUGGACUUAACUUGUCAGGGAGAAUGAGAUUACCUGAAUACCGAACCGAUGGUGCCACUUCACCCCUUGUCGAUGGCUUUUACUUGCUUGCCUAGUAUAGGCACUGGAUGGUUAAGUUGGAGAAAAACCCCUUCGAUAACAAGCGAUUAGGGUUUUGGUUUGUGUUUCAAUUUGGGGAAAAUGGAAAAACGAAUCAGAGUUUUAGGUUUUCAUUAUCUAUCUAAAUUAAUUGAAUUUAAUUUGUAAAUGGAUAGUGCAAAACAGAAGAGAUCGAGAAGAGAAAAACGAAAGCGAAAGUGAACGAUGAAAGCAAGAUAGAGACAGUCGAUAUAGUCUAGAUGGGGAGAACAAGUGUGUUUUAUGUUAUUGUUAUUUAUAUUUUCAUUUUUUAAUAAUUUAAAUAUUAUUAUGACUUUGACUCAUCGAGAUUUGAUGGUCUGUGCUCCAAACAUUAAAGCUUUAAAUCUUAGAGCUCCCAGGUUCGAGUUGGAGCUAAAACAAAAUUUUUAUGAAUUUUUUUUAUCAUUGAUACUUUAGUGUUAGUGAUUUUUGAUGUUUAGUUUACUGACACCCUAGUAUCAUUAAUCUCUGAUUCCUAUUUGUCAAAAGCGGAAAAUGGUGCAUAUGUACAUAAGUACUGACACUUUUUGCAAAGUGUCAGUAACGAAGUGUCAGUAAAGCCCAUUUUUCUAGUAGUGUAUUUUGCUACUUUUUAUGACGGUUUUUGUUAAUAUUCAUCAUUAAACAAACAUUUCCAAUCACGAUUUUGCAUAAAACAAUCAUCUUAUGUGAUAGUUUUAUAUUACUUGUUAUGAUGGUUUAUUAAAUAAUCAAUCAUGGUAUAGGAAUUUAAAAUGAUCAUUAAAAUAGUCUAACUGUUCAUCGUGCAACCAUUAUUCUUUCUUAAGACUUUAUGGGGUGCAUCUUCUUCAAGUAUUCAAAGUGCUCACUAAUACAAUUGUCCAAUGUGUUACCUAAUUUUAGAGAAAUUAAAUUAAAAUGGUCAUUAAAAUUAUGGACAUAUAAUGACCUUUGUAUAAAAAAAAAAGUCAUUCACAUUAAGACUAUUUUUAACUAGACAUAUGAUGACCGUUGUAUGUAAAACCAAUCAUUAAAAAUUUUUACUUUCAAUAAUGGUUUUUAAGAACCGUCACUAACAUUAAGACUAUUUUUUAACUAGACAUCUAAUUAGGGGUGUUCGCGGAUCGGAUUUUGCGGAUUAGAAAUCAAUCCAUAUUGAUCCACGAUUUUACGGAUUAUAAAUUUUUAAUUCAAUCCAAUCCAUGGAUUGAUGAAAUUCAAUUUAAAUAUAAUCCAUAUAUCUACGGAUUAGAUGCGGAUUUGACCCAAUCCAUAUCCAAUCCACCAUUUUUGCGGAUUGGUUUGCGGGCUAAAAAUUUUUAAUCAUGUCUUAUCCACGAAUUAACUAAAUAAAAAAUAAUAUAAAAAUAAUUUUACUAUCAAUCAAAUUCAAAAUUAAAUAAGAUUAAAUUAAAUUAAUUUUUUAAAUAAAGCUAGAAAAUACAUUCAAAGUUUCAAAAUAUAACACACCAAAAAGAAAAAAAAAAUAUCUCAUUUGUUUAGAUUAGUAUAUGAAAAUUAACUGAUUGGGAAGCUAUAUAUUUUUAUUUAAUUAUUUUUAUUUUAUAUUAGUAUUGGAUAAGAUAUAAUAUGAUGUUAAUGUAACUAUAUUUUAAUUUAUUUAUUUAUUAGUAAGUAUAAUGUCAUGUUUACAAGUUUAAUUUUUUAUUAAAUAAAUUUUUUUUUAUUUUUUUACGAAUUCACGGAUUUUUACGGAUUCACAGAAGUAAAUCCAUAUCCAAUCUACUGAUUGCGGAUUUUCAAAUUUUCAAUCGAAUCGAAUCCACCAAUCCACAUAUUGGAUUUUUACAGAUCGAAUUUUUGCGGAUCAGACGGAUUGAGCGGGUUAGAUUGGAUUCUGAACACCCCUACAUAUAAUGACUGAUAUGCUUAAAAACAAUGAUUAUUAUUUUUUUCUUUCAAUGAUGGUUGCAAUAAACAAAUUUGUCAUUAAAAUGAAGAGUAUAUUUUACUUGAUAUUUAAUGACUGUUCUUUUACAUAACAGUCAUCAUAAGUGUUACAUAUUGGACCAUACAUAAUAACAACUAUUAAAUAUCUUUAAUGAAGGUUGUUAAAAAGAACCGUCAUUACAUAUCGAUCAUUGUUUUACAUUUUUGUAGUAGUUAAAGUUCUAAAACAAAUACACACAUUUUUCAUUAAAAAGACAAAAUAAUAGCAUCCAUAUUCGCUCUCAUCUUUUGAAUGAAAAUAGGGUAAAUUGAUAUUUUCAAAAGAUUACGGAGAAAUUAAGAUUGUUAUCUUGAAUAGGGUGAAUGGUAUUUAUCCUAAAAUAAAAUUUUAAUUUGAAUCUAGAGAUGGCCAACAAGCUGGGCGGAAUGGCUCAUCAAAGGUAAGCUCGUGAGGGCCCAUGGGCUGGCAUAGCAUGAUCCACCAUGUCAAUGGCCCAUGCCUGUCUAAUUUUUUUUUCUUAAGUCCAGCACGGCACACUAUACAAGCCCACACAUGCCGUCCUAGACGGUAUUGUGGGCCAUGCUCAAGAAAAAGCAAGGCAAGUAUUUUUUCUUUUUCUUUUUUUUUAAAUUUUUUAAGAGUUUUUCAAGCCCAUAUACAUUUUUUAGGCUGUCUUUAGUUAAAUUCUACAUAAAUGAAAGUUCAAAACUCAAGUCAAUAUUCAAUAAUAAUAAACUAAUAAUAGUAACGGAAUGUAUUACUAACUAUUAGGUUAGAGCCUAUGGAAUUGGAAUUCAUUUUUCUUAACAACAACAACAACAACAACAAUAAUAGCAGUAGUAGUAGUAUUAGUAGCAGUAGUAAUAAAAUAAUAAUUAAUUAAUCUUUCUUAAGGGUUAAUAUUUAAUUGUUAACUUGAACUUAUAUAGAGUAAUAGAUCAUAGUUGAUAAUAACAUUAAUGCUUAUAAGUUUUAAAUUAAAAUAUAACAAUUAACUUUUGAUUUAUACUAAAACAAAUUUAUUGUUGUGUGUAAAUGGUGAAAAAUAAUUUAUUCAUAAAUGAAAUAUAUUUCAUUUGACUAAUAUAUGAUUUUAUAAAUGAAAUAUUAAAGUCGUAAAAGUUUAGAUUUAUCAUUUUUAAAAUUGUAAUAUUUAAUAUUUUAUUUGUUAAAAUCAUGAUAUUAUUGAUUAGUGUUAAAAAUUGUAUGUUUUUAAGAGAUAAAAAUGUUAUUUUGUGCUUAUAAUAUAAUUUACAUUUGUAAUUAUGUAACAUAUUAUGAAUUUCUAAUUAUUUUUCUAAAUAUUUGAUUUUGUGUAAUUUUGUGUGUUUAUUAUGUAAAAAUAAUAAUUUCACACAAUUUAAGCUUCCAAACAAAUGUACGGAUGUCAAAUUUGGAUCCCAGAAGUCCUGAAAAUUAGGUCAUUGUCAACAAGGAUCCACUACUUUUGUUGUAAAUUUAUAAUUUUUUACCAUGAUAAAUGUGGUAAUUGUGAAAUUAUAUGUUUUUACCAUAUUAGGUAUUGUAAUUAAUAGUGGAAUGUGUUGGAUGUGCUUGAGUGGAUUAAGUUAGGUUUAUAUUUUGUUAGUGGGACGAACGUAUGGUUAAGAUGUAAUUAGCUUUAUUUAUUUGUGUGGUGUUGAUUAAUCAUGUAUUAGUAUAAAUAGAGAGAGGGGGAACACACCACCACACCUUUUCUUGUCUUCUUUCCCCUCAAGUUUUUAUUUUAUUUUAUUUUAAUAAUUCCCUUUAUUUCAAUUAUGUUUAGUUAAAUACUAAUAGUUAGGGGAAGGUGAAACUCUUAGUAAAAAAAUAUGAUUUAAUCAAAUUAUAUUUUUAUAUUUUGAAAAUAUAAUAUUAUUUUCUAUUUAAUUUUAUCCAUAUUUUAUAUUUUGAAAUUUGGAUUUAUUGUAAACAAACAUGGGAGUUUGACACAAUGAAUUCUUAAUAUCUUAAUAUAAAAUAUGUAAAAUGAUAUUUUGACUUAUUGUAGACAAGUUAAGUUUUGACACAUUAAGUACUUAAUCCAUAAUAAAAUUAAUGGGAAAAUAGUUGUAAUUUAUACAAUUAAUCUUUUGGGCAAUAAAAUAAAAAUAAAAACAAUUUAUUAAAUUGUAUUUACUACCAAGAGUGGAUCCAUAACCCUAACUAAUUUAAUUUCAUAGUUUUUCUCAAAUUAAAUUACAUAUAUUUAAAUUUUAUUUUCAUUUUUUAGAUAAACUUAAAUAAAUAAAUUAAAUCAUUUUUUUAUGGAUCGACCUCGGACUCACCGAGAUAUAGUAUAAUUAGGUACUAUUAUACUUGGAAGUAAAUUAAAUACUUUUAAGCCGUGUCAAUCAUCUAUUCAUUUAAUAAAUUAUGGACAUAAAACAAUUAUAGUAUUUUUUAAAAUUAAUAUUUCAAUGAAUUUAAAAAACCUACGCUAAUAAAAUACAUUACAAGAUUCAAUUUCAAGUUAUUUGUAAAAUCAUAAAAUUUUAACUUCACUUUUCAUAAAAAAAUUUACUUUAAUAUACUUUGGCUGCGUGCUAGCCCAUUAGUGAAGUGUACUUAUUGCUGCUUUUUCACGUGUCAUUUUUAACUCAUCACUAAUUGGACUGCACUUUUAAAAUUUAGGUACCUAAAAUUCUUAGUCUAAUCCAGCUUAUAUGUGUGCCAUGUUGUGCCACAUGUUCUUUCAAAAAGUGAUGAUACAACCACAAACUCUUAUAUAAACUUAUCUUGUACAAACUGAUUUGACAUUAAUUAAUUAGUUGAAUGAAAAUAUAAAAUAAUAAAAAUAGAUCAUGUAGGUUAAGAAAUAUUUAAUUUAACAAAUUUUAUUAUGGCACAUCAAUUUGUAUAAAAUAAAUUUAUAUAAGAGUUUGUGCCUAUAUUAUUACUCUCUUUCAAAACGUGCUCCUACUAUGUCAUGUUGUACGAACACGUCCGUUGAGCAUAUGUACUUCAAUCAUUCAAAUUUCGAUAGGAAUUAACUAUUAAGGGACCCAUUCGAUAAACAAGAAGAAUAUUUUUUAUUAAUGCGAAAUGGAAACACAAAAGGGAGCCCAAUGUCAUUACCUCAGUGCUUUGCUCCCUGGGUGAAAUUAGAAUUUCAGAAAAGAUUGUCGAUGCCUGUGUAAUAUAAUAUAAUUAGAACGAAAGGAAUAUCGCGGGGUGGUGGUGCCCAGAGGACCAGUCAUUCAUGUUUCCAAUACGAUCGGGAUAUCAGAAGAAGAAGAUAAACAAGACGUCGAUUUGAGCUUCCUUUUCACUGAUUCACUAGGGCUUUUAUUCGCAGGUACAUCCUAUUACUCCUCACAGGAGAUCAUUUGCUGAAAUUUGAUUUUUUCUUUUUUUUAUCCAUCAAUUUCUUAUAAGUAAGUUAGUAAUGAAAUUUGAGCUGAGACUGAUGAAUUUAUAUCUGUAAUAUGCAAAAUUUAUCUCAGCGAAUAAAGCCGAGCUCUCCAUAUUAAAGACUUUUCGUUUUAACGUUUCCAAUUUGAUGGUUGUGAACCCUUAUCAAUACGCAUUUUUCAUAGAUUUGAUGAGAUAUUUGAAUCUGCAAUUAUAUGUCUUUCUUGUUGAAGCAGGGUUGAACCUGAUAUGAGAUGAGUGCAGGUCUUUAGUUUUAGCUAAGCUUAUUUUGCCAAAUUGUGCUUCACUCAUGCAUCUGGAUCUCUUUAGAUUUGAGCUUCAAGUUGGAUUUGAACUUCAAGAAUAUGAAUAACUCAUUGCAAUUGUCAUUUGCAAUUAGUAAUUUUCUGAAUCCAUCUUUUGUACGCCCAUUCGCCCAUCUAGUAAAAUUUAUUACAUCUUUUUUUUUAAAACAUAACCAAUUAUGAUUGUGAUGAUAAUGAGAGAGAAAUUUUAGAAUGUGGCUUGAUUUCUUAGAUGGUCCGUUCAUAUCUUGCAUUUUCUUUUGAAUUGAGGAUGUCGACUUGUUUUUACAAAGUUAAUGACAAAUAAUUUUUUUAAGAAGAUGGUUUUGAUUGUUGUUUUGAUUCAGGAAUUAGUCAAGAUGACACCGGUUUGUCCUUUUGCCAAAGCACGUCCAGAUGAUGCCUCUCCUAGAAAACCUGGUGAAAACUCGAAUAAAUACCCGGCAGAGUGUCCUUUUUCCAAAGCACGUCCAGAUGAUGCUGCUUCAAGAAAAGCAGUUGAAAACUCAGCUAAACCCCAGGCAGAGCAUGAUGGUGACAAAGCAAAGAGUGAUUCUAUAGACUCUGCCAGCAUUCCUCCAAAAUGUCCGUUUGGCUAUGAUGCUCAAUCGUUUAAGAUUGGUCCCCUGAGUUGCAUGAUUUGCCAAGCACUUCUCUUUGAAUGUAGCAAAUGCACGCCUUGUUCACAUGUAUAUUGCAAGUAAGCAAAUAAGGAUACACUUGUUUUAUUUUCUCUAUCUCCCGUUUAUCCUGAAAUGUUGAUUGGUUUUUCUUUUCAUUUUACUUCUGUGGGAUAUGUUCAUUUAUUUUGUUAAAUUGAAAUCAGAGCAUGUAUUUCACGCUUCAAAGACUGCCCAUUGUGUGGGGCUGACAUUGAGAAGAUUGAAGCAGAUACAACUCUUCAGGAUGUUGUCGAUCGCUUCAUUGAAGGUCAUGCUAGAAUCAAGCGAUCUCACACUAAUUCUGACAAAGAGGAAGAUGCAGCAGGUGAAAAUAAAAAAGUGAUAUAUGAGGAUGUUUCUAUGGAGAGAGGUGCUUUCUUGGUUCAACAAGCUAUGAGGGUGAGUUCAGCUAGUUUCUUUGCCAUUGUUUAUGGUCUAAGAAUUUGUGAGUUGGAAAUUAUGUGAGUAUUGAUGUUGUGUUAUUUGUCUUAAAUUCAUAAUUAUAUUAUUAGUCUAACACCAACGGAAGUGAUCCUUCUCUUCUCGAAACCCCUCCCACAAAAAAAAAAAACUCUCGUGAACCAUUCAUUGAUUGUAAUCGAAUGAUUUUAAAAGUUUCUGAGUUGGAAGUAUUAAAUGCCACAAAAAUUUAAGCUAUGUGGUUGUUUGUGUGUGUGUGUGAAGUGGAGUUGCAAGAUUAUCUUGGAGUCUGUCAAUUGCAACUUGCAAGUAGUUCAUACUCUCCAAUUCACCUGGUGCAAUGUGCUCCAUAAGCUGGGCUACAUCAAACACUAGAUCACUCUUUACCUGUCUAUGUAUGUCAUACACUGGAAGCGUUUCUUAAAUGCCUUUUCCAAAUAGCUUUUGUUUCUCUAGCUGAAUUGAUUUUUCAAAAUUUUAAAACUACCAGAUGAUGACCCAUUAGUUAAGAAGUCAUUUUCCUGAUUCAUUGCAUCUGCUUAGCUGAUUGCUUUUCAUGUGUAGGCUUUCCGUGCUCAGAAUGUAGAAAGUGCAAAAUCAAGACUCAGUCUCUGUACAGAAGAUAUCAGAGAUCAGAUAGAAAGAAUGGGCAAUACAUCAGAGUUGUGUUCACAGCUAGGAGCUGUUCUGGGUAUGCUUGGUGACUGCUGGUCUGUCCCCUCUCUCCCAUCACUUGCUUUGCAUUUUUUUUUUUCUUUUCUUUGGGUUCUCCCUUUUGAACUCAUUACAGUUUAUUAGUUUAGAACCAUUUUCCUUGUUAUGCUUUUGCAUUAUAAAUGUUUCUGGUGUUCGAGGGGUACCCAUUUUUGCAUAUGAGAAAUUGAUUUAUGUUGGAAUGAGCCUCAGUAACGCUUUAAGGCCAAUGAUGAUGGUGUAUUCAAAACUAGAUCUAGCUAAGAAAUUAAUAUGAUUGUUGUUACCUAGUAGCUCAAAAAUUUACCGAGUUAUGACAAAAUCCUGAUUAAACAUAAGAGAGACCUCUCAUAUAACAGCAGAAGAAUUCAAUCCAUACCAAUGUCACUCCAGCACAGUAUUCUAGAAAAAGGAUAUGCUUGAUGUACUGGGAUGGGGAUAGUCUUGAAGAAUUUCCUUGUUAGACUAAGAGUUUCAAAUUUUGAAGGAUUGAUUGUGGUAGCUAAAUUAAUGUAUCACCAUUUUCGCUGAUACUUCUCAGAGACUUUAACUAGAUCCAUCUUCUUGUUUAUGUUCCUGCAUUUCUUUGAACGCGUUAACCCAUGCUCAGACUUCAUUUCAGGCUCCCAUUAAGACAUUAAAUUUCUAUCAUGUGAACCUAGUAUUUUCCCCAUCAUAUCGACUUGAAGUGGGUUAUCCUAUCCAAAAUAUAAUAAACUAGAAUAAUCAAGAGGGGAAGAGCUGAGAUGAACUGAUGAGAGCUUUAUUUGCAAUUUUCCAAUAUGAUGCAUGAUAAAUAAGCUUUGAUUGUCAUCUUGAACUUAGAAAUUGGUGGAUCUUGAGUCUAUACAUCCAUUUUUAUAUUUUUACACUUCUUUUUGAAAAAUUAUUUCUGUCUUCAUUAUCAUGUCCAAAAUAUGAGAUUCUUACUUGUGGUAUUGUUUAUGUAAAACCUAAUCCCUUACUUUUUUAUGCAGUCGAGCUAUGGGAGAUGCUGAUGCUGCAGUGGCUUAUUUCGCAGAUAGUGUUGAAUUCCUCAUGAAAUUACCGAUGGAUGAUCUGGAGGUUAUAGCAUGACAGCCGUUUCUACUUAAUUUUGGCACUUUAUGCAUGGUUUUCACCUAAUUAUUUUUUACUUUUUUCUCUACAGAUAAUUCAUACACUUUCUGUUUCACUAAACAAAAUUGGAGAUCUGAAAUAUUAUGGUGGAGACCUGCAAGCUGCAAGAUCUUACUAUGUCCGUUCUCUAAAUGUCCGACGUGAUGCCGUCAAACGUCAUUCAAAUGUUCCAUCACAGGUAAUCCAUCUUCUCUCAGGACAUUUUUUAUUUUCUUUUAUGUUUCUUUCUACUUCAACAUUCUGCACUUCUGAUGUCGUUUCCUCGUACCAUCAUAUUAUUGCUAAAUUUUAGUCUUUUAGUUCGUUCUAUCAGUAAUCUGUUCAUCCUUUUUUUCAUUAGUCAAUGAGAGACAUAUUUUCAAUAUCAAUGUACUUAUUUGUUCUUCGUAUUCUCCUUUUUCUUCCUUUUUAUUGACUGUCAUACAUUUUUUUUCUAGUCUAUUAGGACUCUUUCCUUUCUGUCAUUUUUCUUUUUGUAUUCUACAACAAACUAUAUGAUGCAUAUUGGGGGGUGGAAUCAAGAAUUGAUAUUAUUCAGGAUUUUACAAAUUUAAGAUUAAUAUUGAUUUAAAGUCAAGGCUUUCUUAGGUGUUUAAGUCAAAAGAGGUGCUAUAUAUUCUUUAUCUGCCCAAUGUUGCAUAUGUAAUGAAAAGAAAGGGUAGUCCGUAUCCCGUUUAUUUUUGGAUUUUAAUAGCGUAUAUAGUUAUGCUUAGCAGAGGAUGUUUUGGUUUUGCCUCAAUCAAAUCAUCCUACUCCUAGCAUAGAUUCAUGAAGUUUUAGGGGGAAAGAUAUGAUUGGUAAAGUUUUGUGGAUAUGAGUGAAGUCAUUUCUAUGGUCAAUUUGAGUGAAAGCAAGAGUAAACAUUUAAAGAGCAGUAUGACAAAUUCCAAAUAUAUUAAAGGAAAAUAUUGUAUUUUACUUCUUAAUGGGCUUUGGGUUCAACUGUUUUGGAGGGAUUUCUCGCUGCUUGCAUUUUAGGGAUCAGAUGAGUGUUUCUGUAGGAUUUUCCUUCUUUCCUUGUUAUGUUGUAGGAUUUUCUUCUUUUGUUGGUUAUAAUUAUGUUAGCAUUGGGCGGCUACUGGUUCCAAUAUAUAUUUUUGUUAUUAAAAUGGUAAUGGUGAGAUGAGGUAACACCUGAAAAAAAAAAAAAAAUUGGAUUGCUGGGAAUACAGAGAUUUUAUAUUUGGUUCAGCAAACUUUUAUGGGAAAAUAAAAAAUUUUGUUGCCGGACAAACCUUUUCUGCAUUGAUGUUGCUUUUCACGUGUUGUGUAAAAUCUCAUUGAUUUGGGAUUUUCUUCAUCUCUCUUGACCAAAACAGAGAAUGAUAAAUUAAUGGGUUUCUCUUGUUCCUUGUAAAUUGAAAUGUCUUUCUGUAGAUGUUUGUUUUGUUCAUAUCAGAGUUUCACCUUUAAAAUACAUGGCAAUGUUGAAAAAUUGAUAUGAUGUUAGAUAAAUUCCAGUUGGAGAAAAAAAGUGUUGAGCUACUGAGUUUUAACUUGUUUCUGUGAUUUUAGGUUUUGGAUGUAGCUGUUUCUCUUGCAAAAGUUGCGGAUGUAGAUAGGAGUAUUGGUAAUGAGGAUGUGGCAGUUGAUGGAUUUCAGGAAGCCAUUAAGCAGCUAGAAUCUUUAACAUUGAAACCUGAAGAAGCUGGUUUGGAGCAACGGGUUAGAUUCCUAUUCCAACUUCUUGUUGUAAGUAGUUUAGAUUAUGAAAAUCUUGAUCCGACACUUUUUUGACAUACAGCGCCUUUCAGUGCUGGAAUUCCUCAACAACCAACUUUCAGAAAAAUCACCUGAAUCAACUCCCAAAGUUUAGGUCUGCUUGAAAAAUGCAAAACUAUCUGGUGAAAUAAAAUAGCCUACUGUAUAUGUAUAUACGCAAGUAAUAAAGCUCAGGCUAGCCAAGUCAGUCUCUACAUCAAGCGCUUUCGAGAAUAGCAAAAACUUGAUCCUGUCCAGAAGUGCAAGCGAUGGCUGCAGCUGGAGUCACACCACAGCUUCUUGCCUGGUGCGACUAUAAUUUGGAAGAGCAAACAAGUAUGUAGCUGCGGAUCAACAUAUUUCCUUGUUCUUUCAAGUAAUGGCGUGUAACUUUUUGUUUUCUGUGAAUAAACAUCAUGCCACUGGGAUUUUUGUAUAAUGUUGUAAUAGGCACAAAACUUAUUAAAAUUUCAUUAUGCAGUUCUAUGGAGCAACUUAAAUUAGGACGAUGUAUUGUCAUGUUAUGAAUUGGAAAAGAAUAAGCUGUCUUCUAUUGGCGAUGAAUAAAUAUUAUCAAUACGUACUACAUAGUCCUCAUUUCAAUACCGCAUGAUUCAUAAAUUGAAUUUUGGGUUGCUAGAGUCCCCAUAGGAUUAUUUCAGUUUGUUUAUUAUAUUUAGAAUAGCCUCUAGGAAAGAAUCAAUGAGAACCAAUUACUGCAUCUUUGAUGCACUUUCUAUUAUUAUUGGCACAUCUUAGGUUUGUUUACUAAUUGACUAAUUGUAAAAACCCCAAAAGUUCAGGCAUAAAGAAUUGCUUGAUUACAUUUAUGUUUUUUUCUUAAAUAAAAUUUUCUUAAAGGUCUUCUAAAUGUCAAAUUCAUCUAGCUUACUAGCCUGUAGCAAGAGGAAUAGAAAAUGUGUCAUUGAAGUUGGUUAUGGAAAAGCAAUACUCAGCUUAACAAAAAGCAAGCCCUAAAAAAAGCGCCAAGGAUAAAGAUUUGCACGAAACUAGAAGUAAAGGAGGAUUAAAUAAUGUGAAGGGGAAAGAAUAAUUAAAGCAAACAAGGAAAUGAAAUUUGCACAUGCCUAUUCACCUUGCUCUUUUGCUGAAAGAUAAAGAGAAUUGCUUGCAUCUCAAGUCAAUUAUUCAGUUUGUUCCUACUCGAAAUAAACUGGAGAGUAUCAUUUUCCUAUUUUAUUUAUUUUAUUUUCCUAAGAAUUAUAAUGUUUGAUAAUCCCAAAUGCCCAUCCCAUAAAACCGCGAUUUUCUCUUAUUAAUCUUAACUAUUUGCUAACAUUAAUAUAUUUGCUAAGAUUAAUGUCAACGACGAUCAAACAAGAUUUAUUAGAUGAAUAUACAAGUGAUGUAAUACAAGUCGUUUGUAUUAUGAAGAUAUUUCAUCAUUAGGAGGAAUCAAGAACAUGAAGGGUGGUAAUAAAGAUAUAUUCUGUCAACUUUUAAACACAAAAAAAAAAAAAAGGAGAGUAAAGAGAAAGGAGCAUACGUGAACUGGUUUUUCGAGUUGGUCAAAUAAAACAGAGUUUAAAUGAUUGUCCUUUUUACGCACGAUAACAAUAAGAAAAUUGAAAAAUGUGAACAAAUUAUGUUAAUUUUUUAUCAAUUAAACCAGCUAGGAUUAUGCAUCAAAUGUUAAUUUACAUAAUUAGAUGCUAAAUUUACACAGCUGAAAAGAAUCAAUGGGUGUUUGAGAUGGCGAUUAUCAUAUAGUAAUAUUAAUUAACUGAAAGCCAUUCCAAUCAUGCAUUGGGAUUUGCAUUAUAUUAUCUUUUCUUCAAACUAAAGUGAUUAUCAAGUAUAGAUAUUAAAAUUUUGGGCUUGUUCACUUUCUGCUUUUCUGCUCGGUUUGAUGAUUGUGAUGAAACCGACAGCACAAAAGCAUCAAAUCAAAAAUGGCCUACCAAAGGCGAACCGCCACCCCAAACCUAUUAAGAAGAUAAAGUGCUGUUUGCAAUAUUGGCCAUAAAUUAUUUUUAUUUUAAAAAUUAAUUAAUAAAAUAAUAAAACCCAUUAAAUAUUAUCUUAAAUUUCUUGUAAAAUUCAUCACGUCUAUUUUUUUGAGAAGGCUUUCACUUAAUCUCUGAACCUAAAAGUCUUAUCUUUAAUCAAUAUCGACCCUCAAGGAAAGUGAAUAAAAUGUUUUACACAAUAUUCAAAUUGCAAGUAAACAAAGAUAGUUUUAUUCCAAAACUUUUAUCUAAAUUUUUAUAAAAUAACUGCACCAAAAAAAUUGUUGAUAGUGUAGUAAUACUCAAGAAAGUGAAAAAGCUCUCACACUUCUUUAAAUUGAUGAGUGAUGACUGCUUAUAUAAGAUUAGCAAGUUCUUACAUAUGUCUACAAGCAUGUACAAUCAGCACUUCCAAAAUUCCAUGGCUUGCUUAUUGCUAUUUCCUUUUCUCUCCCUCCAUUGCCUUGUUGUCAUUGCUUCUUCUUCUUCUUCUUCUUCAUCAUCAUCAUCAAAUCAAAUUCCCAAGGUGCUUAUUAUUUUUUUUCCCUUCAUUGGUUUUGUUUUCCAAGACCAAAAGAAUAAAACUAUUAAUUAUAUUCAUUAUUCUUUUAAUGUAAUUUGUUUUUCUUGGCUUGGCAGCCUUAUGUUGUUUAUAUGGGAAGUUCAUCUAAUGUUGGAGUUGCAGAAUUGGCUCAUUUACAACUUUUAUCUUCCAUUAUUCCAAGGUUAGUAAUUACUUCUUGUUAUCAUCAAUGUUCGUUAUUAAAUAAUCAUCAACUUAGCAUUUUUUUUUCUAAUGGGGUUUAGUUAAUUUUUGCAGUGAAGAGAGUGACAGAAUAUCUCUAAUCCACCAUUAUAAACAUUCUUUCAAAGGAUUCUCUGCCAUGCUCACUGAGAAAGAAGCUUCUGUACUCUCUGGUAAGUAAUUCCUAUUACUUUACAGUAGCAAGAAGUUAAUAUGAAGAAUAUAUUAUUCUUUAGAUUAAAAAAAUUCCAAGUUUUGAUGGCUUACUUCAAACGUACUCUUAGUAUAAUUAUUUAAUAGGGAUGUUCACCAUUCUCGUAGGAAUUAGCUUUGAAUAACUAUUGGAAUUGAUAAAUGGAAAAGCAAUUUGAGAUAUGCUAUAAAUUUUAGCUCAUAACUUAUAUUAUAUGUAACUUACAGCAAGUAGUUACCCAUGAACUCCCACUUGUUGCACAUGCUACCAUUUUUUGAUUUUGGGUCUAAAAUGAUUUAAUGGGGUUGUAGAUUCAUGUUUUGGUAAAUUAAUGAUAUUCUAUGUGAAAUAAUUGUGUGGUUAAUAGAAUCAGCAAAUUAUCUCAUGUUAUUUUAUUCAACCCGGGCUAAACUAAAUUAAUAUUUCGAUAAAUAUUAUUCAUUGCGAUUAAUAUGAUUUUUUUAAGGGACUAAGAUGAACUUUAACAAUUUUAUUGAGACGAGCUUUAAUAAUUUUGCUAAGGUCAUAAAAAAUUGUGUUAAAGAACCAAUAAUAUAUAACAUUAAUUAUUUUAUUAUGGUAGCAUUUAUUUAAAAUUACCGGGUCUCAAGGAUAUUUUUCAAGAUCUUCUAGUCUGGACUCCCUCUCUUUACUUCGCCUCUUAAUAGAAUCAUGUCACGUGUCCAUUUGUGCUCCAUAAGAUAGAUGAGCUAUUUAUUAGAUUAUUUAUGAAUAUAUAUUAACACAUACGAUAAUAUGAAUAUAUUAUAACAUGAAUCAAUUCAUGGUUUGAUACAUCAGAUGGUAAAAUGAUUUGAUCUUAUUUAAUAUUUAUUACAAAAGUAUAUGGCAUAACUGGAAAAAAAUAUUUUUCCAAACAUUGUUCUUGAUUGAUUUGAAGUAAUUUGUUAAAUGGAUUGAUUUGUGAUUUGCUGAGCAGGGCAUGAGAAGAUAGUAUCAGUGUUCCCAGAUCCAAUUCUUAAACUUCACACAACACGUUCUUGGGAUUUCUUAGAAGCAGAAGCAGAAGCAAAAGCACCCACAAGCACUUGGUCCAGCCAUAAAUAUCAUAAUAUAUCAAGUGAUGUCAUUAUUGGCAUUAUAGACACAGGUAUAUUAAUUUUAAGGAAAAAAAUUGUACUUUAUAAUUAUCUCUCACUUAAAUUUUUAUUUUAUUUUGGUCCUUGAAGGCAGAACAUUACAUUUAAAGAAUUUAAAAAAAAAAUUAAAAAUAAAAAUCAUAGAAUUAGAUGGUAUUUAUUUGGUGGAUCCCAAAGUUAUUGAGCAAUAGAUACCUAACUUAACGGUUCCAUCUAUGGAAUAUGUAAAAGAGACACAAGACAAAAUUAAAUCACAUGAAUUGUAGUCCCCCAAGAGAAACGCCAUGUGCAUUAGAUAUAUAUAGAGUGAUCCCCAUAUAUCAUAUAUCGUCAAUAUCUUGUCUGUUUAUAAUUUGUGGAUCUUGUUAGCUAUCAACAAGUUCUUUUAUAUUUAUUUAUCCAUUUGUAAAAUUCAGCAAAACUUCAUUCUACAUCACAUUAAGGGAAUGCUUUUAUGCUCCCUAGAAAUAAUUGUAUAUAUUUACUAGUAUUAUGUUGGCAUCGCCCCUAUUUAACGUAAAUUUUUGAGUCAUGCUCAGCAAAUUUCGAGAUUUCUGGUUGAAUAUAUAUGGCCUAAAACGUGAAAAAUUAUGUCUUUAAUUUUCAAGAAUUUCAGUUAAUUAUUUUUUUAAUCUUUUUCCGUAAAUAAAAAUUCAUAGGUAAAUUAAUUUAGUAUGAUUUGAUGUGGAACAUGGAUUCUUUGUUUUGGUAAAUUACAGGGAUAUGGCCUGAGUCUCCAAGUUUCAAGGACCGGGGAAUGAGUGAAAUACCUUCUAAGUGGAAAGGAGUUUGCAUGGAUUCACAUGACUUCAAGAAAUCCAACUGUAAUAGGUGAACCAUUUUUCCCACUAAGAAUUUAAUAGUUUUCUCAUAAUGUUAAGUUUUCAAAAUGAUUAAUAAAAUGAAGAAUAAAGUCAAAAUUUACUAAAAUUCUUAUAAUAUUACUGAUCAUUAUCUAGCGCCGACAUUUGUACACAAACUUGUAGAUAUUGAGCAAAACUAUUGAUGGCAAAACAAUUAGAGCCGCAGCCAGCCUGGACUUGAAGGCCUUUUGACUCUUAAAGUUGAGUACUUAAAUUAUAAAAUUAUAAUGUUUAAUUAUUGAGUAGGCCUUUGGACUCUUAAAAUUCUUCAUAAAGUCCCCUUUUAAAUGAAAUUUACUUAAAUAAUUAAAGACAAAUCAAUUUAUUUUUAUUUUGAAUAAAAAUUGAAUUAAACACUUAAGCAGGUUAUUCUUUUAACAAACUUUUGACACUCACACCAUUGUAUAAUUUAUAUUUAUAUUUGAAAUUUUAAUAGAUUUUUUAGAAAAUUACAAGAAUUUAAUAUUUUGGAAAUAGAAACUAUGUGAUAAAAAAAAUUUUAACGUUUUGUGAUUUUUAUGAUUUUAUAAAUAAAAAAAUUGAAAGAUACCUUUUUUAGGGGUGAAAUUUUGGUGGGAAGAUGAUUAAAUUUAAUAGUGGGCGAGGCUAUUAAUUCAUCUCACACCCUUUUCGAAAAAAUAAAUUUAUUAUUAAAAUUUAGAGUUUCAAAAUCUUGAAAUUAUCAUUUACUAAUUUCUUUCUCUCUCUACCUCAUGAUUGCAUAGUCUCUUUAUAUUGUCACAUUUUGUAAACUAAACUCUCAAUUUUAUUUUCUUUCGGAUUCUUUUUUUGUAUUUCUUAAUAAAUCAUAAUCUUUAUUUCAUGUUUUCUAUGUGCAAGAUUUUUUUUUUGACAUUUAUUAAGUUUUGUGGUUGGUAAAAAUUAAUUUCUUGACAUUCAUAAAAACAAAUGUAGUGAUUUUCAUUUUUGACUGAUGGAUUUUGAUCCUUAGUUUAUAAUAGCCUAUAACGAAAUUAAUUAUUUGUAUUGUGCAGUCAAACGAAAAUAUAUGAAGGAAUUGAUGAGAAUUGAGAAAUUGAGAAUGAAAAGAAAAAAAAUUACUUAGUUUAUAACUAAGUAAUUUUAUUAAAAGUUAUUUUAAUAAAAAAAUUUAAUUAAAAAAAGAGUAUAGAGAAAAAAUUAAUGGGUUUCACCCUUUUAUAAAAUAAAGUUCAAAGAAGAGUAUUGCAGGGGUGUUAAAAGCUCCACUCCUAAGUGCACCAAGUGCUUUGUCUCAAAAGUGUACUUAGUAAUUUUGUAUGGGCCAUUAUGAGGCUUUGUGGACCGAGUUCAACAAAGUACAUUGGGCUCCGAAGCCAUGUUAAUCAAUGGCCCUAAUUGAGAUUUGAUUACGAUAUAACCUUUUGUGUUACUUGCCAAAAAGGACAAAAAGAUACGAAAAGAAGUCACUGACAAUUCAAUCUGACUUCACUUAAAAAUUUAAAUCUUUCCAACCCUAAUUUUAUUAUGCCAAAAUGAUAUGAUAUAUAUAUAAUAUGAAUAUAAUCAAGUUUUCAUUUUAGAAACCAUAAAAAACCGAGCAUCAGAAAACAGCCCCUGGUUAGGCCCAAGCUUAGCUAACGCAAGCUUGGCUUCCCCCCCAAAUGCAGUUAGGCGUAGAAUUAUUACGAUUAAAGGCUCAUUUGGAGUUGUUUUUGAGUCUUGAGAGAUUUAAAAAUGAUUUUAAAAAAUUAAAAAUUAAUUUUAAUAUUUGAUAAAUUUUUUUAGAAACACUUUUGGUAAAUUUACCUCAUCCUAUAGUAAGUUUCUAAAAUAAAGAAAGAAAUAACUUUUUAAAAUUUAAUUUGAAAAAUUGAUAUUAUACUUAAAAUAAUUCCGUAUAUAUCCUCCUAUGUAUUGUACAAAUCUAAGAUUAUCUUUAUUCACUUGAAAAUAAAAUUAUUCAAUUCAAAGAAAUUAUUAUUAUUGUCAAUUAUAUUGAGAUAAUAAAAUAAAAAAUAGAGUUAAAAUAUUAAAAUAUUUAUUUUAAUUAUAAAUUAUUUUGUAUAUAUGUUUAUAAAUGUGUAAACACUUAUAACUUCUUUAAAAACUCACAUCACUUUUAAAAUAAAUUUUACUAAAAUUUAACUUAUUCUUUUCACAGUUGAUUAUAUCUACAGUACAAUUAACAACAAUUAUUUUAAAAACUACAAAAUUAUCAAACUAAUCCUAAAUGCCACAUAAAUUGAAGAAAAUGAUCAAAAUUCUCUUUUGUUCGUUAAAAUUAAUUAUUUUCCUCUCAUAUUUCAUUACCGUUCUCAUUCAAAUGAAUUCUAGCUAGUAACUUUGAACAUUUUCCUAUCGUUAACUAUUUCACUAUUUUACAAGUCUAAUUUUUGGGAUAAAAUAAUAAAAUUUUUAAAAAGAAGUUGAAUGUAUAUAAAAUAUUUUUAAUCAAGCGACAGAAAAUGGUUAAUUUACUGAUACACCAUAGUGGUUUUAAUCAUUUUCCUAAAUAAAUUGUCACAAGGCUGUUGGCAAUUAAAGUAAAAUACAAUUAAAAGUAAAAUUUCCAAAUUGCUUAGGAUCAAAAUCCUCUGAUAUUAUUUGGAAAUUUUAGCAUUAUUAAAAUAUUUAUGGGUAUAACAAUACAAUAUUGUGGCUGCAGGAAACUAAUAGGAGCAAGAUUCUACAGCAUUCCUCUAACAUCAAACAACCACAACACAACGAGAACAACUCUAGCUGGGUCUCCAAGGGACUCCGUUGGCCACGGAACACACACGGCGUCAACCGCAGCCGGUGCCCACGUGGCCAACGCCAGCUACUUCGGCUUAGCCCGUGGCACAGCCAGGGGGGGCUCUCCAUCUUCCAGGAUUGCAAGCUACAAAGCCUGCUCCGAAGACGGCUGCUCAGGCUCAGCCAUAUUACAGGCAAUGGAUGAUGCAAUUGCGGAUGGAGUUGAUAUCAUCUCAAUUUCUAUUGGAAUGAGCUCCCUGUUUCAGUCUGAUUACUUGAAUGAUCCGAUUGCAAUCGGCGCUUUUCAUGCUGAACAAAUGGGAGUGAUGGUGAUCUGUUCUGCUGGCAAUGAUGGUCCUGACCCUUCCACUGUUGUUAAUACGGCUCCUUGGAUUUUUACUGUUGGUGCUUCGAGUAUUGAUAGAGAUUUUCAGUCUACUGUGCUUCUUGGAAACGGGAAAACUAUCAAAGUAAGUUUUAAUUUCAUUCAAGAAUAUUUUGUUUUUUAUGUUUUAAAACUUAUGCUUCUGAAAACUAAUUUUAGAACCUAAUUAAGAUCACAACAAAAUGUAUGCUUAGAAAUAUAUUUAUUGAUAAAUUUUUUGCUUUGUACCUUUUCGUUAGGCUGCUGUUUAGCUUGCCAAGAAAAUUCGAGCAAAAUGAGUGAAAAAGCGUUUCUCUAACAAAGAUUUUCUUGUUAAUUAUUUUUUUAAAAGGAAAAAUGCUAAAGCAACUAUAGUGUUGACAGAAAUUAGAUAAAAUUGGCGUUAGUUUAUCUUACUUUCAAUUGAGUAAACUAGCUAGCACUAGUUUCAUUAUCUUACUUUUAUCGGCGUCCUGUUAAAUUGUUCUGUGUUGAGUAUUAUUAACUUUCAAAAGUUAAACAAACAAUCACUUAGAUUCCAUUUGGUAUUUUUUUUUAAAUGCUGUUUUUGAAUAUAGAGAUUAUUUUAUUUUUUUCCCCUUGAAACUGGUAUCUAUUUCUCUUGCUUUUAAAAUGUCAUCAAACACAUGUUUACUAUUCUUAAUUUAAAAAAAAAAAAAUAGACGAACAAUAUUAAAUAAGUUUUCCAAUUUUAAGAAAAUUAUCUUUUUUAAAAUAAAAAAUUUUCUCUUACUAAUUUAUAAAAUCUAAUUAGAAUAAUUUUGCUGGUAGGGAUCUGCCAUUAGUUUAUCAAACCUCUCGAGCUCAAUGACCUAUCCCAUUGCAUUUGGAAAGGACAUUGCUGCUAAAUUUACCCCUGUAUCCGAAGCAAGGUAUUUCAUUGUGUGGGCUGUUUUUUCAAUAAUUAAUAUACUUUUUUUUCCAUAUUGACAAUUAAUUAAGUUGAUUAAUUUAAAUUACUGACAUUGAUUAAUGAAUUAAUUGAAAUGUGCAGGACUUGCCGUCCAGGAUCAUUAGAUCCUAAGAAAGUUGCAGGCAAAAUCAUUGUUUGUGUUGAUGAUGACCCAACAGUUCCUAGAAAAAUUAAGAAAUUAGUUGCGGAAGAUGCAGAUGCCAAAGGCUUAAUUUUGAUCGAUGAGGAUUAUGAGAAACAUGUGCCUUUUGAUUCUGGCAUUUUUCCAUUUUCAGAAGUUGGCAGCGUUGCAGGAUUUCAAAUCAUUCACUACAUCAAUUCUACCAAGUAACCCUUGUCAUUAUUAUUAGCUUACUCUAUGAUGACUAAUUAUUUAAUCAUUAAACUACUAGAAGUAAUUAUAAUUAUUUAAACAAACCUUAUAUAAUAUCUAGUGUUUUAGUUAGGCUCAUGAUUUCUAUAUAUAAUAGCUGCCCACCUGAACAAAAUUUCUAGCUUAGUCCUUGAAUGCAUCAACAACACAUACAUACAUACAAACAAACACACACACACACACAUAUAUAUAUAUAUAUAAUGUCUGGUCAAUUUGUCCAACCAGCAUGGUAUCAUAGCAAACACAGAAUUGGUUAAUGAGUGCAUGUGUCUAUUUUUAAAUUAAUGUAUUGGAUUAACUAAACAGGAAUCCGACUGCAACAAUUCUCCCAACAGUUGAUGUUCCAGGAUACAAGCCCGCACCAGUUGUUGCAUAUUUCUCAUCAAGAGGUCCAGGAGAGCUUACAGAAAACAUUCUCAAGGUUAUAAUUAUUAAUUAUUUAAUUUACCAAAAACAUAUAAUAAAUUAAUUGUUUAAUGAUAAAUAAUUUUUCUAUUGAUAUCUGCAGCCUGAUGUAACAGCUCCUGGAGUUGCCAUUUUAGCUGCAAUUGUCCCGAAAGCCAAUGCAGGGAGUUUUCCGAUAGGAAAGAAGCCGGCCGGAUAUGCAAUAACAUCGGGAACAUCGAUGGCUUGCCCACAUGUUACUGGAGCUGCUGCAUUCAUUAGAUCAGUGCACCGAAGAUGGAGUUCUUCCAUUAUCAAAUCAGCUCUUAUGACAACAGGUACACUAAUUUUUUAAAAAUUCAAUAAUUAAGUAGAUGGCCUCAUUUUGCAUACAUAUACUAGCCCUAUUGUUGAAUUAUAAUUUUUUAUUUCAGAUCUGUGCAUAUUUUUUAUCAUAUACAGUCAAUCAUGUGUAUUGAAAAAAUACAGACUUGAACUAGAUAUAUCUGCAGCACUAUUUGCUGCAAAGUGAGAUUGUUUUAGAAUGAGGAGGGCUAGAGGGUGGUAACUAGCUAUAUUUUUUAGGGAGAAUUAACACUGAGGUCUGAACAAUUUUCACUUUUACUACUUUAGUCUCUAAUUUUUUCUCUUUUUUUUUUUUUUUUCUUUUGGUUAAAAGUACUAAAGAAUGUUGAAUGUAAUUUUUUAACAUGCAAAACCUCCCUAUCUUUUUAUAGACAUAUCACAUAAUUUAGAUUGAUAGCAGCAUGGAUGUAAUGGUAAAAGAAAUAAAAGAAAUUAUAUUCUUUCUGCAACUAUUUUAUCGCCAGGUUUCCCAGUAUUCAAUAAAUUAUAAAUAUCCUAGCUUAGAUCCGCUUUUUGAAAUGUAUAUCCUAUACCCUAGCUUGUUUAAUUGUUAGAAAAAUUAUUCUUCAAUUAUUUGCACCUUCUAAUGCGGUUGUGUGCUAUAAAAAUAAACGUAUAAAAUGGAACUUACAAAUAUUUUAUAUAUGCAGCAACCGUUUAUGAUAACACGGGAAAGCCCUUGAAAAACAACGCAGGCAGCACUGCAAGUCCACAUGAAACUGGAGUUGGGGAAAUCAGCCCACUCAAAGCUUUAAAUCCAGGGUUAGUAUUCGAAACUACAACGAAAGACUACCUUCGAUUCCUUUGUUAUUUUGGAUAUUCAGAGAAAAAUAUUCGAUCAAUGUCAAAGUACACAAACUUCAACUGUCCAAGAAACUCCAUUGAUAAUCUCAUCUCAAAUAUUAACUACCCAUCAAUCUCCAUAAGCAAGCUUGAUCGCCAUAGAGCUGCUGAAACUGUUAAACGAACUGUGACCAAUGUCGGAUUGCAAAAUGUCACAUACAUUUCCAGGGUGAAUGCUCCUUCAGGAUUAAUAGUCAAGGUACUUCCUCAAAAACUUGUUUUUGCUGAAGGUGUAAAAAGAAUGUCUUUUAGCGUUUCCUUCUACGGCAAGGAAGCUGCUGGUGGAUACAAUUUUGGAUCGGUAACGUGGUCAGAUAAUCGACAUUCUGUCCAAAUGAUGUUUGCUGUGAAUGUUCAAUAAAUAUAAUAUAUAAUUAUGUACACACAUGAAAAUUUGAGAUAUAUAAUUGGGUGAAUAAUGUUCACAUGUAUAGACAUUGUUUUUUGUUUAAUAUUCAUUUCCUAAUUUUAUCGUUAGCGUGAAUCAAACUAGCUAAUGUUUUUUGAAUUUGUUGAAAUAUACUUGAAAAGCAAAUCCGUACCCUCAACUCAUUCAUCUUCAUCUACCAAUAAGUAGCCAACCAACAGUUGUAGCAACCAUCGCCAACAGUUGUAGCAACCUUGACAAUUUUUUUUUUUUGGUGACAAUUUUGGUAGUUGGAUGGUGUUAGAGGCGGUUGUCUCGACUUCGAUAGUGAUGCAUGAAUGUUCUGAUGGCCAGAUGGCGGUUUUCGUAUAGGCUCUUCGGUUGAAAUUUUUUCGAAUGUACGGAUUUUAUUUUUCAGUGUUUUUAUUUUAAUGUUCUGAGUUUUCUGUGUUUUUGUUGUUGAAUACAAUCAUCGAAAUAAAUUUGAGAUUAUUUUCGUUCCGAUUUUAAACUAAAUUUUUUUUUUUAAAAUACAUCAAAAAUAUCAUAUCUACCAUAUAACAAGUAAAUGAUAUUAUGACUUGUGUAUUUGUUUUGAAAAACUAUCAUGUAAAUGAUAGUUAUGUUAAAUUUAAUUAUAUAUGUCAUCUAUGUAUUAAUUAGUUGUAUUAUCUUGAUAUAUUCUAGAAUAUCUCUAAAGCUACAAUGACUGUAAUGGCAUUGUUACAUCCAUUAUUGAGAAUUGCUUUGGGAGAUUGCUAUUUCCUUUAUUAAAAUCAAUAUGCAUCACUUUUUUUUUACUAUUUUUAUGAUACUCAAUGACCACUUGAUAUAUAAUAUUACUAUAUUAUCUUUAUUUCCAAAUACACUUUUUAUUAAUAUUUCUUAUAAAUUAGAUAAAUCAAAUAAUUUGAAAUAAAAAUAAAAAAAUUGUUAAACACUAAAAAAAAGAAAAAAAUUGUAUUUUGAUUUUUUUAAUUUAUUUUAAUCUACUUCUUAUUCUUAUGUUUUAUUUAUUCUAUUUUUUAUUUAGUAAAAUAAAAUGUAUGAAAUAAAUGAUAAAUAAAAAUAUUUUAUUCUUAAAUGCAUAUUUUCUUUUCACAUUUAUUGCAACAAAUACAUUUUCUUAAAUAUUUUUUUAUAGUAAAUGCAUAUUUUAUAUUAUUAGGAAGAAAUAUCAAGCAAAUAAUUUAUUUUAAUCCACUAGUAGGGAAUGAUUAGUAGAUAGUGAUUUCAGUUGGGGAAAUCAACAAUCUUCCUUCUCCCUUCUCCCUUAUUUUGAACUUUUUGAAAUCUUUUAUCUUAAUUUUAUGCAAUUAUUUUAUUUUUUAUGUUUGGCACUAUGUAGAAAAUUUUAGUGGCGCUUUAGAAGUCUUUUGCGUAUAGACUUGACACCUUCAAAAAUAAAUUAAUAGAUUAUAGUUAUGAGAUAAAAAGGUCCCGUUUGUUCGAGAUUCUUCCAUAUAUAGUAAUAUUACCAAUUAAUUGACGUAGGACGUUAUUUUAGAAUUUUAGAUAUUGUUAUUUUAGGUAUUUUGAUAUUUUCUAUUUUAAUUAAAGUUCUUAGUCUUUUAUCUUUAUUAUAGUUAUGAUUUAGUAGGGAGGGUAAAAUCCUCUAUGAAUUUGGACCUCAUGGGGCCCCACCCCAAAUAAAGUGAAUUUUGAAUAAUUUUUGGGAAAUGGAGUGAAGAAUGAGGGAAAAAAUAAUCUCAAAUUCUUAAUGGAGUGGGGUUUGAUUUUGUACCUUUCACUCCACCACCACCCCAAUUCCCAUUAUAUAUGAAUAUUUGUUUAUUUUUGUUCAAAUUUUUUUUUAUCCAUUAUAAGGGUCCGGCUACGGUGCAACUGUNNNNNNNNNNNNNNNNNNNNNNNNNNNNNNNNNNNNNNNNNNNNNNNNNNNNNNNNNNNNNNNNNNNNNNNNNNNNNNNNNNNNNNNNNNNNNNNNNNNNNNNNNNNNNNNNNNNNNNNNNNNNNNNNNNNNNNNNNNNNNNNNNNNNNNNNNNNNNNNNNNNNNNNNNNNNNNNNNNNNNNNNNNNNNNNNNNNNNNNNNNNNNNNNNNNNNNNNNNNNNNNNNNNNNNNNNNNNNNNNNNNNNNNNNNNNNNNNNNNNNNNNNNNNNNNNNNNNNNNNNNNNNNNNNNNNNNNNNNNNNNNNNNNNNNNNNNNNNNNNNNNNNNNNNNNNNNNNNNNNNNNNNNNNNNNNNNNNNNNNNNNNNNNNNNNNNNNNNNNNNNNNNNNNNNNNNNNNNNNNNNNNNNNNNNNNNNNNNNNNNNNNNNNNNNNNNNNNNNNNNNNNNNNNNNNNNNNNNNNNNNNNNNNNNNNNNNNNNNNNNNNNNNNNNNNNNNNNNNNNNNNNNNNNNNNNNNNNNNNNNNNNNNNNNNNNNNNNNNNNNNNNNNNNNNNNNNNNNNNNNNNNNNNNNNNNNNNNNNNNNNNNNNNNNNNNNNNNNNNNNNNNNNNNNNNNNNNNNNNNNNNNNNNNNNNNNNNNNNNNNNNNNNNNNNNNNNNNNNNNNNNNNNNNNNNNNNNNNNNNNNNNNNNNNNNNNNNNNNNNNNNNNNNNNNNNNNNNNNNNNNNNNNNNNNNNNNNNNNNNNNNNNNNNNNNNNNNNNNNNNNNNNNNNNNNNNNNNNNNNNNNNNNNNNNNNNNNNNNNNNNNNNNNNNNNNNNNNNNNNNNNNNNNNNNNNNNNNNNNNNNNNNNNNNNNNNNNNNNNNNNNNNNNNNNNNNNNNNNNNNNNNNNNNNNNNNNNNNNNNNNNNNNNNNNNNNNNNNNNNNNNNNNNNNNNNNNNNNNNNNNNNNNNNNNNNNNNNNNNNNNNNNNNNNNNNNNNNNNNNNNNNNNNNNNNNNNNNNNNNNNNNNNNNNNNNNNNNNNNNNNNNNNNNNNNNNNNNNNNNNNNNNNNNNNNNNNNNNNNNNNNNNNNNNNNNNNNNNNNNNNNNNNNNNNNNNNNNNNNNNNNNNNNNNNNNNNNNNNNNNNNNNNNNNNNNNNNNNNNNNNNNNNNNNNNNNNNNNNNNNNNNNNNNNNNNNNNNNNNNNNNNNNNNNNNNNNNNNNNNNNNNNNNNNNNNNNNNNNNNNNNNNNNNNNNNNNNNNNNNNNNNNNNNNNNNNNNNNNNNNNNNNNNNNNNNNNNNNNNNNNNNNNNNNNNNNNNNNNNNNNNNNNNNNNNNNNNNNNNNNNNNNNNNNNNNNNNNNNNNNNNNNNNNNNNNNNNNNNNNNNNNNNNNNNNNNNNNNNNNNNNNNNNNNNNNNNNNNNNNNNNNNNNNNNNNNNNNNNNNNNNNNNNNNNNNNNNNNNNNNNNNNNNNNNNNNNNNNNNNNNNNNNNNNNNNNNNNNNNNNNNNNNNNNNNNNNNNNNNNNNNNNNNNNNNNNNNNNNNNNNNNNNNNNNNNNNNNNNNNNNNNNNNNNNNNNNNNNNNNNNNNNNNNNNNNNNNNNNNNNNNNNNNNNNNNNNNNNNNNNNNNNNNNNNNNNNNNNNNNNNNNNNNNNNAGGAUCCACUUAGAUGGGUGGGGUCCAUUGAAAUCCAACGGAUCGAUGCAACUGUGGCACGGUACCACAGUUGCACCACAGUUUUCCCCUAAUUAUAAUGUUGGUUAAUAAAAUUUUAUUUUAUUUUUACCUAAUAUAAAUAAGUUAUAACUAAAAGAAAACCAUAUAUUAUAAUAUUUAUUUAACCUUAAAAUAUUGUUAUGUUUCUUUUCUCUCUUAAGGUGUUGCUCUCUUCAAACUUUUUUUUUAAAUUUUGAUAUCAUUUCUAGAUAUUAUUUCAACCCUUUGGAGAUUUUUUAAAAUAAUUUAAAUACUUUAUAAUAUGAAAAUGAUUUUAUUUAAGUCUCUAAUUUUUAAUUACUGAAAUCAUUUAUCUAUAUCUACUAUAAAAUAAGUAAAUGAGGAGUGGGGUGAGGAUGGGGAAAUCAUUCCUUAUUGUUGAGUAGCUAAAUUCAAACACUUAUGGAAAGAAAACUGGCAGCAUUUUGUAAAUGUUUGAGUUGUUUUGAAAUCACAUGAAUGAAGCAUGAUUACUUAAACUUGAAACGGCAACUGAAAUGAUCCUUUUGGCUAUAACAGUUUUUCAUUUGCCACGUGACUUGUCACUCGAAUGCUUAAUGACCUCAAGGUCGUUAUAACAACUUGUACAUGUGGCCAAAUCCUAUACAUUCUAGGUUUACAGAUUGUUAAGCAACUUUUGUAUAAAAUGGGGUUAUCAAGCUUAUUCAGUAAUGGUUCUAGAGAGUUCCUGUGAGAGAUUUGUGAGUCAGAAAACUUUUUCUUAAGCUCUAUAAUCUUCACUUGAGUUCUUGUAAUCUUCUUCUUUGAAUCAAUUGAUAAAGCCAGCUCUGAUGUUUUACCCAUGGAUGUAGGCCACUCAAAGAUCAAACCACGUAAUCUUGAGUUCUUGUUGAGUUUUUGAUUUGUGCUCUGUGUUUCAUUUAGAUCCGUUUUGUGUUUUUGAUUGUAUUGAUUUGUUUAGAUUUUUUUAAUCUAAUUUGAUUAAUCUUCAAGUAAUAAAUGCAACUUGUAUUGAUCUUCGAUUGAGAUCUUGGGCAGAGCUUUGCUUUAGUUGAGGUUUAUAUUGAUUAAGCUUUACAAUUGGUAUCAAAGCAGGGUUCUUAAUUAAAAUCCAAGUAUGGCUACUUAAAAGGUUGAUCUAGAAAAGUUUAAUGGCAGGAACGAUUUCAACAUUUGGAAAGUUAAAAUGAAAGCUCUUUUUAUCAGCCAAGGCUUGGGGGAUGCACUUGAAUCUUCAGUAAAGAAGGGAGGCAAGGAGGUAUCAUCAUCCAGGACUCUAGAAUAGAUGGUUGACAUAGACAAGAAGGCUAGAAGCAUUAUAAUUCUGAGCCUUACAGAUUCUAUGACUAGGGAAUUGGCCAAGGAAACAUUUGUUACAACCUUGAUGGAGAAGCUUGAGAGCUUGUACAUGAAGAAGUCACUGGCUAAUAGGCUUCACAUUUAGAAGAGGAUGUUCACCCUUAAGAUAGCUGAAGGCUCAUCAUUUGACAAACACAAUAAUGAAUUUAAUCAAGUAUGUGAUACACUAGCUACCAUUAACGAGGCUUUAGAUGAUGAGGGUAAAGCCUUAUUAUUGAUCAGCUCGCUACCAAAAUCAUACAAAAACUUUGUUGAUGCACUGAUGUAUGUGAGACAAACACUUUCACUUGAUGAAGCUAAAUCAUCUCUCAAUAUUAAGGAGUUAUAAGAAAAGCAUGGUAAUCUUGAAAAUGGAGCUGGUGAGGAGCUAUCUGUAAAGGAGAAGUUUGACAGGAAAGAUGAAAAGAAAAAGAAGCCAAACAAAUCCAAGAACAAGAACAAGGUCUUAAAAUGCUUUCAAUGUCACAAAUAAGGUCAUUUUAAGAAAGAUGUUCCAAAAACAAUCCAAACAUAAAGGUCAAAAUGGUGAUGCAAUAGUGGUUGAAGAAAAAGGAUAUGAGUCAGCUGAUGUUCUCAUUGCCUCAGAAGUAAAUGAAAGAGGUUAAUGGGUUUUGGACUAUGGAUGCUCAUUCCAUGUGUCCAUUUAUAAAUCAUUUUACUAAAUAUUUUGAAUGUGAUGGUGGUAAGGUGAUGAUGGGUAAUAAUGUAAUGUGUAAAGUUGUUGGCAUAGGCAACAUAAAUCUAAAAUUACAUGAUGGGUCUACCUAUGAAUUAAAACAAGUCAAACAUGUUCCUGAUCUCAAAAGGAACUUGAUUUCACUUGGUAUGAUAGACCAAAUAGGGUGCAUUGUUAAGCUUCAAAAUAGGGUGAUGAGUGCUGUCAAAGGGUCUUAAGUCCUGUUGAAGGGAAUUAGGAAGAAUGGGCUUUAUGUUCUUGAUGGUACCAUUGAAUCAAGAGAGGUAUCAAUGUCAUCCAGCUCUAGUGUUCAUAAAACUAGACUAUGACACUUAAGACUUGGACAUAUGAGCUUAAAAGGCUCAAAGAAUUAUCUAAACAAGGGUUGUUGAAUGGAUAUAGGAUUGAAGAUCUAGUGUUCUAUAAAGAUUGUGUCUUAGGUAAAUCUACAAGGGCUAGCUUCAAACCUUUAGUGCAUACAUCGAGGGGGGGGGGGCAUUGGAGUACAUAUAUUCUUAGGAGGUUUCACUAGGUGGAGCCAAGUAUUUCUUGUCGAUUAUUGAUGAUUAUUCAAAGAUGAUAUGGGCAUAUUUACUUAAGCAAAAAGAUCAAGUGUUUGACAAGUUUAAGGAAUGAAAGAUCUUGGUUGAGAAUCAAGUAAGGAAGAAGGUGAAGAAACUGAGGAUAGAUAAUGGGUUGGAAUUAUGUAAUCAAGUUUUUGAUAAUUGUUGUGUUGUUGAGGGAAUUACAAGACACAAGACAGUAAGGCUCAAACGACAACAAAAUGGCCUUGUUGAGAGAAUGAAUAGGACACUUAUGGACAAAGAAAGAACCAUGAUGAUUCAAGCUAAGUUUCCAAUGAAUUUAUGGGCAGAGACUCUCAACACAUCCUAUUACUUAGUGAACCUAAGUCCCUCCUCUACAAUAAGUUUUAAAACACCUCAUGAAAUGUGGUUUGGGAAUCUAGCUAGCUAUGGAAGUCUUAGGGUAUUUGGUUGUCAACCCUAUUGUUAAAGCGUAUUAUUGUAGGUGUUAAUGUGCAAGUGUACACAACAAGUAAUAUAAGUAUGAGUAUCCAGAUCGUCUCCACAGGGAUUGAUGUUAUAAGACUUGCCACAAUAAUCUUAACUGGGCAAUUUCAGUCUAAUUAAAAUAAAUUAAUUUAUGAAAUUGAUGACCUAAUGAAAUAAAAAAAUUGCAAUAAACAUAAUCCAAUAAGGAAAAUCUAAAGUCGAAAAUAAAGAUAUACUCAAUGAAAAAGGGGUAGUUGAGUGCUUAAACUCACUUAAUGAUGUUGACUAUUUUUCAAUUGUCAUAUUGUUGCUACAACAUCUACUACAGCACUAGGCAGAAUCUCUCAUGCAUCCUCAUUUGUCGCAUGUUGGAUAUCUUAGAUCUAUAUGCAACCUAACAGUGGCCAGUUGUUAUGCUAAUAUUAUAUAUAACAUUAUGCAUUCUAGAUUCCAAUUGCCCUAUAAGGUGAAUCUUCAUGUCCAGUUCUUCACUAAUCUUAUAUUAAGUAUGGUCUUAUUUAAAUUGAGAUUAACUUAACUUGGGAAACUCAAUCUAAAACCAUGUAUUAUCUAGAUAUUUUCCACUAAGUCAAACUUUUUUGAGGUUUUUUCUUAGCUAGUAUCCAUUAAAUGGGUGGUCAACUAAAAUAAAUGCUAUAACAGAUUCUAAGCAACAUACGUAUAUAAGUCAAAUAACAAUUAAACUUAUUUAACACCUAACUACAUCAAAGUUUAGUUUAUGAUAGGUGAUAAAACAAUAACAACACACAUUUUUGCCAUCAAAUACAUUUCUAGAGAGAGAUGAAAAUAAGCAAAACAAAGAGUAGAAAUUGAGAUCUACUAAAUUCAAGACAUCCCUCUCUUAGGUUUUUGCGAUCUCUCAUUCUUUUUCUCAGAAAUCCCUUGCUGCAACUCUCAUGAUAAGUGCAUAUUUUCCAUAUAUUUUGCUAUUAAUUUCUCCAUUUUUUUCUUGUUUUGGUCAUAAAUAUUCUAGUUAUUUUAGUUAAUUUUUAAUUUAAUAAAUUAUAUUUUAUUGUGUUAAUUUUUAUCUUAGUUUUAUUUAUUUUGUUAUUUUAGGUAUAUUCUGUUAUUUAUUUUGUUAUCGGUUUAAACAGUACCAAGAUGCUGUUAUUGGCACUGUCCUCACAACCCUUCAUGCAGGAAGUGUGUUACUCACUUUCUAUCCCAAUUUCAACCUUUCUCUCCAAGAUCCCAACUUGCCCACAACCUUGAAGGUCCAAAUCCAAAUUCAAGGUGCUGAACAAAUUUCUUCUGCCAAAAUUGCCACUUUACACCACCAACUGGUCUACAGGCUUCAAAAUCAUGCCUUAGAUCUACCCACACCAGAACACCACUCUGACACCCUCAUGGUGUUAGCAGAAUCUGACCAAAUCCCGAAAAUCAUCCAGAUCCCACGACAAAUUCCUCGUCAUGAGCUCAUCAAGCUUAUGCCUCUUGAAUGGAUCUCCAACUAUGAACAGUUCCACAAUAAUACAGCUCCUAUUCAGACAUCUGAAAGUAUGUUUGAAAGACGACAAGAUGGAACAGUCAGAAUGACUUUUAAACCACCUCCCAGUGCUCCACAAGAGCCUCCUCGGCUCUCCUUUACUUAUUCCUCAAUGAUCACAGCUGUUCAGACAGCCCAAGAAGAUCUGCCCAUUACAGGGUUUAAUUCUGAAGGUUACCCUAUUUAUCCAGCCAAACACAAUGGCCAUUUCCUAUGGGAUGCCCCUGGUUCCGGCAUGUGUGACCCAAAUUGUCCCUGCUGGGAUGAUUGGGAAGAAGACGAUGAUUAUGCAACCACAAGGAAAAAGAAACCCAAAAAGAAAAAACCUCCUGUCCCAUGUCACCACUGUGACCCAACUUUUGUCUCAAUCUGUUCAGUUCGUAAACUGAUGUUCUCAACUUUUGAAUUGAGAUGCAACAAGGUAUCAUUUUGUGCCCUGGCAUUUUGGGUUUGCCAGUUGAGGACUGACUCAAAGGGUUUAGGGGGCUCCAGGUGGCCAGUGGAGGUAAUAGGUGAAGGGAUAAAGGGUUUUGACACAACAUUUCGUUGGGGAUCUGUGUGGGGUUCCAAAGAAGGAAAGGAAGAAGAGUAAUCGGAACAGGUAGAGGAAAAUAUCAUACAAGCCAGUGGUUGGACGAUAGGCGUUGGGUUUGGGAAAAAGGUCUUGGAGAGCUUUGGAUGCUUACAAGAGGGACAACGGCAUGGUGGAUAAGGGCAAUUAUAGUCUCUGGGAGUACACUUUGGAGUAUACUGAGGGGAAGUUUGGGUAGCUUUGUCAACUUUGGAUGGUUGAGCUGGUCGUUUGGAAGAUUGGGUUGAGGGUCCUGGUUUAGAGGGGCCAGGUUCAUCCAUUGUUGGUUGGGGAAACUGGUGAAGGUGUUGGCUCAGAGGGAGAAAUGCAUCCCAUGGGUCUUGGGAAUCCUGGAACAAGAAAUCAGUGUAAUCUGGUUUUUCUUCUUUGAUGAUGAUACCAGUGGACUUAGGUUUAGAUAUGGCCGAUGGAGUGGGGAUCAUGAGGAGGUCAUGUUGUGGACCUAAGGAGGUGUGGGAGAUAUCUUUAAGUGGCGGAGGUUGGUGGUUCAGUUGGCAAAGGUAGUUGUGCAGGACAUCUUGUAUGUCAUUUUCAAUUACAGCUAUAUGUGGUGCAGUGAACCAUUCAUAUACCUGGUCUUGGGUCCAAAAGAGUUUGGUGUCUGGAUGUUGGAAGUAUGGCCUGUGAAUAAUAAAAACUGAUGUGAACAUUUGUGCUUCAUGGGCAGGCAUACGGUCAAGGUUGUGAAUGUCAGACAGUUGUUGCAGUUUCUUUCUCCACCAUGGUAUGGGGGAGAACCAUUCAAGUAAUGUCCAGGUAAGAGAGGUGGCUUUGUCUGGGUCAAGGAGAUGUUCCAAAGUAGGAGAAAUGGGAAGGAUUAGCUUGGUGGCAUAGAGGACAGUGAGGCACCAAACAUACCAUAACACAUCUUCAGUGGUGUCUCUGGUCGGAUCAAGGGUUAAACCUGUAAGGAACAGAUUUUCUGGGUGGAAAGUGGAAAAAGAAAAAGGGUCUGUGACAAGGUAGGCUUUCAUGAAAAAGCGAAAGUUUGGGAAAAAGGUCUUGGAGAGCUUUGGAUGCUUACAGGAGGGACCACGGCAAGGUGGAUAAGGGCAAUUAUAGUCUCUGGGAGUACACUUUGGAGUAUACUUAGGGGAAGUUUGGGUGGCUUUGUCAACUUUAGAUGGUUGAGCUGGUCGUUUGGAGAGUCUGGAGAGCAUAUCAGGGAUGAGGUUCUGGGAUCCCUUUAUAUGCUUGACUGAAAAGUCAUAUUUGGAAAACCAAUCUUUUAAUCUGAGUAACAUUUUUUCGGGAACAGUUUUACCUUUGAAAUGAAAGAUAUUGGGGAAGGCUGAGCUGUCCAUUCGGAUGAGAAAAUGGUGUCCAAUCAAAUGAUACUCAAACUUUUUGAUGCCAUUCUUGACUGCUAAGAUUUCUUUGAACACGCUAUGGUAGUGCUUCUGUGUGUCAGAAAAAUGUCCAAAGUUAUUGGUUCAACUCUUCCUAAUAAGGAUAUCUUGUUAGGAUUUGACAUCCUUCACCAAAUCAAACAUCUGUCUGUAAGAUGCGCUUGCCAUUUGUAAUCAACUUUAAAGGAGGCGGAUUUUGCGCAAUCUGCUUUAGGGUAGUGACAGCAAAUGUGUGGUCAGCAUUCCAUUCUGGGGGCUUCUUUUUCAAUAAAGCCGAGAGAUGGUGAGUGUAAUGAUCCACGUGGGGGAUGAAAUCACGGAUGUAGUUGAUGAUGCCGAGAAACUGUUGAAUUUGCCUUUUGGAAAGUUGCUGAUCUGGAAAGUGAAGCAAUUCUUGGGCAAUGUGCUUUCCUGGCUGGUAGUGUCCAUCUUUUAUGAUCAUACCAAGGAAUUCAACAUUAUCUGUAGCAAUGAUGCUUUUCUUGGCCGAUAACAUGAUUCCAUGACUUUGGAGAAUAUCAUAGAAUUGAGUUAACAGCUGGCGAUGUUCAUCAUGUGAGCCUGAAAAAAGCAAAAUAUCAUCAAUAUAAAUCAAUGCAUGAUGCAAAAUGGGUUGGAAGAUUUGGACCAUGGAUUUUUGGAAAAUGGAUGGGGCAGUUUUGAGACCAAAGGGUAGGACGGUCCAUUGAAAGUGGGCAUUGGGAAUACAAAAAGCGGUUUUGUAGCGUUCGGAGGGUUCAAUGCCUAGUUGCCAAAAACCUGAUUUUAAAUCAAAUUUUGAAAAGAUCUGGGCAUUUUUUAGAAAAGUAAACAUGCUUUGUCGACGAGGUAAUGAGAAUUUGUCAUCUUGUAAAAACAUGUUUAAUGGCUGGUAGUCAAUGACUAGGCGUUUCUUUCCUCGGACAAUUUCAGAAUGCUUUUCAACAUAAAAGGCUUGGCAAGCCCAUUGAGAACUUGUGGGCUCAAUUAAACCUUGGGCUAACAAUUGUGAACAUUCUUGUUGGGCUAGGAGUAAGUCAGAAGGACUCAUUCCUAGAUGGGUAGCUUUAGUUGGGUUAAUGUCUUCAUUGAGUUUGAAGGGUAACUUAAUGAAGAAAGACUUAUUUUUCCACAAGGGAUUUGGAUGGGUGAACUCAGAAUGGGACUCUGGACAGAAACUCAAAGUUUGGUUGAAAUAUCCUGGUAAGACUGGGGAGUUUCAGACAAAUUGUAGAGUUUCAGAAUGUCUGUGAACGGUUUGAACAUGGACUUGACUCGGAUUCCAGUGGGAAUGAUUUGGAGGUGUUUGAUUUGGUGAAGGAUGUCAAAUCCUAACAAGAUAUCCUUAUUAGGAAGAGUUGAACCAAUAACUUUGGUCCAAAUGACACAAUUGGGGAAGAUUUGAAUACCAAUGGGUUUUUUGGUAAUCAAAGAGGUGGUAAAGAGUUUGCCAUUGACAGCUUUGAAAUGUUCUUCAGACUGGAUCCAAUAUUCUGAUGGAAGAAUAUGGGGGUUUAACAUGCUGCGUUGGGCGCCAGUAUCUAUAAGACCAAUUGCUGGAAUGGGCCUUUGGAAUUUUGAGGGCAAGAUCUGGAGUUUGAUGGACGGGAUAGGAACUGUAGUAUCAAGGGAGAGUGACUGUUGAUGGAAAAUCACUUGAGACUGGUCACUGUCUGAAUCAGAGGAAUUCUGUAGUGCGAACACUGUUUCAUCAUUGGGUUCAUCUUGUUCAGAGAAAUAGAAUUCCAGCUCAUCUUUGGCAGGAGAGUAGUCGGUAGUUGCUUGAAGAUGCUCAACUAACCGGAUGAAUUUUUCUCUUUUGUUGGGGCAAUCUUUGGCAUAGUGGCCUUUUCUCUUGCAGAUGAAACAUCUGCUUGAUUGCUUUCGUUUGAAUUCUCUAGAGGAGGAAGAUUUCUUCCUGAAGAACCGGUAGGGCUUUCGGGAUCUGCGAGGCUUGGAGGAAAAUUCUGGAGGUUUGAAUUUCCGAAAAUGCCAUUUUUUCUUUGAACUGCAAUCACAAUCCUUUUUCUUGUGGCAUUUGAUCUGCAGAUAAGGCUUUUUGCAAGCACUUCGGAAAGGUUCUUUGUCUUUCAACAGUUCUUUGAAAAACUGUUUUUGCUCGCAAAGUUUGUCAAGACAAGUUUUGGCAAGCUGAAAGAUUUUGCCAAGAGAGAUGUUGUCUAGGGAAAGAUUGGAUGCGGUGAGUUGUCUCUGGAUGUUGGGUUGGAGUUCUUCGGGGAGGGAAGCCAGAAAGACAUGCUUUAAUGUCGGCUCAUUGAAUCCAUUAAGCUUAUAGAACAGCAGGGACAUUCGCUUAUAAUGGAAGUCAAGAUCCUUAGCAUUGAGGGAGCAGCAUUUCAUGUUGAGAUAAUCUCGUCUGGCAGCUUCAAAGACUGCAGAAGGGUCUCCAAGGAAUUGAUCAUGAAGUACAGUAAGAGCACUUGAGACUUCUGGGAGAUCAACAAACUGUAGUUGGCGGUAUUGUCCUAACGAAUCAAACCAAUCUCUUAGAGCACCCGUGAAACGAGUAGCAAAUUCUCUAAGGACUGAUUGAGUUGUUGCUCCUGGUCUUAGCAUCUGGAGGUCAAUCCAGGCAGACAUUUCAUUGAGUCGGUCACGCCAUUUAUGAGAUGAAAGAUCAUCAAAUGUGAACCAUGGACCAUUUGACGAUUUGUGACUGGGUGGAUUGGUCUGGGUUGGAGGAGGGUGGUUUGUGGCAGAAGAUUCAUGCAUUUCUUCUUCAACUUCGGAGGGAAUAUCAACAUAUGGGUCUGUAUGAGAGGUUUGGCCUUGGGUAGGUUGAUCAGGUUGAGCCAUCAGGAUUUUGGUGAUAUCAGCAUAAGACUUUUCAGAGUCACUGGUGGAUAAUGAAGAUUCUGUAUCAGUUUCGGUAGGGCUAUCUGAAACAGCUGGAUUUGAAUCAGAAGUUUGAUCAUUUGGGGUAGAUGAAUGGGUGACUGUAUGAGCAGUAAACUGAUGCAUGGGUUCUUUAUCUUUUGAUUGGGUAGGGACUAACAAAGGAGCUGGUGGUGAUAUUGGUGCAGAAGUAAGAGAUGGUUGGCCAGGGAUGGUCAAUGAGGAAGGAUGAAGAGGGGCAGGUCGAGGCUGCGGUCUAGGUUUGGGUUUAGGUUUAGGUGGUGGUGGCAAAGGAUUGUCUCGGAAAAGAGUAUGAGUCAUACCAAAUAACUUGGAAGGGUCAUACUGUUUAAUAGGAGAAAGCAUAGAGGCAAAAGGAUGAUAAGUUGGACCGAUGGAAGGGAUAUGAGGAGAUGUGGUGAAAAGGGUAGGUCUCUGUUUUUCAGAUUCAAUCUGGGCAAGUUCAGCUUUUAAGCGUCUGAUUUCCCUUUCUUUUUGGUCAAAUUCGGGGCCUGAGUAACGAUGGGCAAGCAUGGCUCGUAACUCAGAGUCAAGUUGAGAAAUUCUGGACUGGAGGUUUUGGUAGAUCUGCUGCAUCUGUGCAGUGAUGGAGUCAACUUUUGUCUCAAUCUGUUCAGUUCGCAAACUGAUGUUCUCAACUUUUGAAUUGAGAUGCAACAAGGUAUCAUUUUGUGCCCUGGCAUUUUGGGUUUGCCAGUUGAGGACUGACUCAAAGGGUUUAGGGGGCUCCAGGUGGCCAGUGGAGGUAAUAGGUGAUGGGAUAAAGGGUUUUGACACAACAUUUCGUUGGGGAUCUGUGUGGGGUUCCAAAGAAGGAAAGGAAGAAGAGUAAUCGGAAGAGGUAGAGGAAAACAUCAUACAAGCCAGUGGUUGGACGAUAGGCGUUGGGUUUGAAAGUGGUGAUGGAAUCUCAGAUUUGCAAUGUUUGGCAAUCCAUUUGAGUUCCUUUCGAUAGAUGGGUAAUGGAGCCGGUGGAGGUGGAGGAUCUGAUGGUGGUUUAGGGUCACAGUGGUGACAUGGGACAUGAGGUUUUUUCUUUUUGGGUUUCUUUUUCCUUGUGGUUGCAUAAUCAUCGUCUUCUUCCCAAUCAUCCCAGCAGGGACAAUUUGGGUCACACAUGCCGAAACCAGGGGCAUCCCAUAGGAAAUGGCCAUUGUGUUUGGCUGGAUAAACAGGGUAACCUUCAGAAUUAAACCCUGUAAUGGGCAGAUCUUCUUGGGCUGUCUGAACAGCUGUGAUCAUUGAGGAAUAAGUAAAGGAGAGCCGAGGAGGCUCUUGUGGAGCACUGAGAGGUGGUUUAAAAGUCAUUCUGACUGUUCCAUCUUGUCGUCUUUCAAACAUACUUUCAGAUGUCUGAAUAGGAGCUGUAUUAUUGUGGAACUGUUCAUAGUUGGAGAUCCAUUCAAGAGGCAUAAGCUUGAUGAGCUCAUGACGGGGGAUUUGUCGUGGGAUCUGGAUGAUUGUCGGGAUCUGGUCAGAUUCUGCUAACACCAUGAGGGUGUCAGAGUAGUGUUCUGGUGUGGGUAGAUCUAAGGCAUGAUUUUGAAGCCUGUAGACCAGUUGGUGGUGUAAAGUGGCAAUUUUGGCAGAAGAAAUUUGUUCAGCACCUUGAAUUUGGAUUUGGACCUUCAAGGUUGUGGGCAAGUUGGGAUCUUGGAGAGAAAGGUUGAAGUUGGGAUAGAAAGUGAGUAACACACUUCCUGCAUGAAGGGUUGUGAGGACAGUGCCAAUAACAGCAUCUUGGUACUGUUUAAACCGGGUAUCAAGCAUAGCAAGGCGAGCUGUAACCGGUAAUCCUUUUCUCCCAUGAAGGGUAAGGAUUAAUCUGAUGCCUCCAAGGUGGAGAUGAGUGUAACCUUCUCGUUUCCAGUUGGAAAUCAACUCUGAGGGUAUUUCAAGAGUGACAUAUUGCUCAGCAGGGGUUGCUUGGAGUGAACACUGAUCCAGGCGAGAAGACUGGAUAUAUUCUUUAGGGUGAGGUCUUCGGGUGGAUAUGAGAGUACGGAUACUGCGAGUAAAAGAACUGGGGCGUUUGUAUAGGUGGUAAGGGCUGAGGAGAGGGUAAGAAGAUUCACUGAUUUGGGCGGAUUCAGGGAUGUAGGAGUAUUCUACAAGAUGUUCAAUUUUGUUGGUAGUAUGAGAAGUGCAAGAUUUCGGCAAAGAAAGAGUGGAAGAAAGAGUAACAGGAGUUUAAGGAUUGGAAGAUGAAGUAGAAGCCAUGAAUGAGAAAUUCUCUCUGCGUCUGAAGUCUAUGGAGCAAAAAAGAAAAAAGACUUAAAUUAUACCAUUUUGAUCAUGUAAACAAGAAUUUAGAAAACAAGUUUCAAGGAACGGUAUGGCUCUGAUACCAGUUAAGAGUGUACGUGGCGUUGUUAUACCAGAACUACAACAGUAAAACUGUUCUUUGGACCAGUAGUCCGCAAGCUCGGGUUUCCAGCCGAUAUACCUCUGUAAUCAAAAACCUUUAAUAACCGGGUAUCAAGCAUAGCAAGGCGAGCAAUUCAACAGUUUCUCGGCAUCAUCAACUACAUCCGUGAUUUCAUCCCCCACGUGGAUCAUUACACUCACCAUCUCUCGGCUUUAUUGAAAAAGAAGCCCCAAGAAUGGAAUGCUGACCACACAUUUGCUGUCACUACCCUAAAGCAGAUUGCGCAAAAUCCGCCUCCUUUAAAGUUGAUUACAGAUGGCAAGCGCAUCUUACAGACAGACGCAAGUGAUGAAUCAUGGGGUGCCAUACUCCUUGAAGAAAUCAACGGAAAAGAACACUUUAUCGCUUACGCUAGUGGACAUUUUUCUGACACACAGAAGCACUACCAUAGCGUGUUCAAAGAAAUCUUAGCGGUCAAGAAUGGCAUCAAAAAGUUUGAGUAUCAUUUGAUUGGACACCAUUUUCUCAUCCGAAUGGACAGCUCAGCCUUCCCCAAUAUCUUUCAUUUCAAAGGUAAAACUGUUCCCGAAAAAAUGUUACUCAGAUUAAAAGAUUGGUUUUCCAAAUAUGACUUUUCAGUCAAGCAUAUAAAGGGAUCCCAGAACCUCAUCCCUGAUAUGCUCUCCAGACUCUCUAAACGACCAGCUCAACCAUCUAAAGUUGACAAAGCCACCCAAACUUCCCCUAAGUAUACUCCAAAGUGUACUCCCAGAGACUAUAAUUGCCCUUAUCCACCAUGCCGUGGUCCCUCCUGUAAGCAUCCAAAGCUCUCCAAGACCUUUUUCCCAAAAAGCAAUCCUGACAACCCAUAUGAGACAGAAAGCUCAUCCGAAGACGAGUACAUGAACCUCCGCUCUCCAUAAAGUUGUUUGUCUUGUUGCUUUCCAUAAAGUAGUUUGUCUUGUUGUCAUAAUGAUGUUUCGCUUUAUGCUUGCAUAAUUAUUAAAGUUUGCUUUUACUUUAAGCUUUUGCUUUUGCUUUUGUCAAAGUCAUGCUUUAAUUAUUAAAGCACUUUUGUCUUUUGUAAUAAUUAAAGUUGUGCCAUUAUGUAAAAGAUAGGGGUCCUGUCCUAUCUUAUCUUUUGCUUUUGUAAAAGAUAGGGGUCCUGUCCUAUCUUCUCAAGAAUCCUCCUCUAUAUAAAGGAUUCUCCCCUUGCUUGUAAGAUAUAAGAAAAUUUCCAAGAAAGAAAUAAACUCGUGUUUCCUCUUACAACAUGAAUCCCUAAACCUCUUCUCUCUCUCUGCAAAUGAAGUUCUAAGAAAGAAAAAGAAUAAAGGAUUAAAUUUGUUCAUUUUGAAAACCUAAGGAAGUAUGCUCUGCACUUGCCUUCUAGUAAGGAUCCUGUGCAUCAGAAAACUUUUGACCAUUUCUUAUCUGGUUUGGUACCCUGUUUUAGACUAAAGAGAAGUCUGUUUUGGGUUGUAUAACCUGAGAAAAAAUAUUUUAAAGGUUUUUGAUUACAGAGGUAUAUCGGCUGGAAACCCGAGCUUGCGGACUACUAGUCCAAAGAACAGUUUUACUGUUGUAGUUCUGGUAUAACAACGCCACGUACACUCUUAACUGAAAUUAAAGAGAAAUUAAAUCGGAGCAUUCAGGAAAGAAAUUUGAUUGAAGAUUGAGAGACAAAAGUGCACAAGAAAUCAAGAUUUGGAAGGAAUUAGAAAAUAAAGAAUAUUCUCUAAUUAAAGCUUGUAUGAGCCAAGCAAAAUUAAUGUUGCACAUGGAGCUAAAAUUGGAAAAUGGAAGUAAAAAAGGAAGCCAAGCCAUCACAUGAAAGCAAAAUUGGAAAACAAAGAUUGCAAACCAAAAGUGGUUAGCACGUGAAACGAAAGAGAAUAAAGUCUUUUGGCUUUAGGAAAUCAUGGCCAAAUCAUUAUUGCCUUAUUAAUUGAAGCAUGAAAGUGGCGGUUUUGGGCUUUUGGAUUUAAUUCUUUCCAUGCAAGGAUUUAAAAAGAAAAAGCCACAAUUGAAGCAUUAUAAAAAGGAUAAAGCGGAAGCAACACAGGGGGAUGAUAUAUUCGGCAGCCAAGAGGAUUUGAGGAACUAGCAGCUGGAAGAAGGAAAAACAAGGGAGAAACCGAAAAGGAGUUGAAGAAAAAGGUAGCCGCUUGAAUUAAUCUCUAUGAUUGGUUUUGUCAAUUCUCUUAUUCCUAAUUCAAUUAUGUUAGGCUAUAUUUUUAUUUGGUUGAGGGUGAAUUCAAAACCCCGAACAUGUCACAUGAUUAAUUUUUAAUUUUUAUCAUUUAAUUUAUUUAACUGAGAUUGUUUAUAUUCUUCUAUACUUAAUGUUCAUGGUUUAUUUUUGUUUUAUUUGAGUGGCCAAUUAGAUAGGACUUGAAUAAAUUCUAUUGCUAGAUUAAAAUUCUUGAUCUGUAAUUGUCUUGAUAUUUUAAUCAUUAGUAGCAGGUUGGAAUCAAUGAUUUCAAUUGGAGAACAUAACCUAGGUUAAAUAAUCCGAGCUUGUGUGUUUAUUGCCUAGAUCAACCUAAUAUCUUUCUCUGUUUAAUGCUUCCAUUAUCUUAAAUUUAAAGAGUUUGUUUUAAAUUAUUUAAUGGUUAGAGAUUAGGUGAAGAGCUUAUUUUGCCUAACGACACACUAAGGAAAGAUUGAGACUAACAGAGCUUAUUGUUGUCUACCGUUGAUAGUUUCAAUAUAAAUUGAUGAUAUAAUUGAUAUAUUAUGUGCAUGUUUGGUGGUGGCAAAUGAUCCUUUAACCAAAGUUUUCAUCAUUAUUAUUUCUUUCUCCUUUAAUUAGAGUUUUUAUUAAAUUCUUGUUCGUAAUUUUAAUUUCUUUAUUUCUUACUAUUUAGUUAAAAAUUCAUAAACCCCCUUUUUAUUUGUAAUUGGCAUUUUUUUAGUUAGAUUAAUUUCUAUUAUUACUACUAUUAUUUUAUUUUAAAUCUUGCUUUAGAGUUGAUAAUAAAUAUAACUAGCAUAGUCUCUGUGGGAUCGAUCUUUACUUGCUCUGUACUAAUUAGUUAUAUUAGUGGUAAGGUUUUAAAUUUGGUGCACCUUAACGACACUACCAAAUUUUUGGCGCCGUUGCCGGGGAUUAGUGUCUAGUUUGUUUAUUAUCACUCGUUUUAUUUUAUUAUUUUUAUUUUUAUUUUUAUUUCUUUUCUCAUUUUAUUUAUUUAUUUUAUUUUAAUUAGUUAUUUUUUGUUCUAUAUUUAGAUUUUCAUGAGCAUAGAGGACAUUCGAUUGAAACUCGAACAACUUAGAGCAAUCUCAUCAUAUUCAGAACUCGAUUUUGCCAUCCACAUUCCACUCCCGAAGACAGAGCCAAGCAGCCCAGAACCCGAACCAAUGGCUCAGAAUAACAACCGAACACUUAAAGAGUUGGCAGCUCUUAACUUGGACCAGCAACCCUUAUGCAUUGAGAAUCCAAACCCUCAGGUAAACUUUGAACUCAAAUCUGGGAUGAUUCAUCUUCUUCCUACUUUUCAUGGUCUUGCAGGAGAUGAUCCAAAUAAGCACUUGAAGGAGUUCCAUGUGGUCUGCUCCACAAUGAAACCAGCCGGAGUUUCUGAAGAGUAAGUUAAGCUAAUGGCCUUCCCAUUCUCUUUGGCGGAUUCAGCCAAGGAAUGGUUGUACUAUCUCCCCUUUGGUACUGUCACUACAUGGAAUGAGAUGCAUAAGGUAUUUUUGGAGAAAUAUUUCCCAGCAUCAAAAGCUGGCAGCAUUCGAAAAGAAAUUUGUGGAAUCCAACAGUAUAAUGGAGAGCCGCUCUACGACUAUUGGGAACGAUUCAAAAAGCUAUGUGCCAACUGCCCCCACCAUCAGAUAAGUGAUCAGCUCCUUAUUCAAUACUUUUAUGAGGGUCUACUACCUAUGGAUAGGAGUAUGAUUGAUGCCGCUAGUGGAGGAGCACUCAUGGAUAAGACGACAGAAGCAGCCCGAAAUCUCAUUGCUAACAUGGCUGCUAAUUCUCAACAGUUCAACACCAGGAACGAUCUACUGCCGCCACCUAAGCGAGUCAAUGAGGUAAGUACUACUUCCCUAGAACAACAAGUUUCAAAUCUUACGUCUUUGGUGCAACAAUUAGCUCUAGGGCAACAAAUGAGACAGUGUGGCGUAUGUUCUACGGUCGGGCAUGCGACUGACAUAUGCCCUGCUAUCUAAGAGGGUUCACAUGAGCAGGCCAACGCAGUUGAGGGGUUCCUAGGCCAACCAAGACAAAGGUAUAAUCCUUACUCUAAUUGUUAUAAUGAAGGGUGGAAGGAUCACCCUAAUUUUAGGUAUGGGAACCAACAACAAGGUAUUUCUAAUGUGGCACCGUCUUGACCACCGGGCUACCCCCAACACCGAGUACAAUAGCCUUACCAAGUUCGGCCACCUCCACCUCCUCAAAAUCAAGGUACGUCUUUGGAAGAUCUUGUAAAAGCUCUCGCUACUAACUCUAUGCAAUUCCAACAGACUACCCAGACACAGCUCCAACAUUUAGAGAAUCAAAUUGGCCAAUUGGCCACAUCUAUGAGUAUGAUAGAGAGUAGAACUUCAGGAAAGUUACCUUCUCAACCAAAAAUUAAUCCAAAGGAGAAUACUAGUGCUAUGUCUCGUAGGAGCGGAAAACAGUUGGAACCAUUAUUAGCUAAGCCAUCAAAAGUGUCCAUAACAUCAUCACACUCUGUGACCAAUCCCUCCCCUGAGGCUCUUCCUUUAACAAAGAAAGACGAUUCCCACUCGGGAUUGCCAGUCGAUCCAUCUGGCCAGGUAAGUACCCCCUCACCUCGAAUUAAGACUCUUUCCAUUCCUCUACCAUUUCCUAGCAGAUUUAAACAAUCCAAGAAAGAGGAGCAAGAAAAAAAGAUCCUUGAGACCUUUCGUAAAGUAGAGGUAAAUAUUCCUCUACUUGAUGCUAUUAAACAAGUGCCGCGUUAUGCAAAGUUUUUGAAGGAAUUAUGCAGCAACAAGUGAAAGUUGAGCGGUAACGAAAAGGUAAGUGUUGGAGAGAAUGUUUCUGUUGUACUUCAAAGAAAACUUCCGCCUAAGUGCAAGGAUCCAGGUACUUUCACUAUCCCCUACACUAUUGGUAAUACCAGAUUCGAAAGAUAUAUCCUAGAUUUAGGGGCCUCAAUUAAUGUUAUGCCAUAUUCGAUUUAUAACUCCUUGAAUUUAGGUCCAAUGGAAGAAAUUGGUAUAAUUAUUUAAUUCGCUGACAUAUCUAAUGCUUACCCGAAGGGGGUUAUGGAAGAUGUUCUUGUGCAGGUCAAUGAAUUGGUCUUUCCAGCUGAUUUUUAUAUCCUUGAAAUGGAGGAUGAGUUGUCGUCCAAUCCCACUCAUAUUCUGUUGGGGCGACCAUUCCUUAAGACAGCCCGAACCAAGAUUGAUGUUCACGAUGGAACCCUUACAAUGGAAUUUGAUGGUGAAGUGAUUCGCUUCAAUAUCUUUGAGGCAAUGAGGUAUCCCAGUGAUGUUCAUUCUGUUUUUGCCAUAGAUGAUAUUAAUACUUUGGUGCAGGAUUUCUUUGAAUUAUCUGGUAAUGACAGUUUUAAAAUUUCCAUAAGCAAAAAUCUUACGAAAGAUGAUUCUAAGGAACAUGCAAAUUUGAUAAAGUUGGAUGAUGAGGUAGAGGAAGCUAUGGCGAUCUUAGAUGGAGCAGUCACAUUACGCACCAAUGGGUAUAAUGUCUCUUACCUUGAAUUGCCUUUAUUAAACGAGAAACUUUUACCUUCAAUUGUGCAGGCACCUACCUUAAAACUUAAGCCACUCCCAGGGCACCUACAAUAUAUUUACUUGGGUGAGAAUGAAACACUUCCAGUCAUAAUUGCUAAAACCCUCACUUUGGUUCAACAAGAAAAGCUAAUUAGGGUGCUUCGGGAUCACAAGACGGCAAUUGGCUGGACCAUUGUCGACAUUAAGGGAAUUAGUCCUUCCAUGUGCAUGCAUCGCAUUUCGUUAGAGGAAGGGUCUAAACCAACGAGAGAUGCACAACGCCGCCUUAAUCCACCAAUGAUGGAAGUCGUAAAAAAUGAGAUACUGAAACUCCUUAAUGUGGGGAUUAUUUAUCCAAUUUCUGAUAGUAAAUGGGUGAGCCCUGUGCAGGUAGUUCUAAAAAAACAGGCAUCACAGUGGUCAAGAAUGAAGAAAACGAGCUUGUACCAACAAGAGUUCAAACUGGGUGGAGAGUUUGCAUUGACUAUUGUAAACUGAAUGCAGUCACUCGCAAGGAUCAUUUUCCUCUGCCAUUCAUUGAUCAAAUGCUUGAAAGGUUAAGUAGUCACUCUCAUUAUUGUUUUCUUGAUGGUUACUCAGGUUAUAAUCAGAUCGUUAUCGCUCCGGAAGACCAAGAGAAAACGACCUUCACAUGCCCCUUCGGAACAUUUGCUUACCGACGCAUGCCGUUUGGUCUCUGUAACGCUUCUGCCACUUUCCAAAGGUGUAUGAUGAGUAUUUUUUCUGAUUAUGUAGAGAACAUCAUUGAGGUAUUUAUGGAUAGUUUUACAGUUUAUGGUGAUUCUUUCGAUAGAUGUUUAGAUAACCUUACACUUGUUCUUAAACGAUGCAUUGACACUAACCUUGUGCUUAAUUGGGAAAAAUGUUAUUUUAUGGUUAAUUAAGGUAUUGUACUAGGCCAUGUUAUUUCUGAAAGGGGGAUUGAAGUUGAUAAAUCUAAGAUAGAUCUUAUUCGCUCCUUACCACCUCCCACUAGUGUGAGGGAGGUUCAUUCUUUUCUUGGUCAUGCAGGUUUCUAUCGCAGGUUUAUCAAGGACUUCUCCAAGAUAGCAUUACCCCUCUGUAACUUACUUCAAAAGGAUGCAACGUUUGACUUUAAUGAAGAGUGCCAAAGAGCUUGUAAGAAGUUAAAAGAGGUUUUGACAUCGGCCCCUGUGAUUCAACCACCAAACUAGGAUUUACCAUUUGAGAUUAUGUGCGAUGCCAGUGACUAUGUUGUUGGAGCCGUGUUGGGCCAGCGUGUGGGCAAGCUUCCUCCUGUCAUUUAUUAUGCCUCUCGUACAUUGAAUGAUGCAUAACUUAACUACUCCACUACCGAGAAAGAACUUUUAGCAGUUAUCUUUGCUUUAGAGAAAUUUCGUUCUUAUUUAAUUGGAUCUAAGGCAAUCGUUUACUCUGACCAUGCAGCUAUUAGGCACUUGCUCACCAAAAAAGAUGCCAAGCCGCGCCUUAUUCAAUAGAUACUUCUAUUGCAAGAAUUUGACUUAGAGAUUCUAGAUAAGAGAGGUUCUGAGAAUUUAGUGGCAGAUCAUUUGAGACUUACCUAUAACGAAGAUGCACUUCCAUUGCAUGAGAAUUUUCCAGAUGAGCAGUUAUUACAUGUAGGUAUUGUUACUCCUUGGUAUGUAGAUAUUGUCAAUUACUUGGUUACCAGGACAGUACCGAAAGAGAUAACCCGUGCACAAAAGGCCAAGAUCAAGAGUGAUGCCAAGUACUAUGUGUGGGGUGAGCCAUACUUGUGGAAGCAUUGUUCUGAUCAAGUUAUUAAAAGGUGCGUACCCGAAGCUGAAUUUACUUCUAUUCUCACAUUUUGUCAUACUUUGGCUUGUGGAGGACAUUUUGGACCAAAGAGAACAGCCCUUAAGGUACUUGCGAGCGGUUUUUAUUGGCCAUCACUAUUUAAGGACGCAUAUUUUUUUUGUAAAGCUUGUGAUCGUUGUCAGAGAACAGGUAAUUUAGGACCUAGAAAUCAAAUGCCACAAUCUCCCAUUCUUGUAGUUGAGAUUUUUGAUGUUUGAGGCAUCGACUUCAUGGGACCAUUUCCUUCAUCGUUUGGUAAUCUCUAUAUUGUUCUUGUGGUUGAUUAUGUUUCAAAAUGGGUGGAAGCAAAAGCCACCCGAACUAACAAUUCUAAGGUUGUGGUAGAUUUUAUAAAGAGUAACAUCUUUACAAGGUUUGGAAUGUUGUGCAAAUUUUAAUGUACUCGCAAGCGCACGAAUCUAUUGUAGUAUAGAUCAAUGGUGACGAGUGUCGAUCCCACGAGGAGGUGGAUUUUAAUUGUGUAUAGAAUUAAUUUUGCAAAUGGUUGAUUGGAUCUGUGAUGGAAAUGAUUUGCAAUAUGCUAAAACUUAAUUUAAAAUGGCGAGAAUAAAUUCUGAAAUUGGAAUUAAAAUGGCGAUAAUAAAUAUGCUAAAAUUGGAAUUGCAAUGGCGAGAAUAAAUUGUAGAGAAAAUCGAUUAAAUUGACUUACUUGGGUAUCUGGAUCCGUAUCAACAUGCAUCAUGGGCUAAAUAAUCCGUAUUAAUGCCAAUUAAAUCAUGAGGGGGGAAUCCACACCUCAUGAACCACGCUCUAAUCAAUAUGGUGCUAAGGGCUUAUCGUGCCAAAUAAUAAUAACCUUAUACUAGAGAGCCAGUGUAACCAAGGCGGUAUCUAGACAAGAUCAGUAUUAUUUGUCGACGAUAAGUCAAAUCAUCCACAAAAACUAGAGGGGAAAAGAAAAUAAAUUUACCAAAUAAAGCCCAUGACACAUGUUGAGACUUCACCUUCAACCCAAGCUUGAAAGGAAAUUAGCUACUCAUAAUUGAACUAGGGGCAAAAAGAGAAUUUAUUAAAAUACAAAGAAAAUACAAGAUGGAGAAGGAAUUACAGAAAAUGGAUCCCAAAAAUGGAUUUAGAGCUAUCAAAUUAGGGGGGAGAGGCCCCAUUUUUAUAGAUACAUGGAGUAAAUCAUGGCCAUCGGAUUAAAAACAGUUUGGACGCUCAGGAUUGCGCCACGUCAUCAGUCAACAGUCCACGGUUUGACCACGUGGAUGAACAGUAACACGGUUUGACCCGGAUGAACAGUAACGCGGUUUGGUUGAAAAUAAUCCUGUGUGAUGCAUGCACCGUACGCGAGAUUUUUCGUCCACUGAUAUGCUACCACGUCACCAUCAACAGUACAUAAGAAUUUUAGUCCAACAGGAUCGUGACACCUCAUCAGUCAAUGCCACAUCAUCGGUCAAUGCCACGUCAUCGAUCCGUCUAUGUGGACAGUGUCGUGAACAGUAACGUAGACAGUACCGUAUACGUGAAUAGUACCGUACAUGUGAAUAGUGCCAUUUUUCCUUUUAUGCUCCUCCUAAGGUUUUCGACCGUCCUGAGUUCAAAAGUGAUGUCCAUUUUGCCAUCUGAUCUCUCCUUUAUUGUGAAAUGACUAUAAUGCCCCUAAAAUACAUAAAAUACUUAAUUAAAAUAAAACACAUGUAAUUAAAUCACAAGAAGGUUAAAUACAUAAAAGUAAGGGUUGUUAAUAAGACUUGAAAUGUAAAAUGACGGUUUUCUCCUUUAUAAAUAUGCAUUUUCUAACACUCAACAUGGAACACCAAAGGCAAUUAUUAGCGACAGAGGCACUCACUUUUGUAACAGGUUAGUAGAAGCCCUCUUUCGAAAAUACAACAUCACUCACAAGGUGUCUACAUCCUACCAUCUACAAACUAGUGGGCAAGUUGAGGUGUCUAAUAGGGAAGUGAAAUCAAUCCUUGAAAAGACAGUUAAUCCAAAUAGAAAAGACUGGAGCUUACAACUUGAUGAUGCACUUUGGGCAUAUAGGACCGCAUAUAAAACUCCUAUAGGUAUGUCACCCUACAGGUUGGUAUAUGGUAAGCCUUGUCAUCUUCCAGUGGAACUUGAACAUAAAGCAUGGUGGGUUGUGAAACAAUGUAACAUGGAACUGGACACCGCCGGCCAACACAGAAAGCUCCAAUUGCAAGAAUUAGAGGAAAUUCGAAAUGAUGCCUAUGAGAGUUCACGAAUCUAUAAGGAAAAGACUAUUGCUUUUCAUGACAAGCAGAUCUUGAGAAAGAAUUUUAAAGUUGGACAGAAAGUUUUGUUAUUCCAUUCUCGCCUUAAGUUGUUUCCAAGUAAGUUACGUUCUCGAUGGGUUGGGCCUUUUGUUGUUAUUAAUGUUUUUUCUCAUGGUGCAGUUGAGAUCAGGAGCUUAAAGACAGGUAAAGAGUUCAAAGUUAAUGGUCAUAGGUUGAAGCCUUACUAUGAAAACUUUCAGACACUACCAAAUGUAGAUGAGGCUCCACUUUAUGAACCUGCGUACGUUGAUGAGUGAAACUUGAGAACCAUGUCAGGCUGAGGACAAUAAACCAAGCGCUUAUUGGGAGGCAACCCAAUGGCUGGAGAAAAGAUUUUGAGAGCACGCCAUAACAGAUUUGAUCUUUCUCCCUCUCAUUCUCAUUUACUUUACCCACUUUGUGUUGAAUUUUGUUUGUUUCUGUUUGUGUCUCAUCUCAUUUUCCCAUAUUUAAUUCCGUCUUUUGUUAGCUUAGGCUUACAUUGAAGACAAUGUAAGAAUUAAGUGUGAGGGGUGGAUUUCGAACUUAGUUUUUAUUGCUUCAUCUUUUUUUUUUUUAAAAAAAAUAUUGUUUUGAAUAUUAGCCAGUGAUAAGAAUUUGAUUGACAAUGAAUAUGGUUCUUAGACAGGGUUGAAUAUUACCUUAGUUUAUACUUGAUUCUUGUGUUGAUUUCCUCUUAAUUGAGAUUCUUUAAACCAUGAGCACUAAUAUCAAUUCUUUCAUAAUUUUGACUUAGAAUUUGAGAUUGACGCAGUUUAAGUUGAGAAUUUUAGAUAGAGUAAAUGAUUGUUUGUCUUGAUUCUUAUCUCCACAAUACAAAAUAGUAUACACAGGCGCCAAAAUCAGAAAUAUCUACCUAUAACCCUUAAGAGUGAAGCUAUCCUUGAGUAAUUUGGGCCUAUGUACCACAAGUAUGUAGAGGAUAAUCUACCAUGAAAAGAAGGCUACCUUAAGGGGUAGAGUGAAAGCUCCUGACUAUAGUUCAAAAAAAAAAAAUCAAAUCAAGUGCAUGUACUGAAAAAAAAAAUCAAAAGAAAAUGCACAUAAAAGCCUGCGAGAAAAAAAAUUGGAGAUCAAGAUGAUAAGAUUAGUUUGACCUACUUUUUUCUUUGUUUGAGGUGAAGGCUGUUGAUAUUGAAGAUUUUGGGAAUGGAUGUGAUUGAAUUGAUUUCACACACACACUACAAGAAUUGAAAGAGAGAUGGGAUUGACUAUUGAAUUAAAGUUAGAACUUCGAUAAUAUUUGAAAUUUUCUUUGAGCUAUAUGACUUAUGCAAUCUUUGAGGCUAGUUUUAUUUUAAAUUCCUUUGUUCUUUUUCUGCUAAAAAAAAAUAAAAUUGCAAUGAUGUUUAUGGCUAUCAUCGCUGAAGCCCUCACGAGACUAUAACUCGUCCACUAGGGCCGCCUAGGGGUUUAAAGGCUUGUUGCAUACGCUAAAUGCAAUCGUGAUUUCCUACGAAAGUGGACUAGUUUAGGUUUUUUUUUUUUUUUUUUGUUCUAGGUUUGCUCGAGGACGAGCAAAGAGUAAGUGUGGGGGAAUUUGAUUAGUGGAUAUUUUCCAUAUAUUUUGCUAUUAAUUUCUCCAUCUUUUUCUUGUUUUGGUCUUAAAUAUUCUAGUUAUUUUAGUUAAUUUUUAAUUUAAUAAAUUAUAUUUUAUUGUGUUAAUUUUUAUCUUAGUUUUAUUUAUUUUGUUAUUUUAGGUAUAUUUUGGAAUUAAAGAGAAAUUAAAUCGGAGCAUUCAGGAAAGAAAUUUGAUUGAAGAUUGAGAGACAAAAGUGCACAAGAAAUCAAGAUUUGGAAGGAAUUAGAAAAUAAAGAAUAUUCUCUAAUUAAAGCUUGUAUGGGCCAAGCAAAAUUAAUGUUGCACAUUGAGCUAAAAUUGGAAAAUGGAAGUAAAAAAGGAAGCCAAGCCAUCACAUGAAAGCAAAUUUGGAAAACAAAGAUUGCAAACCAAAAGUGGUUAGCACGUGAAACGAAAGAGAAUAAAGUCUUUUGGCUUUAGGAAAUCAUGGCCAAAUCAUUAUUGCCUUAUUAAUUGAAGCAUGAAAGUGGCGGUUUUGGGCUUUUGGAUUUAAUUCUUUCCAUGCAAGGAUUUAAAAAGAAAAAGCCACAAUUGAAGCAUUAUAAAAAGGAUAAAGCGGAAGCAACACAAGGGGAUGAUAUAUUCGGCAGCCAAGAGGAUUUGAGGAACUAGCAGCCGGAAGAAGGAAAAACAAGGGAGAAACCGAAAAGGAGUUGAAGAAAAAGGCAGCCGCUUGAAUUAAUCUCUAUGAUUGGUUUUGUCAAUUCUCUUAUUCCCAAUUCAAUUAUGUUAGGCUAGAUUUUUAUUUGGUUGAGGGUGAAUUCAAAACCCCGAACAUGUCACAUGAUUAAUUUUUAAUUUUUAUCAUUUAAUUUAUUUAAUUGAGUUGUUUAUCUUCUUCUAUACUUAAUGUUCAUGGUUUAUUCUUGUUUUAUUUGAGUGGCCAAUUAAAUAGGACUUGAAUAAAUUCUAUUGCUAGAUUAAAAUUCUUGAUCUGUAAUUGUCUUGAUAUUUUAAUCAUUAGUAGCAGGUUGGAAUCAAUGAUUUCAAUUGGAGAACAUAACCUAGGUUAAAUAAUCCGAGCUUGUGUGUUUAUUGCCUAGAUCAACCUAAUAUCUUUCUCUGUUUAAUGCUUCUAUUAUCUUAAAUUUAAAGAGCUUGUUUUAAAUUAUUUAAUGGUUAGAGAUUAGGUGAAGAGCUUAUUUUGCCUAACGACACACUAAGGAAAGAUUGAGACUAACAGAGCUUAUUGUUGUCUACCGUUAAUAGUUUCAAUAUAAAUUGAUGAUAUAAUUGAUAUAUUAUGUGCAUGUUUGGUGGUGGCGAAUGAUCCUUUAACCAAAGUUUUCAUCGUUAUUAUUUCUUUCUCCUUUAAUUAGAGUUUUUAUUAAAUUCUUGUUCGUAGUUUUAAUUUCUUUAUUUCUUACUAUUUAGUUAAAAAUUCAUAAAUCCCGUUUUUAUUUAUAAUUGGCCUUUUUUUAGUUAGAUUAAUUUCUAUUAUUACUACUAUUAUUUUAUUUUAAAUCUUGCUUUAGAGUUGAUAAUAAAUAUAACUAGCAUAGUCUCUGUGGGAUCGAUCCUUACUCGCUCUGUACUAAUUAUUUAUAUUAGUGGUAAGGUUUUAAAUUUGGUGCACCUUAACGACACUACCACCUCAACUCUCUCUUGUUCUCUUCUUUUCUUUUCUUCUCUAUUGAUUUUGUGUGACGACCCCGUGCCCUGUUUCUUUCACAUGUGCUCCUUUUAUAUCUUGGAGUUAGGGCAACCCAAAGCCUGAGACCAUGUGUCUCCUUUUUGGAAACCUCAGAUCGCAUAUCUUUUUAUGCCGUCUGUCACUACUUUAUCAGUUAACAUGUGGCUAGUUUUGUAUGUAUUUGUUCCUAGAUUGCUGUUGCAAUUUCUACAACAUCAUCUAUGAUUCAGACUUGUUUUAAUUCAUCUGCUGACAAGUUCUUUGUCAUUUCUGCAAGCCUGCUAUUAUAACAUCCAUCCAUAAAGCUUGAGCUUUUUAGUCACCUACAAUCAUGCACAUAAUUAGAACACAAAGUGAUCUAAAACACAAUCAAUUUAUUAAAAUUAAACUUAAAUAGAUGCUCAUGCAAAAUAUAAAUAAAAGUACAAUAAAAACACAUCAUUUACUCUCUAAGUAAUAUUAGUUUAAGUUUAGAAAUGUUAUGAUAACUCUCAUUUUAUAAAGUUAUCACCUAUGCUCAUGUCAGCUAAGGAAAGCUAGCUCCAAGAGCUUUGAGGGGUAUCUUUAUUGGUUAUCCACAAGGAGUCAAGGAUUAUAAGCUGUAGUGAACAGAUCUAACUCCACCAAGAUGUAUAGUCAAUAUGGAUGUUGUUUUCAAUGAAAAAGAGAUGGUAGAUAUAGCUCACAGAAAUAAAGAACAUAAUCAAAUUUAAACAAUUGAUAUUUAGUUCGAGGUGAAGUCAUUUGAACAAAAUAACUCAAAUAAGAUUGCAGUAUUAGAUGAUGUUAGUGAUGGUUCAGAUAGACAUUAGACAUCUUAAGAUGAAGACUCAGCUCAGGAUCGGACUCAAGACUACCAACUUGUCAGAGAUAGACAAAAAGACAGAUUAAGGCACCUAGGGGGUAUGGAUAUGAUGACUUAAUUGCUUUUGCAUUGCAUUCUGCUCAUAAGAUUGAUUAAAAAAAACCAAAAAGCUUUAGAGAAGUUGUUUCAUGUCAAUAUAGAAAGGAGUAGAAGAGAGCAAUGGAUGAUGAGAUCAACUCAUUGCAUAAGAACUCUAUUUGAGAGUUGGUUAAUGUUAACAUAUAUGUUUCCAUAAUAUUGAUUUUGAUGAUAACAAACAAGAUUAAAAAUGAUUAAGUUUGAUGAAGUCUUUAAUUGGAUUAAGAUACUUAGGUUGUAUAAUGAUUUAAGCAAAGAAUAAACUUUCUAGAAAAAAAUGAAUAACCGUUAAUAACUCAACGACACACCGAUUAUACAAGGAUAAAUGAAAAAAAAUGAUUAUAGAAGAAAACAAUGAACCAUUUCUUAGAAAACGUUGAGCCGAUAGCUUUCCAGAGAGCAAGUGAGUUGCAAAUGGUGAAUCGUUUAAUGGUAAACCGAUAACAUUCCAGAGAGUAAGUCAGUUGCAAAUGGUGAACUGUUUACGGUUAAUGGUAAACCGAUAGCAUUGCAGAGAGCAAGUCAGUUACAAACGGUGAAUCGUUUAUGGUUAAUAGUAAACUGAUAACAAUCCAUAGUGCAAUCACCUUGCAAAUGGUAGACAGUUUAUAACAAACGGUUGCCGAUAAUUCUGGACAGGUUUUUAGAAUGAUAACGGCGAUCCGACUUCUCCAAACGGGAAUCCAAUUAUUCAAAAUUAUGGCAUAAUGGUCACUUGCUCAAGUCAAAACGGUGAUCCAACAGCAGCUAACGUCGAUCCGAUUGUCUGCAGAAAGUCAAUAAUGACUAGUUUUAAGCUCUAAUUAUAAAAAGGCUCAAUCAAAUUCAAACAAAAGAGGAUCCAACAAUUAUCAUUGACCUUGCUAUUGAGUAUUCAAUCUCUCUUGUGUUUAAAUCUUGUAUUCUUUUUAUUAAAUCACACUUUGGUCUUUUAUUUGUAAACAAAUAUAUUGUGUGAGGAAAUUUUCUUUGUAACUUGAUUCCAAUAUCAUAUUUGAGUGAUUGAAAGUUUGGGAAACACUAGGGUUAAGAGGUUUGGCAUAACCUUUUGUUGUAAAGGUUUGUUGACACCUUAAAAGUCAAUUGUAAAGAUUCUAAAGCCUUAGGGUGUAAGGCUUGUUUAGUUGAAUCCUUAAGCUCGGUGAGUUUGGAGGUGUGGAUGUAGGUAGAGUUUGCUAAACCACAUAAAAAUAUUGUGUUUGCUCUCUUUUCUUUUAUGUCUUUACAUUUGUUAAUUGUUAAAUUUAUCUUUAUAGAAAUCUCUGAGGCAUUAGUUUGAGUUGUUUUGUGAUUGUAUUCGUUUACGUUUUUUUUUUUUUUUAGAAACCCAAUUCAGCCCAGCUCUUGAGUUGCUUAGUUAGUAUUUCAGUGAAAAAAAAGAGAAGAAUAGUGGGAUGCAAAUGGAUAUAUAUAGUAAAUAAAGGGCUUACAAAAUCAAAUCUUAAAAGGUUUAAGGCUAGAUUUGUUGCCAAGGGAUAUACUCAAAAAGAAUGGUUGGGCUUUAAAGAAGUGUUUUCACCAGUUGUUAGACAUGCAUCAAUCAUAACACUGUUGGCAUUAAUAACAAUAUAUGACUUGGAACUAGAGUAGCUUGAUGUCAAGACUGCUUUUCUACAUGGUGAAAUGAGAGAACAAAUUUAAAUGACUCAACCUGAAGGGUAUGAAGCUCCAGGCAAAAAGGAUUAUGUUUGUUUACUUAAAAAGUCUCUUUAUGGUAUUCAUCAAUCCCUAAGGCAAUGAUCUCUUAAUUUUGAUCAGUUUAUGGUUACACAUGAUUUCAAAAGGUGUAGUUAUGACUGUUGUGUAUACUCUAAGACACUAAACCCUAAUAUGUAUAUCUACCUAUUGUUGUAUGUCAAUGAUAUACUCAUUGCUUGUAACGAAAGAACUAAAAUAGAAGCCUUGAAGAAGCUCCUGAACACUGCUUUUGACAUGAAGGAUUUCAGAAGAGCAAAAAAGAUAUUGGGAGUUGAAAUCAUUAGAAACAAGAGCAGAGGUUUAGUAUUCUUGUCACAAGCGAAACAUCUUAAAAGAGUACUAUAGAAUUUCAAUAUGCUGGAUUGUAAACAUGUACAAUUGCCACUAGCUACACAUUUAUAACUUUGCAAGCUCUAUUAUCUAAAGUUGGAGGAAGGAAAGCAGAAGAUAAGUCAUGUUUCUUAUGCAAGUGUAGUAGGCUAGUUUAUGUAUGCCAUGGUUCACACUAGACCUGAUAUCUCACAUGCUGUGAGUGUUGUUAGCAGAUACAUGACAUCUCCAGGCAAAAAACAUUGGGAUGGUGUGAAGUGGAUUAUGAGGUCUCUCAAGAGCACUCUUAACCUUGGUAUCCCAUAUAAAAGGAAGACUGAUGCUGCAUUUACUAAAUUGGAAUGUGAAUAGUGAAUGGGAAUAAGAAUAAGUUAUUUACUUGAACUGUAGGAAUCGAAAUUGUAAUGAGAAUGAGUUAAAUUGUAACAAAUUACCAAAAAGUACUUAAUGAAUUAUUGUCACAAUUAUUAUGUUUAAUUCAAGUGGAUAAGUGUUGAGCAGCUGAAUUCAAACACUUAUAGAAAGAAAAUGGUAAUGAUUUGCAAAUGUUUAAGUUGUUUUCAAAUCACGUGAAUGAAGGAUGGUUGCUUAAACUUGGAAUGACAAUUGAAGUGGUCUUUUCGGCUAUAAAACAGGGUUAUCAAGCUUAUUUAAUAAUGGUUCUAAAGAGUUCCUAUAAGAGAUUUGUGAGUGAGAAAGCUUUUUCUUGAGGUCUGUAAUCUUCAAUUGAGUUCUUGUAAUCUUCUUCUUUGAAUCAAUCAAUAAAGCCAGCUCUGAUGUUUUACCUAUGGAUGUAGGUCACUCAAAGACUGAACCAUGCAAUCUUGUGUUCUUGUUGAGCUUUCGGUUUGUGCUCUAUGUUUCAUUUAGAUCCAUUUUGUGUUCUUGAUUGUAUUGAUUUGUUUAGAUUGUUUUUUUGUUUUAUCUAAUUUGAUUAAUCUUCAAGUCCUGAAUGCAACUUGUAUUGAUCUUGGAUCGAGAUCUUAGUCAAAGCUUUGCCUUAGUUGAGGUUUAUACUGAGCAAACUCUACACCUACAUAGGGAUUCUCUAUCCCCAGUCCACUGAAUGUUUUGAGGGAUGACAUGGAGAAUGGAGGUAAAAUUUUUAAUGGGGUGAGGAAUGGGGUAGGCCUCUCUACCCCCACCCUACCCCGUUGCCAUCCUUAUGAUUUAGUUUCUCUUUUUCGGUUAACUUAGGCAACUAAGUUUACUUUAUUAUAAAUAGAGAGGUCUAGUUAAACUUUUCAUAACUUUAGCUUUAAUUAUUCAAUAAAAACUCGUCUUUUAUAAUUUACUUUGGGAUAAUCUAUUGAAAAAUCUCUUUUGUAGAGCUGUUUGGAUUAGAGUGUCAUAUAAUCUCGUUUAAUGCAUUAUUAAAAUCUCACUGAGUUGUAUGGAUUAGAAUAAAAUCUAAUCAUACUUCCAUUAGAGUUAUAGAAUUUUCCUUAGUGAUAACAUGAAGUGCUGUUGUUAUUCAAUAUAUGGCAUACAUCAAAGGAUGUUGUUGAUUUAUUAUACAAUUGACUUAGUACAUACCCCUGAUGUAUGAAGAUGUUUCUUGUUUGUAGAUACUUUCACUAUUAUUAUUAGUAUUAAUACUUUAAUUUGUUACAUGUUUCUCUAAUCCAUAAUUCAUUUUUAAUUUAAAAUUUUCUCUUUCUUGGAGUCUCAAUUUCUCUAUUAUUGGGCAUCUCAAUUUUUUUCUUAUCAUUAGGUAAACAAAUUUUUUUUGUUCAUAAAUUCUCAAUUUCCAUUCACCUAAUGAGAGUAGAUCUAGAAAUGAUAGUAAUAAUUAAAAAAUUAAAAAAUAUUUAUGAAUUUGUGGAAUAAAUAAAUAUAUUAAUCUUUCUGAAGUUAGGACGCAAACAUAAGCUUUAUUUUAUAUUUAACGAGUUGUGGCUCUUAUAAACUAGUAUUGAAUCAUGCAUUGUAAUUGCCUAAUAUCAAUAAUAAAAGUUCUCUUAAAUUUCCUACUUCUUCCUUAUUCAUAUCAUUUAACAACUAAGCCAAUAAAUAAAAUAAUAAUAAUUAUAUUUUUUCCUGACAUUUUAGAAAACAAGAGGGAUUGCAAUGAAAAUAGCCUAAAUAAAUAUACCUUGCCGUUGGAUUUGCUUUUACCAUUCUUGCCUUGGAUCCAAUGGUUAAAUUACAAAAUGACAAAAGAAAUGGUAUGCUGCAACUGUUACAAUAUAUAUAUAUAUAUAUAUAUAUAUUCUCUAAUUUAGGAUCCUAGGUAUAUUAAAGUCCAAGAUCCUAAACUUUAUUAGAUUAUGCCUUGUUUUAAUUUAAUAAGGGAUUAGGUGUGUAUUUCUCUUGUCUUUUAGAUUAUUCAUUACUUUUAUCCGUCGGAUCCCAAGUACUUGGAUCAACCAAAAGGUCGAUUCUAUUUGAGCUAAUCAUUUUCAAAUGAUAUUUGCAUUGUUCACAAAGAUACUUUUUUAUUUAAGAAAUUUUCUAUAAUUUAAUCCAUAACAAUUUUUGCAUUGAACCCAUAACUGCCUGUAUUUUUAAGUUACAUUACUUUCAUUUGAAAUUUCGCUUAUAGUUAGAUCCCUUAAACAUUAUAUAUAUAGAAAUUUAUUAAUCUAGGAUCCUAACUUUGUUCAAGCCCGAGAAAGCUAUUAAGGCAUAUACUUUAAUAGUAUAAUGGCAUGACGCUAUUGAUCCAUAUGACUGAUAGCUUUUCCGGACUUCGAUAAAGUCUAGGAUCCUAGACCAUAUUAGUAUUACACACACACACAUAUAUAAGUACUGAUUUGGUCCAGGAUCUAGACUUUAUUAAUGUCUAGGAAAGCUAUUAAGCCAUAUGGUUUAGUAGUAUAAUGACAUUAUACUACUAAACCAUAUGGCUUAAUAGCUUUCUCGCCCAUUGUACUAUUAAACUAUAUAGUUUAUAGCUUUCUUGGACUUUGACAGGGAUAUCAGAUUAGAAUAUUUAUAUAAUCAUUAUUACGUACAGACGCCAUCAUUUUUUUAAAAUGUAGAAAUGCUGUUAAGUUAUAGUUUUAAUAGAGUUAUUUUUUAAUGCACUUUAAAGCAGUGCGGCUUUAUGGCAUUAAAAUUUAACUCUAUAAAAUCCCAUGGCUUAAAAGUGUAUUUGCAUGAGAAAAAUGGCGGCGCUCGUGUUGGAGAUGGACUGCAGAUAUUCGCAUAAUUUUUUGUAGAAAUUUGGGGUUUCACAAUUGUUUGAAAGCCUUUUGCAUCAUUGUAAAUCAUUUCACAAUGUUGUAAAAACCUUUCACACUAUUAUAAAACUCUAAAUCUGUACAAAAAUCAUGAUGACAUCUGCUAGGAGAGAAUACCUCUUUCUCUCUCUCUCUCUCUCUCUAUAUAUAUAUAUAUAUAUAUAUAUAUAUAUCAUGUUGAUCUAGUCCACACGAUUUAACAACUUUCCCAUAUUUAAAUAGAGUUCAGUAUCCCGAAUUAAAAAAUAUAUAUAAUUGUUUUCUAGUGUGGAUACCCGCAUCUUUUAAAAUAUGGAUUUAUUAUAUACACUAUAUGUCAUAUACGACGAAUCCACAUUUUCAGAGGAUACAUGCAUCCGCAUCUGAGCAUGUUUAUAUAUAUAAUAUAUAUGAAGUCUCUCACUUUCCAAGCACAAACAUUGAAAAAACAAAUGAAAGAACAAGAUGUUUCUACCAUAGAUUAUCACUAUGUACUUGUUUGUGUAUAAUAAACAAAGAAUAACACGACUCACUUAGAACAAGUCGUUAAUGAUCUACACAAAACGUAACAAGUAAUACAUAAAUAUUUAAAUCAAGAAUGCUAUUGCUAUGAAUUUCAAAUAUUAACAAUUUAUUUUUGUGAUAGCUACAGUUAAAAUGUUAUAUUAAUUAGAACUCGAACAAGUGGACUGGGUCGCCAGUGAAAGCCAUUGGUUGAUCUAUAUCAGUNNNNNNNNNNNNNNNNNNNNNNNNNNNNNNNNNNNNNNNNNNNNNNNNNNNNNNNNNNNNNNNNNNNNNNNNNNNNNNNNNNNNNNNNNNNNNNNNNNNNGAAACAAAGUAUAAUUACGUACAUAUUUACAAUAAUUAAUUAAAAGGGGGGAGAGAGAUUAAAGCAAAUAAAGUAAAGAAAUUUAAAAAUAAAAUGGCCACUCUGAAAAAGAGAGGAUUGCAUAUUUUAUCUAUACUUUUUAAUAAAUAAUGUAAAAUUAUUUAAUGAACAAAUAUAUUGAAUGUAUAUAUAUAUAUAUAUAUAAAUAAAUUUAUAUUGAAUUAAUUAAUAAUAUGUUACGAAGAUUGAUCCAGAAGGAUAUUGCUUCACAUAAAGUCUGGAUCUUAAACAUUACUUCUUUAACUUUUUUAGUCCUACAUAUUUAAUUCACUACUGCUACUUUGACAAUUAAAAUUUAAUCAUUAUAAUGAAAAAGUAAAAAACCGAAAAUUUACUGUUUUACAUGCAACUAAAAAGGGCAAUAAAUUUACUAACACUUUGGGCUUGUUUGGCAAUUGCUUCUUGGAAAGAUUAAAAGUGAUUUUGAAAAAUUAAAAGUUAAUUUUGAUUUUUGAUAAACAUCUUAAAAAUUAUUUUUGGUAAAAUUUAGUAGAUUUUGAAAAGUAAGUAAGGAAUGGCUUUUCAACAUUUGAUUUCGAGAAUAUGUUUUAUACUAAUUAUAAUUUUAUAUAUAUCCUCACAUAUAUUAUAAAAAUAUAAAAUUACCCUUAUACAAUUAGGAAAUGAAAUGAACAAAUUUAGAGGGAUUAAUAUUUUUACCAAUAAUAUUGAGAUAACAAUAUAAAAUAAUUACUUUAAUUAUCAAUUAUUAUAUUUACACAAUAAAAAUAUUAUAUAUAUAUAUAUAUAUAUUUGUAAAUGUGUAAAUAAAUUUUAUUUAAUAUUAUGUCCAUUUGUAUUCUUACAACAAUUUAAUAGUAUGAUUUAUCAAAUGCAUACAACUAUUUUUAAAACUCACAAUACUUUUAAAAAUUAAAUUUACUAGAUAUUUAUGAGAUUCUCUUCACAGUGGAUUAUUUCUAUAGUAUAACUAGUAGUAAUUAUUUUAAAAGUUACAGCAUUACCAACUGUCCCUAUACCACUUUUUCAUGACAAUAGUGAAAAGUUGAAAAGACCCGCAAAUCAAUUGAAGAAAUUGAAAUAAUUAAAGGGAAUUUUUUGACUUUUCACUUAUUAUAUAAAAAUUUUCUCAACUUUUGAACAAAAUAAAUUUUGAAGUUUUCAAUGUUUAGUUAAAGGAAUCUCAAAAUGAUAGGAAAUAUGACUUGUUUUUUUUUUAAAUAAGGAUUUCUUAGGAUAUUUUUUUCUUUAACAACAUUCCUAUUUAAGGAAUAAGUAAUUUUCCCUUGGGAUUUAACUUAUUUAAGGAGGAGCAUAUCUAGUGUAAGAAAAUGAAUACUUCUCCUAUAAGAAAUAAUCACUAUAUAUAGGGAGGUUAAGUUUACUUAUUUGAAUAAUAUAACAAUCAGUUCUUUACAAGUAGAUAGUUUCUAAUAUGAGAGAAACAAUAGGUCUUUUGAGAGAUUGAAUGUUAUUGAGGUUUUGGAUAUGAGAAAAAUACCAGAGUAUUGUAAUAAUUUUUCAUAGUGGAUUUUUCUCUCGCCAUCUUUGGCACCCAUGGUUUUUAUCCAGUUUAGGAGUUUUCCACGUAAAUUCUUAUAUUGUGUGAUUGGUUUUAUUCUCCAUCUAUUUUCUAUUUAUUAUUUGUUUGAUAUUUUUGCUUGUGGGAUCUUGGGUGGGAUCAAAAUUUUCCUAACAAGUGGUAUUAGAGAUAAGGUUGCAAUGCAGAGCAAAUAUAUCAACAAUAAUGUUUUCAAAACUUUUGAAGAUAGGUGAUGGUUGUCGAAGCCAGCAAAAAUAAAUACCUACCCUAAAUAAAUUGUGUAUAGUGAUUGAGCAUGGUCGUGUCCACAAAGAUCGGUAAUUAUUUAAAUCCUUUUAAAAUGUAAAAUGUAAAAUGCAAAAUGGGGGAAUUGUUGACAAUAAUAAAAAUCAAAUUAAAAUAACAAGAAUGCAAAUUAAAAUUUGUAAUUCAAAUUGGGGAAAGCUCUGGUUGAAGGAAUUAACUCGGCUUGAUUCGACUACUAAUAUUGAUUGAAAUAUAAAUCAUUACUACUUAUGAAUAGACCGGUUAUAGCUACUCAGACCCUCUAAUAGCCAAUCUCUGCUUAACUAGUCGAUAACUAAGGUACGACCAUUGGUUAUUUCCCCAAUCAAUAGGCAACUCUAGAUACAAUCAUAAGAUUUAAUCAAUUGACAACCUGAAAAACCAGAGAGACCCAAAUCCUAAUCAACAAACGCAUACAAUGGUUCAUUUAAAUUAGAUUGUUUAUUCUCAUAACACAACGCAUUGCUAUGCUAUUUGUCACAAACAUUAAAAUCUUCAUACGAUGAAUCUUUUAAUUGACAAUAGAUUGAGUUGAUAAUUAAAUAGUGGCCAAUUAUCUAAUUAACAAACAUAAUCAUGACAAUAAUUUAGAGAAUAAACAAAUACCCAAAAAGCAAUAAAACAAUUAAAGCAUAAGAAAGAUCUCACAGUAAUGAUGAAUCAAAGCUUUAUUAACCUUCAACCAGAAUAAUAGGUUUAGUUCUUCAUAGAGAGAAGAGAAAAAUUUAGAUCUAGGGUUUCUUUUUUCCUCUCUCCUUGACAAUAGAUUCCUCCCCUUUAAUUCUCUCCCCCCCUUCUCCUCUAGAGUUCUUUUUAAAGAAUACUAAUAUCUAAAAUAUUAUCUAAAUAUUAAAUUCAGAAUUACAAAAAUAACCAAAAAGACAAAACACGUUAAACUAAAAACUGCAGGUCUUUAGUUGACAGCACUCGCCCACGCCUUAUCAACAAAGUUCUUCUGAAGCUCAUAAUUUCUCCAGGAAAACAAUCAUCCUCAAACAUCAUCUUGUAGCUCAAUUUUAGCACCAAUCAAUAGAAUUGCACCUACAAAAAUAAAACACAAGUAAAUCACUAUUAUUAAGUGCAAAACAUUGAUAUUAAAGGAAGUAAAUAAUACAAAACUAGUGCAUAAAUUGCACUCUAACAAUAGGAAUAGAAAAGUUUGAUUGAAGAAUCAAUUUUGGCUAGUGGCAAGUUUAAGUUAAGGAUAUAUUAAUUCAAUCUGGCUAUAUAAGAAAAGUAAGGACAUUGUAAACCUUGUUCCCAUUGGUGGAAACCCCUGAAGGUGUGUCGACAAUCAAGGCACCAUCAAGAAGAAUGUCGGAAUAGAGCAAGUUUGACAAAUAGCUCUAAAAUCAAUAUAUUGAGAUAUUGAUAAUGUCAACUAGUGGUGAUCUCUUUUCUCCAUUUGAGACAGGUUUAUCUUUUUUGGCGUGCCAUGGAAGAGGAUGUCUUACUGCUAGUGGAUCCACAAGAUUUGCACACGAGGCAUGGUUUGGCACUAAUGGAAGGUGUGUGGUUGAAUUUUAUGUUGAUGGCUGAGGACUAUUGAGGAAGCCAAACAUGAAAGUGGCUAUUUUUUUUAGCAAAGAGAUUGACAUAUGCCGUAUAUGUGUACUCUAAAUAAAGUAGAGUAUGAUGAUUCUUGGUGUAGAGAAUUAUGACUGCUAGAUAGAGGAUAAGAUUUUACCCAUGGUGGAGUGAUUCUCAUAAGCCGUACGUGAAUGUUUUGGGGGGAGUAAAGAAGGUGAAGAUGACAUGGUUGUGUGAAUACACGAUAGAUCAUGUUUUGUCACUUAAUUAAAAAACUCGCUAAGGUAGAGAUUGUUAGGAAAUAUAUCUAAUUUUUCAGUAUAGAUUUCUAGGAUAUUUUCUUCUUUAGAAGGGUUCUUAUUUAAGAAAUAAGUAAUUUCUCAUUUGGGACUUAACUUAUUUAAGGUGAAAUACAACUGAGAUAAGAAAAUGAAUACUUCUCUUGAAAGAAAUAAUCACUAUCUAUAGGUAGGUUGGAUUCACUUAUUUAAAUAAUACAACAAUUAGUUCUAUGCAAGUAGACAUUUUCUAGUGUGAGAGAAACGACAAGUCUUUUGAGAGAUUGGGUAUUAUUAGGGUUUUGGGUGUGAGAAAAAGACUAGAGUGAUUAUAACAAUUUUUCACAUUGUGAAUUUUUCUCUCGUCAUCCUUGGAAGCCUUGGUUUUUCUCCAAUAUGUGAGAUUUUCACGUAAAUUCGUGUAUUGUGUGAUUGAUUUUAUUUCUCAUCUAUUUUCUAUUUAUUAUUUAUUUGAUAUUUUUCCUUGUGGGAUCUUGGGGGAUUAAAAUUUUCCCAACACAAAACAUGAUUUAUGCCGAGAGCUACUCUCGUAGAAUUUCAUGCAGAUCACGUGAAAUUGGAUCAAUGAUUAGAAAAAUGAUAACCGAAUUAUUGUAUUAAUUAACUACGUAUAAUGGAUCCUAAUCAUGCAAAAAAAAAAAAGCAAGAUUAUAUUGAUUUGUUCACUUUGGCUCGUGAUUCAUGCCGUUGAAAAAGAUCUUAUCUCGUAGAAUUUAGUGCAGAUCGAUAACGUAAAAUUGGAAUCAAUGAUUAUAAAAAUGAUGACCUAAUUGUAGUAUUAAUUAACUAAAAGACAUCCUAAUCAUGCAUAUGAAAGUUGCAUUAUAUUCUCUAAAUUAAAGAACGUACAUAUGAGUUAAUUUCAUUAAAAAAUCUUGAAUUGUUCACUUUGGCUUUUGAAAGCUUCAGUGAAACUAGCGCAGAAUCAAACUUUUCAAAGUAAAAUAUAAUUUUUUUUUCCAAAUGUAAUUUAAAAUUUAAACACGAUACGAAAAAUAGAAAAUAAUUAACCCGCAAUGUGUUAAGUAAUAAUUUAUUUUAUUAUUUCAUCAAUAACGUAUUCAUUAUUGACAUCAAUUAUUAAAUGACCUGAUACAUCAUAUAUCAUGUCACUUGAUAUACAAACUUAGCAUCCAAUUUUAUAUGUGUAGCUUUUUUUUUUUCUCUCUCUCUCUCUUGAAUAAUUUUCAAGAAAAUCUAGCCAAAUUCAAGAUUUUUUUUUUGAAAUGAAUGAACAAUCGUAUUUUGAAAACAAAAACAAAUAAAUACAGUUAAAAAUUAAGGUUUCCAAAAAUAAGACCCAUUUUGUGGUUGUUGCUAGUUAUAAAUUAAUAAUCUGGCUAUGUUGGGCCAAUGAAAUUAAUAAUCAAAUGGACAAAAGUAACUAGAUGUUUGAUAAAUUAUUUUAUUAUUUAUGAGUUUUAAAAAUAGCGUGCAUCAAUGGUGAAGUUAUAAACUUAUCUUAACCUGUUUUAAAUUAAAAUAAUUUUUCAAUAAACAUUAUUUAUUGAGACUAAUAUUAAUUGUUUUUAGUGAAGUUUAUGAAUUUUUUUAGGGACUAAUAUGAAAAUAUUAACUUUAUUAAGAUUAUAAAGAAUUGUGCUAAGGAGCUAAGGACCACUAUUAACUUUAUUUUAUUAAGAGUCGGAAGAGGUUUUUAAUCACGAGGCUCAUAGCUUUGCCUUUGAUGUGUAUGUGCUUAAUAAAUUUACUAUUAAAGCGUUUUGUUGUAUCCCAUCAAAAAUUUGGGAAAAAUUUUCAAUUUUGUUUACAGAAACAUCAUUAUACUAAUUUUACAAAACUGCUGUUGUUAUAUUUAUAAGUUUAUCAAUCCAUAUAAUUUUAAAAACAAGCUAUAUAAAUUAUUAAAUUUAAUUCAAAUCCUAAUAGCUCAUCAUAUCUACUAAAGCUCAACGUUUUUGUUUCUCACCUUAGAUUCUUGUUCUUUUUAAUUUAAUAAUUUUUAACUAAAUAAUUUAAAUCUUAAAAUCCAAAACCCAAUCACCAUAUGAUUAUAAAAAUAAGGAUUGUAAUUAAAGUCAAACAGUAAUUAAAAUAAAUUGAAAAUAAAUUAAUCAAACACGUUAGAAAAUAAAACACAAAAUUUACUUAUUAAUAUUUUACAUAAUUACAAGACAAACACAAAAAAAUAAUUAAAUAAAUAAACAAACUGAAAGAAAAAAUGGUAAUCAAUUCCUAGUGAUCUAUUUAAAUUCCCAGCAACUUCAUGUAGUAAUAUACAGUACCAAUUAAAAAAAUUUAGCCAACCCAAAAAAAAAAAACAAAAUCCCGGCUUUGCCCGUUUUAGCUUUUGAUAUAUCACUUUAAUAUUUCAAAAAAUCAAAUUUACAUGAAAUGAUUAAAAAAAAAAGAAACACUCAAUUAAAUAAAAAUCCAGUGAACACUACAACUGAAAACAUAGAAUAGAAAUAUGAAUAAAAUAAAAAAUAAUAUAUAUUACAGUUAUACUACACUUUUUGUAAUGCUUCUUUUUAAAACUCAAUAAUAGAUUAUAUGAAGAUAAAAGUACUACACAAAAAUAAAUGAUACCGGAUAAAAAAUUUUGGUAUUGCUAAAGACAUGAUUUACAGUAAUCAUAGUAAUGUAAUAUAUAUCAGGGACAUGAUUUUCAAAGUAGGAUUCGUGAAAAAAUAAGGCAAAAUUUUCUUUUCACUAAAAUAAUAUAUAAGGCUAAAGUAGAAACUCUAGAAGUGUUAUGUAUUACGUGGUGUAUUAUUUCGUAAGCUUCUUUAUGCAAAACAAUUCUCAAGUUAGUUUUGGAACUGCUACAAAAAGGAAAUAAUUAUAAGGAAGUGGAUAAAAAAUUGUCAAUUACUUUUUGUCAAAAUUGUAAAAUAAGUUAUGUUUAGCAAUCGAUUAUAUUCUUAUAAAGCACAUUAAUUAUGGUUUUCUUUUUAGAUUUAGAUUCAUUGUUAAUCUUAUUUUUAUACUGACAUCUUAAAAAUAUGUGAUUGGUAAUUUAAUUUAUUCGUAUGCACAAGAAAGAUAACAUUAUAAUUCUUUGUUUUUAUAAACUUGACCAAAACGUAUGCACAAGAAAUUCAGAUUGACAUCGACAACUAUAAACGAGGAGAUGCAAGCAUAAUUAUAAAAUAAUUGAAAAAACCUCACUGCUGCCGACAGCCAAUAUAUCACUCUAUAAGUAGCUGCCUGCAUGACCAAGCAUUUGUACAAACAAUUCUAUACAGAAGUACUUUCAUGGUACUGCGUCCAUAUGGCUUCCAGCUUGAUGCUGCUGCAACUACUCCCCUUUCUCUGCUUGCAUUGGCUUAUUUUUAUUGCCUCUACUUCAUCAAAUGAAAUUCCCAAGGUAGAUCAAUAUUCUAUUAAUUAAUUAACUUCUUUAACUAAUUUAAAACUUGCACAUAGCAAGCACAUUCCUUUUGUUAUCUCUAGUUUUCUGUUAUAGCAGCCUUAUAUUGUUUACAUGGGAAGCUCAUCGAAAUCGAAUCUUAUUAUUCAAAAUGGAGAAGAUGUUGAAAUUGCAAAGCUGAAUCACAUGCAACUAUUAUCUUCGAUUAUUCCAAGGUUACUUUUGUUAUUGUAAUCAUUUUUUAUUCAUCAUUAACAGCGGAUAUUAAUUUGCCACCAGUUGGUCCUAUACUUUUAAAUUUUUGUCAAUGUAUUAUUGGUAAGUGGUUAUACUUCCCAAAUAGAGUUAGCAGUUUUAUGUAGAAUUAAGUAAUUGUAAAAGGCUUAUAGAUGUAUGAUUACCUAGUGGUUCAGAUUUCGCUAUCUGGGUUUUUUAUCAUGUAUUAUUUUGUUAUAUCCCUGUUUAGAUGUCGUUUCUCUUUCAUUUAUUUAGCUCUCGUCGUUCUGCCGAAGCUUACUUCAGAAAAAAAAAAAAAUUCUUGCAGUGAAGAGAGUGAAAGAUUAUCUCUAAUCCACCAUUACAAACAUGCUUUCAAGGGCUUCUCCGCCAUUCUUACAGACUCUGAAGCUUCCGCACUCUCUGGUACUUCCUUUUCUUUUCCUUUUUUUUUUAGAAUUACAUAAAUUAAUGUGAACUGAAUCCGAGAGUGAAAUUGAAAAAUAAGUUGCUUUUGCUUUGUAAUAGUUACUUUAGUGUUUUUUGUUGGGUAAAUGUUUGUUUUGUCUAUAAUUUUGGUUAAACAUUUAUUUAGUCCUUAUCUUUUGUAAAAUAUAUGAAGACACCCCUGGUAUUAAAUAUAUUAUAUUUAUACCAUUACUUUUUUUUUACAAUAAUAACUUUACAACUAUAUCCCUGGUACAUAAAUAAAAAAAUAUAAAUGUUAUCAAAUUAGACCUAAAAGUAAAAUAAUUUUAUUAAAAAAUUAAAAAUAAUUUUAUUAUUAUUAUUAUUAUUAUUGUUGUUGUUGUUGUUGUUGUUGUUGUUGUUGUUGUUUACUUUUAGGUUACAAUGGUAAAUUAAAUUUUUUUUAUAAAUAUUCACUAGCAAGAUUGUCGCAAGAUUAAACAUUGCUUUAAGGUGGCUGGCAUUUAUUUAUUUACAAAUAAUUAUUAAAAAAAUUGUUACAAGAUUAUAAAAACACCCGAUGUUUGAAACUGACAAUUUUUGGUUAAACUACUACCAAUAAAUAAGUUUUUUUUCUUUGCUAAUUAACUUUUUUUUACUAUUACAUUAAUUAAUAUCCCUUAGAUUGUUGCAAAGGUAUCAUUGUAAAAGUCAAGAAAAAUAAGGAAAAAGUAAGGGCAAGAAUCUUAUAUUUAAGUGCAGAGUUAUCUUGAAGUAUUUUUUAAAAUAUAAGAACUAAAUAGAUAUUUAGCUCAAAAUAUAAGAACUAAAUAACUAUUUAUCGUUUUUUAUUUUUACCACUUACCCUCUUAUAGUGUAUAUAGUAAUAAUCGGAUAUUCUCUUGCUUUGAAAAUUUUAGCCAAAAAAAAAAAAAGAAAAAAAAGAAACUCAUCUCAGACUCUCGGUACGUUACAAAGAACUAUAUUGUUUCUUUGUUAACAUUUUGAACAUUAAGAUUCAGCGGAGUAACAGGGUAUUAUAAAAUCUAUAUACGUGUAGGUGACAGAGGUACUUUUUUAGGGGGUAAAGUGAUAAUCUCUCAAUUUUAAUUUUAUGAAAGCUUGUUUUUGGUAAUGGUAAUCUGAUGAUGUCGAAAAAUAUUUGAUGAAUGCAAUGUUACUGUUAAGCAGGUCAUGAUCAUGUUGUAUCUGUCUUCCCUGAUCCCGUUCUGCAACUCCAUACAACUCGUUCUUGGGAUUUCUUAGCAGCAGCCGCGAAACCAGCCAAGAACACUUGGUUUAACCACAAAUAUCAUAAAGCAGCAAGUGAUAUCGUAAUUGGAGUUAUAGACACAGGUUAAAUACUUAUGCUUAAAUUUUCAUUUCAGGCUAUAUGAAUAUUUAUAAGAAAUUUAAAAGAACUAGCUAGCUUUUAUUAUUUUAACAAAAUCUCUAGACAAAGAGAAUAAAGUCAUAGCAAUCAGACACUUACUUUAUGAUUACUCUCAAAAUACCAGUUUAACUUUUCUAUAUUUGAACUUUUGGAUUGGAAAAUUUUUUAUACUUCAAUUUGAUUUAAUAUUGAGGAAUGCUGCUCAUAUUAUGUAAAGCAAUACUGUUAAUUGACAAAAUAAUCUAAUUAAUACACAAAUUUUAGUACCUUUCAAAAUGCAAUACAAAAAUUUCUACGUUUAUAUAGUAGCGCUCGAUAAUAGAGUUCGAAGUUACUCAUUAGAUUAUUUAACAUGAUCGUUUUUCGUUUAGGAAUAUGGCCUGAGUCUCCAAGUUUCAAUGACCAAGGAAUGGGUGAAAUCCCUUCAAGAUGGAAAGGUGUUUGUAUGGAGUCCCCUGACUUCAAGAAAUCCCAUUGUAAUAGGUGAGGAUAAAUAAAAUCAAUGGUGGUACUGAUAAUCAUGUUGAGGCGCGGGCGUUCAGAUUUUAUAAAUAUGGGAUUAAUUUGAACAGCUAGAAUCAAAAUUGUACAGUGCUUUAAGAUAAUUCAACAUUAUACAAUCUGAUUCUAGUUCAAAUCUGAAUUCUACAAAAUUCGAAUGUUCAGACUUGAGCAUGAUACUAACUAAUAUCCCACCGUAAUACAAGUAUCUUCUCUGGGUGUACUGCAGGAAGUUGAUUGGAGCAAGACACUGUAGCAGAGCAUCCACUAAUAAAGACAAUAGUGGGUCAUCAAGGGAUCCUCUAGGCCACGGAACUCACACUGCAUCAACAGCAGCUGGCAACUAUGUGUCCAACGCCAUCUAUUUCGGCUUAGCCGGCGGCACAGCCAGAGGUGGCUCCCCUUUUUCCAGGAUUGCAAGCUACAAGGCCUGUAAGGAAGGUGGCUGCUCAGGUGCCGCAAUUUUACAGGCAAUUGAUGACGCAAUUCAUGAUGGAGUUGAUAUCAUUUCAAUCUCAAUUGGGUUGUCUAAUUCAGAAGCCGAUUACAUGAAUGAUCCAAUUGCUAUUGGAGCUCUUCAUGCUCAACAAAGAGGAGUCGUGGUUAUUUGUUCUGCUGGCAAUGAUGGACCUUAUCCUUUCACUGUUGCAAAUACAGCUCCAUGGCUUUUUACAGUUGCUGCUUCUACGAUUGAUAGGGAUUUUCAAUCUACGGUGCUUCUUGGAAAUGGGAAAGCUAUCAAAGUAAGAUUAUAAAAGAAAAUUUAGGAUUCAUUUUACUUCUUUUCAUGCUCUCUUUAAUUAAAUGAUUUUUCUUCUUUUCAUGCUCUUUUAAUUAAAUGGGGCUCAGGUCUAGACUUCCGGAUUAUACAAAAUCUGGAUUUGAAAUACCAUUAGAAAUAUAUUUAUUGUAAAAUAACUUUACCGUGCAGUACAACACGGAUCAUAGUUCAAAUUCAGAUUUUUUUUUAAAUCUAUGCAUAAGAACCCAAUUAAGCAUAACUGCCUUUCAUUUAUUAACAAAGCGUUUUAUUUGCAGGGAACUGCAAUUAGUUUAUCAAAUCUUUCUCGCUCAAAGACUUAUCCCCUUGCAUAUGGGAAGGCUAUUGCUGUUAACUCUACACUUGUUUCCCAAGCUAGGUAAUUCUAUGCCCUUUAUUCUCUGACAUUUUCAUCCUUCUAAAUGACAAGGCCAUUACAUCUAAAGGGAUAGUAAUGAUCCUAACAAUAUUGUUUCUCACUUAGUAUACAUAGUGAACACCACCACUACAUGGCAUUAUUUUGAUUACUGAGGUGCUAUAAGGUGAUGUCUCGUUAGUGAUUACUGACCAUACCAUCUCUCUCUCUCUCUCUCUGUGUCUUAUAUAUAUACAUACACACAUACACCAGUGUGGAAUUUUACAUAGAUAUAGACAUCCAGUGUUGAAUUGACAAACACCAUGGACCGAUUUGUAAGUCGACUUCAUAAUUGGAAGACGACUAUGACACUUUACUGGCUGUAUUAUAAACAUAUCUUUAAAAAAAAAAAAAAAGAAAGAGAGAGAGAGAAAGAGAGAAAAUUUCAUGAAAUGUAAAAGACUAAAUGAAAAUUUCUUAUUUAGCCCCUAUUGCUAUAUAUUAUUUACAAAACCUACCAAAGUUUAAGGUCUCUUGACUAUAGCCCCCCAAUUUUGGCCUCCUAAAUUUUAUAAAGUUUAUGUUAGAACUUAUUCAACUGUAUAGUUUCUUUAUUAUGUUCCUAUCGAACCAAAAUCCUUGUUCAGUCAGUGCCUUUAUACAACGCUAUGUAUAGUAUAGCCAUAUUCACAUUGCAUCUCAUGAAUAAAUUUGCAGAAGUUGUCGUUUAGGAUCCAUAGAUCCCAAGAAAGUUGCUGGCAAAAUCCUUGUUUGCAUUCACACAGACCCAAUGGAUACAAGAGGAAGGAAGAUAGCAGUGGCAGAAAAUGUUGAAGCUCAAGGGUUAAUUUUUAUUAAUGAUGACGAGAAAAUUUGGCCUACUGAAAGAGGCAUAUUACCAUAUGCAGAAGUUGGCAAAGUUGCCGGAUUUCGGAUUAUUAAUUACAUCAAUUCUAACAAGUAAGCCAAAGCCUAAGUAUUCUUAUAGUUAAUGUUGUCUGUACUACAAAUUAAUCAACCAUCAAUCGAUUGUUAUCAAAUAUUUACACCAGCAGGAAUCCAACCGCAACAAUCCUGCCAACAGUAACCAUUCCAAGACAUAGACCGGCACCGGUUGUUGCAUAUUUCUCAUCAAGGGGUCCAGGAUUGCCUACAGAAAACAUUCUCAAGGUUAUUUCUCAGUCAAAUUAGACUUUACAUUAAAUACAUUUAUAAACCAUGUGGAAAAAAAUAACUGAUGGUCACAUCGAUUCUUAUUACGACAAAUAUGCCUUUAAGUAUAGUGAACCAUUUGUAUUUCAUCCCGGCAUAAUUAUUUUAAAUGGGGCCUAUGUGACCAUUUCGCCAAAUCACAAGAGUGUCACUGUUCUUUGCCCUAAAUCAUCAGUUGAAAAUCUAGAAUGCUCAUUGUUUUCAAGAUUAUUAUUCAGAGUCAAAUGGAUGUCCUUAAAAAGUACUUUUUGUGUGUUAAUUUUGUUUGCCAUGUGCAUUCAGCCCGAUGUAGCGGCUCCAGGAGUUGCCGUUUUAGCAGCAAUAGUUCCAAGGCCAGAUAGACCUGGGGGCAUCCCAGCAGGAGAGAAGCCGGCCACAUAUGCUUUAAGGUCUGGAACAUCCAUGGCUUGCCCGCAUGUCACAGGAGCUGCUGCAUUCAUCAAAUCUGUGCGCCGUAAAUGGACCUAUUCCAUGAUCAAAUCAGCACUUAUGACAACAGGUACUCCAAUAUUCCAAACACCAAGAUUCUCUCCUGAUCUGAGUUUUUUCGGAACAAAAUUCACUCGGAUUAUUGGUAGUUUUAGCUUAAAUUAUGCUCCAAUUACAAUAGAAUUGAUACUGGUUAUUUUCGUUUUAUAUAUGCAGCAACCGUGUACGAUAAUACAGGGACACCCCUAACAAAUAGUUCAGGCAACAAUGCAAAUCCUCAUGAAAUGGGAGCUGGAGAAAUUAACCCGCUGAAGGCUCUAAAUCCAGGACUAGUUUUCAAAACUACAAUAAAAGAUUACCUUCGAUUCCUUUGUUAUUAUGGAUAUUCUAGGAAAAAUAUUCGAUCCAUGACAAACACAACGUUCAACUGCCCCAAAAAAUCAUCCGCAAAACUAAUCUCAAAUAUUAACUAUCCAUCAAUCUCUAUAAGCAAGCUUGCUCGCCAAGGAGCAAUUAGGACUGUCAAAAGAACAGUGACAAAUGUCGGAUCGCUUAAUGCCACAUACAUUUCCAUGGUGAAUGCUCCUUCAGGAUUAGCAGUCAAGGUGUUUCCUCAGAAACUUACUUUUGUUGAGGGUAUUAUAAAAUUGUCUUUUAGAGCUUCCUUUUUCGGCAAGGAAGCUUCGAGUGGGUAUAAUUACGGUUCGAUAACAUGGUCGGAUGAUCAACAUUCUGUCAGAAUGAUGUUUGCUGUGGAUGUUGAAUGACUUAAAGAUCAAUAAUUAGUUGAAUAUAUAAGAGGGUGAUGAAUAAUAAUUGAAUGUGUGGAGGCUAGUUUUGAGUAUAACCAAUUGAAGUUUAUGCACAAUUAUGUUCAUUCGUUGCAUCGAUAUCAGUGAUGAGAAUGGUGUUCGUGCUUUGAAAAUCUUAAGAUGAUCAUUGUUGUUAAAUGUAAUUUAUUUGGGAGGACGAUGUUUUUAGUCAGGUGUGUAUUCAUAAUCCAGAUUGUAUCUUUUCUGCGGCGUAAAGAAAUUAAUUUGUCUUUUCUAGAAAAAAAAAAGUUCAAAUCAAUUUUUAAUCUCUACCUCCUAGGAUUUAAAAUUCUAAAUCUGAUAGUUAGUUAAAUAAAACUACUUGUUGUACUUGAGGUAAUUAUCUUCUCAUUUUUUUCCCAAAAAUUAUAACAAUAAAUAAGAGAGUGGGAUAGUUGCUUAUAAGAAAUAAUGAUAGCAAUAACAAGGCUCCAGUACUGAACAUAUAUCUCAUCAUAUACUAAGCUUAAAGCAAGCUCAUGUGUCACAUUCCAAAUAAAGGAUCAAAGGGUGAUUUUUCUAUCAAAUAAUCUCUCUCUUAUAUAUAUAUAUAUAUAUAUAUAUAUAAAAUAAUACCUCAAAAGGUCAUUAAACAUAGAAUUGAACAAAAUUACUUCUUAAAAGAAAAAGACAUAUAACAUUUAAUAAGAUAAAAAGUUUGAUGUCUUAAAUAUACAUGUCAAAAGUCUUUCUAAGACUAAGGGAACAAAGAAACACGAUUAGCUUUGCCCAAUUUAUUAUGCACGCUAGAUCCUUCAAUCAUUUGUGAAUCAUAACAAGCUAUAAUGAGUAUAAAAUUCAAUAAGUGAAUUAGUUUUUCAUUUAGCACGAUAAGUACACAAUAUAUGAAUUACGUGUGGCAUGUAAUGGCAUGACUACAAACUUACUUACAUUCAGAGGUUUCACAUUUGACAAAUCACUUACAAAAUCUUUCACUCUUAUUCUAGGAAUGCCCACACCUGGUUACUAUUAAGGAUACUCCUAAAGUCAUGGUGUAAUUGUACAAUUCCUUUAUUAUUUGUAUAUUUGACUUUCAUAACUCUAGGAUAUAAUUGUGCACUUACUGUAAUUAACUAGCUCUAGUUGUGUAUAUAUUGAAAACAUAUAAAUGAAAACAGCAAGUUGUUCCUGCUAUCUCUCCUACCUAUAUUCUUUAUUUUAUAUAGAAUCAAAGCAUUUCAUAUUCCAACGAGUGCUCCAAUGGUUGAUGAUAUCUCUUCUUCCUCAUCCUUUUAUUCUCCUAAUGUUGUUAAUCCUAUUGGAUAUAUCAACAACCUUAUCUCCAUUAAUGUUACAACCCAAACACCAUUAAAACUCAACCCUUCAAACUAUACCCCUUGAAGAGCACAAUUCAACUCCCUUCUCAUUGGAUAUGAUCUAAUGGUUUACCUUGAUGGAACUCUACUCUGCCCUUCACCCAUUCUCAAAGAAAAUGGAAAAGAAGUUGUCAAUCCCAAUUACUCUCUGUGGAUCCGCCAAGACCAACUUCUCCUUAGUGCCAUUUUGGCUUCUAUUUCCACCAAUGUCAUCCCCUUUGUUGCUUCUGCAAAAACUUCCGAAGAUGCUUGGGACACACUUGCUACUAUAUAUGCCAAACCUUCUAUGGUCGUAUCAUGGGAAUUCAAGAACAAUUAUCUCAGGUCACUAAGGAUUCCAAAAGUGUGACUGAUUAUAUGCAAACUAUUAAGAGCCUUGCCGGUGAAAUUGCCCUUAUUGAUGCUCCUCUCAAGAGUCAAGAUCUUACAUUCCAUGUACCUAAUGGCCUUGGAUCUGAUUUCGAAGAAGUUGUUGCUGUUGUAUGUGCUCGUGAAAAUCCAAUAUCUUUUGAUGAACUCCAUGACAAGCUUGCUGAUCAUGAGAGUUUUCUUAAGAGAGAGGCAGAAAAUUUUGAAAAACCAACUAUUACAGCCAACUACGCAAACAAACUUAGUCAAAAUGGUGGAAAAUGAAACAAUCAAAAUAAGCAAGGCAAUCAGAAUAAUCCAUACAAAGGCUAUCAGAACCAGCCAGGACAUCCAUCGGCCAAUAGCCAGCAAUCAAAAUCCUAAACCUUACAAGGGCUUUUGUCAAUUGUAUGAUCAACAAGGUCACACUACUAAAAGAUGCCCGAACUCCCACCAUGCUCCUAAUUUUUUCCAUGCUCCUUCUCCCUGGAUGCCUUCCACACUACCUCAGUCAUACUAUCCCAGAUUUGGUUAGUCUCCACGUGCUCAUUUCGCAGCACAACUGGGUUCCACCACCAAUUGGCUUGUGGACUAUGGGGCCUCUCACAAUGUUACUGCUGAUAAAAAAAAUCUUUCUUGGCAUUCUGAUUAUGAUGGUUCAGAAGAUAUAAUGAUUGGUGCUGGUAUUGAGCUUCCAAUAACUUGCACAGGUUCAACUAAUUUACCCUUACCUUCUAGAUCCUUUGUUCUUAGUGAUGUUCUUUGUGUUCUUAGCUUGAAAACAAAAAUCUUUUAUCAGUUUCUGAACUUUGUAAUUCAAAUAAUGUUUCCAUUGAAUUCUUACCAUCUUCUUUUGUGGUGAAGGAUCUUCGUACGGGUGCACAACUCCUCGAAGGGCCGAAUAAAGAUGGAAUAUAUGAAUAGCCAGCCCAUGCAUCGUCCAUGUCAAAACCUAUCCUUGCCUUCGCUAGUGUCAAAGCACCAUUCCAACAAUGGCAUAACAAACUUGGCCAUCGCUCUAACAAAAUACUUAAUAAUAUAAUUUCUGCUCAUAAUUUGCCAUUAUCAUCUUCUGUCACCUUAGAUCUUUAUUGUAAUGUUUAUAACUGCAAUAAAUCUUAUAAAAUUCCUUUUAACGUGUCAUCUCUUCGAAGUAAUUCUCCAUUAGAACUUAUAUAUUCAGAUGUUUGGGGACGAUCACCUAUUCCAUCUCUCAAUGGAUUUAACUAUUAUGUGAUUUUUGUCGACCACUAUACAAAAUAUAUAUGGUUAUUUCCUAUUAAAAGAAAAUCUAAUAUUGCUUUAAUCUUUACUUGUUUUAAAUUAGUUGUGGAAAAAUUCUUCCAAUGUCCCAUCAUUUCCACUUACACAGAUGGUGGUGGUGAAUUUCAAGCUUUAAAAUCCUUCAUUGAAUCUCAUGGUAUCUUUCAUUUCCUUACUCCAUCACAUACUCUCCAACACAAUGGUUCAGCUGAGCGUUGUCACCAUCAUCUUGUUGAAACGAGACUCACUCUCUUGAAUCAAGCUUCUUUACCCCUUUAAUUUCGGACUUAUGCCUUUUUCACUGCUGCCUAUCUUAUUAAUCAUAUGCCCACUCCACUCCCCUAAGUAAUCGCACCAUUCGAAAAUUAUUUGGUCAUUCACCUAAUUACAUAAAAUUACGAGUGUUUGGGUGCCUCUGUUAUCCAUGCCUCAAACCUUGCACUCCUCAUAAAUUAUAACCUAAAUCUAAGCCUUUUGUUUUCUUAAUUUAUUCCUCCACACAAAGUGCUUUUAAAUGCCUUUCUCACUCGCCUAACCGAAUUAAUAAUAAUUCUGAUAUCUAAGAAUUCUACCAAAAAUUCGAUAGAGUCUCCUAUAUAAUUAUGACAUCCCCAACCUGCAAUUUAUACAAUUAACACUCCCAAAAAUGAUGUAAUAUUUAAUCAACCUCCACAACCAACUUCCUUAAUUUAAAUACCAGUAUCCUUCAAACAUAUAAUGUCAAGAAUACAAUAAUUUAUCCUUAAUCACAAAUAAGUAAUAAAUUAUACAAUUCAAAAUGUCCCAACAAAACAUCUAUGAUUCCUAACACCAUCACGUGGCCAUAAUUUUAAAUCUAACUAUCGUUGCUAGGUCAACUGAUGUAACUGCAAAUCUCCUAUGGGGGGGGGGGGGAAUAUAAUAAAAACAGGGUGAGUAUAAAACUUAGUGAGCUCAGUGAGUGGAUAGUAGUUUUUGGAAAAGUAAAUUUAUUUAAAAUUCAAAUCAAUUUCAUCAAAACAUCAUAAGAACUUACAUAAACUUAUUUAAUUUAAAUCAUGCACUGAAAUAACAAUAUUUCAUAAAUGUGCAUAAAAUCAAUGAAAUUAUAACACUUAUAAUAUCACUUACAAUAUCAAAUAUUGAAUACCAAAAACUAUCACCAAACAAGUACCCAGGGGAAUAAUCUCAUCAUAUCCGGACCUCGACAGAUUGGCAAUUAGGGAACCAUCAUGCCCUAGAGCUACAAUGGAUAGACAGGGAAAUGUCAUCUCAUAUCUCAUGUAUCUCAUCAUAUCUGUGCAUGCAUAAUCUGAUCCCCAAAGGACAAGGCGCCCAAGCACACGGCCCACAGCCUCUAUGUGUACUCAGACGGGCCCCAAAGGCCUAUAUCUCAUCUGUAUCAUCACAUCUCAUCUGUAUCAUCAUAUCUCAUCGGUAAAAUCUGAAUCUCAAUAUCUGUAUCUCUAUAAUCAUCAUACUGCAUGCAUAUGCCCCCAAAAGGUAAAAACGACCAAAAACACGGCCUAAAGCCUCUAUGUGUGUUCAGACGGGCCCUAAAGGCCUCUCAUCUCAUAUCAUCUGUAUCACUGUAUCUGGAGGGGAUGAGUAUUGUCCAAUGAUUUUACAAACAACAUUUUACACACAUGUACAUAAACAUAUAAUCACAUCUGAAUUCUCAUUUCCUUUUUAUUCAACAUAUCUCAAUUCCACUUAAUUCUCUUUUAAACUAUUAUCAUGAAUUUACUCAAAAGCGAUAAUAAAACCAUUAAUCAAACUCAUUCUCAAUAAUAAUAAAUAUCAGCACGCAGAUAAAAAUUCAUUUUCUAGAAAAUCAUUAAAUCGAAGUAUCAAAUACUUAUUAUCAAAACAUGUUGUACUGUAUGGUAAAAUUAGAAUAUACUAUGAAAAUAGGUUUUGUAUAUUCCACUCACAGUGACUAUGUCCCGACUCGGUAUCAACAAUGUCCAUGGGUUGAUUCUCGUUCGCGGUUCCUCCUAAUCAAGUAAACGACAUAAUCAUUCCCCAUAAAUUUGAAAUACAACUAAUUUUACAUAAUAAUUCUCGAAACGAAUAUCUAUCCACAAUAAACUAUUCCCACAUACAUAAAAUUACCAAAAUACCCCUACAUGUCAAAAUUACCAAAAUGCCCCCAACAUCAUUAUUUUACCGAAUUAUCCUUAGAAUCUUUAAUUACCAAAUUGUCCUCAAUUAAGAUAACAAAAAUAACCACAAUGUCAGAAAUUAUGAAAUUACCCUCGGAGUGUAAAAUUACCAAAUUACCCCCGAAAUCUCAAAUUACCUCACUGUCUCAAUCUAAAAUUACCAAAUUAUCCAUCGAUUCCAGACAUUACAAAUUCACCCUAAAGUCUUGUGAAAUUAUUGAAUUGCCCCCACCGCUCAACAGUGACCGAACUUCAAUCAACGGCGACGGGAAGCUCAAGUCUGAUAGUUCUGACCUCGGUGAGUCCAAUGGUGUUGGCGGUGACUUCCCACGCGCGGCGAUGGCGGUGGAUCGUGCUCCCAAAGCUGUGAGCUUUCCGACGAUCAUUCACAGCCAAAACGGAGGUUUUAGGUGGCGAGGUUAGUCAGAAAAUGAUGAGGGUGAGCUGAGGAUCAAGAUCCAAGUGGUGGUGCAGCCGCCCGAACUCCACAGGGUGAAUCUUACUGCGGUUCAAAUAUCUAUACAAAUAAUAAUAAUAAUAAUAAUAAUAAUAAUAAUCCUUUUACAGUCCAUAAAAAUUCAAGCCUCAAAAUACAAAUAUAUUACUCAAACUACAGCGGAAGAAUCUUAAAAUUUAUGCCAAACCAUCUACCGUCCUCAGUUCAUGCCCGCUCGUCACUCAUCACAAAUCAAUCCUGAUUUAUGGGAACUGAAUCACAAUAAACUAGAAUGAGUACAAAACUUAGUAAGCAAACCAAUUUUUCAUAUACCAAAAUACAUACAUACAUACAUACAUACAUACAUAUAUAUAAUGAAAAUGGAUGACGUGCUAUGGUAUUCGAAAACAUUGUAAAACAAUUCAUCGAAAUCUCAUUCUAUCAUUCUCAAACUUUCACAUUCUCUUUCAAAUCACUUACUUGAGCUACUUUCAUUCAAUUACCGCUUAGUAGGACACUCCAUUAACUUUCAUAACUUUCAUACACUUUGGGCUUCUCGCCAAUGAGUCCCUCGCCCACUUAUCUCAUAACCAUAAUAUAACAUCCAGAGUAUCCUCCACUAAGCCAGUAACGAAUUCAAGCAUCCAAGCCAAAACUGUAACUUUCUUUCUACAAAUUCCAUUUGGCUACAAAUCCACUUUCUCAUUUUACAGAAAACAUAAUGCAUUUUCGUGCUCAUGCCAAUGAAAUUCCACACAUAUGUAUGCCCAUGUCCAUAAACACACAUAACAACACAUCAUAUCAACACAUCACAUAAAUACAUGGGAUGAUCAUAUAAAUAAAUAUCCGUAUAUAUCGAAAUAGACUUUUCGAACAUGUCAAACAUAUAUAUUGUUUACUGUGAUUCGUUUGGAAAUCUAGUUUACUUACCUCAUGGCAUCCUCGAGUAACAAAUGUGUAUCGAUAUCAUUGGCCUAAAAUCAAUAAAAAUACUCUCAUAAGAUAAAAUUUAUUCAUAAUCAUAAACUCCAAUAUUCUCAAAUUUCUCAAUAUAACCACAUUCCAUACUUAACCUCAAAUAAUCUCAAUUUAAAUCAUAAAUCACCAAAAUACUCAUAAUUCUUGAAAUUACGAAAUUACCCUCAAAUUUAAUAAAAUUACCAAAAUGCCAUUGAAUUCAAAAUUACCAAAAUGCCCCUAAAAUCAUAAUUUACCAAUUUAACCUCAACAACAUAAAUUAUCAACUUUAUCCUCAAUUUCAACAAUUACUAAAAUACCCAUAAAAUUUAAAAUUACUAAAUUACCCCAAAAGUGUGAAAUUACCGAAAUACCCGUGCCGGUCAACAAUCAUCUGAAUUCAAUCGACGGCGACGGGAAGCUCGGGUUAUGUACUUCUUGCCGAGCGGAGUCCAACGGUGGCAAUGGUGACCUUCAACGUGCGGCAAUGGCACCAGAAUCUAGCUCCCAAAGCCGUGAAUCCUUCAACAGCCGAUCAACGGCAAAACGACGUCCCCGGCGGCAGUGGAUAGUCUGAAAUGGCAAAGGGCAUGGUGGGGAACAAAAUCCAAGCGGCGGCGUCACCGAAAAUUGGCAAAAUCUGUGGAGACUAUUAGACAGAUGGUCAUAGAUACUUUCUGUGAAUAAUAUAGAGAGAGCGGUGACAAUGAGUUAAUUGCGAGAGGGUGAGAGGGCUGUUGAAGGAACCAAUCAUGAUAAACAACCUCGAGAUUAUCACCAUGAAGAGGUUCGACUGGGUUUCAAUCACGAAGUAGUACCGUAGGACAUCAAUCGUGAAGUGGUACCUCAAAACCUAGAACUAGUGAGGCAACUACAACCGCUCGUAUGAGAAGAGUUAUGUAGUGAUUUAGAAGAAUAAGACGCUGAAGAUUAGGAUAUGAGGCACAUGAAGAAUUCUAAAUACAAGAUUAACGUGGAUAUUGCAGAGUUUUAGGGUUGGAUGCAUGUCGAAUAACUUUUAAACUGGAUAUUAGAUGUAGAAAAUUUCUUUUAGUAUAUGGAGAUUCCAUAGGAUAAGCGGGUUAAGCUUGUGGCGUUUAAAUUGAAAGGCGCAGAAUCUGUAUGGUGGCAAAAUGUACAGAAUCGAAGAAGAGUUGUGAGAAAGCCACUGAUCAAAUCAUGACCUAGGAUGUAGAGGAUGAUGAAAAAAUAUUUCCUGUUGGCAGAUUGCUGGAUAUCAGAUGUAGAAAAUUUCUUUUAGUAUAUAGAGAUUCUGUAGGACAAGCGGGUUAAGCUUGUGGCAUUUAAAUUGAAGGGCACAACAUCUGCAUGGUGGCAAAAUGUACAGAAUCGAAGAAGAGUUGUGAGAAAGCCACUGAUCAAAUCAUGGCCUAAGAUGCAGAUGAUAAUAAACGAAUAUUUCCUGCCGGCAAACUACCAACAACAAUUGUACAUGAAAUAUCAAAAUUGCAGGCAAGAAAAUUGCAGUGUUGAUGAAUAUACUAAGGAAUUUUAUUGUCUACAUAUAAGAAAUAACAUGGACUAGUCAGAGUUUUAGAUAGUUACAAAGUAUCUUAGCAGAUUGAAGCAAGUGUUACAAGAUAAGAUCGUAGACGCGAUCUGGGAUAUGGGUAUAGCAGUUGAUAGCCCAAAGAAGUUGGAAGAACAGAACAACAUGCUGUUUAUUCAAUAGAGACAACUCACUGCUAUGCAGAAUAGACAAAACCGUGUAGGAAUUGAAAACAAGCAAAAAACUUGGGCUGGUAAUAGUCAAGCGUAACAUCCAGUUUAACAGCAGCUGCCUAGACGGCAGUAGCCAUCUAGACAAUAGAAUAAUCCUUGUGUAAAACCUAUGUCGAAUAAGUGCUUCAAGUGUGGAGAACCAAGGCAUAGAUCUAGUGAUUGUUGUUCUAAAAAUUUAAAUUUGGUAGAGGUUGAAGUCGGCGAGGCAAAGAUGAAUGAAGUUAAGGAUAGAAAAGACAAGGAGGCCUUGGCGUUGGAAGCAGAUGAGGGAGAGUUGCUAAAUUGUAUUGUGCUGAAAUUUUUAUUGGCGUCGAAAUUUGAAGAGGAUAACCAGUGAAUAAGAUUUUCAAAACACGUGGCACCAUUAAUAAUAAGGUAUGCAAUGUGAGAAUUGAUAAUGAUAGUGUCAUGACCUAACCCAGACCUGGUAAGAUAUUGUCCGCUUUGGGCAUUAACAAGGCCCGCACGGAUUUCUUCUUGGGGCGCCCAUAACCCCAAAACACAUCAAGAGGACACGCAAAGUCGCUCUGAUACCAUAAUGUCAUGACCCAACCUAGACCUGCCAAGAUAUUGUCGGCUUUAGGCCUUAACAAGGCCCGCACAGAUUUGUUCUUGGGGCAAACCUCAGCGAGGACGCUGAGUCCCCAAUGGGGGUUGUAUGUAACAUCCUAGGUGAAUCCCACAUCGGUAAAGCACGGGAGAGAUGCUGGGUUUAUAACGGGUGAUCCACACCUUAAUUGGCAAGACGCGUUUUGGGGUGUAUGGGUGCCCCAAGAACAAAUCCGUGCGGGCCUUAUUAAGGCCCAAAGCGGACAUUAUCUUGUCAGGUCUAGGUUGGAUAAUGACAUUAUGGUAUCAGAGCAGCUCUGUGUGUUCUCCUGAGCGAUGGUGAGGCAAACCUUAGCAAGGACGCUGAGUCCCCAAGGGGGGUGUAUGUAACACCCUAGGCGAAUCCCACAUCGGCAAAGCACGGGAGAGAUGCUGGGUUUAUAAAGGGUGAUCCACACCUUAAUUGGCAAGACACAUUUUGGGGUGUAUAGGCACCCCAAGAACAAAUCCGUGCCGGCCUUGUUAAGGCCCAAAGCGGACAAUAUCUUGCCAGGUCUAGGUUGGGUCAUGACAUUAUGGUAUCAAAGUGGUUCUGCGUGUCCUCUUGAGCGAUGGUGGGGCAAACCUCAGCGAGGACGCUGAGUCCCCAAGGAGGGGUGUAUGUAACACCCUAAGCGAAUCCCACAUCGGCAAAGCACAGGAGAGAUGCUGGGUUUAUAAGGGGUGAUCCACACCUUAAUUGGCAAGAGGCGUUUUGGGGUGUGUGGGCGCCCCAAGAAGAAAUCUGUGCAGGCCUUGUUAAAACCCAAAGCGGACAAUAUCUUGCCAGAUCUAGGUUGGGUCAUGACAUUAUGGUAUCAGAGCGGUUCCGCGUGUCCUCUUGAGCGAUGGUGGGGCAAACCUCAGCGACGACGCUGAGUCCCCAAGUAGGGGUGUAUGUAACACCCUAGGCGAAUCCUACAUCGGCAAAGCACAGGAGAGAUGUUGGGUUUAUAAGGGGUGAUCCACACCUUAAUUGGCAAGACGCGUUUUGGGGUGUGUGGGCGUCCCAAGAAGAAAUAUGUGCGGGCCUUGUUAAAACCCAAAGCGGACAAUAUCUUGCCAGAUCUAGGUUGGGUCAUGACAUUAUGGUAUCAGAGCGGUUCCGCGUGUCCUCUUGAGCGAUAGUGGGGCAAACCUCAGCGAGGACGCUGAGUCCCCAAGGAGGGGUGUAUGUAACACCCUAGGCGAAUCCCACAUCAGCAAAGCACAGGAGAGAUGCUGGGUUUAUAAGGGGUGAUCCAUACCUUAAUUGGCAAGACGCGUUUUGGGGUGUGUGGGCACCCCAAGAAGAAAUCUGUGCGGCCUUGGUAAAACCCAAAGCGGACAAUAUCUUGCCAGGUCUAGGUUGGGUCAUGACAUUAUGGUAUCAGAGCGGUUCCACGUGUCCUCUUGAGCGAUGGUCGGGCAAACCUCAGUGACGACGCUGAGUCCCCAAGGGGGGGUGCAUAUAACACCCUAGGCGAAUCCCACAUCGGCAAAGCACGGGAGAGAUGCUGGGUUUAUAAGGGGUGAUCCGCACCUUAAUUAGCAGUAUGCGUUUUGGGGUGUAUGGGCGCCACAAGAACAAAUCCGUGCGGGCCUUGUUAAGGCCCAAAGCGGACAAUAUCUUGCCAGGUCUAGGUUGGGUCAUGACAUUAUGGUAUUAGAGCGGCUCCGCGUGUCCUCUUGAGCAAUGGUGCGGCAAACCUCAGCGAGGACAGUGAGUCCCUAAGGGGAGGUGUAUGUAACACCCUAGGUGAAUCUCACAUCGGCAAAGCACGAGAGAGAUGCUGGGUUUAUAAGGGGUUAUGAACACCUUAAUUGGCAAGACGCGUUUUGGGGUGUAUGGGCGCCCCAAGAACAAAUCCGUGCGGGCCUUGUUAAGGCCCAAAGCGGACAAUAUCUUACUAGGUCUAGGUUGGGUCAUGACAUUAUGGUAUCAGAGCGGCUCCGCGUGUCCUCUUGAGCGAUGAUGGGGCAAACCUCAGCGAGGACGCUGAGUCCCCAAGGGGGGUGUAUGGAACACCCUAGGCGAAUUUCACAUCGGCAAAGCACGGGAGAGAUGCUGAGUUUAUAAGGGGUGAUCCACACUAUAAGGUACAAUUUUCUUAAAUAUAGUAGAAUUUAUUUUUAAGCUAACAAGUCCCUUGAGUUUAUAAUAUUUAAUUUUAAGGAAUGAUGACAUAAGCAAUGACAUAAGGAAUGAUGAUGUAAGCAUUGACAUAAGUGAUGAUGUAAGAAGAAGUGUAGAGAAAGUUAAGAAAUUCUAGAAUUUAGCAAGACAUUUAUCAAGGAUAAUCUCAUCUUUACUUAGAUAAUUAAUUCUAAGUAAAAAUGACAUAAUCAAUGACAUAAGUGAUGAUGUAAGAGAAGGUUGUAGAGAAAAGAUAAGAAUUCUAGAAUUUAGUACGGUGUUUAUGAAGGUUAACCUCAACCAUUGAUCAAGAGUUAUGGUGGCAAAAUCCUAGCCAUCCAUUAGCCUUAAAAAAUCCUAUAAAUACCCCCACAACCUUUCAUUUUGAAUGCAACUUAGAAAUUUCAUUCUCUUCCAUUCUAAGUCAUAAUAACAAGAGUAGAGAAAUCCUUAAUUUAGAAAGGUCUAGAGAAAUCAAGAUCAAGAGGUAAGUAACACUUCAACUGCAAUGUAAGGACAAAAUUACUUUUAUACUUAAGAUCAGUUUUAACAAUCCCUUUAUAUUAUGAUGGUUGUUAUAGUGUGAUUAGUUAUAUUUUAAAUCUUUAUAUGGUCGGUCCUACCGCCUAAUAUGUGAUGCUAUGAUCGGCUCUGCCGCCUAAUAUGUGAUGUUAUGAAUGGCUCUGCCGCCUAAUAUGUGAUGUCAUGGUCGGCUCUGCCGCCUAAUAUGUGAUGCUAUGGUCGGCUCUGCCGCCUAAUAUGUGAUAUUUAUACUUAAUUAUGCUAUGGUCAGCUAUGCCGCCUAUACUAAAGACUCUUGUUUUUAAAUAAUGUUGUAUGUUGAUUUUGUUAUGCAUCGAGGUUAUAAGUUGCAUUGGAUACAUGCAUAUCAUGGACUACAUUAUGAAGAAGACGUUUCAGAAAAUGAAUUUAUGAAAAAUAGGUGGUUGUACUACCAGGUGGCAAAGUUCUAAAGAGGGCAACCCCUCAAAGCUAAGUUGUAAGAAAUCUUUUGGGGACGGCGAUACGUAACGUCCAAAAGUUCAACUAAUGAGGCCCAAGGGCAUAAUGUUUAAAGAGUAAAAGUGCCAGCCUAGUAGUGCAACAUACCUAGGGACCAAAUAAAGUUGUUUUGUAUUUUCUAAGUUUAUUUUAAGAAUGGUCAUUCAUAUGCAUCAUAAUUUAUACAUGCAUCAAAGUGUUAUCUUACUGGGCAUUAGCUCACUAAUGCAUCAUAAUUUAUACAUGCAUCAAAAUGUUAUCUUACUGGGCAUUAGCUCACUAAGUCCUUACAUUGCAGGUAACGAUGAGUAGGGCAAGAUGGCGCCAAGUCCUAACCAAGACGAAGUGCAUAUGGGCAUAACUGACCUUGGGAUUUUAUGAUGGGCUCAUCUUUGUGUUAAUAAAAAAAUAAGUAUCUUGGCUUUAUGUAAUAAUUAACUUUUUAAAUAAACUAAGAAAUCUCUCUAUGACUUUUACUUUUCUGUAAGAAAGUUUUUGUUGGAUUGUGCUAAACUUUUAAAAUUCGUAUUUAUAUUAAGAGUAACUGUCCUUUUAAGCAUUUUUAAGUAAAUAAUAUAGUGGAGUGUUACACACACCUUAAUUGGCAAGACGCGUUUUGGGGUGUAUGGGCACCCUAAGCACAAAUCCGUGGGGGCCUUGUUAAGGCCCAAAGCGGAUAAUAUCUUGCCAUGUCUAGGUUGGGUCAUGACAGUUAUUGUUCUCUUUCCCAUUGUAGGUCAUGUUAAGCAUAAAACUGAUAUUGUGAUACAUAGAAGGAACUGUGCUAAAAUAAUGAUUUGGAACCGUUAUGACUUAUUAGUUUUUGCUUAAUGAUGAUUUUAUGGUUUCACCAAUGCAAGUAAGGAUUAAGCCCUUACUAAGCACAUUUAAACUGUUAAAUUGAGUGUGUUACAUGGGCCAAGUGGGAGAAUGUUGGUGUAUUAGUGGCCUAUGCGCCACAUUACUGAAUGGGUUAUAAUUGAGAUUUAAAUAAUAGGCUAAAAUCUUAUUGGUCAAUUGGAAAAGCCUAACUACCCAUGAUAAAAAUGGAAAUAAGAGUUUUAUUGAAAUUGAUCCUCCCUCCACCCACGUCUAUAUAUGUAUCACGUUAUUUUUCUAUCCAUUAGAAAAGUGAGUCACUCUAAAGGAGUCAAGAGAGAGAGAGAUCAAUUUUGCUAAAUCUUUAAUUCUUGCAGUGAAACCUGAUUAAGAAAAUUGCAAUGGAUUAAGAUGUCUUUUCUCAAUUAUGAUGAUGUGAAAAUCAUAAUAUUUUAUGAUCUUAGCGAUGUGCUAAUAAUUUAUAUAUUAAUUUAAUUUUUCCCUGAUUUAAUUCAUGUCAAGUUAUAUUCUAUUACGUUAAUUUUUAUCUUAAUUUUUAUAUUUUGUUGUUUUAGGUAUAAUCUGGAUUAAAGAAAAAUUAAAUCAGAACAUUAAAAAAGAAAUCUACUUGAGGGAAGCAUGCUUGACUUUUCAACAAUUCUUCACCUCGUCGAAGAUUUUGUAAAUCUGAGCUGACUAUUUUCAAAUUUGUAAGAUAUUGAUCAAGUUUAGACAAUGUUCAAACUUGAUCGCCGUCACCACCUUAGUCAACAUAUCUGCUGGAUUCUCUGCAGUCUUGAUUUUCUGAAGAAGAAUCUUUCCCUCAUCAACAAUUUCCUGCAAAAAGUAAAAUCGUACGUCGUUAUGGUUCGUACACACAUGAUAAAUUUGAUUUUUUGUUAAAUGAAUAGCACUUUAAUUGUCGCAAUUCACAUUAAUGUGCUCAUGUGCCACCCCUAAGUUUUCAAGUAAGCUGUUGAGUGUUAGAAAAUGCAUAUUUAUAAAGGAGAAAACCAUCAUUUACAUUUCAAGUCUUACUAACAACUCUUACUUUUAUGUAUUUAACCUUCUUGUGAAGUAAUUACGCGUGUGUUAUUUUAAUUAAGUAUUUUAUGUAUUUUAGGGGCAUUAUAGUCAUUUCACAAUAAAGGAGAGAUUAAACGGCAAAACGGACAUCACUUUUGAACUCAGGACGGUCGAAAACCUUAGGAGGGGCAUAAAAGGAAAAAUGGCACUAUUCACAUGUACGGUACUAUUCACGUGUACGGUACUGUAUACGUUACUGUUCACAACACUGUUCACAUAGACGGAUCGAUGACGUGGCAUUGACCGAUGAUGUGGCAUUGACUGAUGAGGUGUCACGAUCCUGUUGGGCUAAAAUUCUUAUGUACUGUUGAUGGUGACGUGGCAGCAUAUCAGUGGAUGAAAAAUCUCGCGUACGGUACAUGCAUCACACAGGAUUAUUUUCAACCAAACCGCGUUACUGUUCAUCCGAGUCAAACCGCAUUACUGUUCAUCCGAGUCAAACUGUGUUACUGUUCAUCCGCGUGGUCAAACCGUGGACUGUUGACUGACGUGGCGCAAUCCUGAGCGUCCAAACUGUUUUUAAUCCGAUGGCCAUGAUUUACUCCAUGUAUCUAUAAAAAGGGGGCCUCCCCCCCUAAUUUGAUAUCUCUGAAUCCAUUUUUGGGAUCCAUUUUCUGUAAUUCCUUCUCCAUCUUGUAUUUUCUUUGUAUUUUAAUGAAUUCCCAUUUUGCCCCUAGUUUAAUUAUGAGUAGCUAAUUUCCUUUCAAGCUUGGGUUGAAGGUGAAGUCUCAACAUGUGUCAUGGGCUUUAUUUGGUAAAUUUAUUUUCUUUUCCCCUCUAGUUUUUGUGGAUGAUUUGACUUAUCGUCGACAAAUAAUACUGAUCUUGUCUAGAUACCGCCUUGGUUACACCGGCUCUCUAGUAUAAGGUUAUUAUUAUUUGGCACGAUAAGCCCUUAGCACCAUAUUGAUUAGAGCGUGGUUCAUGAGGUGUGGAUUCCCCCCUCAUGAUUUAAUUGGUAUUAAUAAGGAUUAUUUAGUCCAUGAUGCAUGUUGAUACGGAUCCAGAUACCCAAGUACGUCAUUUCAAUAUAAUUCUCUUCAAUUUAUUCUCGUCAAUUCAAUUCCAAUUUUAGAAUUUAUUCUCGCCAUUUUAAUUUAAGUUUUAGCAUAUUCCAAAUCAUUUCCACCACAAAUCCAACCACCCAUUUACAAAAUUAAUUCUAUACACAAUUAAAAUCCACCUCCUCGUGGGAUCGACACUCGUCACCAUUGAUCUAUACUACAAUAGAUUCGUGCGCUUGCGAGUACAUUAAAAUUUGCACAACAAGUUUUUGGCGCCGUUGCCGGGGAGGUAAGUAAUUUUAAUUCAUAGAAUUAAUUUUUGUGAAUAAUUUCUUUUAUUUGUUUUCUUGUAUUUUUUUUAAUUAUUUAAAAAAAAAGAAAAAAAAAAGUAAAUCUACAUUUAAAGGUUAGUAUUUCUUUUCUUUUUCUCUUCUUUAAAAUUCUGUAAUUUAAUUUUCAAUUUAUUUUUUUCUUUGUAAUUUUUGUUUAUUUUAUUAAUUUAAUUUUUAGUUAAUUUAUUUCACGUAUUUGUUUUUGUGUAUUUUUAUAGAAAGGUUGUAAUAGCGCAAUAAGGUUAGUAUCGUAAUUUCUCCCUCUUCUUUAUUUUUAUUUGUUUUGUUCCCAUCUUUAUUUUUAUUUUAUUUGCUUUGCAUGCAUGGUCGUAGGUCAUUAUUACCUAAUCUUGAACCUAUAGACCUUGAACUUGAGAAAACACUUCGCACACACAAGAACGUUAAAAAUAAAUUUGGAAUGGAUUUACAAGCACCACAGGAGAGGCCAUUUAAGGACUAUUUUAGUCCCUUAGCUAAUUUGAGCACAUCAUGUAUAAGAUACCCAAAUGUAGCUGCUAGGAGUUUUGAAUUAAAACCUAGUGUGCUAAAUUGUCUCCCAACAUUUUAUGGCCUAGAAAAUGAGGACCCAUAUAAUCAUCUGAAUGAUUUUCAUGCCAUUUGUCAAACUUUUAAAUAUGAAAAUUUUUCAGACGAUGAUGUUAAACUCAGAUUAUUCCCAUUUUCUUUAAAGGAUAGAGCUCGUUCAUGGUUAAAUACUUUGCCUGCUAACAACAUUUCAUCAUGGGAACAAAUGGUAACGAAAUUUCUGAAUAAAUAUUUCCCAGUUCAUAAAACCAACGCUAUUCGCAGGGAAAUCUCGGAGUUUACCCAAAGAGAGGACGAGCAGUUUUUCGAAACAUGGGAACGAUUCAAUGGGCUACUCUUGAAGUGUCCACAUCAUGGGUACGAAAAAUGGCACCAAUGCCAAUACUUUUUGGAGGGAUUAUUGCCGAAUGUGCAAGAAUGGCUAAUGGCAACAAGUGGAGGAGAGCUAAUGUCAAAAAGCGCAUCAGAGAUUUGGGAAUUCUUUCAGCGACAAGCGGAUAAUUCCCAACAACGGAGUCGAUCACUCAGGAAUACCAAAAGAAUUAAGGGAGUAAAUGAGGUUCAAAUUGGCGAGUCAACUUCGAGAAUCAAAGAAGUCAAGGAGAUGGUUGAAGGUCUUGCUCGACAAAUAGCAUCGUUAUCGACUGCUAAAUCAACAGAGCCACAUGACCAUGACUCAUACUCAGAUCAAGCCAAUGCCAUAGGUGUAAUGAGAAAGCCAUCUAAUUACAACCCAUACUCCAACAUAUAUAACCCUGGAUGGAGAGACCACCCCAAUUUUUCAUGGUCUCAAGGAUUCCAACAGAAUGGACCAGCAGCUCCAGCUCCACCAAUGCAACAAAUUCCUCAAAAUCCUCAAGCCUCUCAGCCUCCAUUUAGAACAUACAAUCAGAACCAGAACUACUCUCAACCCAGACCAUGGGAGGAUGCAUUCCAGAAUUUCAAGAAUGUUACUCACUCCACGAUUGAGCAACAGAAUCGCACCAUUGAUGGACUACGAAAUGAGUUGAGAGCAGGCUUCAAUUCACAAGCCCAAUCAGUUUCAAGCCUUGAGAAGAUGGUAGGACAACUUGCUUCUUCAGUUCAGACCUUGGCAAUGACUGUUGAGAAAGGUAAAUUUCCAAGUCAACCAGUGCCUAAUCCUAAAGGAGUACAUGAAGCAAGUACUAGUUCACCACAGCAGCAUGGAGAGGUCAAAGCAGUCAUGACCUUGCGAAAAGGAAAAGAAGUCGACAACAAAGUGGAGAUGCCGGUGACCAAAGAAAAUCAAAUUGUACCUGUGAAUGUUGAGGAAUCAUCACCGGAGGAAAAAGAAGAAACCAACUCACGAGAAUAUGUUCUUAAAGCUCCAUUUCCUCAGAGAUUAGCUAAAGGAAAGAAGGGAAAAUCCACAGGUGAGAUUCUCGAAAUCUUCAAACAGGUAAGUGUUAACAUCCCUUUGCUUGAUGCUAUUAAACAAGUUCCAUCUUAUGCCAAGUUUCUUAAAGACCUUUGUACUAAAAAGAGAAAUAUGCAUGUUCAAAAGAAGGCCUUUUUAACAGAAAAUGUUAGUUCUAUACUCCAACAUAAAAUUCCUCUAAAAUGCAAAGACCCAGGCUCCCCCACUAUCUCAUGUAGUAUAGGGAACCACACAAUUGAGAAUGCUUUGUUGGAUUUAGGAGCUAGUGUAAAUCUAUUGCCUUACUCAGUAUUUUUGAAACUUGGACUUGGAGAAUUACACCUAACUCCAGUGGUGUUACAACUUGCAGAUCGGUCCACAAAAAUACCUCGUGGUAUUGUGGAGGACGUGCUUAUCCAGGUAGACAAGUUUUAUUUUCCUGUUGAUUUCAUUGUAAUUGACACUCAACCAAUACAGGAUUCAAGGAAGCACAUCCCUAUUAUUCUAGGCCGACCUUUCUUGGCAACUGCGGAUGCUCACAUUCAAUGCAGGACUGGAAAUAUGCAGUUGUCCUUCGGCAACAUGACUAUGGAGCUAAACAUUUUUAACAUUGUCAAACAACCUCAUAAUGCAGGUGAUGAAGUUGUUGAUGUGGAUUUAAUUGAAGCAUUAGUUGAUGACACUUUUCUUUCAAACCUUAGUGAUGAUCCUUUACAAACAUGUUUAACUCACUUUGGUUUGGAUUUUGAUAUUGACAGAUCGGUCGAUGAGGUCAACGCCCUGCUUGACUCAGCACCAUCCAUGGACACUAAUAAAUGGAAGUUAAGAGUUGAACAACUAGCACCAUCAGAGAAGAAACUCAUCCCAUCAUCAGAGAAGAAACUCAUCCCAUCAUCAGAAUCACCACCGAAACUCGAGCUCAAACCAUUACCCAACACAUUGGAAUAUGCAUUUUUGGGGGAAGAAAGUACUCUACCGGUAAUCAUCUCAUCAUCCCUUAAUGACGAACAAAAAGGUAAGUUGUUGGAUGUUUUGAAAGAGCACAAAGGGGCAUUAGGAUGGACCAUAGCAGACAUCAAAGGUAUAAAUCCAGUAGACUGCAUGCAUUACAUUCACCUUGAUGAAAAUGCUAAAUCUACUAGGGAAAUGCAACGUCGGUUAAAUCCUAAUAUGAAAGAAGUUGUUAGAACAGAAGUCCUUAAGCUAUUAGACGCAGGUAUCAUUUACCCAAUUUCUGAUAGUUCAUGGGUCAGUCCUGUACAAGUUGUCCCCAAAAAGUCAGGAGUCACAGUAGUUACCAAUGAUGAUAAUGAAUUGAUACCAACUAGAGUAACUACAGGAUGGCGUGUAUGCAUUGAUUAUAGAAAGUUGAAUUCUAUCACACGUAAAGACCAUUUUCCUUUACCAUUUAUUGAUCAAAUGCUUGAUAGAUUAGCAGGCCAUGAAUUUUAUUGCUUUCUAGAUGGCUACUCAGGAUAUAAUCAGAUUCCCAUAGCACCAAAAGAUCAGGAGAAAACUACUUUCACUUGCCCUUUUGGCACUUUUGCAUAUAGGAGAAUGUCAUUUGGAUUAUGUAAUGCACCUGCUACAUUCCAAUGAUGCAUGUUGAGCAUUUUUUCUGAUAUGGUUGAACGAUUCCUUGAAGUCUUUAUGGAUGAUUUUUCUGUCUUUGGUGACUCGUUUGAUCAAUGUUUACAUCAUUUAACGCUAGUUAUGCAGAGAUGUACCGAGAAGAACUUAGUCUUGAAUUGGGAGAAGUGUCAUUUUAUGGUAAAACAAGGUAUUGUUCUCGGUCACAUCAUUUCGAGCAAAGGUAUUGAGGUUGACAAAGCCAAGGUGGAUCUCAUUUCUAAUCUUCCUCCACCUAAAACAGUCAGAGAAGUAAGAUCUUUCCUUGGGCAUGCUGGUUUCUAUAGACGUUUCAUUAAAGAUUUUAGCAAAGUUUCUAGACCCUUAUGCAAUUUACUUGCUAAGGAUGUACCUUUUAUCUUUAAUGAUUCAUGUCUUAUGGCUUUUGAAAAAUUAAAGCAAUUGUUGACAUCAUCACCCAUCAUUCAGGCCCCAAACUGGAGCUUACCAUUUGAGCUCAUGUGUGAUGCAUCUGAUUAUGCCGUAGGAGCAGUAUUAGGACAAAGAGUUGAUCGAAUUCCCCAUGUUAUUUACUAUGCUAGUAUGACAUUGAAUGAUGCACAGUUGAACUAUUCAACUACUGAAAAAGAAAUGCUAGCAGUAGUGUUUGCAUUAGAAAAAUUUCGAUCUUAUCUCAUUGGUUGUAAAAUAAUUAUAUUCACAGAUCAUGCUGCUCUUAAAUAUCUUCUCACAAAGAAAGAUGCAAAAGCUAGACUAAUUCGUUGGGUGUUACUUUUGCAGGAAUUUGACUUGGAAUUUAAAGAUAAGAAAGGCACAGAAAAUGUUAUGGCGGACCAUCUCUCUCGUCUCCAUUUUGACACAAUUACAGAGCCAUUACCAUUAAAUGAGUCAUUCCCAGAUGAACAAUUGAUGAAUGUGGAAGUAUUACCUUGGUAUGCUGAUGUAGUUAAUUAUCUUGUUACAGGUAAAUUUCCAGAGCAUUGGACCAAGCAAGACAAGGCUAAAUUCUUUGCAGAGAUAAAGAAUUUCUUUUGGGAUGACCCGUAUUUGUUCAAGUAUUGUGCAGACCAAAUUGUUAGACGAUGUGUCCCAGAAAGUGAAAUUCAGAAUAUCCUUUCAUUCUGCCAUGAACAAGCUUGUGGAGGCCAUUUCAGUGCUAAGAAAACAACGACUAAAGUUUUACAAUGUGGUUUCUAUUGGCCAACUAUAUUUCGAGAUGCUUACACUUUCUGUUCUUCAUGUGAUAGGUGUCAACGAAUGGGGAGCAUUACACGAAGGAACAUGAUGCCACUAAAUCCAAUUUUAGUGGUUGAGAUUUUUGACGUAUGGGGUAUCGACUUCAUGGGACCCUUUCCCCUUUCUUUUGGCCAUCAAUACAUAUUGGUUGGUGUUGACUACGUAUCGAAAUGGGUGGAAGCAAUUCCAUGCAGAACCAAUGAUCACAAAGUGGUGAUAGGAUUUUUGAAAAGCAACAUUGUUUCACGCUUUGGAUUCCCUCGAGCGAUAAUCAGUGAUGGUGGUGCCCACUUUUGUAACAAAGCAUUUAAAGCACUUUUGACAAAGUAUUCAAUCACUCACAAAGUGGCAACCCCAUAUCAUCCGCAAACCAGUGGCCAAGUUGAAAUCUCCAAUCAAGAAAUAAAGCACAUAUUAGAAAAGACGGUGAGGCCAGACAGAAAAGAUUGGUCAUUAAGACUUAGUGAUGCAUUAUGGGCAUAUAGAACGGCUUUCAAGACCCCGAUUGGGAUGUCACCCUACAGGCUAGUGUAUGGAAAAGCUUGCCACCUACCUGUGGAACUCGAGCAUCGUGCAUAUUGGGCCAUCAAGAAAUUCAACUUUGACAUGCAGCAAGCCAGCUCAGAAAGAAGAUUACAACUGGCAGAACUUGAAGAAAUUCGCAAUGAUGCAUACGAAAAUGCCAAAAUUUACAAGCAACGAAUGAAAGUCUUUCAUGACAAGCACAUUAUGAGAAAAUCUUUCACUCCAGGUCAGAAAGUGCUUUUAUUCAAUUCUUGCUUGCACCUAUUCCCAGGUAAGUUACACUCUCGAUGGUCUGGUCCAUUUAUUGUUCAUACUAUUUUUCCACAUGGGGCAAUUGAAAUUAAAGACCCAAAGAACGGUGUCACGUUUAAAGUUAAUGGUCAAAGAUUAAAGCCAUAUCUAGAGUACCAACCACAUGGAGAAGACACCGAAAUAAAUUUGAGUGACCCACCAAUUUGAAUUGAUUUUUUUCUUUCUUUAUAUUAUUCUUCUACUAAUUGAAAUUAUUUUUGCAUAAGUGUGUUUGUUUAACUGUUAAGUUUUCUUUUAUCAUUUUUAAUCAUGAGUACCAUACUUAGACCGUUCCUCCUGAACAUUCUUAAACCACUUCAACGUGUCAAAACUCAUCUCAAAAAGCAGAUUCAAUUUUGUAAAACACAACGCAUCUGGGCUCUACAACCACCAGAGUUAGUAGCCUAUGUUGAGAAUCUAGAAAGCCAACUCCGAGAUGUUGAGAGAAGUGUUUACGACAUCCAGUCGGAGCUUGAGGUAAAUUCAAUAAGAGGAUGAUUUUAAUUUUCUUUGUGUGUUUUGAUUUGUUUUUCUGUUUGUGUGCUUUAGUUUGUUACCCCGGUGAAGUGGCGGAUAACGGUACUCCGUGACAAUCAAGUCGGUUAACUUCAGUUUCCCACAAUAACUGACAUUCUGAGGCGAAAGUAUGGACAGAAACGAGAUUCUAGCGAAGCUUCACAAGCAAUUCCCUUCACUUCCUCAGAAUGCCCUCCUUACGAUCUAUAAAGCUCGAUCCGUACACAUGCGAUUACUCAUGAAGAAUAACAUACCUGCUGACAUCCGUUGGUUAAUCGAGGCUAAAGUACGAUCGGCAGGUGAGUUACCUCCAAAAUUUAUUGCAUUCAUGCCUGGUUGUGGUAAAGGAAAUUAUGCAAGAAAACGACGAGCUCGAAGAAUUUCUGUUGCUUGUCAUAAGUGUGCCAGAAUGAGUUGCGAUAGAAACCCAUGUUCUUUAGGAAUGGUGUCUGAUAACAGGGAAGAUAAGAUUCAAUUCAUUAGGGAUGGCUUGAAUAAGGAGUCAUUGGAUGAUAUCCUUUUGUCUCUUGAAACGCAUCCUAGUGGAUAUGUGCAAGGAGCGAUUCUCCGGUUAUGGCCAUUAUUCCAGAAAGAGCAUGCACGAUAUAGUCUCGGGAAUCUGACUAUAAACGACCCUGUUUGUCAGUUUAUAAGAAAACUGGAUGGGAAGCCGAUCCUCGACCCAUAGAGGGCGUUCAAGCCGUUUCUGGACGUAAAACCAGAGGAAGAUGUGAGCCACAGUCGCAACUACGUGUAAAUAUCCUUUUACUUUACUGUUAUUUUAUUUCAUUUCACUGUUGUUUUAUUGUUUGCAUUAUUGUCUUUAAUAAUUUUGUUACUGUUUGCUUUUCCCUUUUUACUGUUUCCUUUUUGACUCGCGAGCCACGUGCUUUACGCGUUAUUUGACACUGACAUGUUACCUCAUUCACAGCUGUGAUCCACUGUCACCAAUAUUCUUAAAUAUGAUUUAUCUUUUGUCAAGCACUCACAAAUUGUUUUUGAGAACUAUCACAAUGGCAGCUACUCCCAAUAGACAAUUCAAGAACAUUUGUGUGCUUUCUGGAUUUACCUAUGGCAAACAUAAAGAGUUCGUUGAGGCAGCUAUAGAUCUUGGUCGAAGCAUAGCAGCGAGAAAAUUACACUUGGUGUAUGGAGGAGGUAACCGAGGGUUAUCAAAAAUGGUCUCAGAAGCAGCUUUUAUCAGAGGAAGUCAAGUGUUAGGCAUCAUCCCAAGAGUCCUAAAACCAUUGGGCAGUUCGUCUGACUCAUCAACUGGAGAAGAGUUAGUCGUCUCAGGUAUGCAAGAAAGAAUAACUGAAAUGCUUAAUCAUGCUGAUGCUUUUAUUUUCCUUCCAGGAGAUCUUGCAACACUAGAGGCACUUAUGACACUAGCAUCUUGGGCCCAUCUACACAUUCACCAGAAACCCAUCGGUUUGUUAAAUGUCAAUAACUUUUAUGAUGGCUUUAUCGCAUUUCUUAACCAUGCAAUAAAAAACUAUUUCAUUCAUUCUAAUGUGAAAAAACUCUUUAUUUGUGCUCACAUUGCUAAUGAGCUACUUGAUAUGUUACAAGCUUAUAAACCGGAGCCAGACCCCUGGACCGUUGUGUUGGAGCGACCAAAUAAUGAUGGUAACAGUAACCGCAGUAAGAAGUACAAAUUAGAUUUAACUCUCCGCCUGUAAAUAUUUUCUUCUGUGUUGCACCACCCAGGUGAUGUCUUCUAAACUCUACUUCUUUCUUUUAAAACAUUGAGGACAAUGUUUCGUUCUGGUUGGGGGGAGGGAAUAGUCGACAAUUGUGGAAUCUUGGUUAAGUUUUUACUGAUUUUUUGUUGUAGAAACUAACUGUUGCUAACGUUUUGUGUUGAAGAUGGCUGAAUAUGGAGUGUAGUUACUCUAGAAACGCAUCUUCAUCGUUUUAAAAAAAAAAAAAAACCGUUUUCUUCCUCUUUCUCCUUUAUAAAUAUAUAUUUUCAAAUUUUUGAGUCGAAGAUGGCUGAAUAUGGAGUGUAGUGCCUCUAGAAACGCAUCUUCUUAGUUAAAAAAUUUUUUUUUUCUUUUUCUAAUUAAUUUUUCUACAUCAUUUUCACAUUUCUGCAUGCAUAUUUUCCUUUCAUGUUUAGAAUAGGUUGGGGGGUAGAAUGUUGUUUAAAAAAAAAAUUGUGUUAUUUGUUUUAACAUUGGAUGACAUGAUUAAUUUCAAAUUUUAGUAUUUGUAUUAUCUUUGGUCUUAAGUGAUGUUACGCUAUGUUUGCUACUUUACAUGUUGAUGUCAAAGACAAAUAUGAGUUGCUUGAAGGAAUGAACAUGUCAUAAAUAAGUGCCAAGUGAGUUGUUGAGCCUAUCAUUUUCUUGGAGAGUAACCCUUUUGCCCAUUCUCUAUACAGCUUAGCAGUUUAUUAUUUUAUAAACGAUCUCUAGAUUUCUUUUGAGUUAACCCUUAAAAAAAAAUGGUAAAAUUAAAAAAAAAAAAAAAAGAAAAAAAUGUGUGUUGCUACAUUAGGAGGCCCAUCUAACUAGUAGAUAUGGAUGAUUAUUUAGAGCCCUAAAAGACGAUGGAAAGACCAUCUUUGAUCCGUUUGAGCCUUUCUAGCCAUCCCUUUUAUUAAAUAUCCAUAGUUACCCCUUUUGAGCCUUUAAAAAAAAAAAAAAAAACCUUUUCUUUGUCAACUUAUCAUCUUGACCCACUCCGAUUUGGAGUAUUACCCGAUGUCUUAUAAGUUCCAUCACCUAUUUAUGUUUGAGAAAAUGUAAAUAAUUAUAUUGUUCAGUGAAGUUAUGCCAAAUAAAAGCAAAAAAAAAAAAAAAGCCAAAAAAAAAACAAAAAAAAAACAAAAGUUGUUGUUUCAAAAGAAUAAAAAUAACAAUAAUAGGUGAAAUACACCUUACAACUUUAAAAAAAAAAAAAAAAAAUUUCUGCAUUUUUCUCAAACAUACACUUUGUUUUCCUUAUUUCCUUUCUUUGUUAGCCAUAUCUCUAGCCUACGUUACGUCCUAAUAAAAGUCCUUCUUGAUUUUAGGGAACUAUAGUUUGAAGUAGAAGCUAGUUAUAUGGGCUAAAAAGAUGUAGUGAUGCAUAAAAAAUAAAUAAAUAAAUAAAUGAAGUGGGUUGACUAACAUUUUAUUUGACUUGAGAUCGUAUUAUUUCUAAGCUGAUGGCAUAUUUAUUUCAUCUUGGUGAGAGCAUGUGAUAUCAUUUCUUUAUUAUUUUCUCUCUCAAUUACCAUUCAUUGGAGUGACUAUGUUUAUUGGGUUUUAAUUUCUUUGUGAGAGUGUCACUACUUCCAGUGAGAUUUUGGGGUUUGACAUGUCAUUCUUGAAAGUAGUUAUAACAAAGUCUACUGGGCUAAUUCAUGUGGAUGGUUGAUGUGGGUGUGAUGUUGCUUUAGACUGGAGAUAAUGCUUAUACUUUUAUUUGAUUGCUAUCAUUAAUCUGAUUGAAUAAACACGAGUGUUUCUAAAAAAAAAAAAAAAAAUCAUUUUGAAUUUAAAUUUUGUUUUCGCUUUAUUUGCUAGGGACUAGCAAUAAGCUGGUUGGGGGGUGUGUUGAGUGAUAGAAAAUGCAUAUUUAUAAAGGAGAAAACCAUCAUUUACAUUUCAAGUCUUACUAACAACUCUUACUUUUAUGUAUUUAACCUUCUUGUGAAGUAAUUACGCGUGUGUUAUUUUAAUUAAGUAUUUUAUGUAUUUUAGGGGCAUUAUAGUCAUUUCACAAUAAAGGAGAGAUUAAACGGCAAAACGGACAUCACUUUUGAACUUAGGACGGUCGAAAACCUUAGGAGGGGCAUAAAAGGAAAAAUGGCACUAUUCACAUGUACGGUACUAUUCACGUGUACGGUACUGUAUACGUUACUGUUCACAACACUGUUCACAUAGACGGAUCGAUGAUGUGGCAUUGACCGAUGAUGUGGCAUUGACUGAUGAGGUGUCACGAUCCUGUUGGGCUAAAAUUCUUAUGUACUGUUGAUGGUGACGUGGCAGCAUAUCAGUGGAUGAAAAAUCUCGCGUACGGUACAUGCAUCACACAGGAUUAUUUUCAACCAAACCGCGUUACUGUUCAUCCGAGUCAAACCGCAUUACUGUUCAUCCGAGUCAAACUGUGUUACUGUUCAUCCGCGUGGUCAAACCGUGGACUGUUGACUGACGUGGCGCAAUCCUGAGCGUCCAAACUGUUUUUAAUCCGAUGGCCAUGAUUUACUCCAUGUAUCUAUAAAAAGGGGGCCUCCCCCCCUAAUUUGAUAUCUCUGAAUCCAUUUUUGGGAUCCAUUUUCUGUAAUUCCUUCUCCAUCUUGUAUUUUCUUUGUAUUUUAAUGAAUUCCCAUUUUGCCCCUAGUUUAAUUAUGAGUAGCUAAUUUCCUUUCAAGCUUGGGUUGAAGGUGAAGUCUCAACAUGUGUCAUGAGCUUUAUUUGGUAAAUUUAUUUUCUUUUCCCCUCUAGUUUUUGUGGAUGAUUUGACUUAUCGUCGACAAAUAAUACUGAUCUUGUCUAGAUACCGCCUUGGUUACACCGGCUCUCUAGUAUAAGGUUAUUAUUAUUUGGCACGAUAAGCCCUUAGCACCAUAUUGAUUAGAGCGUGGUUCAUGAGGUGUGGAUUCCCCCCUCAUGAUUUAAUUGGUAUUAAUAAGGAUUAUUUAGCCCAUGAUGCAUGUUGAUACGGAUCCAGAUACCCAAGUACGUCAUUUCAAUAUAAUUCUCUUCAAUUUAUUCUCGUCAAUUCAAUUCCAAUUUUAGAAUUUAUUCUCGCCAUUUUAAUUUAAGUUUUAGCAUAUUCCAAAUCAUUUCCACCACAAAUCCAACCACCCAUUUACAAAAUUAAUUCUAUACACAAUUAAAAUCCACCUCCUCGUGGGAUCGACACUCGUCACCAUUGAUCUAUACUACAAUAGAUUCGUGCGCUUGCGAGUACAUUAAAAUUUGCACAACAUAAGCCUUGUAACCAAAUAGCCUCUUUAACAACCUCUAUAAUUGCCAUGUACUCGGCUUCUGUGGUCGACAGUGCAACUGUAGACUGUAGUGUAGACUUCCAACUAAUUGGCCCUCCAGCAAAAGUAAAUACAUAUCCGGUGGUUGACCAUCGUUUGUCCAAAUCACCAGCAUAAUCAAAAUCAAUGUACCCGAUCACACCUUACCCAAUUGUAUCAUCUCUCUCAAACAGUAAACCAACGUUCAUGGUCUUCUGAAUGUACCAUAGAAUCUAUUUCACAGCUUGCCAAUGUCCUUUACCAGGAUUAUGCAUAUACCCGCUCACUAUACCAACUGCAUGUGAAAUGUUAGGCCUUGUACACACUAAUGCAUAUGAUUAGUGUUAAAAAUUGCAUGUUUAUUAAGGGAUAAAAAUGUUAUUUUGUUUUAUUAAUGUAAUUUAUAUUUGUAAUUGUGUAACAUAUUGUGAAUUUCUAAUUAUUUUUCUAAAUAUUUGAUUUUAUGUAUUUUUGUGUGUUUAUUAGGUAAAAAUAAUAAUUUUAUGCAAUUUGAGGCUCCGAACAAAUGUAUGGAUGUGAAAUUUGGAUUCCGGAAGUCCGAGAAAUUAUGUAAUUGUCGAGGAGGAUCCAAGACUUUUGUUGUAAAUUUUUACGUUUUUACCAUGGUAAAUGUGGUAAUUGUAAAAUUAUAAGUUUUUAUCAUGUUAUGUAUGAUAAUUGUUAGUGGAAUGUGUUAGAUAUGCUUGAGUUGAUAAGUUAGGUUUAUGUUUUAUUAGUGGGAUUAUUAGUGGGACAAAUGUAAGGUUAAGAUGUAAUUAGAUUUUUUUAUUUGUAUGGUGAGGAUUUACCAUGUAUUAGUAUAAAUAGAGGGGGGGGGGGGGGAGGUGAACACACCUCUCCACACCUUCUCUUCUUUUCUUUCCCCCCAAAUUAUUCUUCUUAUCUCUCUUUGUAAUUUAUUUUCAAUCAAUAAAUUUGUUUUAUUUCAAUUUUCAAAUUCCAUUUUUAAUUAUGUGUUUUUCAAUUUUAGUAAUUUCCUUUAUUAAAAAAAUGUUUAGCUGAAUAAUAAUAGUUAGGGGAAAGGUGAAACUCUUAGGAAAUAAAUAUGAUUUAAUCAAAUUCUAUUUUUAAUUUUAUAAAUUAAGUUAUUUUUUAUUUAAUUUUAUACAUAUUUUAUAUUAUGAAAUUUUGAUUUAUUGUAGACAAACAAGGAAGUUUUGCACAAUAAAUUCUUUUUAUCUUAAUAUAAGGUAUGGUAAAAUGAUAUUUUGACUUAUUGUAGACAAAUUAAAUUUCGGCACAGUGAAUACUUAAUCCAUCAUAAAAUUAAAGGGAAAAUAAUAAUAAUUUAUAUAAUUAAUCUUUUGGGCAAUAAAUCUAAAAAAAUAGCAAAAAAAAUUUAUUAAGUUUUAUUUACAACUAAGAGUGAAUCCACAACCCUAACUAAUUCAAUUUCAUAGUUUUAUUUAAAUUAAGCUGUUUAUAUUUAAGUUUUAUUUUCAAAUUUUAGAUAAAAUAAAAUAAACAAAUUAAAUAUUUUCUCUGUGGAUCGACCUCGGACUCACCGAGAUAUAUUAUAACUAGGCACUCUUAUACUUGAGAGUAAAUCAAACACUUUUAAGUCGUGUCAAGUUUUUAGCGCCGUUGACGGGGACAAGUAUUUAUUUUGUUUUAUUUUUCCUUUUAUUUUUAAUUUAUUUUGUGUAAAUUUUCAUUUUCCCCCUUUUCUUUUCUUAAAUUCUCUUGUACCCCCACAUCUUUCAUAAUUCUAGUUUCACCCCAAGAAUUCUCGUUUCUUGCUCAUUCUUCUCAUAAUUACAUUCUGACCCUAAAACUUUCUGAAGCUUCACUUUCAUCCCACAUGACUCAAUUUUAAACUUCUAAAAAUUACGGUGUGGACAUAAAAUUAUAAAUAAUUUGCAAUAAGAUCCCUAGACGAAAUUUCUCACAAUAAUUAGACUUGGACUUAUUUGGACUUAAUUUGGACCAAGCAAACUAACUACUAAUUUUUUUAACUAACUAACUACUAAUUUUUAACAAACUAACUACUACUUCUUUAUUUCAGUUUUUUUAUUUCGCAUUUUUUUCUUUUUAUUGGUGGGUUCAACCACCAAAGUUGUUAUUUAAUUUUAAGUUAUUUUAUUAUUUCACUUUUUUUUGUUAAUUUAAUUGGUGGGUUCAACCACCAAAAUUGUUAUUUAAUUUUAAGUUAUUAAUUUUCUUUUGUACACCCAUAUUAUUUGCAUAUUUAAUUAUCAUUUUUUCUUUUUACAAUUUUCAUUUAUUUUUUGUGUUACUAAUUUGUUUGUUAUCUUUGUGAUAUAAUUAUUGUAUGAGACGUUGGUCUCGAACUUCAAGUGACAGGUUAAUUCGUAAAUCUCAAUCACCACCACCAAUCAUGGACGAGAUCCAAGAUGAAAACAAUUUAGGCCAACUUAAUCCUCUAAUUGAUCAGGGAGACAAUCAAUCUCAACAUGAUCAGAAUCAACCAAAAACUUUGAGAGACUACAUGAAUCCAACAAGAACUGGAGCACUGUCGUGUAUAGUAUUUCCUCAAGAAGCAUCUCGAUUUAACUUCAAACCAGGUAUUAUCCAACGUUUACCAACAUUUCAUGGUUUAGAAUAUGAAAAUCCAUAUUUGCAUCUAAGAGAUUUCGAGGAAGUUUGUAAUACAUACACAGACCAAAAUUGUAGCAUGAACAUAAUUAGAUUAAAGCUUUUUCCUUUUUCAUUAAAAGAUAAAGCUAAAACUUGGCUACAAAACCUUAGAUCUGGAUCAAUAAGAACUUGAAAUAACAUGCAAGAAAAAUUUUUGAAAAAAUUCUUUCCACCUCAUAGAACAAAUUCUUUUAAAAGGCAAAUCACUUUUUUCACUCAAAAAAAUGGAGAAACAUUAUACCAAUGUUGGGAUAGGCUUAAAGAAUUGCUAAACAUAUGUCCACACCAUGGUUUUGAAACUUGGCGAUUGGUCACUUAUUUCUACAAGGGCUUAAUACCACAAACUAGACAAGUUGUAGAAAUGAUGUGUAAUGGUGAAUUUAAAGAUAAAAAUCCUGAAGAUGCACUAGAUUACCUUGACCAACUAGCUGAAAAUGCACAACAUUGAGAUACUGUUGGAACUUUUGAAUUAACUAAUAAACCACAGCCAUCUCCAUCUAGUGGAGGAAUCUACAACCUUAGGGAAGAUCAUGAUUUACAAGCAAAAUUUGCAUCCCUAGUUAGGAAGGUUGAAGCUUUGGAAAAUAAAAAAAGUGAUCAAGUAAAAUCUGUUCAAGAAAUUGCAUGUGAUGUUUGUAGUUCUAAUGAUCAUUUCACUCAAGAUUGCCCCACCCUGCCUGCACUUAAAGAAUGUUUGCAUGAUCAAACUAAUGUCAUCAACACUUUUAACAAGCCAAACCCAUAUUCACAGACUUAUAAUCCUGGUUGAAGAAAUCAUCCAAAUUUUAGUUGGAGGAAUAAUAAUAAUGCACAAUUUUCACAAGCACCACCUCCACAAAAUUUUCAAAAUACUCAGCCUUAUGCACCAUAUGUUCCACCACCAUGGAAAAAUUUGGAAGAUACAAUGCAUUCAUUCAUUAGGAAGCAAGAUGUUAUUAACAAUCAAAAUGCACAAACCUUUUUUUAUUUGAAAUAUACUCUUGCUAAAAUUGCUUAUGCACUCACAAUUCAAGAAAAAGUAAAAUUUCCAGCUCAACCACAACCAAAUCCUAAGAUUCAAAAUGCACUCAUGGACUAUGUUAAGCCAGUUAUAACUCUUCGUAGUGGUAAGGUUAUUGAUCGGCCUAUUCCUGAACCUUAUGAAAAUGAAAAUUCAAAGGGUAAGGAAGAACUAGAUAAACUUACACCUAGUGAAAAAAUAACUAAUGUGCCAUAUGAACCACCAUUUCCGCAUGUAUUGAAUAAACCAAGGAAAUCAAACAACUCUUCUGAAAUUUAUGAAAUCUUUAAGCAAGUGAAAGUUAACAUUACUUUGUUAGAUGCAAUCAAGCAGGUACCUUCAUAUGCCAAAUUUUUAAAAGACUUAUGCACUGUUAAGAGGAAAUUGAAGGUAAAAAAGAGUGCUUUCAUGGCUGAACAGGUAAGUACCAUUCUAUCUACUAAUAAUAAGUUGAAAUAUAAAGAUCCUGGUUGUCUUACUAUUUCUCGUAUUAUUAGAGAUCACAAAAUUGAGCUUGCUUUGUUAGACCUUGGCGUUAGUGUUAAUUUGAUUCCACAUUUAGUUUAUUUUCAACUUAAUCUUGGUGAGUUAAAACCAACUUCAACUAUACUUUUGCUUGCCGAUAGAUCAGUUAAAAUACCAAAAGGAAUAGUAGAAGAUGUUUUAGUACAAGUUGAUAAAUUUAUAUACCCUGUGGAUUUUAUUGUUUUAGAAACUGAACCUGUUGUGAAUAAUUAUAAACCAAUUCCUGUAAUUUUGGGUCGACCAUUUUUAGCAACUGUUAAUGCUUUGAUUAAUUGUAGGAAUGGUUUAAUGAAUUUUUCAUUUGGAAAUAUGACUCUGGAAUUGAAUGUUUUCAAUAUGUGUAGGCAACCUAAUGAGGAAAAUGAGAAUGAAGAUGAAAUUGAUGAACAAAAGGAAUUGCUUGAAUCUUGUAUAGAGGAGAAUAUUCAAAAAUGGAGUUUUUCUAAACUUAGUGAUAUUUGUUUGGUUAAUUUGAUUGAAUCAAAUAAACAACUUGAACAUGAUACUUCUAAUAUAAAUUUGUUAUUUGAUUCUUGUCAGACUUUGCAAAGUGAUUAUGGGAAACCAAAAUUUGAGGAGCUUGGAAUCAUUGAAAAGACUGAACAACAAGAAGCACCUAAAUUAGAAUUUAAACCUUUGCCAGAGGGAUUGAAGUAUGCUUAUCUUGGAGAAGAACAAACUUAUCAUGUUGUGAUUUCUUCGACCUUAUUAAGCGACCAAGAAGGUAAGUUACUAUAUGUUCUUAAAAAGCAUAAAAACGCAAUUGGAUGGACUUUAAAUGACAUUAAAGGUAUUAAUCCUUUAAUUUACACACAUAGAAUCAAUUUGGAAGAAAAUGCUAAAACAUGUCAACAACCUCAAAGAAGAUUAAACCCACACAUGAAAGAAGUAGUAAAAACAGAAGUUCUUAAGUUACUUGAUGCGGGAAUUAUCUACCCUAUCUCUGAUAGUAAGUGGGUAAGUCCUACACAAGUAGUGCCUAAAAAAUCUAGAAUCACUGUAGUUAGAAAUGAAAAAGACGAAUUAAUUCCAACACGAAUUACGUCUAGUUGGCGCAUGUGCAUUGAUUAUAGGAAAUUAAAUGAAGCCACUAGAAAAGAUCAUUUUCCAUUACCAUUUCUUGACCAAAUCUUAGAAAGAGUAGCUGGACAUCCCUACUACUGGUUUUUAGAUGAAUAUUCAGGUUAUUAUCAAAUUCCUAUAGCACUUGAAGACCAAGAAAAAACCACAUUUACAUGUCCCUUUGGAACAUUUGCAUUUAAAAGAAUGUCAUUUGUACUUUGUAAUGCUCCUGCAAUAUUUCAAAGAUGUAUGCUAAGUAUUUUCACUGAUAUGAUUGAACAUUGUUUAGAGGUCUUUUAUGGAUGAUUUGACAGUGUUUGAGAAUUCUUUUGAUGAUUGCCUUGAUAAUUUGGAAAACGUUUUAAAAAGAUGUGUUGAAAAAGAACUCGUUUUAAAUUGGGAAAAAUGUCAUUACAUGGUUACUUCUGGAAUUGUUUUGGGUCAUAUUGUAUCUUUUAAAGGAAUUGAAGUUGACAAAGCAAAAAUUGAAGUCAUAUCUAAAUUGCCACAACAAAAAACAAUUAGAGAUGUGCGAUCCUUUUUAGGGCAUGCAUGAUUUUAUAGGAGGUUUAUAAAAAACUUUAGUGUCAUAUCUAAACCACUUUGUAACCUCUUAUUAAAAGAUGCACCACUUGAAUGGACUGAUGAUUACCAAAAAUCUUUUGAGAAAAUAAUUUAUCUUUUGACAUAUGCACCUAUUAUGCAAUCUCCUGAUUGGUCUUUACCUUUUGAAUUAAUGUGUGAUGCAAGUGACUUUACUGUUGGUGCUGUUUUAGGACAAAAAAAGGAUCGUCAGUCAUUUGUGAUUCAUUAUGCGAGUAAGACUUUGGAUAGUACUCAAAUGAAUUAUUCUACAACUGAAAAAGAAUUACUUGUUGUGGUGUAUGCAUUAAACAAAUUUCGCUCAUAUUUGCUUGGUUCUAAAACUGUUGUUUUUAUUGAUCACGCUGCUGUGAGAUAUUUGAUGACUAAACAGGAUGCCAAACCAAGACUAAUUCAUUGGAUUUUGUUACUUCAAGAAUUUGACCUCACCAUCAAAGAUAAAAAGGAUGCCGAAAAUGUCGUUGCUGAUCAUUUAUCACGACUCACAUAUGAAAUCUGCACUGAUAUAACACCCAUCAAUGAUUCCUUUCCUGAUGAAUUUUUAUUAUCUGUUACUUCCAUACCAUGGUAUGCUAACAUUGUUAAUUUCCUUGUUACAGGUAAAAUGCCUUCGCAAUGGAAUACUCAGGAGAAGAAGAAAUUUUUGGUUGAAGUAAAAAAAUUUUAUUGGGAUGAUCCUUACUUGUUCAAAUAUUGCCCUGAUCAGAUUUUUUGACGAUGUAUUCCUGAUAAUGAGGUAAGUAAUGUCAUUAAUUUUUGUCAUUAUGAAGCAUGCAGUGGACACUUUUCUUCAAGAAAAACUACGGCUAAAAAUUUGCAAUGUGGAUUUUAUUGGCCUACCAUAUUCAAAGACACAUGAAUUUCAUAAAACUUGUGAAAACUGUCAAAAAUUAGGAUCAAUUAGUAAAAGAAACAUGAUGCCCAUAAAUCCCAUACUUGAGAAUGAAAUAUUUGACUGUUGGGGAAUUAAUUUCAUGGGUCAAUUUCCACCAUCUUUUGGAUUUGUGUACAUAUUAGUUGCAGUUGAUUAUGUCUCAAAAUGGAUUGAAGCAAUGUUUGGUCGAAAUAAUGAUAGUAAAACCGUCAUUAAAUUUUUAAGAGAAAACAUUUUAAGUCAAUUUGGAAUCCCUCGAGCCAUUAUUAGUGAUGGAGGUAGGCAUUUUUGUAAUAAGUCAUUUGAGUCUUUAAUGAAAAAAUAUGGAAUUACACAUAAAGUUGCUACCUCUUAUUAUCCUCAAACAAAUGGUCAAGUUGAAUUAGCAAAUAGGGAGAUAAAACAAAUUUUAGAAAAAAUAGUUAACCCAAACCGCAAAGAUUGGUCUCUUCGAUUGACUGAUGCACUUUGGGCAUACUGUACUGCAUUUAAAACAUCUUUAAGAAUGUCACCCUAUCGGCUAGUUUAUAGUAAACCUCGUCACUUACCUGUUAAACUUGAGCAUAAAUCAUUUUGGACUGUUAAAGCUUUUAAUUCAAAUUUGGAUGAUGCUGGUAAUGUGCGAAAAUUGCAAUUGAAUGAGCUUGAGGAAUUAAGAAAUGAUGCAUAUGAAAUUUCAAGAAUUAUUAACGCAAGAACAAAAAAUUUUCAUGAUGAAAUUUUUUUUUUCGAAAAACAUUUAAAAUUGGUCAAAAAGUGUUGCUUUAUAAUUCUCGUCUUAAUUUGUUUUCAGGAAAGUUAAAGUCAAAGUGGAGUGGCCCAUUUAUUGUAAAAAAUGUAUAUCCACAUGGGGCUGUAGAAAUUGAGAAUAAAAAAAAUAGUGUCACAUUUAAAGUUAAUGGACAAAGAAUAAAGCCCUAUCUGGAAUACCAACCACGUGAACCAAGCACUAAAAUAAAUUUGAGUGACCCACAAAAUCUUGAUUAAGUUUUUAAUGAGUGUUUUAACUUUUCACUGUUGUUUUACCGUUUGAAUUGUUUGACUGUCUUGAAUGAUACGCGUUGUGAUGUUUCUUACUUAAGUGUGUUUAAUAAUUGUGUUUUCUUCAUCAUCAUACAUUAUGAGUACCUCAAUAAGGAAGAUUCUGUUCACACAUCUUAAAAGACUUUUGCGAAUAAGAUUUCACUUGAGAAGAUUGAUACAAAGUUGUAAAUCACAUCCAAUUUGGGAACGACAACCACCAGAAUUAGUGGCCUACGUUGAGGAUCAAGAAAGACAACUCAGAGCAAUAGAGCGUGGCAUAUAUGAAUUUCAAUUGGAGCUUGAGGUUAACUCAAUGAGAGGACGAAUGUAAGUUCAUUUUCCUUUGUACAUAUUGUGUUUCUUUUUUGUUGUUCACUUUCACGUUUGAUUUGAUUUUGCAGAUUUGAUUUUGGUGUGUUUUGAUUUAUUUUCCCGUAUAAAUGGCAGAUAACGGUACUCCGUGACUUCUUAAGUCGGUAUCCUCAGUUUCCCACAAUAAUUGAAAUCUCAAAAUCAAGCAUGGAAGAAAUACAACAUAAAUUGCAUAAUCGUUUUGCUUCUCUCCCUCAAAAUGCACUCAAAAAAAUUUACAAAGCUCAUUGUGAAAGAUUGCAUUUGUUAAUGAUCAACGGAAUUCCUUCUGAUAUUCGUUGGUUAAUUGAAGCAAAAGUCUGAUUAGCUGGUGAGUUUCCUGAUCCAUUUAUUUCUUACAUGCAUGGUUUUGGUAAAAGCACAUUUGCUAAAAAACGGAGAGCUAGAAGACUUGGCUCAGAAUGUCAUAAUUGUGUACAACUUAGUUGCAAACUAGAAGUUUGUAAAUCUUUAGGAAUGGUUUCUGAUAAUCAAGAAGAUAAAAUUAAAUUCGUUAAAGAUGGCAUGAGUAAAGAAUCGUUGGAUGAUAUCUUACGAUCUCUUGAGACGCAUCGAAGCGGACAUGUGCAAUAUGAGAUACACAGGUUAUGGAAACUAUUCCAAAAAGAAAGUGCACAAUUUAGUCUUGGGAAUCUGACUCAAAAAGACCAUGUUUGCCAGUUUAUAAGAAAAUUGGAUGGGAAGCCUAUCCUCGAUCCAUAAAGGGCGUUCAAGUCGUUACUGGAUGUAAAACCAGAGGAAGAUAUGAGCCACAAUCACAACUACCAGUAAAUAUCCUUUUACUUUAUUGUUCUUUUAUCAUUUACAUUAUUGCAUUUAAUGGUGUGAUUUUGUAUUUAAUCAUUAUUUGUUUUCUUUUACUUUUUUUUUCUUUUCAAUGUUUGCUUUUCUUUUUACUGUUUUUUUUUUAAUAAUUGAGACAUGAGCUUUACGCGUCAUUUGACAAAUACAACAACCCAUUUACAACUGUUUCUUAUUUUGUCUGUCACUCAGAUCUUUAAAUAAGAGCUCUUUUUCCAAACCACUCACAACUUAUUUUUGAAGAUUAUUCUAAUGGUAGCAUCUUCGAGUAGACAAUUCAAAAAUAUUUGUGUGCUCUUUGGAUUUCAUUAUGGAAAAUACAAAGAGUUCGUUCAAGCAACUGUAGAUCUUGGUAGUGCCAUAGCUGAGAGGAAACUUCACCUUGUAUAUGGAGGAGGUGACCGCAGGUUAUCAAAACUUAUCUCAGAAACUGUUUUUAUUAUAGGAAACCAGGUACUAGGUAUCAUUCCACAAGCCUUAAAACCUCUGGGAUGCACGUUUGAUGUACCAAUUGGAGAAGAGUUAGUUGUCUCAAGUAUGCAAGAACGAAUAACUGAGAUGUUAAAUCAUGCUGACGCUUUCAUUUUCUUGCCAAGAGAUCUUGCAACUUUAGAGGCAUUGAUUACAUUUGCAUCUUGGGCCCAUUUAAACAUCCAUAAAAAACCCAUCGGUUUACUAAAUGUUAAUAAUUUUUUUUGAUGGGUUGCUCACAUUCAUUAACCAUGCAAUUAAGAAUCAUUUUAUUCCAAUCUCUUUGUUUGUGCUUCUACUGCUAAUGAGUUACUUGAUCUUUUACAAGCUUACAAACCAGAGCCAGAUCCUAAAACCUUGGCAUUGGAAUGGUCGACUAAUGAUGGUAACCCUAGCCCUAGUAAGAAGUACAAGCUGGACUUAACUCUUCGGUUGUAACUAUCUUCUCAGAGCUAUGAGGUUAUGUCUUCUAAACUCUACUUCUUUCCUUUAAGUCAUUGAGGACAAUGUCUUGUUCAGGUUGGGGGGAGGAAAUAGUUGACAAUUGUGGAAUAUUGCAAAUCCUAGUAAUGCUUUUGUCGAAGAUGGCAGAAUAUGGGGUGUAGCGACUCUAGAAAUGCAUCUUCAGCAGCUUGUUCAGGUGUGAUCUUUCCUAUUUCUUCUUUUAUUUUUUUAAUUUUUUUUUCCUUUUUGCAUGCAUAUUUUUAAAUUAUGAAUUAUGUUUAGAUUAGGUUGGGGGGGGGGGAGGGUAGUUGACGUAAAUUGUAACUAGGUGUGUUUAUUUUUUUUAAAAAAAAGCCCAAAAAAAACCAAAAACAACAAUUUUUGUGUCUAGGAUGGCUGUGUAAAGAGUCACAACUUUUGAGACGCAUCCUAAUAGUCUUAUUGUAUUAUAUUUUGAUUUUAAAAUUCAUAAUAAGUUGUUUUUGUUCCAUUUUCUUUGAAUUACUCAAAUUUGUGAACUCUCCUCCAUUUAGUUAUAAAGUUAUUUUGUAGUUUACUCAUUUAACAGGUAUUAUUAAAUCAUUCUUCACACACACACACUAUGACACAUACUAGUGGGUUGUAAGUUAAAAUUUUUGCAGCAUUUAGUUCUUUUAAUUUAUUAGGGAUAAUAUCUAAGGUGGUAGAAAAUGUAUAUUGCAAAAAAGAAAAAAAAAAGAGGUGAAAAAAAAGAGAAAAAGAAAAAAAAAUGAAUGAGUUUAAUUUUGUUAUAUCUAGAACUCGAGUAAUUAAGUCCGUAGGGGCGUUUUAACACCUAGUGCCCUAAGGUCAACUGGUCUGGGAGUCACUAGCCUAAAGCUCGCUACAUGGGUUAUAGAUAUAUUGUUUGCUUAUUUAUUAAAAACUCGAGUAAUUAAGUCCGUAGGGGUGUUUUAACACCUAGUGCCCUAAGGUCAACUGGUCUGGGAGUCACUGGUCUAAAGCUCGCUACAUGGGUUAAAAAUGUAAUUUAAAAAAAAGGUUGAAUAAUCUACUGCCUGAAGAUAGAAUUUCUAAUGAGUUUUAGAAAGAAAAUGUUGUUUUCUUUUAAUGAAACCCCAUAAGUAUUGUGUUAAUUACUUGAGCACAAAAGAAGGUUUAUGAUAUUCUGGAUAAUGAGUGGAUGACCAAGAGUUAAAAAAAAUUUUGGGAGAGUUUAUUUAUUUGGUAGUUUAGAGGAUAGAUGAACAACUAUUAACUUGUAUGUGAAUUUUGUAAAUCUUAAUUUAAUAUAGCGCUUUAAUUGCUAGGGGCUAGCAAUAAGCUAGUUGGGGGGGUGUGAUUAGUGUUAAAAAUUGCAUGUUUAUUAAGGGAUAAAAAUACUAUUUUGUUUUAUUAAUGUAAUUUAUAUUUAUAAUUGUGUAACAUAUUGUGAAUUUCUAAUUAUUUUUCUAAAUAUUUGAUUUUGUGUAUUUUUGUGUGUUUAUUGGGUAAAAAUAAUAAUUUCAUGCAAUUUGAGACUCCGAACAAAUGUAUAGAUGUCAAAUUUGGAUUCCGGAAGUCCGAGAAAUUAUGUCAUUGUCGAGGAGGAUCCAAGACUUUUGUUGUAAAGUUUUUACGUUUUUACCACGGUAAAUGUGGUAAUUGUAAAAUUAUAAGUUUUUAUCAUGUUAGGUAUGGUAAUUGUUAGUGGAAUAUGUUAGAUAUGCUUGAGUGGAUAAGUUAGGUUUAUGUUUUAUUAGUGGGACAAAUGUAAGGUUAAGAUGUAAUUAGAUUUUUUUAUUUGUGUGGUAAGGAUUUACCAUGUAUUAGUAUAAAUAGAGGGGGGUGAACACACCUCUCCACACCUUCUCUUCUCUUCUUUCCCCCCAAAUUCUUCUUCUCAUCUCUCUUUGUAAUUUAUUUUCAAUAAAUAAAAUUAGUUUUAUUUCAAUUUUCAAAUUUCAUUUUUAAUUAUGUGUUUUUCAAUUUUAGUAAUUUCCUUUAUUAAAAAAAUGUUUAGCUAAAUAUUAAUAGUUAGGGGAAGGUGAAACUCUUAGGAAAUAAAUAUGAUUUAAUCAAAUUCUAUUUUUAAUUUUAUAAAUUAAGUUAUUUUCUAUUUAAUUUUAUACAUAUUGUAUAUUAUGAAAUUUUGAUUUAUUGUAGACAAACAAGGGAGUUUGGCACAAUAAAUUCUUUUUAUCUUAAUAUAAGGUAUGAUAAAAUGGUAUUUUGACUUAUUGUAGACAAAUUAAAUUUUGGCACAAUGAAUAUUUAAUCUAUCAUAAAAUUAAAGGGAAAAUAAUAAUAAUUUAUAUAAUUAAUCUUUUGGGCAAUAAAUCUAAAAAAAAUGGCAAAAAGAAUUUAUUAAGUUUUAUUUACAACUAAGAGUGAAUCCACAACCCUAACUAAUUCAAUUUCAUAGUUUUAUUUAAAUUAAGUUGUUUAUAUUUAAGUUUUAUUUUCAAAUUUUAGAUAAAAUAAAAUAAACAAAUUAAAUCUUUUCUUUGUGGAUCGACCUCGGACUCACCGAGAUAUAUAAUAACUAGGCACUUUUAUACUUGAGAGUAAAUCAAACACUUUUAAGUCGUGUCAGCAUACAUCAAGCUACCCACUGCAUUUGAGUAUGGAACUUGUAACAUGUAUUCUCAUUUUGCAAUUGUCGAAGGAGAUAGUUAUGCAGAAAGCUUGAAAUGAGAAGCCAACGGUGUACUCACAGGUUUUGUCUGCUCAGUCAUGCCAAACUGUGGUAGUACCUUCUUCAAAUAUUGCUUUUGAGAUAAGCUGACUUUGCCAUGAGCUCUAUCUCUUUAUAUCUCCAUGCCAAGAAUCUUCUUAGCUUUACCUAGAUCUUUCAUCUCAAAUUCUUGAUUGAAUUAAGUCUUUAACUUCUCAAUCUCAUCUUUGCUCUUAGAUACUAUUAGCAUAUCAUCGACAUACAAGAGCAAAUAUAUAAAGGAUCCCUCUUGUAACUUGCGAAAAUACACGCAAUGAUCAAAUUUAUUUCUUGUGUACCUUUACCCUUUCAUAAAUUGAUCAAAUCGCUUAUACCACUGCCUCGGAGAUUGUUUCAAUCCAUAAAGCAACUUUGUCAAUUUGCAAACCCAAUUUUCUUUUCCAGUAACCUUGAAUCCAUCUGGCUGAGUCAUGUAGAUUUCCUCUUCCAAAUCACCAUGUAAAAAUGCAGUUUUUACAUCAAGCUGAACUAGUUUAAGAUUAAAUUGCGUAACCAUGGCUAGUAAAAUUCGAAUAGACGAAUGUUUUACAACUGGAGAAAAUAUCUCAUUGUAGUUUAUUCCUUCCUUCUGAGCGUAACCCUUCGCUACCAAUCUAGCAUUGUAUCAAAUUUCAUUUUUACAAGGAAAUCCUUCCUUUUUUGCAUAUACCCAUUUGCACCUAAUUGCCUUCUUUUCCUUAGGCAGUGUAACUAGCUCCCAAGUUUCAUUUUUGUGAAGAGACUGCAUUUAUUUAUUUAUUGCUCUCUUCCACUGUAUACUUUUUGGGUUACUUGCUGCUUCUCUGUAAGUGGAAGGAACAUAAUCAUCUACAAUUGGAAGUGCAUAGGCCACCAUAUCAACAAAGUGAGCAGGUUUAUGAAUCUCUCUGUGUGGCCUUCUAUAUGCAAUUAAAUCUUGUUGCUGUGAAGGUUCUUGGGCCAGAACCUAUUCUUUAUAAUCGGUUGAUGGAGAAUCAGUAUUUGUCUCCCCAAUAUUGGCUGGAUUAUCUUUAACAUUUUCAAACUCUACCUGCUGCAAUAUGCUACUGGUCUUGUCAUCCUUUUGAGAAUCAUUUUGUUUCAAUAUGGCUGAUUCAUCAAAAGUCACAUCUCUGCUAAAAUUAAUUUUCUUUGUAACUGGACACCAAAGCUGGUAUCCUUUUGCUCCACCAGUUAUACCCAUAAACAAUGCUUUCUUUCCUCUUAGGUCUAACUUAGAUUCCUUUACAUGAUAAUAAGUAGUGGAACCAAAAACAUGUAAAGAAUCAUAAUUAGUAGCAGGUUUACCAGUCCACAUCUCCAUGGGUGUUUUGCCCUCAAUUGCAGCUGAUGGCAAACGGUUGAUCAGAUGGCACGCAUAUACAACUACCUCAGCGCAAAACUCUUUGCCCAAUCCAGCAUUGGACAAUAUACACUGAACUUUCUCCAAUAUAGUCCGGUUUAUUCGUUAUGCCACCCUAUUCUGUUGUGGUGUAUCUCGAAUAGUGAAGUGUCGCACAAUGCCCCCAUCUUGGCAUAUUUGUAGAAAUAGAUAAUUCUUGUACUCACCACCAUUGUCUGAGCGAACUCUUUUGACCUUUCGACUAGUCUGAGUCUCAACCAUCUUCUUUUAUUUAAGAAAUAUGCCCAAAACUUCAUUUUUAUUCUUCAUCAAAUACACCCACACUUUUCUUGAAUAAUCAUUAACAAAAGUAACAAAAUAGUGCAUAACUCCCAAAGAAAUUGUUUUGGUAGGUUCCCACACAUCACUGUGAACAUAGUCGAGAAUUCUUUUUGUAUCGUGAAUUGCUGAAACAAAUUUUACCCUUGUUUGCUUGCCCAGAACACAAUGUUCAAAAAAUUCCAAUUUGCAAGAAUUUACGUCUUUCAAUAAGCCUUGCUUUACUAAAGUCUGCAAUGCUUUUUCACCAGCAUGUCUCAAACGCAUAUGCCAUAACUUGGUUGCUUUUAAAUCUGCAUAUUUUCCAGAAAUUGUUGAUACUGAUCCAAUAAUUGUACUUUCUUGAAAAUAAUACAAUUUAUUUCUUCUUGUGCCUUUCGUCAUUGUCAGUGCACCGGCUACUACCUUCAACAAUCCAUCUCUCAAAGUGAUUGUGAGCCCUUUAGAUUCUAGGACUCCUAAUGAGAUAAGAUUUUUCUUCAAACUUGGUACGUAGCGAACAUCCGUCAAGACUUGGAUUGAACCAUUAUGAUUUUUUAAUUGGAUUGUACCUAUUCGCAUGGUUUUACAGGCAUUGUCAUUGCCUAUAAAAACAACUCUACCGUCCAACUCUUUGAAGUUAUAAAACUAGCCUUUGUUAGGACACAUAUCAAAAGUACAACCCGAAUCUAAAAUCCACUCAUUUGAGUGACAUGUCAACGUCAUGCCAACUAGACUAAAGUUUGACUCCUCAUCAUGCUUUGCUACACAUGCAUCAAAAGUAGCCUUGCCCUUUUGUAACCUAGAACAAUUCUUUUUCCAACGCCUUUUCUCACGAUAAAAAGCACAUUCAUCUUUGUCAGGCCUCCUUUUAGACUUACUUCUUUUUCUAGGUUUUCGGCUUUGUGAACGACCUUUCAUUGUUAAUGCUUCUACAACUGUAUCUUUGUGAUCCUUUGUGUCUUUCUUUCUAGUCUAAGAGUUGUACAAUGCACUGCAUACAGCAUCGAAUGUGACACUAUCCUUCCCAUGAAGCAAAGUGGUGGUGAGAUGAUCAUAUUCAUCAAGAAGGGAAUUCAACAAUAACAAUGUCUUAUCUUCAUCUUCAAAUUUCUCAUCCAAAUUUAACAAAUCUGCCAAUAUUUUGUUGAAUGAGUUAACAUGGGCAUUCAUUGACAUGCUAGAUGUAUAUGUGAAUUGAUAGAGUUUCUUCUUCAUAUAAAACCUAUUUUCAAGGCUUUUCUUCAUAUACUCUUCUUCCAGUGUCUACCAAAAUUUUUUUGCUGAUGUCUCCCUCAUGACUGAGUAUUUUUUAUCUUUAGCCAGACAUAGGCGAAUAGUACCAUAUGUCUGUCUAUUGAUCUUUAUCCACUCCUUGUCAUCCAUCACGUCAGGCUUUUCUUCAAUAACAACGUCCAACUCUUGCUGCCAUAAGACAUCCAACACCUCACAUUACCACAUACCAAAAUUAUUGGUACCAUCGAAUUUCUCCACUUCAAACUUUGCAUUAGUCACACUAGUCCUCACUCAUGAAGACGAUGACGAUGCCUCUGCCAUCCCUUUUAACUUAAAUGAUUAGUGUCUUCAAAAAUUAUUUACACUUGAAAAAAGCCUUUAUGAUGUUUAUUUCGCAUGAAUAAAUGCACCAGGAAUGUUCCCAAGAGAAUGGAUGGGUCACAACAGUCCCAUAUAAAACCCAGACUCAUUAGGCUUUUAUUGCCUUAUUGACAGAACUUUCCUACACAUGCAAAAAUACACACUACUUACAAUAGACUGUCUCCCAAGUAUAAAUGGUUGUCUCCACCGUAUUAAUGAACAGUACUGUAUAUGUGAAUUGUACCGUAUACAUGAACAGUACCGUAUAUGUGAACAAUGUCGUAUGCCCCAAGCGCGAACCUUCGGUUCUGAUACCAAUUGUUGCGGAAAUGCGGGUUGAGCUAAUACCAAUAUUAUGGUGACUGCGACUUUUGAAGAAAUAUAAAUGUGACAAAUAAAUGUAAAGAAAUAGGACACAAUAAUUUACGUGAUUCAGCAUAAAGCUCACGUCCAUGGAUAAAGACUGUAAGAUAAUUUUACUAACAAAUGAGAAUUUACAAAAGUGGAAAAAACUCUCAAAACCCAAAACCCCAAUACACCCAAUUGGAUCAUCUUAGCACCCAAGAAAAUACUCUCUCUAAACUCUUGAAGAGCUCACUUGCUAUGCUCUUAGAUCUCACAAUUUGAGAUGAUUUACAAAUGCUUUCUACUCCUCUAUUUAUAGGCAAAGUUUACAAUAUGAAUGCAUGAAAAAAACUUUGGCCAUUUUUAAUUUUAAUGGCUUCGGUGUGAUUUUUGGUGAAGAGAUCAUGCUAGCACAUGCAAUUGCAUCAUGCUAGCUCAACAAUUGUGUGUUGGAAAUUUGCAUGCUUGCUGGCUCAUGCAAGCAUGCUUGACUUUUCAACAAAAAUGAGAAAAAAAAAAUCUUCUAUUCAUUCAUAGAACAUGUUACAGCUAUUUCCUAAAUUAAGGAAAGGAAAUAUUCAUUUAUUCGUAUAUAAAGUUUCACAACCACUUGUACUAAGUUCUUGUGAGUAAAUUAAAUGACUACGAUUUAUAAUUGGAGGAUAAUUUUGACAUUUUCACAAUAACAGGACCACAUAUGCAUGUUGUGUUAAUUUGAAGUUUUACACCAUCUGAUAACGAAAUGCUUGAUGUUUUGGCUUCUAGAGUCAUGUCAAUUAUUGCCUUAUAGAUAGGUGAAAUGCCUCAGUAUUAGACCCUUCUCGAAGCGAAACAUAUUAAAUGAGUAACAACUUUUAAAUCUGCAAGCGCGAAUUGUCCGACAAUGAUUUGUAUCAACCUUAGGACCUUAGCUGGAGCCUCAUUUUACCACACCCAAACAUAUUCGGUCUUUCAGUAUUGAUCACAUAAUCUAACUCGGACUGAAUACUUAAUUACCUUCUAAAGUGGCAAUUCAUGUAGCUGAAUCGUAUUCUUGUUGUAUUGUAAUCGUGUCCUGUCAAAUUUAAGUACCUAUAGAUAUUACACAUUUGAUAAUCAUGUCAAAAAAUUCAAACACAGAUACGUCCCACUUAAUAAAUGGGUGACAUGACAUGAUGCACAUCACACGUUUCUGUUGGACACGAUUUUGAUACAAUUACACAGCUAACAACCUGAUUAUCAAUGGAAAUACUAUCAUAAUUCAACAUUAAAUGAAUAAAAUAAAAAUAAAUCAGUUCAUUAGAAAAAUAAAUGACAUAAGAACCUCAAACUAAUCCAAGAUGUGAAAAUUCAAUUAUCUAAGCCAAUUAUAAAUUUAAAUCAUUACGGACAAUAAUUAAUAAAUAAUAACUCAACCAAAAUAUAAAAUAUGAUAAACUGAAAAUUUAUCAUUCAUGCCAUAAAGAUGUAAUUGUAUUGAAGCAGUCCAGCAGUAUCCUAUAUAUAGCUAGAAGCAGAGACCAAGCUUACCAUCAAUUUUCCAAAUUCACCAAAAAAAAAAAUGAGCUGGUUCUGGGCAGGAGCUAUUGGCGCUGCUAAGGUAAGGAGCUACUCUCUAAUUUAGUUUAUGUACGUAUAACAUCUCGAUAUUUAAAAUAAUGUUUGUUUAAUUUUUACUUGAACAGAAAAAAAUUGGAAGAAUAUGAUCAAAGUCGGGACUACCAGAACGUGGGACUUGUAAUAGGUGUGACGGGAAUUGUAGGCAACAGCCUGGCUGAGAUUUUACUCCGAUCAGAUACCCCCGUCGGACCGUGGAAGGUCUACGGAGUGGCCCGACACCCCAGGCCUAACUGGAACGACGAUUACCCCGUUGAAUACAUCCAAUGCGAUGUCUCCGACCAGGAGGACACACAAGCCAAGCUCUCAAAACUCACUGACAUCACCCACAUCUUCUACGUGACGUGGGCCAGUCGUCGCACUGAAGCGGAGAAUUGCCAAAUCAACGGCGCAAUGUUUCAUAACGUACUCAGUUCUGUAAUCCCAAAUGCACCGAAUCUCCGCCACAUUUGUCUCCAAACUGGAGGCAAACAUUAUGUGGGGCCAUUCGAGUUUGUUGGUAAAAUACCAUCUCACGAUCCGCCUUUUACUGAGGAUUUGCCAAGGUUAAACGUUACACUAUUUUACUAUACUCUAGAAGAUAUAUUAUUUAAAGAAAUUGACAAAAGAGAGGGCUUGACUUGGUCCGUACAUCGACCGCACGGAAUAUUUGGGUUUUCACCUUAUAGUUUGAUGAAUAUUACAGCCACUCUCUGCGUGUACGCAGCUAUUUGUAAACAUUAAGGUGCUCCUUUACUAUUUCAUGGCACUAGAGAUACUUAGGAAGGCUUCACACAAUUUUCGGAUGCAGAUUUGAUUGCGGAGCAGC